This 196501-nucleotide long non-coding RNA is filed under the name Vitis vinifera (wine grape). Its description in RNAcentral is "long non-coding RNA (VVIN_LNC007084)". Lineage: Eukaryota; Viridiplantae; Streptophyta; Magnoliopsida; Vitales; Vitaceae. The record is from RNAcentral.
AGACUUUGCUACAAAGCUACCUUUUGCGAGAGAUAGAUUGGUGGAAGGCUACUUUUGGAUACUUGGGGUGUACUUUGAGCCUCAAUAUGUCCGGGCUAGACGAAUUCUAACCAAAACAAUUUCCAUGACAUCCAUUAUAGAUGAUAUAUAUGACGCAUAUGGCACAUUUGAAGAACUCGAGCUCUUCACCGAGGCCAUUGAGAGGUUUGAUUGAUGCAAAUUACCAACCUUCAUCAUUUAUACUGUAUGUGAUACUUAAAUCAAGCCUGGUUUUAUUUUCAGGUGGGAUAUUAAUAGCAUAGAUCACCUUCCAGAAUACAUGAAACACUGCUAUGUGGCACUCUUAGAUGUGUACAAAGAAAUUGAGGAAGAGAUGGAGAAAAAAGGAAACCAAUAUCGGGUUCAAUAUGCGAUAGAAGCGGUAGGACAUUCUGCAUCGACUUUGUUUUGUAUAGUAACAUAUCGUAAGGAUAUAGAUGUAACCUGAUUGAAUGUUUGACAGAUGAAAAACCUAGUUAGAGCUUAUUUUCAUGAGGCUAAAUGGUUCCAUGAAGGACGCAUACCAACAAUGGAAGAGUAUAUGAGGAUAGCACUGGUAACCUCAGGUUACUACAUGCUUACAACCAUUCUUUCAUUGGUAUGGGAGAAAUUGUAACAAAGGAGGCCUUUGAUUGGGUGAUCAGUGACCCUAAGAUUAUCACAGCAUCAGCUGUAAUUUGUAGGCUCAUGGAUGACAUCAGUUCACAUAAGGUAUUGUGAAUAUAGUAUUACUUGUUAAGCUAUAAUUUGACCUUGACCUUAAAGCUCAAUCAAUUAAACAUAUUUACUGUACUCUUCUUCUUAAACUAUAUAUGCAGUUUGAGCAAAAGAGAGGGCAUGUUGCCUCAGGCAUUGAAUGUUACAUGAAGCAAUAUGGUGCCUCUGAGGAAGAGGUAUACGAUGAGUGUGGACCCGCAUUUUUCACGUGCGUCCCCACUCGAUCAGCGAGACUCGCUUUUUAUUUAUGAAAAAUUAAUUUUAAAAAAAAGUUGGAGUCGCCACUUAUUUUAUUUUUAUUUUAAAGGGAAAAUAAAACAAGAAAGAAAAACCCUAAAAAAGUGACUCCAUAAUUUUUGGAAAAAGCAUGUCUUUGAAAAACCCGAGUCUAAGUCCGGGGAUCAGGUUACCUAUUGGGAAGGUACCUUUAAAAGGUAGCACCCCUCUAAGCCCUCUAAAGGUCUCUACUAACAAAGUUAAGGGAAGUGUGGCCAUUAAUCAGUUAAUUAUGGAUACCUAAGUAGGCUAGGUGAUUUCAAAUAUUGCAUGCCUAAAGAGAAAACAAACCAUAAGAGAGAGUCGAAGUGCGUACCUAAAUGGCUUCUCAAGCGCUAUCAUGAAACAUAAGAGAUUAGUUUGGAAAUAUGACACAACAUUUGUUUUAUCUAAGCAAAUCAAGCAUAUAUCAAAACACCCAAAAAUCACAUCAUGUAUGGAUAUAGUCAUCAAUAACGCAUGUGUCCAUGGAAUUCUCAAAAAUAGGUGUGAAGGAGCGUACCUGGAUGGCGAGCUAAAACGCUACUAUGGGAAACAAGAUUGCUUAAUAAUAGGUGCAUAAUAAUCUCACGUAUCUCAAAGAGAAAGCACAAUUAAUCAAAUGUCAAACAAACACUAUUGAAGAGGAUAUCAUGAAUGUCGGGCCCCCACCAAAGCCCUAAUUAAUUUCGCACGAGUUGAUUCCAUAAAUUCCAUGACUUGGAAUUAUGGAGUUUGUUCGUGCUUGAGAAAAUCGGAAAAAUCAAGAAAAUGGUUGAAAAUAAAAAUAAAUAAUAAAAUAAAAAAAAUAGUGAAAACUUGUGCCAGAAGGAAAAUGGCAGCAAAAGGGUGUUGAAAUCUGGAUUUUAUUGCCUAGAGAAGGUCUAAAGAUGAUUCUCUAAAAUCAGGAUUAUUUGGAUGAAAACGAUUUUGAAAACACAAUUCAAAACACGUAAAAUCAUGAGGAAAACAAGAGGGGUGAGAAGGGAAGAGAGUAGUGUGCACCGAACUGGUCAUGGCGAGUGGGGUUUGGGGGUUUGGCUGUGACUGCGUUGCUGGUGGUUAUAGGCGCUGCUGUCAUUUUCUCUGAAUUUUUCCCUCUACUCUCUCGUAUGCAUUUAAGUGCUUUACAUCACUGUGUUCUUGAGCUUUUCCCCAUUUCUUCUUAUACCUUGACCUGCCACCUCUGCUGGUGUGUUCUGUUGAACUAAGUAAACUUGCUGGCGCGUUCUGUUGAACUGAGUGACACUAUGUCUGCUCUCAAAUUUAAAUCCUUUAACCUUAUCCAUCAAUAGGGAUGCCUGAAUUUCAGGAGCCCGCAACUCAUUCGGCAAUGCUGAGGGAAAUGGCGUUGUAAAUGUUGCUUGAGGAGAAGGCUGCUGUGGAGGAUGUUUUAUUAUAUCCUUGCUGACAUAUUGACAUGGCGUGAGAUGAUACACCAGCAAUUUGAGUAGUUUGUGGUCAGCCCAAUUGAGGUUGCUUUCAAACUUUCGCUACAAAAAAAGAAGAUCGAAGAUGACGAAACCCAUGUGAAUCGCUCUACGGUUCUGGCAGCGAAUGAGGAUUGGACAUGCAGAUUCUGGAGACAGUGACUUGAAGCUUCUUGCGAAUCUGUAGCAAGUUUAAUCAGACCACUCUUGAGGGCAACUUCUUUCUUCAAACAAAGUCAUGCAUUCCAGAGUACGCAGCUUUCCUCUUUCUGAAGUACAGAGCAUGCCUAAGAUCUAUGUUUGGGGGCAAAAUGUUUUCGUAAUCUGCAUGGGAUUGCGCUUUAUUGCUUACAAAAACAUCAUUGAAUCUCACCGUUCCAGAAUGGCACAUAAACAGUAGCGGACUUUGAUGUUAUCUUCAUUCAGCUGUUAAGUGACCAUCAUUAGUCUUGUUUCUAUCUUUUAGAACAUAUACAGGGAUGUGCCUUAGGAAGUCCUGCAUUGCUUGCAUCUCGCUUGACCUUUUGCUCAAUAAUUCAACCUGAGUACGGGGUUGAGACAUCUGGGUUGCAAAGGUGACUAUGGACUGUACAUUCGCUUGUUUCUCUUCCCACUAUUUUCUGAAUCAAAUUACCUGCUGCUGUAUCUAUUGAAGCUGUAGCCUCAUCUAACAAUCUCUCAAAAGGCAUAAAUAUCAGAUUCUUCAACUAUGCUAUUCUCAGAUCACCUCAGCAGUAUAAGGGGUUCUAUGCAUUUAGGAACCAUCAGCAAUGCUUGGAUUUUUGGGAUAUUAUACAGAACAAAGCAAAGUUGUGCGACAUUUCCCUUUGAUUAUGAAGAUGAAGUCGAAGAUGGCAAAAUUUUGUAAAGACUUUCAAGGGGAUUCCCUCCACGUUUGUCAUCAAAGAUGCUUUUUGACGAAUUUCCCAUAGUCAACUUGAUUAAGGCAACAAGAACAACUUUUUGCUUACUCUAUGAUGCAGUAUUAAGCAUGUCAAACAAUGAGUGAGCCACCUGCUUAGCUGACUUAAAAUCUCUGAUAUUCUCAACAUCGAGAGGCUCAAGUGAAGCUCUACUGAAUAUAACAUUUCUUGACUCCAAAUGUAACACAGUUAUCAGUUGAUUCACGGAAUUGAUUGAUGCUUCGCAAUGAAGAAAAUCAGGACUGCUAAAUAGUAUUUUCAACAAUUCAGACACUAUGGCCUUAGAAGGGUCUUGAGGGCUUAAAGACAAGUACUUGGUUAGAGCACCCAAUGCUCCAGCUUCAGCCAUGAUCAGUUUGUUCGCAUCAGACAUUAGUUCAAGGGGUUUGGCACCUUCCCUCACAUGCAUCUCAGAAUGAGCUUUCAUACACUCCCAGUAGAAAUAGUUUCAGAAUCUGCAUUUAUUAUAGUGGCUUUAGUUUCGAUGUCGUCUUUUGAGAGAGUCAUUUUCUACCAAAAUCACAAUCUAAGCAAUCGUCAAGCAUUAGGUUGGAAUUUCCGUCACAAAUGAAUUUCUUGUUAGCAUCAUUAGUAAUCUUCAGCAAUCAAGCUCACUGAAUCGUCUCCUGAGUACCCAUGACAGAAGAAAGCUGAUCAUUCAUGGCACCCAAGACUGAGCCAUGGUGAUAACUAUUUAAAGUAGUGUUUGAAUUAGCUGAUCCGUCAAGACUUUGAUGGGAUGAUACAUUCCUGAUGGGUUAAGUGUCAUCAGUUGACAUGGUACUAUUGCUUACAAAAAAUUAUGAGCCCAGGUUCUUCUUCCUGCUAUUGUCCAAUUCUGUAGGAGUAAUCUGGUCUUUUCCAGUUUAUUAAGCUCCAUCAUGCCUGCCUCAAGAAGGGCCUUUGGCGUAUAUGUCAGUAAGUUCAAGUCUGGACAGUGUCCUAGUAAACAGAUGCCUUCCCUGAUCUCUAUCAGUAUGCAUCCUCUGAUUAGGAUUGAUUUCUGGACUGAUCUGAUCAAAGAUCCUCGAACUGUUUAAAGUCCCAUGAUUCUUUUGGCUUUGAGAGUCUUCUCUGGUUUUCCGUGCUCAAGUAAUCAAGCAAAUUGUCCCACAUGAAUAGAAGAUGCCACAAGUUUAGCAGUGCAUUUUUCAUCAGUAUUCAAAUCAAACAUUGGAAUUUUCUGUAGGUUGGCGGAAUUGUUGGCAAUUUCGACAUCAUAUAUUGCAGCAAGGCCGAAAUUCUGACUUACACUUCUAAGUGUUCCAGAGAACUUAGUCAUGUCUGCCUCCUAUGUCAUCUCUUGAUAAAUCUGGUUCUCUUCAAAUGCUUCCGAAGGUUGAAAUUAGUACCCUUGUUCGUCUCAAGGAAACAAACCGAGAGGUUUGGACAGUAGGAUCUGCACUUUCUCCACAGAACUGGAGCACCUUUUCAGAAGUCCCUUCUUUGGUCUCAGCAAAAGACUUUAGAGCUUCAACAAGAAAAGUAANNNNNNNNNNNNNNNNNNNNNNNNNNNNNNNNNNNNNNNNNNNNNNNNNNNNNNNNNNNNNNNNNNNNNNNNNNNNNNNNNNNNNNNNNNNNNNNNNNNNNNNNNNNNNNNNNNNNNNNNNNNNNNNNNNNNNNNNNNNNNNNNNNNNNNNNNNNNNNNNNNNNNNNNNNNNNNNNNNNNNNNNNNNNNNNNNNNNNNNNNNNNNNNNNNNNNNNNNNNNNNNNNNNNNNNNNNNNNNNNNNNNNNNNNNNNNNNNNNNNNNNNNNNNNNNNNNNNNNNNNNNNNNNNNNNNNNNNNNNNNNNNNNNNNNNNNNNNNNNNNNNNNNNNNNNNNNNNNNNNNNNNNNNNNNNNNNNNNNNNNNNNNNNNNNNNNNNNNNNNNNNNNNNNNNNNNNNNNNNNNNNNNNNNNNNNNNNNNNNNNNNNNNNNNNNNNNNNNNNNNNNNNNNNNNNNNNNNNNNNNNNNNNNNNNNNNNNNNNNNNNNNNNNNNNNNNNNNNNNNNNNNNNNNNNNNNNNNNNNNNNNNNNNNNNNNNNNNNNNNNNNNNNNNNNNNNNNNNNNNNNNNNNNNNNNNNNNNNNNNNNNNNNNNNNNNNNNNNNNNNNNNNNNNNNNNNNNNNNNNNNNNNNNNNNNNNNNNNNNNNNNNNNNNNNNNNNNNNNNNNNNNNNNNNNNNNNNNNNNNNNNNNNNNNNNNNNNNNNNNNNNNNNNNNNNNNNNNNNNNNNNNNNNNNNNNNNNNNNNNNNNNNNNNNNNNNNNNNNNNNNNNNNNNNNNNNNNNNNNNNNNNNNNNNNNNNNNNNNNNNNNNNNNNNNNNNNNNNNNNNNNNNNNNNNNNNNNNNNNNNNNNNNNNNNNNNNNNNNNNNNNNNNNNNNNNNNNNNNNNNNNNNNNNNNNNNNNNNNNNNNNNNNNNNNNNNNNNNNNNNNNNNNNNNNNNNNNNNNNNNNNNNNNNNNNNNNNNNNNNNNNNNNNNNNNNNNNNNNNNNNNNNNNNNNNNNNNNNNNNNNNNNNNNNNNNNNNNNNNNNNNNNNNNNNNNNNNNNNNNNNNNNNNNNNNNNNNNNNNNNNNNNNNNNNNNNNNNNNNNNNNNNNNNNNNNNNNNNNNNNNNNNNACAGAUCAUCAGCCAUAGGAAUACCAUCGGUGGUUGACGUGGAGAGCUUCUCUGCAAUACCCUGAACCUUACCAUGAAUUUUAAGCCUUUUAGUCAUGACUUUCCACAAUUGAUCCCAACUCAUCAGCACAAAUUUGAAAACCUGCAGCUGUUACUUCCUCAGGUGCAAUGUAGUCACUGGACAAACCAUGAAUAAACUGAAGUGCGGCCUGUGAAACUAGAACUGCUACUCUAAACUUCUCCUCAUUGGAACGUCGAAUAGUUUGAGCUUCGAAUCACUUGCUGAGAUUAGCAGUGAAACGGGACCUUCGCUUAGGUUUUUAACAACCCAGCGAAGCUUUCUCCGUGUGAGCUUUAGGUGGACUUGAAGCCUGAGCUUCCAGAAUUGCUUGGUUAGCUGUCUCAUAAUAACCAGCUGAGCAGCAGAGCUUUGCAUAUUGAAGCCAGCAAUCACCAACUUGAGCACCAAGACCGCUUGCACCAAGAACCAAUCUUUGUAAAGCCAGAAGUGACUCUCUUGCCCAAAGGGAUGGCUGUGUAAAUCUGAGCUGAUCUCCCCAAUUUUCCAUCAUUUUUGUGAAUCUCAGAUCAGCCAAAUCGAUUGAUUUCAGCAACAGCUAGAAGAGCAAUCAGAGCUCGUUUGGACAGAGCAAUUUUCUCAGCAACUGAGAAUUGGUCUUUCUUUAUCAGGGCCUGAGGAAUUUUCACAACAUCCAUGUCAAAGGAAGCAUUAUUCUCAGAGCUGCUGCAAAGUAAACCUUCCUUGUCAGUCCCAUCAAGGUACUCAUCCAUCAAUUCCCACUUGCUAAGCCUCCAUGCUGCCUAAACACCUUGUAUGCACCAAGUUUUCUUGUAUUUAUGAAUUUUAGCUAUUAAACCAUCCACGUGAAUAACCAUAGUCUGAAAGUGGCACAUGUCAGUAAACAAUUAAGAACAUCUGAAUGCCUCUGUACUGAGGUAGGCUCCAUCUGCAAAGCCUGCUCUGAAGAAGUUAAAACUUCUGCCCAGUUUCCUGCUUUCUUGUUGAUUAGAAAGCUGGUCUUGCAAACUUAAUGACGUGUGCAAACANNNNNNNNNNNNNNNNNNNNNNNNNNNNNNNNNNNNNNNNNNNNNNNNNNNNNNNNNNNNNNNNNNNNNNNNNNNNNNNNNNNNNNNNNNNNNNNNNNNNNNNNNNNNNNNNNNNNNNNNNNNNNNNNNNNNNNNNNNNNNNNNNNNNNNNNNNNNNNNNNNNNNNNNNNNNNNNNNNNNNNNNNNNNNNNNNNNNNNNNNNNNNNNNNNNNNNNNNNNNNNNNNNNNNNNNNNNNNNNNNNNNNNNNNNNNNNNNNNNNNNNNNNNNNNNNNNNNNNNNNNNNNNNNNNNNNNNNNNNNNNNNNNNNNNNNNNNNNNNNNNNNNNNNNNNNNNNNNNNNNNNNNNNNNNNNNNNNNNNNNNNNNNNNNNNNNNNNNNNNNNNNNNNNNNNNNNNNNNNNNNNNNNNNNNNNNNNNNNNNNNNNNNNNNNNNNNNNNNNNNNNNNNNNNNNNNNNNNNNNNNNNNNNNNNNNNNNNNNNNNNNNNNNNNNNNNNNNNNNNNNNNNNNNNNNNNNNNNNNNNNNNNNNNNNNNNNNNNNNNNNNNNNNNNNNNNNNNNNNNNNNNNNNNNNNNNNNNNNNNNNNNNNNNNNNNNNNNNNNNNNNNNNNNNNNNNNNNNNNNNNNNNNNNNNNNNNNNNNNNNNNNNNNNNNNNNNNNNNNNNNNNNNNNNNNNNNNNNNNNNNNNNNNNNNNNNNNNNNNNNNNNNNNNNNNNNNNNNNNNNNNNNNNNNNNNNNNNNNNNNNNNNNNNNNNNNNNNNNNNNNNNNNNNNNNNNNNNNNNNNNNNNNNNNNNNNNNNNNNNNNNNNNNNNNNNNNNNNNNNNNNNNNNNNNNNNNNNNNNNNNNNNNNNNNNNNNNNNNNNNNNNNNNNNNNNNNNNNNNNNNNNNNNNNNNNNNNNNNNNNNNNNNNNNNNNNNNNNNNNNNNNNNNNNNNNNNNNNNNNNNNNNNNNNNNNNNNNNNNNNNNNNNNNNNNNNNNNNNNNNNNNNNNNNNNNNNNNNNNNNNNNNNNNNNNNNNNNNNNNNNNNNNNNNNNNNNNNNNNNNNNNNNNNNNNNNNNNNNNNNNNNNNNNNNNNNNNNNNNNNNNNNNNNNNNNNNNNNNNNNNNNNNNNNNNNNNNNNNNNNNNNNNNNNNNNNNNNNNNNNNNNNNNNNNNNNNNNNNNNNNNNNNNNNNNNNNNNNNNNNNNNNNNNNNNNNNNNNNNNNNNNNNNNNNNNNNNNNNNNNNNNNNNNNNNNNNNNNNNNNNNNNNNNNNNNNNNNNNNNNNNNNNNNNNNNNNNNNNNNNNNNNNNNNNNNNNNNNNNNNNNNNNNNNNNNNNNNNNNNNNNNNNNNNNNNNNNNNNNNNNNNNNNNNNNNNNNNNNNNNNNNNNNNNNNNNNNNNNNNNNNNNNNNNNNNNNNNNNNNNNNNNNNNNNNNNNNNNNNNNNNNNNNNNNNNNNNNNNNNNNNNNNNNNNNNNNNNNNNNNNNNNNNNNNNNNNNNNNNNNNNNNNNNNNNNNNNNNNNNNNNNNNNNNNNNNNNNNNNNNNNNNNNNNNNNNNNNNNNNNNNNNNNNNNNNNNNNNNNNNNNNNNNNNNNNNNNNNNNNNNNNNNNNNNNNNNNNNNNNNNNNNNNNNNNNNNNNNNNNNNNNNNNNNNNNNNNNNNNNNNNNNNNNNNNNNNNNNNNNNNNNNNNNNNNNNNNNNNNNNNAAAGACCAAAUAACCAGCAGAAAGAUCCUCUAUUUCCAGAACCAUGCUUCUCAAUCUGUCCUUAAUCUGCAUAUCCUUAACAAGCGAAUAAACAGCCGACAAGCUAGAAUUUUGAAACGUUUGUUCUCUUUGCUGAAUCUCAUGACUGCAUGCCCAAGCUUUGGAAUCACCCCCAUAUAAAGAAUUGAUGGCCAUAGGACGGAUAGGAAGAAAAGCAAAAACAAGUAUGGUAGAGAAUAGCGGAAACGAUGGGAAAACGGACAUGGGAGAUUAAAAGAAAAUAAAGCCACAUCUCAUAAUUUUUCAAUAGGCUCUGGUUAGUGGGAAUAGGCACAGAGAUAUAUGCUUCCGAAGGCAUUAAUGACAUCCAAAAUCAAAACAAGGCAAACAGGCAAGUAACCAAUCUCAACAAAGCAAAUUGUGGCCCUUUUCAUCCACACAAAAAUCAACAAAACAAUUAUAUAUUCAGGAAUCGAACUCACGGAAAAAAAUCAAAUAUAGGUAAGAAUUCCGAAAGCAACGAGGUGCAUACCUGGACAGCUUUGGUUGCAAUGGCUCGGCUUCUGGCUAUCUUUUCUCUUCCUUCUGAGGACAAUUCCCAGAUAAAAAUCCUCUUUUUUGCUUGUUCUUUCUUCCUCCUCCUCCCUCUCUAGACUCCAAUACGUGCUCUGCCCCCAAGAAAAAUCCUCCCUUAAUAAAAAAAAGCUCCCCUUUUUCUCCUUCCUCUCUCACGUAUAUAUACGCCUUUCCCUAAAACUAAAUCUCCCUAAAAAAAGGCCAAAUCCCCUAUUUUCUCUCUUCUUUUCUCCUUAUCCUUUUUUAAAUCUUCCAAUUCAAAAGCAAUCUUCCCAACUUCAAAUUCUCCUCCAAAACCUUCCAAGGAGAGUCCCACUUUCCUUAAACUCCAAUGGUAAGUUUCCUUGCAAAAACAUGAAAUUUUAGAAGUUAAAUAAUUGCAUGAAUAGAUAAAUAAGUAAAUAAAUUAGAAAAUGGUAAAAAUAAUAAAUAAAUAAAUAAGUUGAGGAAAAUAAUAUAAAGAGGAAAACGAAAUAAAAUAAAAUAAAAUUAAACAAAUUAACAAAAAAAAUGGACCCUACAAGCCAUGCAAACACGCAAGUCAAAUAAGUCACGCUAAAAAUGUCCAAAUGGGUCAAGUGUGCCUAAACGGGCCUAUGAUGAGACUAAGCGGGCCUAGGGUGGUGCCUAAUGGGCCAAGUGUAUCUAAAGGCUAUCCUAAAAAAACAAGAAAAGCCUAAGUCUAAAUUAGGGCUGCCAAGGGUCACGAUAAGGGAUCAAAUAAUCCUUUAACCAAAGUCUCCAAGGUGACUCAGAAAAAGGUAAGUCGUACGAGUAGUAAUGGGCCACCAAGGAACUACCGUGGAGCACUGGAAGUGGAUUUAAAGACAUGUGCUAAAAGGGCAAAAUUGAGGGUCUACAAUGAGUUUCAGAAGCAAGUUGUGGAUGCAUGGAGGGAUAUUAACGAGGAGUUCCUACGACCUACAGUUGUUCCGAUGCCUCUCCUAAUGUGUGUGCUUAAUCUUUCUCGAGUGAUGGAUGUGAUCUACACGGGGGGAGAUGGGUACACUCAUGUUGGAAAAGUGAUGAAGAAUAAUGUUGCAUCACUGCUCAUUCACUCUAUUGUAUGACCAAAUGGAUCAAGUUGAUCACCAUCUACAUAUUCUGCCUUACCUAGGGAGUAGGAUGAAUAAAAAUUAUUGUAAUAGUAUGGGAGAGACCUAUAAUGUUUGCUACUCUAUCUCGGUUUGGUGGUGUUUUACAUCAUACUAUCAUUUGGGCCAAAGGUAUUAAUGUUAUUGCGUUCUAAAAACUCCAUCCUAAGAUGCAAACAUAAGCAGGUUUUUUUUUAUUGAUUUUCGUUUUCUAUUUCUUGCAUCCAUUUUAAUAUAUGUUUAAAACACAUGGAUCAAGUUUGAAACUUUUUUGUUAUUCAAAAAUCGUGUCAUGGAGAAAAUUCUCCAUGGCAAAUCACUUGAUGGAGAAAAUUCAAAAUACAUCAUCAUCAUGAUGUAGAAAAUCACUUGACCGAGAAAAUUCAAGUAUAAAAAUCACAUGGUGUAGAAAAUUCUCCAUAGAAAAUCACAAGAAAAUUCAAAAUACAUCAGCAUCAUGAUGUAGAAAAUUACUUGACGGAGAAAAUUCAAGUAUAAAAAUCACAUGGUGUAGAAAAUUCUCCAUAGAAAAUCACGAGAAAAUUCAAAAAACAUCGUCAUCGUUGUCAUCAUCCUCCUCCUCCUCCUCCUCCUCCUCCUCCUCAUCAUCAUCAUCAUCAUCACUAGACAUGCUAAAAGUUUUGUUUCAUCAUCAUCAUCACCAGACAUGCUAAAAUGCUAAAAGUUUUGUUAUAUACCAUGUAAAAAAUAUAAGUUAUGAUCUUAUAUAAGGUACCAUGCAAAGUUUAAAUUUUUGCAAAACGAAAAGAGAAAAAAAAGGAAGUUAUGAAGAAUCAAAUCAAUCAACUCAUCAUUUUCCAAGCAAGGAUUAAGAUAUUAAAAAUUACAUAAAGAUGAUGAUUAUAUUUUUAAAAACAUUAGAAAAAAAAAAUAAUAAAUAUAUUGAAGUUGUUUUUUUACAUAAAACAAUAUAUGUAUAAUAACAUAAAUACAUUUAAUUAUAAAAUAUAUAUGAUUCCAUGUAAUUUGAAAAUAUUCAAGGAUGUAAAAGAAAUAAUAAAUAUUUUUUUUACAAACAAAUAUUUAUAAUUUCAUUUACAACUUUAUUUCUUCCUUUUAUUUAAUUAAUAUAGACAAGGAAUAACAAAAGACUUACUAAAAGAACUAUCAUGAGCACGUUUUAUAUUUUUAACAAUAAGUUCAAAUAAAUUUUAAAAAUAAGACAAUUAAAUUAAUAUAUUUUUUAACAUUUUAUUUAAUAUUUAAUUUUGUGCAUAGAUAUGUCAUAAAAUUAGGUUAAAUAUAGUACAUGUAAUUAUAAACAAUAAGGGCAAGCAGCUCAGGUGGCAAAGUAGCCACCUCCCUUCCAACAUGCACCUUCAAGUUUUUUUAGCAUACUGAUGUAGCGAAUUACGGGAGAAAGUCACCAUAUAUUGCCAAAAUUAGUGAUUAAUCGAAAAAAUAAGAAAAGAACAUGAUUAAUCGAGGUAGAUUAUGAAAAUUUGAUAAAAAUUCAUUAAGUGAAAUUCCUCCAUAAUUUUCUAUAUCGGUGAUAUUUCAUGAACACUAAUCAUGAUUUCCAAGUUCAUGAGUUUACCGUAUCUACAAAUUGGUAUGUCAAAGAAGUUCAAGAAUAAUUUUUAGAUGAUUAUAAGUGUUUUUUAAUAAUUAAAUUCAUUUUACAAAUAACUACAUGUUUAAUUAAGAUUAUAUCCUAAUGGUGCUGAAAACAAAUUAAGACAGACGUCAAAUCACAUUUACUUUGCAUUGAAACAAAUUAUGCUUAAUAGACAUAUUUAUGUUUUUGAAGAUGAUGGAUGUUAAUUUCAGAUUUUGCUCUCAAAUUAAGCCACCUAACACAGUUGUCUUUUAAACACUUAAGCGAACACAACUUCAAAUCACCAAUAAUUCACGGUAGCACAACUUCAAAUUAAGCCAAAAACCCAUCAACCCUCACCACCGUCGAUAGCAUCGCCGGCAAGCCGUUACCGGUUGGCAACCCCCUCCUCCCCUCUCAUUCUCCCCUUCCACCCACCUCUCCUCUCACUACUUUCUCUCUCUUUCCUUUUCAUUUCUUUCUCCUCAACUCCAUUGCCACCCUUCAACAACCCUUCAUCCAUGGUCUCAAAAAAAAAUAAUAAAAAAUAUCCCCAUGUCGAUAGCCCUAGUUUAAACUUUCCAAGUGAAUCACUAAAAUACAACACAAUUAGCUAUCACAAAACAAAAUAAAUUCAAUUAGGCCUAAAUUUAAUAUCUUAUAAUCCAAACUUAAUUUAAUACACAAAUUCAAAUUCACAAUCAAAAUCAAGUCCAAUUUAAUAUAUAAAGCUCAAAUGUAACAAAAUUAUACUAUAAUAUUAAUUCAUGUCCAAAUUAAACUAUUCAAAUGGGCAAAAUUCAUUCACCAACGACAAAUAGGCCCAAAUUUCAUAUUAAUUAACAUCCCCAAAACAAAAUUUAUUGGACCAAUUUGAAGUUUGGAUUUGAGUUUGAAUAAUUAUUUUGGACUUUACAUAUUUUUGGAUAUUUACCUUUGGGCUAUUUUUGUUUUUUCAUGAGCCCAUUUUACAAUUCUGUUGACUGAGCACAAAUUUGUGAUGCGUAGAGGGUUAAAUUUCAUGAAAAAAAAUGUGGCUCAUGAAGGCUGUAAAUUGAGCAUUAAGCUUGCUAUAGCCUUGUUUGGAUAUAUUUUAUUUCCCCACUUUUAUUUAGUUCUAUUUUUAUUGUCCUGUAAAUAUUCUUUCUUAUAUAUUUCUUGGGUGUAUACAAAGUUGAACAAUUGAUAACUCAUGAACUUUGUUUUAAUAAAAUAAAUAGUUCAGUAAUCUUUUUUUUUUUUAAUAAAAACAAUUGCUUAGAAAUUAUUUUUUUUUAAUAAAAAAAGGUUUUUUUUAUAAAAAUUCAAAAAAAUGUUUUUAAGAAAAUCCGAAAAAUCAUUUAAAUAAGAAUAUGUAUCACUUAAAUCACCUGAAUAUAUUAUUUAUUAUAUUAUAUUCUUUAAUACAUAUGUAUUAUUGUCAUUCAACUUGAGGAGUAUUGAUACUGAGUCUUAAAAUACAUAUGUAUGUAGAAUACAUGCCUACAACAAAUCUGGAUCUCCUUGUUAAUAUGUAAUGGUGUUUUGGAGUACUACAAUACUCACCAAAUAACUUCUUUACACUUUAUAAUGGACACUGACUGGUGAGUUUAUAGUUAAUUAAAUAUUUAACUCUAUAGCAAAUUAUUAUUAUUAUAAUUAUUGUUGCUAGCGUUAUUAUUAUUUAAUUCAUUAUUAUGAAAAUUAUUAGUAUUAUUACUAUUUAAUUAUUAUUAUUAGCUAUUAAUUUUAGUUUUUUCUUUUUCAUCUUUUCUUUUUUGUUGUUUCUUAUAUACUUCAUAAAAUUAUAAGUUAUGAUCUUUUAUUAGGUUGAAAUUGGAAGUUCAAGUUCACUAAAGUAUGACACAGUUAACUUAGGUUCACUAAUUUUGUAAAAAAUUCAAUGCAUUUAUAGGAUAAUUAAAUAAUUCAACGAACUUAUCAUUUUAUUAAUUAAGGUUUUUUUUUUUUUUAACCUUUUUUACAUGUAAGAAUACAAAAAUUUAUGGUUCAAUGUGAAACUUUGGAAUUGCAUGAAUAAGAAAGUGAAAUUUGUUGGUGUCGUUCCCAACGAGAGUUAGGUUCAUCCAACUUCAUUGGAGUCAGGUGGGUUGCUUCCCUUGUUCGUGCUUCUUAAGAAGUCCGUCCAGUUGUAUUGGAAUUAGAUAGACUUCUUCCCUGCACAAAAGAAUGUCCAGACAGGUGGUUCGAACAUGCCCCUCCCAAACUUAAGUUAGUUAAGGAUAACUCUAACUUAUUUUUAUGGUAGAAAAUGAGCGUAUGUGCAUGCCUACCUUGUUUGUGCCUUUUGAGGGGUUUAUAUAGAGCUUAUGACACUGUCACUAUAGUGCUGACUAUACACUCUAGUCUUUCUUGUGAUGAUGAUUACCCUUACGGCGGUUGGGCAAUCAUAUCAGAUAAGGGAGGUUGAUUGGUGCCAUCUACUGACAUGCCAAAUCUCGGACCAUGCAACUGAUUGUCCAUUUAGCUUGCCAAUGUCUGGGAUUGUGUGUAACAAUUAAUUGACAUUGACUUUUGGGUGUAAAUGGAGUCCCGUCCACCGCUUAGAUGUCAGACGUCUAAUCCAUAGCUCAAAUGUCAUGUGUCUAGGCCAACGCUCAAACAUCAAGCAUGGUUGAUCAUGCAUGCCAGAAAUCCUGAGGACUUGAUUUGACUAAUUUUUUCGUCGGAGAGUCUAGCGAUCCCAGCUUGUCGAUUCUGUCUGACCUUGUGGAAGAAGAGAAACCUCUCACUUUUGGUGUCAGAUAGAACUUAUCUUGGUCUAGAUGGAUUGAUCCUAGACGGGUUACAAGUUUGUCCUGGUCGGCCAAGGGGUCUUGAGCUUGAAAAUGACAAGUGAAGGGAAAUCCCCCACAAUGCCCCCUUAAUCUGUCUACCUCUAUCCAGAUGAAGAGGAGAUGUUUUUGGAGCGUCCAGUUAGUCUCCUAUCUAAACAAGAAUUCCGGGAUCGUUUCCAUAUUCCGGAUAAUAUCCCUAUCCUUCUAAUAGACGACGAGGCGUUAUCUUCCGUUGACCUGCCCAACAACAUGAUGUAUUUUACUAAGGAACAAUUCGUUGCGGGGCUCCGUCUACCUAUCCCCUCUCUCUUCAAGCAGUUCUUUCAUUUUAUGUAAAUCCCUUCAACUUUUCUUCAUCCGAACGUUGUCCGGUUAUUGAUGGGAUGUAGUGUUCUGGACAUGCUCUUUCAGUUGGAUCUCUCCUUACUGGAAGUCUUAUUUGUUUACACUAUCAAAAUGAGCUGGAAGGAAAGGUUAAGAUUUUCUUCCCAUAUUCCUUCCUUACAGCCGGUGACUGGCCUUCCAGAUUCAUGCAAAUGCUAGGUGAAGGGGCAUGUCCUAGUCUCCAGUCCUUGGAGUGGUUCAUCUAAGAAACUAGACGAGGUCUUUUCUCCACAACAUUUGUUGGGGAUUCCGAGUAAGAUACGCUUUCGUCACUUUCUCUACAUUUUUCAAUUAUUUCUUCCUCGUUGUGAAUUUACUGCUGAUCCUUUUGUUUAUGUGAUACAAGCAAGGAGAGGCGGGGACGCCUUGUAGAGUGGGUAGACAAGGCUUCUUUCACCCGACUCAACAAGUUGUUCGAAAUAGACGCGUUCGAAUGGGCCCCCAAAGUUUUUCUGCCAAACAAUAACUUACUAGCACUGAUCGAUAAUCCAAAGUCGUUCAUCAUCCCCGUAUUUUCUCGUCUGGCUCCCCCAUCUUUGGUGCUUGGUGAACAUUUCGUGCUAAAGGAUUUGUAUUUCUAUGAGGUUGCCUGUCUAGCAGAUUCUAAGGCACGCUAGGCCCGUUUAGAGGAGCGUGAGGAAAAACAUCAGGAAGGGACAUUGAGGCAAGCUUCGACUGUUGGUGGUCUAUCCUUUAGAUCCGUUGUUUGUCUUCUCACUAAAAAGAGGAAGAAACCUACUACUCUGCCUAUCCAGAGAUAAGGACUCCGCCUCCUUUAUUUUUUUUCUUCUCCAUCAGCUUCAUCAUCUUCAUCAUCUCCAUCUUCUUCAUCUUCCAAUGGCGAGCCAGAAGCAUGGGUUGACCAGGUAGUGUCCCCUAUUAUUUGCGAUGAGUAAAAAGAAGAGGAUAUGGCUUCAAACUUGAGGGCCGAAUUUCGUGAGAGACAGUGCAAGCACCUGUCCAAAUCCAUUGCUGUCAAUCCUACUCCCUCCAAGAAAGCUUGUUCAAAACCUGCUUUUGCUCCUACACUCAUGUCGGUUCCUCCUACUAUUGCUACAGUCUUGACCCCUGAGCUAGAUAAGAAAUUUCCUUCUACUAAUGAACAUACUUAUCAUGAGAUGAGGAGAUCCUUCAUCAACUCGGACAACUUCAGCAAAGAAUCGUUCAAAUACAUGACUUCUUUUUCUCCUCAUUCGAAGUCAACCUAUGUCCACAAUCGGGAGGAGGUAUCUGAGCUUUUGAAGCGAAUCCCUUUCUUCACCGAGGAGAGUCCUCGGUACAAAACAUGGGAGUACUCUUUCCACCUACUCAGCAAAUCCCAAUUGAGAUAGACAAUGAUCCCAGUCGAUCUUUCAUGGCAUGGCUUUUGUACGGCACUCCGAACACCGCCAUUUCUCACAUUAUUCCCAUGCAAGACUAUAAGGCUUUUGAAACGACAAAAAUGGUAAGCCACCUAUCCUUUUCUGCUCAUUUUGCCUUAGCCUCUUGUUUCACAACGAUUUCUCUAUUGCCUCUUCAGAUGAUAGUCGGAGUCUAAAACCUCAUGUGGCAGCACGCUCCCCUUUUCUACCGAUUGGAAACAGUCGAGACCAUGAGGGCAUACUUUGCCCAUAAUAUGAACAAGAAUGAGGAUCUUUUUGCCAACUUGGAGACAACGUAGAGUGAAGCCGUUGCUGCCCAAAAGCUUGUUGAAGAAGAAGCCAAUCUAUUGAGGAAAGCCGAGGAAGAAAAGGAGACAGUUCAAAUUGAAGCUCGUCGGCUGGCUGAAAAGAAGAAAACCAUGGCGGUCGACAAAAAUAAGCCUGAAAAAAAGGCUGCCUGAUUCGUGCCCAAUUGGUGUCUCAGCUGAUUCGUGUCCAGCUGGUGCUCCUUGAUUGAGGGAGUAAUCAACAAAAUUUAUAACCUAUUACACCAUAUACUAGGGUAGCAAAGACAAAGCUACUAUAGCAUAGUGGCUCUAGGAUCGUCCAUUGGGAUGGGUUUUCACUUCACAAUUGAUAUUAAUUCAAAGAUGAAUUGGUGCCUUUUCAUUUCAAGGUUAGCUUUAAAAGAAAACAUAAACUUGUUUGAAAGAAAAAGGUUUGGUUUUAAACUAACCACAAAUAGUAACUAAUUUUACUUACAAAGAAAAGAUGUUUCUUGGAGUUCAGAUCACUAGGCUCAGAUUCCUCAUACAAAAAGGGAGUUCCGGUCACUUGUUUCUUUUCCUCGUAUUAGAGAAUUAACAUAUAGUUAAUUCUCCAACCGGUGUUGUACAGAUGCUCCCCAUUAAUGGGUUCAAACACUAAAUCCCUCUCACUGAUGCAUCUUGCAAUGACUCAUACCUCUCACCUAGCACUUGCCAUUCAAGGUGAUCUUUAACCUUGGAUUACCCGUCAAAAGCUCGCAAGAGAUAACUAAUGGAUGUCUCCUUGGAGUCCAAAAGCUUACCAAGUGUUGGCUAUUCUAGAAAAUCCUACCUUCAAGUCACCUCCCAAAGGCUCGCAAGGGGUAAACUAGUGCAUUUCCAUGGUUGGAAAUCACUUGUCUUACCAAGUGUUGGCCCAGGUGACCCUAAGGUGUUUUAAGUUAACUAAAAACAUAGAAAUCACUAACGGGUUACACUUUCUCUUCAUUAAAAACUAAAACAACAAAACUUCCAAAUUAUGCAUGUGGAAACUUACCCGGCUUUCCUCACUCCAAGAGACAAAAAGCUUAGCCUCUCAUCCUCUGUGGAAAAAUCCUCAGAGUUUGGUUGGCUAGAAAAUGAAAAUGAAAGAGAAGACAAGAAUAUAUAUCAAAAACAGAGCAAGUGCUCUGUUCGUUGAUUCUAUAUAUUGGAUUACAUGAUAUCACAUACUUCCCCCCAGCGUCUCCUGAGAGUGUUUACAAGAGAGUUUAUAUAAGAAGGUAAUUUACCCUUCCUUGGAUACUUCCUAGCUAAGGAAUUACAUGAGUGGUUGAAUACAAGGAGAAAAUGGAAAUUUAGACACAAAAAUCUGAAGAAAAAUAUCUAAAAGAGUCGGUGCAAAAAUAUCGGGAUGCUUCGGGAACCAUUUCGCAAGAGAAAAUGGUGUCUGCGAGAUUUCGCAGACACUCAAGAGGGGCUGCGAAAUCACUUCGCAACAUCAAGCUAUUCUCACAGGGCUACGAAAUUGGCUUCCUCCUUGAGGUUCUCAGCGUUCCAGCUUGCGUCAUGUAUCGGGUAGCUUCAGGAGGAAUUUCAUAGCACUGUACAAAAAGGCUGCGGAAUUCUCGCAACAAAAGGCUGAUUUCGCAACACUUUGGAGUGAUCUGCUUUCAAUGGCUGUAACUCCUUCGUUUCAACUCCGAAUCGCGCACCGUUUGAAGCAUUGGAUUCUUGACUUCCUGAGCUUUGAAAUGGUAUAUAGAAUGUAGAAAAUGGACUUCGGAAAGUGCUCCAAAAGUGCAAAAGAAUACUGCAGCUAGCUUUCCUCUGUUUUCUUCACUCUGUUUUUCCUCUCUCCUUGCUUCUCUCCUUGCAUACUUUGAACGACUUUGGCAAAGGGAUAUGGGGCUCCAAAGCUUGGUUUCUUCAUGAAUUUGAGCUCUUCAUUGCUUUGCCAUGAAUUCCAAAUAACUCUCCUCAAUCUUGGAUUGUUUUGGUGAUCAAAUUACUAACAAAAACACCAAAACUUACACAAUUUGAUUAGAAUUGAUUGCAAGGGUCCUUAACAUGUUAAUUGGGUUAAAAGACAAUAACUACUACUCAAAAGUGUUUAAAAGGAUUAAUUACAAGCUACAAAAUAGCACUUUUUGAGUAGUAAUCACUGCCCAGCUGAGGCAUGAGCUACAAGAUCUCCGAGUGGGGUUUGCCGCUUGAAAAGAAGACUUGGAGGUUGACUACCAAAAGCAAGUGGAUGAUAUAUUCCUGUACGAAUAUCGUUGUUAUAUAAAGAAGCAUGGCAUCAUCCAUGAUGCUCCCACCUUUCCUUCGGAUGACGAGAAUGAGUUUUUAGGCGACCCUUCCCAAAAAGGAGGAGAUGUUUUCGAAGGCGGUCCCUUUGGCGAGUAGGCUUGAUAUUUUGUUUGUAUUUAUUUAUUAUGGUUGGAUGUGGCUUGGACUGCUACAUCUAUAAAGACAAUGGAUGCUUUAUUUAUUUGAAUAUAUUUACUUUAGUCAUUUGUCUCUCAUACAUUGUUUUCAUAAGCAAACUUUAUUGAAAUUACUACUUUAAAUUGGAUACAUUCAAAGAGUAGAGCAGGGGUACGACGUCCAAUAUUUGAAGAUGGUAUGUCCCUGAGUCUCUAGCCUUAGUUACAAUAUAUGACCCUUCUCAGUUAGCUUGUAGAACUAUAAUACUUUGGUUUAUACAUUUAAGGUUAUAUAAAGUGUUAAUUCAAAUUAGUGAUGUUAUGUUGUUCACCCGUUUCCUUGAUAAUUUAAACAAAUAAAACUCAAAUGCAUCCUAAAGUCUAAAUGAAAGAAAUUCUAACUAAACAAAUUAUUACAACCAUUACCUAUUUUUCUUUCAUAUAAUUAAAAAAUUAUACAUUUUAACCAAGACAUAAGUUCAAAUCACACUUAAUAAGAAAUAACCUAAAAUCAUAAUCAUUGGCAUUAAUUUUCAUAUGAAAAUAUAAAUUUUUAAAAUAAUAUAAACAAUUUCUUUAGUUAUUUUAAAAUUUUAAAAUACUAUAAAUAAAUAAUUUUCUUUAGUUCAUAUGUGAAAAUAUUCAUAAAACAAAUAAAUAUUUUAUUUAUCAUAAAUAUAUAAAUUUUUAUGGGAAUGCAUGUAGACCAAAUUAUUUUCUCAAAAUUUUAAGGAAAAUAUGAAAAAAUAAAGAUAAAAUAUAUAUAUUUGUAAUAGAACUUUCGCAUGCACAUUGUUUUCACGAUUAGGAAUUAGAGAUAGAAGAUUUUUAUAGAUUUGAAAAGAAUCAUGGAAGAAACUCAACUUAAUUUCCAAUUUUGAAAAGAAUUGUGGAAGAAAUUAAACUUAAUUUCUAAUUUUAAAAAAGAAUUGUGAAAUAAAAUCAAUUUAAUUUCCAAAAUUAAAAAGAAUUGUGGAAGAAAUUCAAAUUAAUUUCUAAUUUUAAAAAAGAAUUGUGAAAUAAAAUCAAAUUAAUUUCAAAUUUUAAAAUGAAUUGUGGAAGAAAUUCGAACAAUUAACACACCUUUGUGGCAAGGGAAUCUACCGCAUUCGUUGAACAGACUUAGUCCCAUUUUCCCAAUCAACUUAGCACGUUGUUUGAAUUAAAUACCUACGGAUUGAUAUUGUUUGAAACUCAAGCAAACCAAUAUUUUAUAGUCUAUUCUGAGCACGACUAUUUCACACCUUGGGCCCCAAAACUAAACCAAAUCCCACAUACCAUUCAACUUAACACAACCUUAGCCGCCCCUAACGGUUUGGGCUUUUGCGUGAAUUUAGGCAAGGGGUUUCUCUUUCAUGUCAUCAAUCUCUUUCAUACAUUAUAUUCAACAACAUACAGCUUCUGGAGGCCAUUGCUGCCCUAUAAAUGCAAUGGAGCUUCCCAAGCUUUUGCACUCAUACUUUCCAAGUCAGUUUUCAAAGAAGUGUUCUACUACCAUUCCAAAAAAUUAACAUGUCGGGUCAAGUCUUAGCAAGCCCUCUAGGCCAAUUUCCGGAACUGGAAAAUCGUCCGGUGGUCCAGUAUCACCCUAGCAUUUGGGGUGACCAGUUCUUAUCCUACACUCCCGAGGACGAGGUAAUCGAAUGAAAAUCUGUGUUAAAUACCUGUAUAUUCGAAAGUUGUUUUUCUUGAUGUGUUGUUUAGUAAAAUUACUUGGUUGCCAUAGGUAACACGUGCCUGCAAAGAGAAGCAGCUUGAAGAUCUGAAAGAGGAAAUUCGAAGGAAGCUAAUGAAUACAGCUGGUAACACUUCCCAACAACUAAAAUUUAUCGAUGCUGUGCAACGUCUUGGGGUGGCAUACCACUUUGAAAGAGAGAUAGAAGAAGUGUUACAACAUAUUUAUGAUAGCUAUCCUAAUGGCGAUGAUAUGGAAGGUGAUAUCUAUAAUGUUGCUCUUCAAUUUCGGUUACUAAGACAAGCUGGGUUCAAUAUUUCAUGUGGUAAGAGCCCAAAGAAUUAUCAUGUAUAAGCUAAAAUGUAUCCUUCUCAUAAGUCCAAUCUUAUGUAUGUUUAAAUUACGGUAUUUAUGUAGGCUUGUUCAAUGAGUUCAAGGAUGAAAAGGGUAACUUCAAGAAAGCUUUAGUCAGUGAUGUAAGAGGCAUGCUAGGCUUGUAUGAGGCUGCACAUCUCAGAGUUCAUGGAGAGGACAUACUUGCAAAAGCACUUGCUUUCACCACCACUCACCUCAAGGCCAUGGUAGAAAGUUUAGGAUAUCAUCUUGCAGAACAAGUUGCUCAUGCCCUGAACCGGCCCAUUAGAAAAGGUUUGGAGAGGCUAGAGGCAAGAUGGUAUAUAUCUGUCUACCAAGAUGAAGCUUUCCAUGAUAAAACUUUACUAGAGCUAGCAAAAUUAGAUUUCAAUCUAGUGCAGUCACUGCACAAGGAAGAGCUAAGCAAUCUUGCAAGGUUGGUUUUAGAUCACCCCACAUGUACUUGGCCAUUGUUAUCACUUUCCUGUAUGCUGAUCAUAUUAAUGUCUUUUAGGUGGUGGAAAGAACUAGACUUUGCUACAAAGUUACCUUUUGCACGAGACAGAUUGGUUGAAUGCUACUUUUGGAUGCUUGGGGUGUAUUUUGAGCCUCAAUACUUACGGGCUAGACGAAUUCUAACCAAAGUAAUUGCCAUGAUAUCCAUUCUAGAUGAUAUCCAUGAUGCAUAUGGCACACCUGAAGAACUCAAGCUCUUCAUAGAAGCCAUUGAGAGGUUUGCUCCUUGCACAUUACCAACCUUGAUUGUGUAUAAUAGAUGUAUUUAUAUAUACUUAAAUCAAGGAUCAUUAUUUUAUUUUCAGGUGGGAUAUUAACAGCAUAGAUCAGCUUCCAGAAUACAUGAAACUCUGCUAUGCGGCACUCUUAGAUGUGUACAAAGAAAUCGAGGAAGAGAUGGAGAAAGAAGGAAACCAAUAUCGGGUUCACUAUGCCAAAGAAGUAGUAGGACAUCUUUAACUCUGGAUCCCCACCUUUUUCAUUGAUGAUAUUUUAUAUGGUCUCAUAUAUACAUAGAUAUAACUUGGAUGAAUGUUCUUUAGAUGAAGAAUCAAGUUCGAGCUUACUUUGCUGAGGCCAAAUGGUUACAUGAAGAACACGUACCAACAUUUGAAGAGUACAUGCGUGUUGCACUAGUAAGCUCUGGAUACUGCAUACUUGCAACCACGUCCUUUGUGGGAAUGGGAGAAAUAGCAACAAAGGAGGCCUUUGAUUGGGUGACCAGCAAUCCUAAGAUUAUGUCAUCUUCAAAUUUCAUUGCGAGGCUCAUGGAUGACAUCAAAUCACAUAAGGUAUGAAGAAUAUAUGAUUCAAAUGGGGAGAAUAUAACACACUGGUUUUUUCUCAACUUUUGUAUUAUACAUGCAGUUUGAGCAAAAGAGAGGGCAUGUGGCCUCAGCUGUUGAAUGUUACAUGAAGCAAUAUGGUGUCUCUGAGGAACAAGUAUACAAAGAAUUUCAAAAGCAAAUUGAGAAUGCAUGGCUGGAUAUUAACCAGGAAUGCCUCAAACCUACUGCUGUUUCAAUGCCUCUCCUUGCUCGUAUUCUCAAUCUUACACGAGCCGCGGAUGUCGUUUACAAAGAGCAAGAUUCGUACACACAUGUUGGGAAAGUGAUGAGGGAUAACAUUGCGUCUGUCUUGAUCAACGCUGUAAUAUAACCAAAUGGAGUAGUUGAUUGCCUUGUGGAAGCCGUAAUAUCUAAUAAAUCACUAUAAAAGGAAAAAAGAAAAGAAAAAAGGUCCAAUUCAUACCUUAGCCGCCCCUAAUGGUUUGGGCUUUUGCGUGAAUAAAAACUAUUGUAAUAAUAUGGGAGAGACAUAUAAUGUUUCCUACUAGUUUCUCUCUCGGUUUGGUAGUGCUUUACAUCAUACUAUCACUUGGCUAAAUGUAUUAAUGUUGCUGCGUUGUAAAAACUCCAUCCUAAGAUGCAAACAUAACCAGGUUUGAUAUUGAUUUUCCUUUUCUAUUUCUUGCAUCCAUUUUAAUAUAUGUUUAAAACACUUUGAUCAAGUUUGACACUUUUCUAUUAUUCAAAGAUCACGUGAUGGAGAAAAUUCUCCAUAGAAAAUCACUUCUUGUAGAAAUGGUCUAGAACAUACAAAAGAGAUAAAAAAAUCUUAAGAAUUCAUCCUAACGGGUAAAAUAUUAUUAUUAUUAUUAUUAUUAGACAUGCUAAAAGUUUUAUUAUAUACCUGUUAAAAAUAAAAGUUAUGAUAUUAUAUGAGGUUGGAAUUUGAAGUUCAUUUGCAACUUUUUUUCUUCCUCGUUAUUUUUUUAAUAUACGUAAAGUAUUUUUUUUUAAAAAAAAGACUUACUAAAAGAAUUGUCAUGAGAAGGUUUUAUUUUUAUUUUUUAAUAAUAAGUUAAAAUAAAUUUGAAAAAAAAAAUAAAUUAAUAUUUUUUAACAUUUUAUUUUAAUAUUUAAUUUUGUGCAUGGAUAUGUCAUAAGAUUAGGUUACGUACAUAUAGUACAUGUAAUUAUAAACACUAAGGGAAAGUAGCUCAGGUGCAAAGUUGUCACCUCCCUUCCUACAUGCACUUUCAAGUUUUUUUCAGCAAGCUGAUGUAGCCACUUACGAGAUAAGAUUACCAUAAAUUGCAAAAAAUUAGUGAUGAAUAAAAAAAAAAUAACAAAAUGUCAUGAUUAAUCAAGAUAGAUUAUCAAAAUUUCAACAAAAAAUCAUUGAGUGAAAUUCUUUCAUAAUUUCCUAUACCAGUAAUAUUUCGAAUAUAUUAAUCACGAUUUCCAAGUUUACAAGUUUACCAUAUCUACAAAUUAACAUGUUGAAGAAGUUCGAGAAUAAUUUUUAGAGGAUUAUAAAUGUCUUUUAUUAUUAAAUUUACUUUACAAAUAGCCACAUGUUUAAUUAAGAGUAUAUUCUAAUGGUGCUGAAAACAAAUUAAGACAGGCUUCAAAUCAAAUGUACUUUGCAAUAAAGACUUUAGUGAAUGCAACUUCAAAUGACCAAUAAUGCACGGUAGCAGUACAUUAAUUUUGACUUCAAGGCAUUAAUUCGUAUUUUAUCCAUUACACAACAGAAUAUAUAUAAAUAUCCUUAUAAAAAAUAUAUAUGAUAUUUAUAGGUAACAGCUUUCUUCUUAAGCAAAGCAGCCAAGUAAGACUACAAAAUCUAUACCAAACAGAAUAUCUACUAGGACAAAUUUGGAUAAUUAUUUCCAACACUUAAAUUGAUUGGGCUUAGGUUAAAGUAUUCUUCAACUCCUAGUCAGUUUUAGUUGGGCUCUUACCAAGGUUGUGACAUCUCGAAUCUAACCAAAAGUUUAUAUAAUAUUUAUAUAAUAAUUAUAAUUUAUAUUAUUAUGGACUCAUGCACAUUUUUCACAUGUGCCUACUCAAUGAGGAUACUCAUUUAUUAUGAAAAAUGAUUAUUUGAAAACCCUUUUUAGGUUUUUUAGAGUGAACAUUUAUUUAAAAAAAAAAAAAAAACACAAUAAGAAAAAAAGAAGAGAAAAACCUUAUAUAACUCCUUAUUUGAAAAAAAGAAAAAGAAAAAAGACAAGUUCAUAAACCAAGAUUGAGUUAAAAGUCAAAUUACCUACUGAGAAAAUACGACGAUAAGUCAUACAAAACAACCCUCUAAGCUUAUAUACCUAUAAUCUUUACUAAGCAAAUGAACUGAAUUAUGACGAUUAAAUAAUUGAUUAUGGAUACUCAAGAAAAGAAAAACACAAUUAUAAAACAAGUCAUGGUGUUUGUUAUGUUACAAAAAUGUAAAAAAACAAAUGAUAAGAGAAUUUGCAUAAGUUGAUUUACGAAACUAAUUAAAAACAUGGGUUUAAUUAUUUCUAAAUUCAAAGGAUUAAAAAAGUUAUUUCAAUUUGAUGAUUUCAAUCGAUUUUAAGUACAAAAGAAAGUUUUGAUUUCAUUUUUUUUUUAAAGAAAAAAAUGCUUCAAAUUAUUCUAUUUAUAAAGAAAUGAUUUUUAUUUACUUUUUCUUAAAAAAAAAAAAUAUAAUUUACACAAAUUUUAUUUACCUUAACAUUCCUUUUUGAUUUUUAUGCAAAAGAGAAUACUUUUAUAAUUUUUGCUACAACAUGAUUUUUACAAUUUUAUUUUAAAAGAAAGUAUCCAAAUCUAAUCUUAUGUGCAAGAGAAUCUUUUUACAAAUUAUUUAGGAAAAGGAUUUUUAAAAAUUUAUUUACAAUUUUAUUUAAAAAAAUAUUUACAAAUUACUUUAAAAAAGAUUUGUACAAAUUUAUUAACAAAAAAUAAAUAUUCAGAUCCAAUUUUAUUUACAGAAAAAAAAAGAUUUUUUUUUAUAGUUUUUAUUGAAAAUAAGACUUUUACAAUUUUAUUUAAUUAGUAUGAAAAUCCAAUGUCAUUUUAUUAAUACUAGAAAAAAUUUAUUAUUAUUUUUAUUAAGACAUGAUUUUUAAAAUGUCAUUUACAAAAAAAAAAAAAAAAAAAAAAAGUUUACAAUUUUAUUUUAAAAAAUAUUUUGCAAUUUUUUUAAAAAAAAUGGUUUCAAUGUUUUAUUUAAAACAAAUUGCUUUUUAGAUUUUAUUUUAAAAAAUGAUUUUCACAAGUUAAAAAAAAAUUAUAGUUUUAUUUUUUUACAAAAAAUAAUGAAUUUCCAAAUGUAUUUAAAAUUUAUUUAAAAAUGGAUUUUAUAGUUUUAUUUAGAAAAACACUUUAUUGUUUUAUUUCAAUCUUAUUGUUUAUUUUUUUCUUUAAAAAAAAAAGUUCAAAUUUCUCUCUCUUUCUCCCUCUCUCUGUCCAUACGCUCAUUAAUUUUGAUGUUAAGGUAUCAGCCCAAUUGACAUGAUUUAUACUGACUUAGUCUUUUGGUCUAAUAGGUAACUUAAUGUAAUAUAGGAGGUCAUGAAGGUGAACUGUGAACCUUACUGAUAUUACGCAAACCCUACCAUUUAUUUAUAAUAUUGUUGUCAUAAUAUUGAAAUAUGGGAAAUUUUAAUAGACCAGACAGACACCAAUAGACCAAAGCCACCAAGCAAGAAUUGAAGAAACCAGAAAGCGUUUGUUCCAAACAUAGUAUACUGUAGAACAUGAAACAGAAGCUAGAGUAUACUAUCUUUAUUUGUGUCACAUAUAUCUCCACUCUCAUAUUGGCACAAGGUCUAUGAGCAGCAUUGAAAUAUUAUUUUUUGUCACUUCUCCAGGAUGUGUGAAUAUAUCAUUGUGGCUCUUGUACAUCACAUCUCCUGAUCGAGCAAAAUUGAGAAGACGACUAAGGAGAAGCAUUGGAACUGCAGUAGGUCUGAGGCACUCUUCAUUUAUAUCCUUCCAUGCAUUCUCGAUUUGUUUGUGAAACUCAUCAUAUGCUUGCUGCUCCGACACACCAUGUUGCUUCAUGUAACAUUCGAUGCUUGAUGCAAUAUGCUCUCCCUCUUGCUCAAAUUGCAGAAAUAGAUAGUAAUAGAAGGUGUUAAAAAGAAAUUGAUAUACAUUAGAUUUUCUUUAUCUUUAAGGGAUUGAUAUCCAAGUAUCAGUAGAAAGUGUUGUUUCAUUGUACCUUGUGGGAAGCCAUGUCAUCCAUGAGCCUAAUGAUUAUGUAGGUAGCUCUAACAAUCUUAGGGUUUUGUAGCAGCCAAUCAAAGACUUCCUUGGUUGCAGUCUCUCUCAUGCCAAUAAAAGACAUGAUUGUUAAUCUUCAAAUUGAUAAAUGGUAGUUUUUUCAUUCAUUCUUUCAUUCAUUCAUGUACAGAAUAUAUAUAGAGGGUAAUCACCAUUCUAAGAAUGUGAAAGAAUGAUACAAGGAAAUAAUGAUAUAAGGAAAUAACAACUAAUAUCCUAAUAUCUCAACAUUCUUAAUAUCUCUACUUUCCUAAUAUCUAAACAUUCCUAAUAUCUCAACACUGAAUGAUAUAAGAAAAGAAUGAUAUAAGGAAAACAUUCAUAAUAUCUCAACACUCCCCCUCAAGUUGGUGCAUAGAUGUCACACAUGCCCAACUUGUCUAAAAAAUUUGAGAACACUUGAUUUGAGACAGCUUUGGUGAGGACAUCGGCCAAUUGAUCUUUUGAUCAAAUCUUACGCAAUUCCACAAUCUUAUCAUCCAACUUUUCCUUAAUGAAAAAUCUAUCCACAUCGACAUGCUUUAUACGAUCAUGUUGUACUGGAUUAUGAGCAAUGUCACAUGCGACUUUAUUGUCACAAAACAAUCGGAUUGGUUGCCUAGAUAGGUAACCUAAAUCUUGUAAGAGGAGUCUUAGCCAUAAUGCCUCACAAAGUCCUAGAGCCAUACCUUUAAAUUCCGUUUCUACACUUAAACAAGCGACGACAUUCUGUUUCUUACUUUUCCAUGUCACAAGAUUACCACCUACAAAGGUAAAGUAACCAGAUAUAGAUCGCCUAUCAUCCACUGCACCGGCCCAAUCAGCAUUAAUAUAUACUUCUAUACUCUGAUGAUCAACAUUUUUAGCGAACAAAAUUCCCCUCCUAGGAGCAUUCUUCAAAUACCUCAAAAUACGCAUGACUGCAUUCAUAUGUUGCUCUCCAGGAUUAUGCAUGUAUUGACUCACUACACUCAAUGCAUAAGCAAGAUCUAGUAUUGUAUGAGCUAAGUACAUUAAUCUCCCCACAAGUCUCUGGUAUCUUCCCUUAUCGGUUGAUACUUGAUUAGGCUCAACACAUAAUUUCAGACCUUCUUCUAUUGGUGUAUUAAUAAGUUGACAUCCCGACAUUCUAGUCUCCUGUAAAAGAUCUAAAACAUACUUUCUUUGAGACAGAAAAAUUCCUUCACUUAAUCGAGAAACUUCAAUCCCAAGAAAGUAUUUCAGAGAACCUAAAUCUUUCAUUUCGAAUUCUAUAGAUAGAUAAUUUUGCAGAGCUUUUCUUUCUUUAGGAUCAUUUCCUUUAACUACCAUGUCAUCCACAUAUACAAUGAGUGUCAUAAUCUUACCAUGUUGCUUUUUCAGGAACAAAGUGUGAUUUGAAUUACUUUGACGAUAGCUAAAAGCUCUCAUUAACUUUGUGAACCUUCCAAACCAUGCUCUCGGGGAUUGCUUCAACCCAUACAAUAACUUCUUCAAUUUGCACACCUUCUGACAUUGCUUUUCUGACACCAUGCAUCCUGGUGGAAGAUCCAUAUAUACUUCUUCAGAUCACUCGCCAUACAGAAAGGCAUUUUUGAUAUCGAACUGUUGUAAUGGCCAAUCUAGGUUUGCAGCUAAAGACAGUAAUACUCGAACUGUGUUGAUCUUAGCUACAGGUGCAAAUGCCUCUGUGUAGUCAAUUCCAUAAAUUUGAGUGUACCCUUUUGCUACUAAUCUUGCUUUAUCGUUCAAUACUACCAUCUGCCUUGUACUUCACAGUAUAGAUCCAACGACACCUAACUGGUUUCUUUCCUGGUGGACAUUCUACAAGGUCCCUUGUUUCAUUCUUCUGCAAUGAUUUCAUCUCUUCAUUCAUGACUGCUUUCCACCUUGGAUUAGCUAAGGCUUCCUGCACACUGUUAGGAAUAGCUACAGUAGAUAAUUGAUUUACAAAUGACUUAUUUGAUUCAGACAAAUGAUGGUUAGACACAUAGUUGCUCAUGGGAUAUUUGACUUUGGUAGACAAUUUAGGUUCAUAUGUGGGUUUAGGAAUACCUCUAUUAUGACGGUAUGGUAACCGUUUCAUGAAUAGAUCAGGUUCCAAAUUAAGAACACCCUCAACAGACGAUGAUUGGUUUGGUAUUUCAGUGAAGACAUCUUCGGACCCAAAUUGUUGACCACUCAUAUCCAACUCACCCGCUUCCUGGUUCACUAGUUCAGAUUGUCCAGAUUCAUCCUCCUCAGAGAUAUGAUAAUCAUAAUUGAGAGUUUGAAUUUCCUUAUGGUACUCCCCCUGAAGUUCAGACUCAGAUGAAAAAUGCAUCAAAUCUUCAUGAAACACCGCAUCCAUUGUAAUAUACAUUCAUUGAGUUGGAGGAUGAUAACAUCAAUAUCCCUUUUUGUGUAAUGCAUAUCCAACAAACACACAUUGCAAUGCAUGGGAAGUUAACUUGGUGCAUUGGUGUUUGUGUAGAUGCACAAAUGCCACGCAACCAAAAACACGAGGAGGUAGAUUUGGGGUAGUUGGGACAACUACGACAUUAGUAAGAGCUUGGAGAGGUGUUUGGAAGUUAAUUGAGCUGGAAGGAAGUCGAUUGAUCAACUAUGCAGCAGAUGUGAUUGCUUCUCCCCAAUAAGAUAUCGAUGUUUUUGCUGCUAUCAAGUAAGCACAGACAACCUCUAACAAGUGCCGAUUUUUUCGUUCAGCACAACCUAAGCCUUACUCUUUCAAGGGAAUGUUCCUAAGUCCUAUUGGGGAGAAGUUGUUCUUACUACCACAUACAUGAUAAAUAGAAUUCCGUCACGAGUUUUAGACAACAAAAGCCUCGUAGAGAUACUUAAGAGUUUCUAUCCACACUUCAGAACCUCAAAUGGGCUCACUCCUAGGGUAUUUGGGUGCACUGCAUUUGUUCAUGUCCACAGCCAACAUAGAGACAAGCUAGACCCCCGAGUCAUAAAAAUUGUCUUUCUUGGUUACUCAUCCACUCAAAAAGGAUACAAGUGUUACAAUCCCACAACAAAAAUUUUUUACAUCUCUGCAGAUGUCACCUUCACAGAAAAUAAACCUUUUUUCCCAAAGUCCUAUUUUUAGGGGGAGAUUUCAAUGAUAGAAGAUAGUCCUGAGUCCUUUGAACCUCUUGACCUUCCUCAUGUCUCAACCCAUGGUGAUGAAAUACCUAAGUCAUCCGAGUCAAUCACACUUGAGUCACCCAAUUUUACCACUAAACCCGUGUCAUCUAAUGUUCCAGCCAGUGUCACUCACAAUUUUCCAUAGUUUCCUAAGGUGUAUUCAAGGGAAAAGGCCAUUCCAGAACAAAAGUAUGUCCAAAAAUCCAACUUAGACCCUGGGAAUGAAAUCACGCUAAGAUCAGACCCACCUUUACAUACACAACCUGGUGAAACUUCUACUAACUCAACCUAGACCUAGACCUUCCCAUUGCUAUCAGAAAAGGCACCAGAGAAUGCACUAAUUGACCACUCUAUCCACUAUCACACUAUGUGUCUCUUAAGCACCUAUCACUAGCCCACAAAAAUUUAAUUGUGAGUCUAAACACCACUAUCAUCCCUAACACUGUUUCUAAGGCAUUGACAAAAAGGGAAUGAAAUGAUGCUAUGAGAGAGGAGAUGAGUGCCUUAGAAAAGAAUAAAACAUGGGAGAUUGUUGAAAGACCGAAAGGGAAAAACAUUGUUGAUUGCAAGUGGAUUUUCACACUGAAAUAUAAGACUGAUGGAUCUCUUGAGAGACAUAAAGCAAGAUUAGUAGCCAAAGGGUACACUCAAACUUAUGGAGUAGAUUAUCAGGAGACUUUUGCUCCAGUUGCAAAAAUAAAUGCUAUAAGAAUCCUACUGUCAUUGGCUGCCCACUACAAUUUGGAACUCCUAUAGUAUGAUGUUAAGAAUGCAUUUCUUCAUGAUGAUUUAGAUGAAGAGAUUUACAUGAACAUCCCCCCGAGAUUUGAGGGAAACACGGGUAAUAAGGUGUGCAAGCUAAAAAAGGCCCUUUAUGGGCUAAAACAAUCUCCUAGGGCUUGGUUUGGGAGAUUUGCAAAAGUCAUGAAAGAGUCUGGGUACAAACAAAGCCAAGGUGACCACACUCUCUUCAUUAAGCACUCGGUUGCAGGGGGAGUAACUGCUCUUCUAGUCUAUGUUGAUGACAUCAUAGUGACUGGAAAUGAUGAGAGAGAAAAACAUGAAGUGAAGCAGAGAUUAGCAAUAAAGUUUGAAAUAAAGGAACUAGGGAAACUAAAGUACUUCCUUGGUAUUGAGGUGGCAUAUUCCACACAAGGGAUCUUCAUCUCUCAACAAAAAGUAUGUGAAUGAUUUAUUGGCAGAAACAGGGAAGAUUGGGUGUAAACCAGUGUCUACCCCAAUGGAUCCAAACCACAAGUUGGGAGAAGCUAAAGAAGAACUAGUGGUGGAUAAAGAAUGUACCAGAGGCUGGUUGGUAGGCUCAUAUACCUUGUUCACACUUGGCCAGACAUCGCCUACUCGGUGAGCAUGAUCAGUCAAUUCAUGCAUGCUACAAGAGAACCUCAUCUUCAAGCUGCUUAUAGGGUGCUGCAUUACUUGAAAGGCAACCUCGGGAAAGGAAUUUUGUUCAAGAAGAACAAUACUCUUGCUCUAGAGUAUACACUGACGCUGACUAUGCAAGUUCCUUAGUGGAUCGAAGAUCAACUACAGGGUAUUGUACUUUUCUUGGAGGUAAUUAGGUAACAUGGAGAAGUAAAAAGUAGAAUGUGGUAGCAAAAUCGUCUGUAGAAUCAAAGUUUAGGGUCAUUGCUCAAGGGUUGUGUGAACUACUUUGGCUGAAGAUUAUUCUAGAUGAUUUGAGAAUCAAGUGGGAUGGUCCUAUGAAACUCUAUUGUGAUAACAAGUCAACUAUCAAUAUUGCUCAUAACCCUAUACUACACGAUAGGACAAAACAAAAUAAGAUCGAUAGGCAUUUCAUCAAAGAAAAAUUGGAGAAAGGAGUAGUGUGUAUGUCCUAUGUUGCAUCAGAACAUCAAUUAGUUGAUAUCCUAACAAAAGGGCUGAACAGUUCAAUGUUUCACAGUCUUGUAUUCAAGCUGGGAAUGGAAGACAUCUAUUCCUCAGCUUGAGGGGGAGUGUUGAGCUAUAAAUAGAUAGGAGAAUUAUUUUCCUAUUAUGUUAGUUUCCUAUUUAUGUAAAUAGAUAGUUUUAUUAGUUUCCUAAUUCUGUAAAUAGAUAGUUUUAUUAGUUUUCUAUUUCUAUAAAUAGAUAGUUUUAUGAUUUAGGAAUAAAUUAGUUUUCUAUUAUGUCUCUUGUUUUCUAUUUCUUCUCUUGUAAUCUUCUAUAUAAACUGUGUGUAUGGUCAAUCUAAGAGACAAAAAUUAUUAUUUUCCAUCCCAUAUUUCGUAUCAAGAUGCAUGCCAUAAAAAUGGUAAGAUGAACAACAACAAGCCAAGCAACAAAAAAAAAAAAAAAAUGGAGUUUUUCCACCUUGUCCUCAUUGCAAGAAGACAAAUCAUUCUCCACAAAAAUGUUGGUGGAGACCAGAUGUGAAAUGCAACAAGUGUGGUAAACAAGGACAUGUGAAGAGGAUUUGCAAAAAUCAACAACAAAAAGAAACUAGUGCAACAAUUGACUAUUGUCAAGAGGAGCAAUUAUUUGCAGCAACGUGUUUUGCUAAUAAAAGCACCUCUGAAAGCUAGCUUGUGGAUAGUAGUUGUACAAACCACAUGACAAAUAAUCAAGAUCUCUUUAGAGAACUUGAUAGAACAACUAUUUCCAAAGUCAGAAUUGGAAAUGGUGAGUAUAUUCCAGUUAAGGGCAAAUGAACGGUUGCUAUCAAAAGCCAAAUAGGUUUGAAACUCAUUUAUGAUGUUUUGUUUAUGCUUGACGUUGACCAAAACUUACUCAGUGUUGGACAGCUCGUUGAGAAAUGAUUUAAAGUUUAUUUUGAAGAUAGGAAUUGCAUUAUCAAGGAUGUUGAAGGCAAAGAGGUGUUUAACAUAAAAAUGAAGGGCACGAGUUUUGCCUUGAAUUUACUAUAAGAUGAGCAUGCUGCUAUUUUACAACAAUAUAGCACAACAAUGCUUUGGCACAGAAGGCUUGGGCACUUUCAUCAUGAUGUUGUGCUCUACAUGAAGAAAAAUAAAAUAGCUGAAAGACUUCCCGACUUAGAAAAAGAUCUUCCUAUAACUGCUACUUGUCAAUAUGGGAAGCAAACUAAACUUUCCUUUCCAAAGAAAACAUCCUAGAGAGCAACCCAAAAAUUGCAACUAGUGCAUACUGAUAUUGGUGGACCUCAAAAGACGUCAUCCUUGAAAGGGAAUGUAGGCAUUGUUCACCAGCUCACUGCACCAUAUAAUCCACAACAAAAUGGAGUCGUAAAGAGAAAAAAUAGAACGAUUUUGGAGAUAACAAAAUGCCUUCUGCAUGAAAAAGAUCUACCUAAAGUUUUUUGGGCUGAAGCUACAAGUACAGUAGUAUAUUUGCUUAACAAAUUGCCAACAAAAACGUUAAAGAAGCAGACCCCUUUUGAAGUUUGGUUUGAGUUUCUACGUGGAAGACUUGGAGUUUGCAUCUACUAAGUCAAGAAGGAGUGUUGAAUUUUGACCUAGUAUCUACUAGAAUUUGAAUUUUGAAGUUAAAUAUUGCAGUUGGAGUCUUGCACAAAAUCUAUAACAUCCAAAUAUUUUCUUGUUUUUAUUUGGUCAAGAUUUGGUUUCUAUUUUAUAGGAAGUAGUUGUUCAUCAUCUAGUAGCUUGAUUUUAUGCUAUUCUAAUGUCAUUUCAGUUACAAGCUCAUGUAUAAAUUCAACACUCUUCAUCAAUAAAAUGUGUGUUCCAGCAACCCAAAAUAUAUAUUCUGCAUAAGUGUUUAAAUCUUAGACCAACACAUCCUCGUCACUAGUAGUUGUGCCUCUCAGGUUACCUUUUUUAUCUCUCAGCUCAGCUCCACCUUUGCUCUUCAUGAUCUUGGUUCCCUUUACUAUUUCUUUGGCAUUGGGGUUUCUCAUAGUACUGAUUCUCUUCAUCUCUGCCAACAAAAAUAUGUGAAUGACCUGCUCACUCGUACUGCCAUAACUGAUGCUAAACUUGUUCUUACAUUGGGUUCCUUGGCCAAACCUCUCUCUCUCACUGACGGUGAUCUACUUCAUAUCAUAACAUUGUUGGCGCAUUACAGUAUGUUACUGUUACAUGUCCAAACCUUUCUUUUGCAGUUAACAAGGUAUGCCAGUUUAUGGCUUCCCAACGACUACCCACUAGCUAGCUUUCAAGAAUAUAAAAAGUAGUUAAAAAUAAAAUAAAAAUAUAGACUUAAAAUAAAAAAUAAAUUAAAAAUGAAUAAUUAAAAAUUUUAAAAAUGAUAAAUAUUUUUUUUUUUUUUAAAGUUUUCAAAAAAAUCUCAGAUAUUUUCAGAUAUAUCGGCAAUGUAUCCGAUAUAUCUCUAAUAUUUUGAUAGACUUCCUCUAUUGCUUUGUGCGUCACUUCACACUCGAUUUUUUCGCCGAUUUAUCGAUUUCAAAUUAACCGAAAUAUCAACAUAUUUCGGGGAUUUUUCUGAUAUUCCUCCGUUCAAUAAUGUUGCUUAAUAUCCUUUUAGGGUAGUCCGAUAUCCGAUAUAUUGGCGAAAUAUCACCGAUAAAAACCGAUUUUUCAAUCCAUGCUUAAUAGUGGGUUUCCCUUUUGUUUGGCCUCUUGUAGACCCCCAUUUUGGGGCUCGGUUUUUUUUAUCUCUAUUUUCUUUGUAGGUGUCACCACCCCAGGGAGCCAUGCGUCGCCUCUUUGGUGGUUGAUAGGGAAUCAACAUUGCUUUUCGGGGACCUAUGGUAGGUUGACACGUGGAAGAAUAUUCUGGAGAGCUAAUUUCCGUUAUGGGGGAGCAUAUGAGAGAGGAUAUUCUGCAGGCAUUUUGAUUCUCACAUGUGCAUGAUCACUUUGAGUAUUCAUUGAUUUCCGCAUCAAUUGUCACAUCAGCUUCAUUUUAUUUGUAGAGACCCGACUUUAGGGACUUAGAGGGGUGCUACGGUCUUUACCGUACCUUCCCGAUAAGUAAUCUGACCCCCGAGCUCAAUCCAGUUUUUCACGGACCACCUUUUCCAAAUAAGGAGUCACACUUAGGGUUUUCUUUCUUAUUUUAUUUACCCUUUAAAAAUAAAACAAAAUUAAGUGGCGACUCCAAGUCAUUUUUCUUAAUCAGUAAAAUCAUUUUCAAAAUAAAAAUUGAGCUCGCCAUCGAGUGAAAAACGCAUUAGCUGAAAUGCGGGGUCCACACCUCUGUUUUUUUUAUAAAAAAAAAAAAAAAUCCUUUCCCAUUCUAUGGCCUUGAGUGAGCAUUACGUAUUUCAACUAUUUUGACAUGUUCAAAAUAAAAUACUAAGAAUUUAAAGGGAAUUUGUUCGACAAGUACUUUUUUUUUAACAUAUUUAUUUAUACAUUAUUUAGUUUAGGUUGCAUUAUUCUAUGUAAAUAAUUUAUUGGGUAUGGGAAUUAUUUUUAUAAAUGGCUGAGUAGAUUCAAUUUUAGAUAUUUAUUUAUUGAUCAUGAAAAAUAUUUAUUAAAACAUGGUUUAACAACCAUGCGAUGGAAUCAACCUAUUAAAAAAAAUAAACUAAUACUAUAUUAUUUUAACUUAAAUUAUUUCUUGAUGGUAGCAAUGUUGAAAAAACAAAUAUCAAUAAAGACUAAUCUUAACGAGAAAAUAGUAAUUAACAUAAUUUUAUAUUAACUUGUAAAAUUGGGUCAACAUAUAAAUAUAUUAAUUGUAACAAGAAGACCUACAUUGAUAAUGAAACGUCAAUAUUAGUCUAUAUUGCCAACUUUGAAAUAUUAAUAUAUGUAUAUAGCAUAUGUUUUCAUGAUUAGGAAUUAGAGAAAAUUUUGUAGAAGAUUUUUCCAAAUUUGAAAAUAACUAUGGAAGAAAUUCAACUUAAACACGUUUCUUUGUGGAAGAGUUGCAUGUCUACUCAAGUCUCAGCAUGUUCCCUAGCCCAAAUUUCUAAACCCAAAAAUCACCCUGUGGCAAGCUUGAAGGUAAUUCAAUGAAAAUAUGCUUAAAGCUCAACGGCUAAUUUACUUAUUUGGAAGUCAUUUUUCUCUAUGUGUUGGAUGAUAAAAUUUGUUGGUCUAGGUUACACGUUCCUGCAAAGAAGAGCAGACGGAGGAUCUGAAAAAUGAAUUGAAACUGGAAUUAAUACGUAGUGUUAUUAUAUAUCGAUGGAAAUUAGUUUAAAGUUGGAUAUAUUAAUACUUAGGAUGUUUGGUAAAACUUAAUACUUAUUAUUUAAUUAUUUGAGUUGACUUUAAAUUAAAUUAUACUUAAAUUACUUACUUAAAACUUAUUACUUUAAGUAUUAAGAUAUAAAAUUAACUUAAAGUUUAUUUAAAAUCAUUAAGUUGACAUAUUUAUUCUUAUAAAUUAUAAUUAGAAUAGAAAAAGUUGAGUUUAUAGAGUUGUAAAAGAGAUCAUGAAGGUAAUUAAGACAAAUAAAGAUAAAAAGAUAAAAUGAAAAUAUAAAAUUAAAAAUAAAUUAAUUAUUUUUACUUAUUAUUUAAAGUUAUUUUUUUUACUUUAAAUCAUAUUAUCAAGUUAUUUUAUUAAAUAUGCUUAAUUUACUUAAUGACUUAAAUUAAGUUAUUAAAUUAUUUUAAGUUAUUAAGUUGAUUUAUCAAAUUUCUACUUAUUGAAUACAAAUAUAGAAGGAAAUUAGGAAAGCAAAGUAGAUGGGUUAUUAGGUGAAAGCUUAUCAAAUCCGCCUAUCAACAUAUCACACUUUUACCAAAAACCCACCUCAUGCCAAGCCUAUAAGUUGUCAAGUCCUUAUGAUCCAACAACUUUCUUAUGGUUCCCACACGGAUUUCUAUUGUUAUCAAAACAAAAAGUUUAUAAUAAAAUAUAUAUAUAUAUAUAUAUAUAUAUAUAUAUAUAUAUAUAUAUUAUAAUUCAUAAAUAAUCUGACAAUUAAAUAAAAAGAUAAACUCAUUUGUGGAAUAUAAUUAAUAAAAAAAAAAGAGAAGUGUUAAGAGUUUUAAAUUAUUAUUAUUUUAUAUUUUUUAUAUUUUAAAUAAAUAUAAUUAAAAUAAUGGAUAAAAAAUGUGCACUUUGUACCUUCAACCUAUAAGAGUUGUAAUAUUUUCAAGUUGGUAUUCUUUAACAUAAGUCAAAUUCUAACUUAUUCAACUUUGACAAUUUUAACCUAAUCCUCAUAUUGGUACAAAUUAGACUAUUCUACCUUAUUUAAGUUUUAGUCCUAAAAAAAUCAUGAGAAUUAUGGACCGAAUGAUGUAUAUUAAAUUUCUAAGAUUCAUAUUUUAAAAUUAAUAAAAUUGAAGUAUUUUCCUUCUGGAGAUUAUUUAUUAUGAUUUAUCUUUACUUUAAUUAAUUAAUUAAUAUAUAUAUAUAUAUAUAUAUAUAUAUUUCAUUGGUAGAAUUGUCCUUAAUGGCCUUUGUACAUAGAGUACAUUCCUGGUCAUAAGAAUACGUGUCAAAUAUAAAUAUGCUUUUCAAAUUUAAUCAUUCUUAUUAUAAGUUUAUUAUUAUUAUUAUUAUUUUAUUAUAUACCUUGUAAAAAUAAAAGUUAUGAUCUUACGUAAGGUCGCAAUUUGAAGUUCAAGUUCAUUAAACUGUGCAGAGUUUAGCUUUCUAUAUAUAUAUAUAAAGAAUCAAUUCCAUCAAUUCAUUAUUUUUUAAGAAUUGAAAAUUACAUAAAUAUUGAUGGUUAUAUUUUACAAAAACAUUGAAACAAAACAAUAAUAUAUUAUUAAAGUUGUUUUACUAAAUAAAAUAAUAUAAUCAUCGUUAUAUAUAUUCUUGUACUUUGUUUAUUAACAAUUUUAUUAUAUUUUCAUUUUAACUUAAGAUAAAGACAAAGGGUUGAAUUGAAAAUUUUAAUUUGCAUAAUUUAAUUAAUUUGAAAAGAAUUUUAAAUUGAGAAUUUGAAAAACAAAUUCCAAAUAAUAAAAAUAAUUUGGAAAUGAAUUUUAAAUUAAGGAUUUAAAAUUUAAAAUUUGCAAAAGGAAAUUUUUUAUAAAUCUUUUCUAAUUUUAAAUAUGAAAUAUUUCCAAAUCUUUUUAAAACUCUUAAGUUUCUAAAUUGUUUUUCAUAAAAUAUAAUCUUUAAAUUAAUUGCAACUAUAUAAAGUUUUCUCCUAUAUAUAUCCUACCUAAAUGUAUAUUUGAUGACGGUCUGACUUGUUUUUCUAUUCUUAAUCUCUAAAGAAAGAAUUCAUUACAAGUACCUACAUCCCCUCAGAAGCUUAGAGGAGUUAGAGCAUUUGGAGGUACUACAUUGUGGAUGUGGAUUAAGGUGUAGGUUCUAGCUAGUGAAUCAUUAAGGUAAAACGGUUAUUAAAUAUGUGUACUUUAAUUUCAAAUAGUGGAUUAUAAAUUAGAGGUUUUAAAUCUUGUGAUUUUUUAUGCCCACAAUUAGCAUUGAUAUUUUCAAAUUAAAAUUUCUUGUGUCCCUUAUUUGAUUAUUUUUAUUAUUUUGAUUAUCCCUAUUAUCUCUUAGUUUAAAUUGAGUUAAUAUUAUUUAACUCUUAUAUUAUUUUCUUUAAAAAUCACCCCACUCUCAAUGUCAUCCUCUUGGACAAAAGCGUGUAUAUAUAUAUAUAUAAUUCACAAAUCUUGAAAAUAUAUUUAAUAUUAAAAUAUCAUUCCAUGUAAUUUGGAAGUAUUCAAAGAUGUAAAAGAUAUGAUAAUAUAUGUAUAAUUAUUUUUUAUUUAAAAAUAUUAAUAAUUACAUUUGCAACUUUAUUUUGUCCUCAUUAUUUAAUUAAUAUACAAAAAGAUAUGGGAAUAGAAUUAUCAAAAGAAUUGUCAUAAUAAAGCUUUAUAUUCUUCAUAAUAAGUUAAAUUAAGGUGAUAUUUAUUUAUUUUACUUAAAUCUAAAUAAAAAUUAAUUUAACUUAAUUGUAAAUAUAACUUAAUAGAAUUAAUUAUUAUAUUUUUUUGUUUUUUAUAAUUUUAUUUUUGUUAAGCGUUAAAUAUUAAUUGGGUGAGAGUCCUACUAAGGUUGUGCUUUGACUUAUUCAAAAAAUUAUUUUUAGUAAUGAGCAAAAAGUUAAAUAUUUUACUUUUAUCUAUUCAUUAAAAAAAUCUUAAAAAUUAAUUUUUUUUUUGUUUUAUUUAAAAUAGUGAAUGGAGUUUGAGUCGAAUUUUAAUUAUUUGGUAAAAUAAUAAAAUUAGUUUUUUAUUUAAAAGAAAAAAUAAAGGUAAGUCAAAGAUAUAAAGAUAAUUAUUUUAUUUUAAAUAAGAAAGAUUCAAAUAAAUAAAAAAAGAAAAAGUUAAUGAGCUACAAAUUUUAGGAUUAAUUGAUUAAAAUGGGUGAAAAUAUCUCAAAUUUGUAAAACUAAUCUCUUCCAUUUUUUAACUUAAAGAGUAACACUUGUUUGACAUAAAUACCCUUCAACAUUUUCAUUAUUUACAUAUGUAUUUUAAAAGAAAAUGUAAUUUUUGUAAGAAAAAAGUGAGAGUAUUCUUAUGUAUUUUUUGGAUGAAAAAAAAUGGUUUGCAAUUUGAUAUUUCUUUUGUCCUUUUUAAUCGGUUAUCCCCAAAUUUUUUUUACGGAAAAUACAAAUUCUAAAAAUAUUUGGUUUUAUUGCUAUUUUUAAAUUUAAAUAUAUUUUUACCUUAAUUAUAUUUUUAUUUCAAAAUAAUUGAUGAUGAUUUAGUUGAAUUCUAACAUUUAAUGGAGUUUUAGUUGAAUUCUAACACUAUAAUAUAAAGUGACCCGAUAAAAUUAUAAAAUCAAUUUUAUUUAAAAAUAAAUAAAGUUGAGUUAAAAAUAGUAUUAAAUAAAUUAAAUUUUAAAAAUAAAAUUUAAUAGUUUUACCUUAAAUAAAAAAUAUUAAAAGAAAAAAUAAUUAGAUAGAUAGGCUUUAAAUUUUAUUAAGAGAAACAUAAAUUUUUUUUUUUAAAAUUGUUUUUAUUUAUUUUCAAUUUUAAAAUUUUAUUUCUAUUUUUUAUUUAAAUGUAUUUUCAAAUUUUAUCUAAAAAUAGUUAAUAGAGUUUUGGUUGAAUUUUAAGACUAUAAGAUAAGCGAAUAGUUGAAAUUAUAAAAUGAAAUUUUUUAUUAAAAUGAAAAGAAAGUUAAGUUAAAGAUACUAUAAAUUAUGAUUAGAAGAAUGAAAAUCAAUAUAAAAAAAAAAAUGGUUUUAUCUUAAAUUAGAAAUAUUUAAAAAAAAAAAGAAUAAUGUAUUGAAAAAUAUAACUUUGUGGUAGAAGAGCAAUGACUAUGCUCUUUUGAAUACCCUAGUUUAUGUUCAUUUUUUAAAAUUUAAAAAGAAUAAACAUCUUUUAGAUAUUAACAAAAAUAAAUUUAAAUAGAUUCUUUAACAUAAAACCUAAAAAACAUUUGUUGUUGGCCAAAAAAUCCAACUAUGAGCCCUUUUAUGACAAGUGAAACUUCCAAAUCUUCUGAAGAGUUUUUUAUCUUAGUAUUAAAAUCUAAAAGCAGAAUAUUUAUACUAUGAGUUGUCUUUUUAACAACUAAUUUAUUUUAUUAAAUGUAAUAAUAUACAUUAAUAUGUUGUAAAUGAAAAGUAAUGAAUGACCACAUUGAUGGCCAUUAUGAACUCCAUUUACUCAUCUUUAAGAUGAGUAAUGGGAGUUCAUAUUAUGAAGCCUAUAAAAGGCUUCUUACCCCCCCAUGUAAAAGGAUCCCGAGAAAAGAAAGAAAGUUCUUCCUCUCAUUCUCUCUCUCUCUCUUUCUUUCACUUUCUCGAUUCUCUUAUUUGAUUCCUUCUUCCAUAUUAUAUAUCAAAGUAAGAUAUAUUUUAUCUCUACUACUUUGAUUUGCAUUAUAUUUGUCCUUGUUUUACAACACGUUAUCAGCACGAAUUGCUCUGAAGGUAAUUCUCGUAUCUUAAACUUGAAGUUAUUUAUAUAAAAUAAAAUUUUACAUAUUUAUAUUAUUGUUGAUUUGUUUUGUUACAUAUUGUUAAAAGUUAUAAACAAAUUAUUUGAUUUUGUUUAUAAUCAAAGUUAUACCAAUGCUAUCAAGUUAUUAUAACUGAUUUUAAUAAUAUUGUUUUGUCAUAUAUAUGAAGUUAUUUGACAAUGUCGAAUAUUACAAAACUCGAAUUUGUGGCACUUGACAUUUCGGGAAAGAACUAUCUAUCUUGGAUCCUUGAUGCUGAAUUACAUCUUGAUGCAAUGAACCUUGGAGCUACGAUCAAACAAGGAAAUCAAGCAUCCCUGCAGGAUCGCGCAAAAGCAUUGAUUUUCCUUCAUCAUCACCUCCAUGAAGGUUUAAAAAAUGAGUAUCUUACGGUAAAGGACCCUUUUACUCUAUGGAGUAAUUUGAAAGAAAGAUAUGACCACUAGAAAACUGUGAUUCUCCCAAAAGCUCGAUAUGAUUGGAUGCACCUAAGGUUGCAAGAUUUUAAAACUGUUAGUGAAUACAACUCUGCACUUUUCAAAAUCAGCUCUCAAUUAAAGCUGUGUGGAGAAAAAAUCACAGAGGAAGACAUGUUAGAGAAAACUUUUACUACGUUUCAUGCCUCGAAUGUGCUCCUGCAGCAGUAAUAUCGAGAGCGUAGAUUUACAAAAUAUUCUGAAUUAAUAUCAUGUCUUCUUGUUGCUGAACAAAAUAAUGAGCUUUUGAUGAGAAAUCACCAGUCUCGUCCAACUGGAUCUGAACCAUUCCCUGAAGUGAAUGCAAUAUCGUCCCAAACUCGUGGACGUGGACGAGGACGAGGACGUGGUCGUGGUCAUGGAAGAAAUCCUCGAUACCAUGGUUCUUAUAGUAAUAAUUCUCAUAAAAUGAAAGCCUCAUUGCACCACCAGAAGUGGAACAAUACUGAGACAAUACAAGAAAAUGGGAAGCGUUUACAAGAUAAACCUCCUAAGAACCAUGAGAAUAAUUGUUAUAUAUGUGGUAUGAAGGGGCAUUGGUCGCGUACCUGUCGUACGCCCAAACAUUUGGUCGACCUUUACCAAGCAUCAAUAAAAGCUAAAGGAAAAGAGAUAGAGAUGAACUUUACCGAUGGUGAUGGAUUGGACCUAACCUACUAUGACAUUGAUUUCUUUGGAGGUCCCAAUGAAAAACCAGACCAUUUGAUAAAUGAUGAAAAAAUUAACAUUGAUUGAUGUUACUCUAUAUAUACAAUAAUAUAUUAUUAUGUCUUAUAUUUACAUCUGAUUUACUUUGUUAUUUACAUUAUGCCUUUUUUUUUGUUAUAUCUGAAAUCCAUGUGUUAUUUGGUCUCAAGAUGAAUGAGGAUGAUGUAUGUCUCGCAGACUGUGCGACCACGCACACAAUUCUUCAAGAUAAAAGAUAUUUCCUUGAAUUGACAUUAAUAAAAGCUAAUGUAAGUACCAUAUCUGGUACUACAAACUUAGUUGAAGGCUCUGGAAGAGCAAACAUAACAUUGCCAAAUGGAACUAGAUUCCAUAUAAAUGACGCGUUAUAUUCUAGCAAAUCCAGAAGAAAUUUGCUCAGUUUUAAAGAUAUCCGCAGAAAUGGAUAUCAUAUUGAAACUAUGAAUGAAGAUAAUGUAGAAUAUCUUUACAUUACUUCCAUUAUAUCUGGCCAGAAGCUUAUAAUGGAAAAAUUGCCGGCUUUUUCCUCUGGGUUGUAUCAUACAACUAUAAAGCCUAUUGAAUCAUAUGUUGUCGUGAACCAGAAGUUCAACGACCCAAAAGUUUUUGUCCUUUGNNNNNNNNNNNNNNNNNNNNNNNUGGUCACAUGUUUGUCUCCUUUCUACACGUAACGUAGCCUUUGCUAGACUCCUUGCACAAAUAAUCAGAUUACGAGCACAAUUUCCAGAUUAUCCAAUUAAGACAAUACGUCUUGAUAAUGCUGGCGAAUUUACUUCUCAAACAUUCAUUAACUAUUGCAUGUCAGUAGGGAUAAAUAUUGAGCAUCCUGUUGCUCAUACUCAUACCCAGAAUGGUUUAGCAGAAUCCUUCAUCAAACGUCUCCAAUUAAUAGCUCGACCAUUACUAAUGAAAACCAAAUUACCUACUUCCGCCUAGGGACAUGCUAUUAUGCAUGCUGCAGCUUUAGUCCGUAUUCGACCUUCAACUUACCAUGAAUACUCCCCUUCACAACUUGUGCUUGGAAAACAACCAAAUAUCUCUCACUUACGAAUCUUUGGUUGUGCAGUAUAUGUACCAAUUGCACCUACACAACGCACUAAAAUGGGUCCCCAACGAAGACUUGGGGUUUAUGUAGGUUUUGAUUCUCCAUCUAUCAUAAGAUAUCUUGAACCUUUGACUGGAGAUGUUUUUACAGCCCGCUUUGCAGAUUGUCAUUUUAAUGAGAGUGUUUUCCCAUCAUUAGGGAGAGAAAAGUCGAUUCUUGAAGAACGACGAGAAAUUAGUUGGAAGACAUCUACUAUGACCCAUCUUGAUUCUCGUACAAAUCAAUGUGAACUAGAAGUUCAAAGGAUCAUUCAUUUGCAAAAUCUUGCAAAUCAAUUACCAGAUGCAUUCAUUGAUACAAAGAAAGUGACAAAGUCACAUAUCCCGGCUGCAAAUACUCCAGCACAGAUUGAUGUCCCUGUAGGACAGUUAACAAAUGAAUCUAAGAUACGCCUGAAGCGUGGUAGACCUGUCGGCUCAAAGGAUGUAACUCCCCGGAAGAGGAGAACCCAAGAAAAACUUGGCACUCUAGAAGAUGCCAUCAAAAUGACUGAUCAGUUUAAAAUUGAUAAAUCUAUAGCCCUAGAAGAGGCACAAAUAAUGCAGAAAGCCCCUGAAGAGGUAAAUAUUGAACAAGAAGCCCCCGAAGAGGCACAUAUUGAACAAGAAACCCCUGAAGAUCCACAUAUUGAACGAGAAGCCCCUGAAGAGGCACAGGUACCUGAAAAUUGUGAGAUCUCAGUAAGUUAUGUACAAACGGGAGAAAAAUGGGAUUGAAAUAAUAUUGUUAUUAACAAUAUUUUUGCUUUCCAAGUGACCUUUGAUAUCAUAAGAAAUGAUGAAGAUCCCGAACCACGAAAUGUGGAAGAAUGUCGACAUAGAAAUGAUUGGCCAAAAUGGAAAGAAGCUAUACAGGCAGAAUUAAACUCAUUAACAAAACGAGAAGUUUUUGGACCUGUAGUCCAAACACCUGAAGAUGUAAAGCCUGUUGGGUACAAAUGGGUAUUUGUACGAAAGCGCAAUGAGAAUAAUGAGAUCAUAAGAUAUAAAGCGCGAUUAGUGGCACAAGGUUUCUCGCAGAGACCUGGUAUUGACUACGAGGAAACAUAUUCUCCCGUCAUGGACGUAAUCACAUUUCGUUUCUUAAUUAGUUUGGCAGUCUCAAAAGGACUGGAUAUGCGUCUCAUGGAUGUUAUUACAUCAUAUUUAUACGGAUCCAUGGAUAAUGAUAUAUACAUGAAAAUCCCCAAAGGAUUUAAAUUGCCUGAUGCAAAUAAUACAAAGCCUCGUAGCAUGUACUCAAUCAAGUUACAACGAUCCUUGUAUGGAUUAAAGCAAUCUGGACGCAUGUGGUACAAUCGCCUUAGUGAAUACUUGCUAAAAGAAGGGUAUGUGAAUAACCCUAUAUGCCCAUGCAUCUUCAUUAAGAAAUCAGAAACCGGAUUUGCAAUUAUUGCAGUGUAUGUGGAUAACUUAAAUCUUGUUGGAACUCCUGAAGAGCUCACAAGAACAACAAAUUACUUGAAAAAGGAAUUUGAGAUGAAAGAUCUUGGAAAAACAAAAUUUUGUCUCGGCCUGCAGAUCGAGCAUUUUCCAAAUGGAAUUUUAGUACAUCAAUCAACAUACAUUAAGAAAGUUUUGAAGCGUUUUUAUAUGGAUAAAGCGCAUCCUUUAAGUUCUCCAAUGGUUGUCUGAUCACUUGAUGUGAAAAAAGACCCAUUUCGUCCUUGCGAAAAGGAUGAAGAGUUGCUUGGUCCUGAAGUACCAUAUCUUAGUGCUAUUGGUGCACUUAUGUAUCUUGCCAAUUGUACACGUCCAGACAUUGCUUUUUCUGUCAAUUUAUUAGCAAGAUACAGUUCCGCUCCAACUCGAAGACAUUGGAAUGGUAUCAAACAUAUAUUACGUUAUCUUCGCGGAACUACUGAUAUGGGUUUAUUUUACUCAAGGGAAUCAAAGCAACAAUUGCUUGGAUAUGCAGAUGCAGGAUAUCUUUCAGAUCCACAUAAAGGCAGGUCACAAACAGGGUAUGUGUUUAAUUGUAAUGGUACUGCUAUUUCAUGGAGAUCUGUCAAACAAACAAUGGUAGCCACAUCAUCAAAUCAUUCAGAAAUACUGGCAAUUCAUGAAGCAAGUCGUGAAUGUAUAUGGCUAAGAUCUAUGAUCCAACAUAUUCGGGAAUCAUGUGGACUCUCCUCUAUCAAAGGUGACCCGACAACAUUAUUUGAAGAUAAUGUUGCAUGCAUUGCACAAAUAACAGGGGGUUAUAUUAAAGGAGAUAGAACAAAACACAUUUCACCAAAAUUCUUUUAUACACAUGAACUCCAGAAGAGUGGUGAAAUUGAUGUGCAACAAAUACGCUCAAGUGAUAAUCUAGCAGAUUUAUUCACAAAAUCAUUGCCAACUUCAACAUUCAAGAAGUUAAUACACAGGAUUGGAAUGCGUCAACUCAAGGAUAUCGACAUGAGGGGGAGUAUGCUUGUAAAAGGGUGUUAGUGUACUAUACUCUUUUUUUCCUUCGUCCAGGUUUUGUCCUACUGAGUUUUACUGGCAAGGUUUUUAACGAGGCAGUCCUAAUAUGCCAAGAAAAGAAUAUUGUACUCUUUUUCCUUCGCUAGGUUUUUCCUAUAGGGUUUUUUACUAGCAAGGUUUUAAUGAGGCAUAUUCUUUUAAUAUGGUGGUCAUCCAAGGGGGAGUGUUGUAAAUGAAAAGUAAUGAAUGACCACAUUGAUGGCCAUUAUGAACUCCAUUUACUCAUCUUUAAGAUGAGUAAUGGGAGUUCAUAUUAUGAAGCCUAUAAAAGGCUUCUUACCCCCCAUGUAAAAGGAUCCCGAGAAAAGAAAGAAAACUCUUCCUCUCAUUCUCUCUCUCUCUCUUUCUUUCACUUUCUCAAUUCUCUUAUUUGAUUCCUUCUUCCAUAUUAUAUAUCAAAGUAAGAUAUAUUUUAUCUCUACUACUUUGAUUUGCAUUAUAUUUGUCCUUGUUUUACAACAAUAAAUUAUAGUUGAGUUUUUUUUUAAAAAAAAAUUGGCAUAUGCUUGUAUUACUUUGUUAGCUUGGAGGACGAAAAGCCUAUACAAAUAAUGAGUUGAAUGAAAUAAGAAGCGAGUAAAUUACAUGUAUCAAUGAAAUUGUAAUUUUUAGAUUACAGAAAUGAGUACAUGCAUUAAUAUAUAUGAAAAUAUAUAGUGAUUAUGAGAUUUGAGAAUCUAUUUAUUUUGAAUGAUGGGAAUUAAACUUCGUAAAAUUUCAAUGUAGAUCGGAAGUAAAUUUUUUUGUUACUUGAAAUAUUCACAACUUCUUUCCUGUAGUGAUGUUAUUUUGUAAUAGAACUUCCCUGGACAAUCGUUUUCAUGACUGGGAAUUGAAUUAGAGAAAAUUUUGUAGAAGAUUUUUUCAAAUUUGGAAAAAUCGCAUGUAGAAGAGUUGAAUUGGCAAGGAAAUCUACACACUCGUUGAACAGUCUAGGCCCACUUUUCCAAUCAGCCUAGCACGUUUUUUUGAAUUGAAUAACCACGGAUUGAUAUUGAUUGGAUCCAUUAUCAGUCAUUCAAUCCUAAAGCAUUCAUUUGUCAAACUCCAAGGAAUAUAGGUUUGGCCGAGUGAACAUUUCAAUACUAAACUUGUCCAAAUACAUUAAUUUGAUAUUUUUAGUAAAUAUGAUGCGCAAAAUGAAACCUACUUGGUCGAUAAUGACCUAGUGGUUAGGGCAAUCCCUCAAAAUUCAUAAAAAAAGAAGAUGCAAAUAGAAUCAAAUAGUAGUUCUUAUGUUAUUUUUUCAAAAAAUAGUUAUCGAGUCUGGAAAUGGGUAUUUUUCAUUUACGAAGCUUAAUCCUAUGGGAUUUAAUUUUCAUCGACUAGGAGAAUAAUUUGAUCCUAGCCACACCUAAUGUUAACGACUUGUUUAGGUAUUUUGAGUGAAGAGGACAACGGUUCCACACCGUGGGCCCCAAAACUGAACCAAAUCCCUCAUACUAUUCAACUACAUACUACCACUGCAUGCCAAGCCGUCUCUCUCAUACUUACCAAUUCUUUCUCUAGUCCAGAUUCUUAAACCCCAACAUUUGGGGUGACCAAUUUAUUACCUACACUCCCGAAGAAAGUUAAUUCAAUGAAAUUAUGUUUAUAUACUUAUUUGGAAGUUAUUUUUCUUAGGAUGAUAAAAUUUGCUGGUCUAGGUUACAAGUGCCUACAAAGAGGAGCAGAUUGAGGAUCUGAAAAAUGAAUUGAAAAUGGAAUUAUACAUGGUGUUGACUAUAAGAAUUUCAGUGGAUUCAAAAAGCCCCAAUUUAUACCUUAGCCGCCCCUAAUAGUUUCGGCUCUUGCUUCAUAAAUUUAGCCAAGGGACUCAUGAAAAAACUUUUUCUUUCACGUCAUCAAUCCCUUUCAUACACUACUUUCAACGUUUUUAUUUUACAUUAUCUUCAACAAUAGAACAUUUAGAAUAUCCUCUUGCGGAACAAGUUGCUCAUGCACUAAAGCAGCCCAUUAGAAAAGGUUUAGAGAGGCUAGAGGCAAGGUGGUAUAUGUCUAUCUACCAGGAUGAAACUUCGCAUGACACAACUUUACUAAAGCUGGCCAAGUUAGAUUUCAAUCUAGUGCAGUCCCUACACAAGGAGGAGCUAAGCAAUAUUGCUAGGUUUGCUUUCAAAUCACUAGCAGAUAUACCUAGUCACCUUCUCAUUUUACCAUGAGCUAAUUGUUUUAAUGAAUUUUAGGUGGUGGAAAGAAUUAGACUUUGCUACAAAGCUACCUUUUGCGAGAGAUAGAUUGGUGGAAGGCUACUUUUGGAUACUUGGGGUGUACUUUGAGCCUCAAUAUGUCCGGGCUAGACGAAUUCUAACCAAAACAAUUUCCAUGACAUCCAUUAUAGAUGAUAUAUAUGACGCAUAUGGCACAUUUGAAGAACUCGAGCUCUUCACCGAGGCCAUUGAGAGGUUUGAUUGAUGCAAAUUACCAACCUUCAUCAUUUAUACUGUAUGUGAUACUUAAAUCAAGCCUGGUUUUAUUUUCAGGUGGGAUAUUAAUAGCAUAGAUCACCUUCCAGAAUACAUGAAACACUGCUAUGUGGCACUCUUAGAUGUGUACAAAGAAAUUGAGGAAGAGAUGGAGAAAAAAGGAAACCAAUAUCGGGUUCAAUAUGCGAUAGAAGCGGUAGGACAUUCUGCAUCGACUUUGUUUUGUAUAGUAACAUAUCGUAAGGAUAUAGAUGUAACCUGAUUGAAUGUUUGACAGAUGAAAAACCUAGUUAGAGCUUAAUUUCAUGAGGCUAAAUGGUUCCAUGAAGGACGCAUACCAACAAUGGAAGAGUAUAUGAUAAUAAUAGGUUUAUCUUAGGGAAUCAAUAAUUAUUUUUGUAUGUUAUAAAGAUUACAUUUAUACUUGAAUUAUUUUUAAUUUAUUAUAUCAUAUAAAUUUUUUAUCUUAUAAUAUUGUAAAUUUUAAUUAUAUUAGGAAAUCAAUGAAUGCUUUUAUAACUAUUUAAAUGAUGUUAGUUAUGAGAUAAUUUUAUUUUAUUAUUGUUUUUUUACCUUAUUUACUUGUACCUAUUUUUUAAUAAUUUACAUAAUAUUUUUAUAAUUUUUAAAAUUUUCUAAUUAUCAUAUUUUUUUGUAUAUGACACUUAAAUCAAGCCUGGUUUUAUUUUCUGGUGGGAUGUUAACAGCAUAGAUCACCUUCCAGAAUACAUGAAACACUGCUAUGUGGCACUCUUAGAUGUGUACAAAGAAAUUGAGGAAGAGAUGGAGAAAGAAGGAAACCAAUAUCGGGUUCAAAAUGCGAUAGAAGCAGUAGGACAUUCUGCAUUGACUUUGUUUUGUAUAGUAACAUAUCGUAAGGAGAUAGAUGUAACUUGAUUGAAUGUUUGACAGAUGAAAAACCUAGUUAGAGCUUAUUUUCAUGAGGCUAAAUGGUUCCAUGAAGGAAGCAUACCAACAAUGGAAGAGUAUAUGGGGAUAGCACUGGUAACCUCAGGUUACUACAUGCUUACAACCAUGUCUUUCAUUGGUAUGGGAGAAAUUGUAACAAAGGAGGCCUUUGAUUGGGUGAUUAGUGACCCUAAGAUUAUCACAGCAUCAGCUGUAAUUUGCAGGCUCACGGAUGACAUCAGUUCAUAUAAGGUAUUGUGAAUAUAGUAUUUCUUGUUAAGCUAUAAUUUGACCUUGACCUUAAAGCUCAAUCAAUUAAACAUAUUUAUUGUACUCAUUUGUGCGAUUCUUUUUCUUGGUAUCCAUGAUUAAUUAACAAAGGUAUUGUUUUUUUUUUUUUGGAAAAAAAAAAAGAGAAGUUCAAAUUUAUUUUUUUCCUCUCUCUCUCUCUCUCUCCCUCCACACGCUCAUUAAUUUUAAUGUUAAGAUAUCAGCCCAAUUGACUUGAUUUAUAUUAACUUAAAACUUUUGUUCUAAUAGGUACCUUCAUAUAACGGUAAAGCCUUGAUUUUUAUAGGAGGUCAUGGAGGUGAACUGUGAACCUUACUGAUGUGUACCCAAACCAUACCAUUUAUUUAUAAUAUUGUCAUCAUAAUAUUUAAAUAUGGGACAUUUUAUGCAUUCAUUAUGUAGAUAUCCCUUUGUAAUAUACAUUCGUUGAGUUGGAGGAUGGUAACAUCGAUAUCCCUUUUUGUGUAAUGCAUAUCCAACAAACACACAUUGCAAUGCAUGGGAAGUUAACUUGGUGCGUUGGUGUUUAUGUAGAUGCACAAAUGCCACGCAACCAAAAACACGAGGAGGUAGAUUUGGGACAGUUGGGACAACUACGGCAUUAGUAAGAGUUUGGAGAGGUGUUUGGAAGUUAAUUGAGCUGGAAGGUACCCGAUUGAUCAAGUAUGCGGCAUGACUCGUGCCCAAUUGGUGUCUCAGCUGAUUUGUGUUCAGCUGGUGCUCCUUGAUUGAGGAAGUGAUCAACAAAAUUUAUACCUAUAACACCAUACACUAGGGUAGCAAAUACAAAGCUACUAUAGUAUAGUGGCUCUAAGGAUCGUUCACUGGGAAUGAUGAACAAGCAAUCAAGGAUACCAAUUCCAAGUGAAUUGGUUUUGUUUCAUUUCACGGUUAGCUUAAGGAAUAAAACACAAACUUUGAUUGGUAAAGGUUUAGACUUAAACUAACUAACUUAACAGAAGUUUGGAAUAAUUUAGGAAGAAAAGCAUUCCUUGGAGAAUUAGGUUCACUGGGGUGGUUCCUCAUGCAAAAGACAUAGCUCCGGUCAGAUGGUUCAUUUCCUCGCAUUAGAGAUUCAACUUAGAGUCAAUUCUCUAACCGGUGAUGUACAGAGACUCCUUCAAUUAGAUUUCACUUUAAUUCUCUCACUGAUACAACUUGCAAUGGUUCAUGCCUCUCACGAGCACUUACCAUUCAAGGUGAUCUUUAACCUUGGAUUCCCCUUCACAAACUCGCAAGAGAUAACUAAUGGAUGUCUCCUAGGAGUCCAAAAGCUUACCAAGUGUUGGUAAUUCCAGAAAAUCCUACCUUGAAGUCACCUACCAAAGGCUCGCAAGGGGUAAACUAGUGCAUUUCCACGGUUAGAAAUCACUUGCCUUACCAAGUGUUGGCCCAGGUGACUCCAAAGUGUUUUAAGUUAACUAAAAACAUUGAAAUCACUAAAGGAUUUCACUUCCUCUUCAUUACUAGCUAAAACCACAAAGCUUUGCAUUCUUGCACUUGGAACCUUCCCCGGCAACCUUAGCUCCAAGGAAUUGGAGGUUUAGUUACUCAUUCUCUGGGGAAAACUCCUCAGAGAAUUCAUAACUUAGAAAUAAAAUGAAAAUAUAAAGUGAGAAGGUAAGGCAGUAGAAAGAAAAGACUUUUACUUGCUUACCAAAAAACGAUUACAGAAGGAACUCCUCUCUGAGAACAUGCUCUCGAGAGGUAUUUAUAUUAAAGCAAUAUAAAACUAAUUCUUACACUGAUAUUUGGUCUUUUUACUAACUUAAAAACUAAGGAAUCAUGUAAUUGGUGGUUUACAAGGAGUAUUUUGGAAUUUAGACAACAAAAAUCUAAUGGAAAAUAUCUCCCAAUGUCGGUAGCAAGCUUCGGGAGGCUUCAGGAGCCAUUUCGCAGGAGAAAAGUGGUGCCUGCGAAAUUUCGCAGACACCCAAGAGGGCUGCGAAAUUAUUUCGCAAGACCAAGCUAUCUUCACCAGGCUGCAAAGUUGGCUUCCAUCUUGAAGUUUCCAGCUCCCUUCUCGCGGCAUGGUUCGUGCAUCGUCAGAAGGAGAAACACCUUACUGUACAAAAGCGUUGCGAAAAUCUCGCAACAAAAGGCUGAUUCCGCAGCACUUUAGAGUGACUGGCUUGUAAUGGCUGCAACUUCUUCGUUUCAACUCCAAAUCGCGCACCGUUUGAAGCAUUGGAUUGUUGACUUCCUGAGCUUUGAAAUGGUAUAUAGCUUGCAUCAUUUGGACUUCAGAAAGUGCUCCAAAAGUGGCUGCUACGACUGUCAUCAAGAAUAGGCUUCAUGACUGAUCCUCUUUGCUUUUUCUCCUUGCAAUCCGGAUUCACUCUUGGCAAUUGAAUUCUAAGCUUUUCCCAUGAUUCCUCAUAGCUCUCCUCAUUCUUGACUUGCUUUGGUGAUCAAAAUACUAACAAAAACACCAAAACUUGCACAAAGUGAUCAAAAUUGCUUUAAAGGAUCCUUAACAUGCCAAUUGAGUUAAAAGGCCUAAACUACUACUCAAAAGUGUUAAAAAGGAUUAAUUAAAGGCUAUCAAAUAGCACUUUUUGAGUAGUAAUCACGGCAGAUGUGAUUGCUUCUCCCCAAUAAGAUAUCGAUGUUUUUGCUGCUAUCAAGUAAGCACGAACAACCUCUAACAAGUGCCGAUUUUUUCGUUCAGCACAACCCGAGCCUUACUCUUUCAAGGGAAUGUUCCUAAGUCCUAUUGAGGAGAAGUUGUUCUUACUGCCACAUACAUGAUAAAUAGAAUUCCGUCACGAGUUUUAGAAAACAAAAGCCUCAUAGAGAUACUUAAGAGUUUCUAUCCACACUUCAGAACCUCAAAUGGGCUCACUCCUAGGGUAUUUGGGUGCACAACAUUUGUUCAUGUCCACAACCAACAUAGAGACAGCUAGACCCCCGAGUCAUAAAAUUUGUCUUUCUUGGUUACUUCAUCCACUAAAAAGGAAACAAAUGUACAUCCCNNNNNNNNNNNNNNNNNNNNNNNNNNNNNNNNNNNNNNNNNNNNNNNNNNNNNNNNNNNNNNNNNNNNNNNNNNNNNNNNNNNNNNNNNNNNNNNNNNNNUGUUACAAUCCCAUAACAAAAAUUUUUUACAUCUUUGCAGAUGUCACCUUCACAGAAAAUAAACCUUUUUUCCCAAAGUCCUCUUUUUAGGGGGAGAUUUCAAUGAUAGAAGAUAGUCCUGAGUCCUUUGAACCUCUUGACCUUCCUCAUGUCUCAACCCAUGGUGAUGAAAUACCUGAGUCAUCCGAGUCAAUCACACCUGAGUCACCCAAUUUUGCCACUAAACCCGUGUCAUCCCAUGUUCCAAGCAGUGUCACUCGCAAUUUUCCAUAGUUUCCUAAGGUGUAUUCAAGGGAAAAGGCCAUUCCAGAACAAAAGUAUGUCCAAGAAUCCAACUCAGACCCUGGGAAUGAAAUCACGCUAAGAUCAGACCCACCUUUACAUACACAACCUGGUGAAACUUCUACUAACUCAACAGACAACCUAGACCUAGACCUUCCCAUUGCUAUCAGAAGAGGCACCAAAGAAUGCACUAAUUGACCACUCUAUCCACUAUCACACUAUGUGUCUCUUAAGCACCUAUCACUAGCCCACAAAAAUUUCAUUGUGAGUCUAAACACCACUAUCAUCCCUAACACUGUUUCUAAGGCAUUGACAAAAAGGGAAUGAAAUGAUGCUAUGAGAGAGGAGAUGAGUGCAUUAGAAAAGAAUAAAACAUGGGAGAUUGUUGAAAGACCGAAAGGGAAAAACAUUGUUGAUUGCAAGUGGAUUUUCACACUGAAAUAUAAGACUGAUGGAUCUCUUGAGAGACAUAAAGCAAGAUUGGUAGCCAAAUGGUACACUCAAACUUAUGGAGUAGAUUAUCAGGAGACUUUUGCUCCAGUUGCAAAAAUAAAUACUAUGAGAAUCCUAGUCAUUGGCUGCCCACUACAAUUGGAAACUCCUAUAAUAUGAUGUUAAGAAUGCAUUUCUUCAUGAUGAUUUAGAUGAAGAGAUUUACAUGAACAUCCCCCCGGGAUUUGAGGGAAACACUGGUAAUAAGGUGUGCAAACUGAAAAAGGCCCUUUAUGGGCUAAAACAAUCUCUUAGGGCUUGGUUUGAGAGAUUUGCAAAAGUCAUGAAAGAGUCUGGGUACAAACAAAGCCAAGGUGACCACACUCUCUUCAUUAAGCACUCGGUUGCAGGGGGAGUAACUGCUCUUCUAGUCUAUGUUGAUGACAUCAUAGUGACUGGAAAUGAUGAGAGAGAAAAACAUGAAGUGAAGCAGAGAUUAGCAAUAAAGUUUGAGAUAAAGGAACUAGGGAAACUAAAGUACUUCCUUGGUAUUGAGGUGGCAUAUUCCACACAAGGGAUCUUCAUUUCUCAACAAAAGUAUGUGACUGAUUUAUUGGCAGAAACAGGGAAGAUUGGGUGUAAACCAGUCUCUACCCCCAAUGGAUCCAAACCACAAGUUGGGAAAAGCUAAAGAAAAACUAGUGUUGGAUAAAAGAAUGUACCAGAGGCUGGUUGGUAGGCUCAUAUACCUUGUUCACACUCGGCCAGACAUCGCCUACUCGGUGAGCAUGAUCAGUCAAUUCAUGCAUGAUACAAGAGAACCUCAUCUUCAAGCUGCUUAUAGGGUGCUACAUUACUUGAAAGGCAACCCCGGGAAAGGAAUUUUGUUCAGGAAGAACAAUACUCUUGCUCUAGAGCAUACACUAACACUGACUAUGCAAGUUCCUUAGUGGAUCGAAGAUCAACUACAGGGUAUUGUACUUUUCUUGGAGGUAAUCUGGUAACAUGGAGAAGUAAAAAGUAGAAUUUGGUAGCAAGAUCGUCUGUAGAAUCAAAGUUUAGGGUCAUUGCUCAAGGGUUGUGUGAACUACUUUGGCUGAAGAUUAUUCUAGAUGAUUUGAGAAUCAAGUGGGAUGGUCCUAUGAAACUCUAUUGUGAUAAUAAGUCAACUAUCAAUAUUGCUCAUAACCCUAUACUACACGAUAGGACAAAACAUAAUAAGAUCGAUAGGCAUUUCAUCAAAGAAAAAUUGGAGAAAGGAGUAGUGUGUAUGUCCUAUGUUGCAUCAGAACAUCAAUUAGUUGAUAUCCUAACAAAAGGGCUGAACAGUUCAAUGUUUCACAGUCUUGUAUUCAAGCUGGGAAUGGAAAACAUCUAUUCCUCAGCUUGAGGAGGAGUGUUGAGCUAUAAAUAGAUAGUAGAAUUAUUUUCCUAUUAUGUUAGUUUCCUAUUUAUGUAAAUAGAUAGUUUUAUUAGUUUCCUAAUUCUGUAAAUAGAUAGUUUUAUUACUUUCCUAUUUCUAUAAAUAGAUAGUUUUAUGAUUUAGGAAUAAAUUAGUUUUCUAUUAUGUCUCUUGUUUCCUAUUUCUUCUCUUGUAAUCUCCUAUAUAAACUGUGUAUGGUCAAUAUAAGAAACAAAAAUUAUUAUUUUCCAUCCCAUAUUUCGUAUCAAGAUGCAUGCCAUAAAAAUGGUAAGAUGAACAACAACAAGCCAAGCAACAAAAAAAAAAAAAAUGGAGUUUUUCCACCUUGUCCUCAUUGCAAGAAGACAAAUCAUUCUCCACAAAAAUGUUGGUGGAGACCAGAUGUGAAAUGCAACAAGUGUGGUAAACAAGGACAUGUGGAAAGGAUUUGCAAAAAUCAACAACAAAAAGAAACUAGUGCAGCAGUUGACUAUUGUCAGGAGGAGCAAUUAUUUGCAGCAACGUGUUUUGCUAAUAAAAGCACCUCUGAAAGCUAGCUUGUGGAUAGUAGUUGUACAAACCACAUGACAAAUAAUCAAGAUCUCUUUAGAGAACUUGAUAGAACAGCUAUUUCCUAAGUCAGAAUUGGAAAUGGUGAGUAUAUUCCAAUGAAGGGCAAAUGAACGGUUGCUAUCGAAAGCCAAAUAGGUUUGAAACUCAUUUAUGAUGUUUUGUUUGUGCCUGACGUUGACCAAAACUUACUCAGUGUUGGACAGCUCGUUGAGAAAUGAUUUAAAGUUUAUUUUGAAGAUAGGAAUUGCAUUAUCAAGGAAGCUGAAGGCAAAGAGGUGUUUAACAUAAAAAUGAAGGGCAAGAGUUUUGCCUUGAAUUUACUAGAAGAUGAGCAUGCUGUUGUUUUACAAUAAGAUAGAACAACAAUGCUUUGGCAUAGAAGGUUUGGGCACUUUCAUCAUGAUGUUGUGCUCUACAUGAAGAAAAAUCAAAUAGCUGAAAGACUUCCCGACUUAGAAAAAGAUCUUCCUAUAACUGCUACUUGUUAAUAUGGGAAGCAAACUAAACUUUCCUUUCCAAAGAAAACAUCCUAGAGAGCAACCCAAAAAUUGCAACUAGUGCAUACUGAUAUUGGUGGACCUCAAAAGACGUCAUCCUUGAAAGAGAAUGUAGGCAUUGUUCACCAACUCACUGCACCAUAUAAUCCACAACAAAAUAGAGUCGUGGAGAGGAAAAAUAGAACGAUUUUGGAGAUGACAAAAUGCCUUCUACAUGAAAAAGAUCUACCUAAAGUUUUUUGGGCUGAAGCUACAAGUACAGUAGUAUAUUUGCUGAACAAAUUGCCAACAAAAACGUUAAAGAAGCAGACCCCUUUCGAAGUUUGGUUUGAGUUUCUACGUGGAAGACUUGGAGUUUGCAUCUACUAAGUCAAGAAGGAGUGUUGAAUUUUGACCUAGUAUCUGCUAGAAUUUGAAUUUUGAAGUUAAAUAUUGCAGCUGGAGUCUUGCACAAAAUCUAUAACAUCCAAAUAUUUUUCUUGUUGUUAUUUGGUCAAGAUUUGGUUUCUAUUUUAUAGGAAGUAGUUGUUCAUCAUCUAGUAGCUUGAUUUUCUGCUAUUCUAAUGUCAUUUCAGUUACAAGCUCAUGUAUAAAUUCAACACUCUUCAUCAAUAAAAUGUGUGUUUCAGCAACCCAAAAUAUAUAUUCUGCAUAAGUGUUUAAAUCUUAGACCAACACAUCCUCGUCACUAGUAGUUGUGCCUCUCAGGUUACCUUUUUUAUCUCUCAGCUCAGCUCCACCUUUGCUCUUCGUGACCUUGGUUCCCUUUACUAUUUCUUUGGCAUUGGGGUUACUCAUAGUACUGAUUCUCUUCAUCUCUGCCAACAAAAAUAUGUGCAUGACUUGCUCACUCGUACUGCCAUAACUGAUGCUAAACUUGUUCUUACAUUGGGUUCCUUGGCCAAACCUCUCUCUCUCAUUGAUGGUGAUCUACUUAUAUCGCAACAUUGUUGGCGCAUUACAGUAUGUUACUGUUACAUGUCCAAACCUUUCUUUUGCCGUUAACAAGGUAUGCCAGUUUAUGGCUUCCCAACGACUACCCACUAACUAGAUGUCAAGAAUAUAAAAAGUAGUUAAAAAUAAAAUAAAAAUAUAGAUUUAAAAUAAAAAAUAAAAUAAAUAUGAAUAAUUAAAAAUUUUAAAAAUGAUAAAUAUUUUUUUUUAAAAAAAGUUUUCAAAAAAAUCUCAGAUAUUUUCAGAUAUAUCGGCAAUGUAUCCAAUAUAUCCGAUAUAUCGUCGAUAUAUCUCCAAUAUUUUGAUAGACUUCCUCUAUUGCUUCGCGCGUCGCUUCACACUCGAUUUUUUCGCUGAUUUAUCGAUUUCAAAUUAACCGAAAUGUCAACAUAUUUCGGGGAUUUUUUUGAUAUUCCUCUCGUUCGAUAAUGUUGCUUAAUAUCCUUUCAGGGUUGUCCGAUAUCCGAUAUAUUGGUGAAAUAUCAUCGAUAAAAACCGAUUUUUCAAUCCAUGCUUAAUAGUGGGUUUCCCUUUUGUUUGGCCUCUUGUAGACCCCCAUUUUGGGGCUCGGUUUUUUUUAUCUCUAUUUUCUUUGUAGGUGUCACCAUCCCAGAGAGCCAUGUGUCGCCUCUUUGGUGGUUGAUAGGGAAUCAACAUUGCUUUUCGGGGACUUAUGGUAGGUUGACACGUGGAAGAAUAUUCUGGAGAGCUGAUUUCCAUUAUGGGGGAGCAUAUGAGAGAGGAUAUUCUACAGGCAUUUUGAUUCUCACAUGUGCAUGAUCACCUUGAGUAUUCAUUGAUUUUGGCAUCAAUUGUCACAUAAACUUCAUUUUAUUAGUAGAGACCCGACUUUAAGGACUUAGAGGGGUGCUACGGUCUUUACCGUACCUUCCCGAUAAAUAAUUUGACCCCCGAACUCGAUCCGGUUUUUCACGGACCACCUUUUCCAAAUAAGGAGUCACACUUAGGAUUUUCUUUCUUAUUUUAUUUACCCUUUAAAAAUAAAACAAAAUUAAGUGGCGACUCCAAGUCAUUUUUUUUAAUCAGUAAAAUCAUUUUCAAAAUAAAAAUCGAGCUCACUAUCGAGUGAAAAACGCAUUAGCCGAAAUACGGGGUCCACACCUCUAUUUAUUUAAAAAAAAAAAAAAAAAUCCUUUCCCAUUCUAUGGCCUUGAGUGAGCAUUAUGUAUUUCAACUAUUUUGACAUGUUCAAAAUAAAUUACUAAGAAUUUAAAGGGAAUUUGUUCGACAAGUACUUUUUUUUUAACAUAUUUAUUUAUACAUUAUUUAGUUUAGGUUGCAUUAUUCUAUGUAAAUAAUUUAUUGGGUAUGGGAAUUACUUUUAUAAAUGGCUGAGUAGAUUCAAUUUUAGAUAUUUAUUUAUUGAGCAUGAAAAUUAUUUAUUAAAACAUGGUUUAACGACCAUGCGAUGGAAUCAACCUGUUAAAAAAAAUAAACUAAUACUAUAUUAUUUUAACUUAAAUUAUUUCUUGAUUGUAGCAAUGUUGAAAAAACAAAUAUCAAUAAAAGACUAACCUUAACGGGAAAAUAGUAAUUAACAUAAUUUUAUAUUGACUUGUAAAAUUGGGUCAACAUAUAAAUAUAUUAAUUGUAACAAGAAGACCUACAUUGAUAAUGAAACGUCAAUAUUAGUCUAUAUUGCCAACUUUGAAAUAUUAAUAUAUGUAUAUAGCAGAUGUUUUCAUGAUUAGGAAUUAGAGAAAAUUUUGUAGAAGAUUUUUCCAAAUUUGAAAAUAACUAUGGAAGAAAUUCAACUUAAACACGUUUCUUUGUGGAAGAGUUGCAUUGGCAAGGAAAGCUACACACAUUCAUUGAACAGUCUUAGGCCCAUUUUUCCAAGCAGCCUAGCAAGUUGUCUGAAUUAAACCCCUAUGGAUUGAAAUUGAUUGGAUCCAUUACCCGUCAUGCAUUCAAUCCCAAAGCGUUGAUUAUUCAAACUCUAUGAAAUAUAGGUUUCGCUGAGUAGAGGAGUUCAAAUACAUUAAAUCGAUAUUUUAAGUAAAUAUAAUGUGGAAAAUGAAACCUACUAGAUCGAUAAUGACCACAUUACAAACCGAUCUCCAGGCUAGUUAGGGCAAUCCCCUCAAAAUUCAAAAAAUAAUUAAGUAAAUAAAAUGUAAUUAUUAAUAUUUUUAAAAAGUAGUUAUGGACUCGAAAUGGGUAUUUUUUAUAUAUGAAGUUUAAUCAAGUAGUAGUUCUUAUCCUAGCCACACCUAAUAUUAACAACUUGUUAGGAUAUUCUGAUUGAAUUUAGCCAAAGAGACUCUAGAAGGCCAAUAUUUUUCUUAUCAUCACUCUCUUCCGAGCACAACUCUUCCACACCAUGGGCCCCAAAACUAAACCAAAUUCCACAUACUUUUUAACUACAUACAGCCACUGCAUUCCAGGCUGUCUCUCAUACUCACCAAUUCAUCACUGAAGGUAUAGGACUGUUCUAUCAUUGUUCCAAGUAAUUGGCAUCUCUACUCAAGUCUCAGCAUGUUCCCUAGCCCAAAUUUCUAAACCCAAAAAUCACCCUGUGGCAAGCUUGAAGGUAAUUCAAUGAAAAUAUGCUUAAAGCUCAACGGCUAAUUUACUUAUUUGGAAGUCAUUUUUCUUUAUGUGUUGGAUGAUAAAAUUUGUUGGUCUAGGUUACACGUUCCUGCAAAGAAGAGCAGACGGAGGAUCUGAAAAAUGAAUUGAAACUGGAAUUAAUACAUAGUGUUGAUUAUAUAUUGAUGGAAAUUAGUUUAAAGUUGGAUAUAUUAAUUACUUAGGGAUGUUUGGUAAAACUUAAUACUUAUUAUUUAAUUAUUUGAGUUGACUUUAAAUUAAAUUAUACUUAAAUUACUGACUUAAAACUUAUUAUUUUAAGUAUUAAGAUAUAAAAUUAACUUAAAGUUUAUUUAAAAUCAUUAAGUUGACAUAUUUAUUCUUAUAAAUUAUAAUUAGAAUAGAAAAGGUUGAGUAACAAUAGAACUUAUAGAAUUGUAAAAGAGAUCAUGAAGGUAAUUAAGACAAAUAAAGAUAAAAAGAUAAAAUAAAAAUAUAGAAUUAAAAAUAAAUUAAUUAUUUUUACUUAUUAUUUAAAGUUAUUUUUUACUUUAAAUCAUAUUAUUAAGUUAUUUUAUUAAAUAUACUUAAUUUACUUAAUGACUUAAAUUAAGUUAUUAAAUCAUUUUAAGUUAUUAAAUUGAUUAAUCAAAUUCCUACUUAUUGAAUACAAAUAUAGAAGGAAAUUAGGAAAGCAAAGUAGAUGGGUUAUUAGGUGAAAGCUUAUCAAAUCCGCCUAUCAACAUAUCACACUUUUACCAAAAACCCACCUCAUGCCAAGCCUAUAAGUUGUCAAGUCCUUAUGAUCCAACAACUUUCUUAUGGUUCCCACACGGGUUUCUAUUGUUAUCAAAACAAAAAGUUAUAAUAAAAUAUAUAUAUAUAUAUAUAUAUAUAUAUAUAUAUAUAUAUAUAUAUAUAUAUAUAUAUAUUAUAAUUCAUAGAUAAUCUGACAAUUAAAUAAAAAGAUAAACUCAUUUGUGGAAUAUAAUUAAUAAAAAAAAAAAGAGAAGUGUUAAGAGUUUUAAAUUAUUAUUAUUUUAUUAACAAUUUUAUUAUAUUUUCAUUUUAACUUAAGAAUCUAUUGAAAUAGUGACUUACUCUCUAUUAAAGAUUCAAAGUUAUUUUUCAAUCAAUCGAACUAUCAGGUAAGUAUGAAAAUGAUCGAGUAAAGACAAGUUAAUUGUCACAAAUAAGUGUGAAAAGGAUCGAGUAAAGACAAAGGGUUGAAUUGAAAAUUUUAAUUUGCAUAAAAUGUUUUAAUUAAUUUGAAAAGAAUUUUAAAUUGAGAAUUUGAAAAAAAAAAUUCCAAAUAAUAAAAAUAAUUUGGAAAUGAAUUUUAAAUUAAGGAUUGAAAAUUUAAAAUUUGUAAAAGGAAAAUUUUUAUAAAUCUUUUCUAAUUUUAAAUAUGAAAUAUUUCCAAAUCUUUUUAAAACUCUUAAGUUUCUAAAUUGUUUUCCAUAAAAUAUAAUCUUUAAAUUAAUUGCAACUAUAUAAAGUUUUCUCCUAUAUAUAUCCUACCUAAAUGUAUAUUUGAUGAGGGUCUGACUUGUUUUUCCAUUCUUAAUCUCUAAAGAAAGAAUUCAUUACAAGUACCUACAUCCCUUCAUAAGCUUAGAGGAGUUAGAGCAUUUGGAGGUACUACAUUGUGGAUGUGGAUUAAGGUGUAGGUGCUAGCUAGUUAAUCAUUAAGGUAAAACGGUUAUUAAAUAUGUGUACUUUAAUUUCAAAUAGUGGAUUAUAAAGGGAGAAUUAUGUUUUGGGGGUAGAUGGGCCCCCAAAUUAACAAAAGGUCCAUGUAACUCUUUAAAUUGAGCCCAAGACCCAAUAAAAGUAUGAAAAUUGAGUUGAAGGAUAUCAUCCUUCAGUAUUUCCAAAAAUGUCAUUUGUUGAUUUUGAGAAAAAAAAAUUAAUAUUUUUGAAAAAUACUUUUAUAUAAUUUAAUAUUUUUUAUUUAAUUUAAUAUUUUUAAAAAAAUACUUUUAUGUAAUUUAAUAUUUUUUUAAAUACUUUUAUUUAAUUAAAUAUUUUUUAAAAAUAAAUUUAUUUAAUUUAAUAUUUUAAAAAAAUAUUUAAUUUAAUAUUUUUUAAAAUACUUUAAUUUAAUUUAAUAUUUUUGAAAAAAAAUUAUUUAAUUUAAUAUUUUUGAAAACUACUUUUAUUUAAUUUAGUAUUUUUGAAAAAAAAUUAUUGAAAAAAAAAUAUUUAACUUAAUUUUAUAAAAUAUUUUAUAUGUGUUCUUAAAGGGUAUACUUGUCCGUUACUAUUUCAUAUCCUUCAACUCAAUUUGAAGAGUUAUAUGGACCUUUUGUUAAUUUGGGGACCCAUCUACCCCCAAAACAUAAUUCUCCCGAUUAUAAAUUAGAGGUUUUAAAUCUUGUGAUUUUUUAUGCCCACAAUUAGCAUUGAUAUUUUCAAAUUAAAAUUUCUUGUGUCCCUUAUUUGAUUAUUUUUAUUAUUUUGAUCUUUAAUUAUUUUGAUUAUCCCUAUUAUCUCUUAGUUUAAAUUGAGUUAAUAUUAUUUAACUCUUAUAUUAUUAUCUUUAAAAAUCACCCCACUCUCAAUGUCAUCCUCUUGGACAAAAGCGUAUAUAUAUAUAUAUAUAUAUAUAUAUAUAUAUAUAUAUAUAUAUAUAUAUAUAUAUAUAUAUAUAUAUAUAUAUAAUUCACAAAUCUUGAAAAUAUAUUUAAUAUUAAAAUAUCAUUCCAUGUAAUUUGGAAGUAUUCAAAGAUGUAAAAGAUAUGAUAAUAUAUGUAUAAUUAUUUUUUAUUUAAAAAUCUUAAUAAUUACAUUUGCAACUUUAUUUUGUCCUCAUUAUUUAAUUAAUAUACAAAAAGAUAUGGGAAUAGAAUUAUCAAAAGAAUUGUCAUAAUAAAGCUUUAUAUUCUUAAUAAUAAGUUAAAUUAAGGUGGCAUUUAUUUAUUUUUACUUAAAUCUAAAUGAAAAUUAAUUUAACUUAAUUGUAAAUAUAACUUAAUAGAAUUAAUUAUUAUAUUUUUUUGUUUUUUAUAAUUUUAUUUUUGUUAAGCGUUAAAUAUUAAUUGGGUGAGAGUCCUACUAAGGUUGUGCUUUGACUGAUUCAAAAAAUUAUUUUUAGUAAUGAGCAAAAAGUUAAAUAUUUUACUUUUAUCUAUUCAUUAAAAAAAUCUUAAAAAUUAAAUUUUUUUUUUGUUUUAUUCAAAAUAGUGAAUGGAGUUUGAGUCGAAUUUUAAUUAUUUGGUAAAAUAAUAAAAUUAGUUUUUUAUUUAAAAGAAAAAAUAAAGGUAAGUCAAAGAUAUAAAGAUAAUUAUUUUAUUUUAAAUAAGAAAGAUUCAAAAAAAAAAAAAAAGAUAAAUGAGCUACAAAUUUUAGGAUUAAUUGAUUAAAAUGGAUGAAAAGAUUUCAAAUUUGUAAAACUAAUCUCUUCCAUUUUUUAACUUGAAAGUAACACUUGUUUGACAUAAAUACCCUUUAACAUUUUCAUUAUUUACAUAUGUAUUUUAAAAGAAAAUGUUAUUUUUGUAAGAAAAAAGUGAGAGUAUUCUUAUGUAUUUUUUGGAUGAAAAAAAAUGGUUUGCAAUUUGAUAUUUCUUUCGUCCUUUUUAAUCGGUUAUCCCCAAAUUUUUUUUACGGAAAAUACAAAUUCUAAAAAUAUUUGGUUUUAUUGCUAUUUUUAAAUUUAAAUAUAUUUUUACCUUAAUUAUAUUUUUAUUUCAAAAUAAUUGAUGAUGAUUUAGUUGAAUUCUAACAUUUAAUGGAGUUUUAGUUGAAUUCUAACACUAUAAUAUAAAGUGACCCGAUAAAAUUAUAAAAUCAAUUUUAUUUAAAAAUAAAUAAAGUUGAGUUAAAAAUAGUAUUAAAUGAAUUAAAAUUUAAAAAUAAAAAUGAAUAGUUUUACCUUAAAUAAAAAAUAUUAAAAGAAAAAAUAAUUAGAUAGAUAGGCUUUAAAUUUUAUUAAGAGAAACAUAAUUUUUUUUAAAAAAAUUGUUUUUAUUUAUUUUCAAUUUUAAAAUUUUAUUUCUAUUUUUUAUUUAAAUGUAUUGUCAAAUUUUAUCUAAAAAUAGUUAAUAGAGUUUUGGUUGAAUUUUAAGACUAUAAGAUAAGCGAAUAGUUGAAAUUAUAAAAUGAAAUUUUUUAUUAAAAUGAAAAGAAAGUUAAGUUAAAGAUACUAUAAAUUAUGAUUAGAAGAAUGAAAAUCAAUAUAAAAAAAAAGUGGUUUUAUCUUAAAUUAGAAAUACUAAAAAAAAAAAAAAGGAAUAAUGUAUUGAAAAAUAUAACUGUGGUAGAAGAGCAAUGACUAUGCUCUUUUGAAUACCCUAGUUUAUGUUCAUUUUUUAAAAUUUAAAAAGAAUAAACAUCUUUUAGAUAUUAACAAAAAUAAAUUUAAAUAGAUUCUUAACAUAAAACCUAAAAAACAUUUGUUGUUGGCCAAAAAAUCCAACUAUGAGCCCUUUUAUGACAAGUGAAACUUCCAAAUCUUCUGAAGAGUUUUUUAUCUUAGUAUUAAAAUCUAAAAGCAGAAUAUUUAUACUAUGAGUUGCCUUUUUAACAACUAAUUUAUUUUAUUUAAUGUAAUAAUAUACAUUAAUAUAAAUUAUAGUUGAGUUUUUUUAUAAAAAAAAAUUGGCAUAUGCUUGUAUUACUUUGUUAGCUUGGAGGACGAAAAGCCUAUACAAAUAAUGAGUUGAAUGAAAUAAGAAGCGAGUAAAUUACAUGUAUCAAUGAAAUUGUAAUUUUUAGAUUACAGAAAUGAGUACAUGCAUUAAUAUAUAUGAAAAUAUAUAGUGAUUAUGAGAUUUGAGAAUCUAUUUAUUUUGAAUGAUGGGAAUUAAACUUCGUAAAAUUUCAAUGUAGAUCGGAAGUAAAUUUUUUUGUUACUUGAAAUAUUUACAACUUCUUUCCAGUAGUGAUGUUAUUUUGUAAUAGAACUUCCCUGGACAAUCGUUUUCAUGACUGGGAAUUGAAAUAGAGAAAAUUUUGUAGAAGAUUUUUUCAAAUUUGGAAAAAUCGCAUGUAGAAGAGUUGAAUUGGCAAGGAAAUCUACACUCAUUGAACAGUCUAUGCCCACUUUUCCAAUCAGCCUAGCACGUUUUUUUGAAUUGAAUAACCACGGAUUGAUAUUGAUUGGAUCCAUUAUCAGUCAUUCAAUCCUAAAACAUUCAUUUGUCAAACUCCAUGGAAUAUAGGUUUGGCCGAGUGGACAUUUCAAUACUAAACUUGUCCAAAUACAUUAAAUUGAUAUUUUUAGUAAAUAUGAUGCGCAAAAUGAAACCCACUAGGUCGAUAAUGACCUAGUGGUUAGGGCAAUCCCUCAAAAUUCAUAAAAAAAGAAGAAGCAAAUAGAAUCAAAUAGUAGUUCUUAUGUUAUUUUUUCAAAAAAUAGUUAUCGAGUCUGGAAAUGGGUAUUUUUCAUUUACGAAGCUUAAUCCUAUGGGAUUUAAUUUUCAUCGACUAGGAGAAUAAUUUGAUCCUAGCCACACCUAAUGUUAACGACUUGUUUAGGUAUUCUGAGUGAAGAGGACAACGGUUCCACACCGUGGGCCCCAAAACUAAACCAAAUCCCUCAUACUAUUCAACUACAUACUACCACUGCAUGCCAAGCCGUCUCUCUCAUACUUACCAAUUCUUUCUCUAGUCCAGAUUCUUAAACCCCAACAUUUGGGGUGACCAAUUUAUUACCUACACUCCCGAAGAAAGUUAAUUCAAUGAAAUUAUGUUUAUAUACUUAUUUGGAAGUUAUUUUUCUUAGGAUGAUAAAAUUUGCUGGUCUAGGUUACAAGUGCCUACAAAGAGGAGCAGAUUGAGGAUCUGAAAAAUGAAUUGAAAAUGGAAUUAUACAUUUUCAUGGACAAGGGAAAGGAACAAGGGAAAGUUGUGUUUUCAUGGACCAAUAUGGUAAUAAUAUUGUUUUUGGAACCCAGGUUUGUGAAAGUAGAAAAACAUCUGUUAAUGUGAAACUUAUAUCAGAUUCAUGCACUUUGAGCCGGUUAUAUUUUUUCUACAUAAAAAAUAAAAAUAAAUAAAAUACAAAAUAAAUCUAUUAGAAGGCGUCUGUCUAUUCUCUGCACCCUCACCGCCAAAGAGUAGAUGAGUUGGCGAGUGUGUUCGCUCCGGAGUCUUUACGCGCCGAAGAUGCCUCUUCUCCGAUCACCUCUGUUCUUCUUUGUUUGAAGCCGCCGACUGUUCGGUACCACGUGCUCCGUUUCGGGCACUAAGAAGAAGAACAAGGAGAAGGUGAUAGUGAUAUCCGGUCCCACCGGCGUCGGAAAGAGUAGGCUUGCAUUGGAGCUGGCGAAGCGCGUCAAUGGAGAAAUUAUCAGUGCGGACUCGGUCCAGGUAAGGCACCGAGUUCUUUUACCGUUUUCCUCUUGGAUUGCCCUCUGUUUGGUUGCCGAGAAAGAAAGGGAAGGACAAUGGGAAGGGAAUUAUGUCUUGUGUUGUUGAUUUGGGUGUUUAGGUUUUGUUUUUUGUUUUCUUGUUUGUUUUUUUUUUUUUCUCUUUCAUUUGUUUGGUUGCUGAGAAAAUAGAGGAUUCAGUCUUCUUUAGAAUGUUCUAUGCUUCUGUUUUUCAAUAGGAAGCUAAUGUUUAUGAAAAUUGUGACGAGGGGCUCAUGGAGAUAUGAUAAUGUUGGAGAAAAGUAGAUAAUCUAUAUAGAAAGUUCAAAACUUCAAGCAAAGUUACUCAAGGGACUAAACCUUUAGCAACAAUUUCUCCCAAGUAUUUUGUUGGUUAGUUACUCAAAAAGGUAAUUUUUUUAAGGGGGAAGAAAAUGACAAUUUGCAUUUUAUUUUUUGGUGAUAGGCAAAUGAGAAAAUAUUUAAAAGCUCCUAAAAGGAGCUGCAACAACUUACAGAUGAUGUAUACAGUAGUCACAUAGUUUAGUCAAGAAGAAGAUAAACAAAAGAAAAAUCCUCUCCUUACUCAAAACUUAUCCAAUCUACAAAGUCUAUCAUAGAUAUUGAGUGGUCCACCUUGUACAUUCUAACCCAAUUUACAAAGUAUAUAUAAAGUCGGAUUUGAUUGCUUGGUUUGACUGCUUAGCUUCAUUCAAAGCUCUCCCUUUUUUUUUUCUUCCAAAGAGUAGAAAAAAAGCAUAAGGGUAUAGUCCUCCAGCAUUUUUUUCAUUGCUUCCCCAUGGAAGAGCCAUGCAAACCCAAAAGGAUCCUUCUACUGAAAAACACAUCCCCAAAACCACUCCAAAGAGAAAAGGAUCAACUACCAAACAUAAUUGCUUUGGCACAGUAGAGAAGCAAGUAAUCUGUCAUUUCUUCCUCGCAUUUGCACAAAUAAACUUAUUAAGCAGAGUCCAUACCAUCUUUUUGGUGCCCAUGUGCUCCACACUACACCUGUUGGGAAAGCUCUCUAUCUCCCUUGGCCAAGGAAGAUUAAAGGGAUCUAAUUGAAAAAUUGCUGCUCUUGGACUCAUUUCAUCUCAAUUCGCCCUCCUUUUCCUUUUUAAUUGACAAUGAUUGCAAAUUCAAUUGGAAAAUCUCCACUUCAUCAAGCUCUCAAUCAUUAAACUGUCUUGAAAAGUGGUGGCUCCAUCCACCCUCUUUCCCAACUUGGUCCCACUCCUCCGCUACCCAUCCAUCUCUGUUGGAUGCAAUAGAGAAUAAGUUAGAGAAGACUUGCUUUUUAUUCCCUUCCACUCAUUUUUUAUGGUUUUCCACACCUCCACUCCAUACCCUUCUCUCAUCCUUCUUGAAGACCACCUGCUUCCUCUUCUCCGAACUUUCCUAUUAUGAUUUGUUUUGAUAAGGACUCCUUGUUAGUAACAAAUCUUCAAUCCUACUUACCAAGCAAGGCCUUGUUAAAGGUUGAAAGAUUGUGAAUACCAAGAUCCCCUUCCUUCCUUGCCAAGUAGACUGUAGUCUAAUCAAUAAAAUGAGGUCUUUUCUCUAGUGCACCUCCUCCUCAUAAAAUGUUUCUUUGGAUCUUCCUGAGUCUUGAAUUGACCUUUCUUGAAAUGACAAAAAGGAUAUAUAAAUUGGAAGGCUUAAUAAUGUGCUUUUAUCAAGGUAAGUCUCCCUUCGAAAUGUAUGGGUGGUAUGGAGUUAUCAUUAAGGUAUGCCUAGCAAUUUUUUUUUUUAAACCAUGUACAGACUCCAGCUACUGCUGCAACUAGUGCUCAAUGAACGCAACAGUGUCAGAGAUACAAUUCUGGCCGCAUGCCAUUUGUGACUUCAUAGUUCAUGAUAAGUUUCUUCCUAUCUGCUGCUACAUACCAAAAUGACCAAGGGUUGAUUCUAGUUUGUCCAAAAUUUAUUAAUUCAUAUCAUGUUGUGUGCUGAUGUGAUUUGUUCCAAUUGUAAAACCAUUAUUUAUGUUCUAUAUGUGAUGUAUCUGAUGAAGUAUUCCACUUCCCAUUGUAACAGUGGCAGUUGGGUUAUGCUGAAUAUGAGGACUUUAUGUACAAGAAUGACCAACAUGUAAGGGAAAGGAAGAGUACCUGGUGAUGCUGCUGCUGGAGCAUAUGGGACGCAGUAACAACAGUGUAAUAGGGCUGUUCAUUUUUCCUUCAAUAUUGUAAAGGAAGGGAGUAGGAACAUGGACAACACUCAGUAUUUGUUCUUUUAUUAUAGUUAAGGGUGCUGGUUAGUGUUGUAUUGGCGAUUGAUUGGACAACAACUAUGAUUGUAAGAUGUGAUCCAAAGUGAUAGGUUUAUUAUGGGGUAUGGUACUAAUUUCAUAAGAGAACAACAAACAUAGACUGUAACUUAUUUGUUUGUACACUGAUGCAGUUUCAGUUUAUCCUUCUAUACUCACAUUAGUAAAUUGUUUGACGGCUUUCCUUUCAUAUUUAGUUAUUGUGUAAGCUUUUACAUAGCAUCUUCUAUUAAUGUUAUUGGUAAGUUGGGAGGUUUGUUUGGUUUGAUUUACUACAUUAGAAACAGUUUGCUGGUAUACCAAUAGUUUGCAAUGGCGCCCUUCAAAUCCUGAUCUACCGGGGUUCAGGACUAUUGCUCAUCCUCAUUGGCAAGGGCUACUCAGGGUUCCUAAAUGAUUGUGCAUUUUGCUAAUUUUGUGUUUCAAACCAUGUACAGGUUGUUAUAGAAAAAAUAAAUGUGGUAGAAAACCAAUAAAUAUUUGCUUCGCAUGAUCACCUUCCAUAUCCAACCAAAACCAUCAUAACUUGACAUAACCAGAAAAAUGAGAAAACAACAGUAUGAUUAAAUAAAUACUGAGGGUGAAAAAUUGUCGGGAGAGCAAAAUUUAUCGAAUAUGGUUUAAGAUAGUGUCAUGCUGCAAUAAGUAAUGAAAUUAACUAAUAAAAAUCUGAAGCCACAGAAUGGCUACAUUUCUCGCAGGUGCGUUAAGGUAAUACUUGAGGUACAUUAAGGUAGUACCUGAAGACCAUUAAGGUAGUACCUUAUGUGCAUUAACGCAGUACCUGACAUUUCUUAUGAUUACAUAAGGUAUAGUUGGAGUAACCUAUAAGAACAUAACAAUGUCAUGCUGUAAUAGGUAAUGAAAUUAACUAAUAAAAAUCUGAAGCCACAGAAUGGCUACAUUUCUCGCAGGUGCGUUAAGGUAGUACCUGAGGUACAUUAAGGUAGUACUUGAAGACCAUUAAGGUAGUACCUUAUGUGCAUUAAGGUAGUACCUGAAAUUUCUUAUGAUUACAUCAGGUCGAUGGAGUCACCUAUGACAACAUAACAACGUCAUGCUACAAUAGGUAAUGAAAUGAACUAAUAAAAAUCUGAAGUCACAUAAUAGCUACAUUUCUCGCAGGUGCGUUAAGGUAGUACUUGAGGUACAUUAAGGUAGUACUUGAAGACCAUUACGGUAGUACCUUAAGUGCAUUAAGGUAGUACCUGAAAUUUCUUAUGAUUACAUAAGCUACCGAUGGAGUCGCCUAUGACAACAUAACAACGUCAUGCUACAAUAGGUAAUGAAAUGAACUAAUUGUGUUUGAAGUCAUAGAAGAGCUACAUUUCUCGCAGGUGCAUUAAGGUAGUACCAGAUGUACAUUAAUGUAGUACCUCAGGACCAUUAAGGUAGUACCUGAGGUGCAUUAAGGUAGUACAUGAAAUUUGUUAUGAUUACAUACGCCACCGAUGGAGUAACCUAUGAGAACAUAACAAUGUCAUGCUGCAAUGUGUAAUGAAAUGAACUAAUUGUGUCUUAAGUCACACAACAACAACAUUUCUCAAAUAUGCACUAAGAUAGUACCUGAUGUACAUUAAUAUAGUACCUCAAGACCAUUAAGGUGGUACAUGUUUUGCAUUAAGGUAGUACCUGAUGCGAUGAAACAAUUAUGUCUUCGUUGACAAAAGAUGUACACUACAAAUUCCAACAAACAUUACAAAUUCACAAACACUAACAACAAUUUCUACUAACCAACACAUAAUUUAUGCAUUUUAAUUUUUAUUAUUAUUAUAAUUUUUAUUUUUAUUCUCAAUAUAUAUGAUUGAAUUAUCAAGUUUUUCGUCAAUAUAUGAUAUUGCCUAAUUAUAUUCAUCAAUCUGAAUAAAUACAUAAGUUUUCCACCCAAUUUCUAAAUAUGUCCACAACAUUUUUCCAUUUCAUGAGUCUCCAAUACACAAAAAUAUUGAGAUCGAACAACCGCUCAUGCUAUCCAAAAUCGACAUUUGCCUCAACCUAUGCCCUCACCAAUGGAGGAAAAAUUGCAAAUACAACAACCACUCGAAAAUCACUCUUCUGCUCCAUUUUAAACAAAAAAAUUAUUAAAAAAACAACCCUAAAUACAAAUUAAUUACCUUCACAUUUGAUGUGAAGGUUACAGAAAAAUGUGAUCCAAUGAGAAGAACACGAGAUUUCUUCUUCAUGAACCCAAUAUAUCAGAGUUGUCGUUUCCAUUCUGAUUCGCUAUCCUAAACCAGAUUUUCAGUCAACACGUACCCGCCUCAAGCCGUCUUCUUAACUCGACCUUGUUUCAAUGAAGUGCUCCAUUUGGUUCUUCACAAUUACCACAGGCAACAAAAAUUUUGAUUCAGGUUUUCAAGUAAAGGUUUAUACUUUCAAAUGUGUGAAAUUUUGCAAAUUUUCACACCCUCUUCGAUCCGGAGGGGUGACGAAAUUGGGAUGAUCGGGUCCAAAUGGUUAGGACUUUGAGAGGAGAAGGGGCUGAAGAUAGAAAACUAGAUUGGAGUUUGGGAUUAAAGGCUUCAGAAAUUAAAUGAGAGAAAUUGUUGAAAUAUACAAGAUUCUCUGCUUUGCCUCGGUGACGGAGUGAAGACAGAUGAGAGGAAUGGCUGACAAAAUGAGAGAGAGGGAAGAAAGAACGGCUGAACGCUAGGGUUUUCUUGUGGGAACCUCUGCUUCGCCUCCAUGACAGAGUGUAGAAAGAUGAGAGGAAUGGGUACCAAAUGAGACAGAGGGAGGAACAACGGUCAGUCGCCUAGGGUGUUUUUUGGUGAGAUGGGCUGCUGACGUGGAUACCUGGAGGGGCAAGCUCGGUAGAAAAAACACAGCCGACUCAGAGUGCAUGAAUCUGAUAUAAGUUUCCACAUUAACAUAUGUUUUUCAUCUUUCACAAACCUGGGUUCCAAAAACAAUAUUAUUACCAUAUUGGCCCAUGAAAACACAACUUUCCCUUUUUUAUAUUAGUAUUAAAAUCUAAAAGCAAAAUAUAUAUAUAUAUAUAUAUAUAUAUAUAUAUAUCAUGAGUUACCUUUUUAAUAACUUAUUUAUUUUAUUUAAUGUAAUAAUAUACAUUAAUAUAAAUUAUAGUUGACUUGAGUUUUUUUUUUCUUUUUCUUUUUUAAUUUGGCAUAUGCGUGUAUUACUUUGUUAGCUUAGAGGACGAAAAACCUAUACAAAUAAUUAGUUGAAUGAAAUAAGAAGAAUGAAAUUGUAAUUUUUAGAUUACAAAAAUGAGUACAUACAUUAAUAUAUAUGAAAAUAUAUAGUGAUUAUGACAUUUGAGAACCUAUUUAUUGGAUCCAUUAUCAGUCAUUCAAUCCUAAGGCAUUCAUUUGUCGAACUCCAUGAAAUAUAGGUUUGGCCGAGUGGACAUUUCAAUACUAAACUUGUCCAAAUACAUUAAAUUGAUAUUUUUAGUAAAUGUGAUGCGCAAAAUGAAACCCACUAGGUCGAUAAUUGCCACAUUACAAACUGAUCUGCAGGCUAGUUAGGGCAAUCCCUCAAAAUUCAAAAAAAAAAAAAAAAAAAAAAAAAGAAAUAAAAAAGUGAAGCAAAUGUUAUUUUUUCAAAAAAUAAUUAUCGAGUCUGGAAAUGGUUAUUUUUCAUUUACGAAGUUUAAUCCUAUGGAAUUUAAUUUUCAUCGACUAGGAGAAUUAUUUGAUCGUAGCCACACCUAAUCUUAACGACUGUUCCACACUGUGGGCCCCAAAACUAAACCAAAUCCCUCCUGCUAUUCAACUACAUACAACCACUGCAUGCCAAGCUGUGUCUCUCAUACUUACCAAUUCUUUCUCUAGUCCAAAUUCCUAAACCCCAACAUUUGGGAUGACCAAUUUAUUACCUACACUCCUGAAGACAAGGUAAUUCAAUGAAAAUAUUUGGAAGUUAUUUUUCUUAAUUUGUUGGAUGAUAAAAUUUGUUGGUCUAGGUUACAAGUGCCUACAAAGAGGAGCAGAUUGAGAUCUGAAAAAUGAAUUGAAAAUGGAAUUAUACAUAGUGUUGACUAUAAGAAUUAGGUAUGCACAAAAUGACAAGGGACUCAAAAUUGGAUACAUUAAAUAAAAGGAAAAAGAAAGAAAAAACCCCAAUUUAUACCUUUUCCUUUCACGUCAUCAAUCCCUUUCCCUUUCACGUCAUCAAUCCCUUUCAUACAUUACUUUCAACAUUAUUGUUUUACAUUAUUUUCAACAAUAUACAAUUUCUGAAGGCCAUUGCUACCCUAUUAAUGCAAUGGAGCUUCCCAAGCUUUUGCACUCAUACUUACCAAGUCAGCUUUCAAAGUAGUGUUCUACUACCGUUCCAAAAAAUUAUCAUGGCGAGUCAAGUCUUAUCAAGCCCUCUAGGCCAAUUUUCUAAACUGGAAAAUCGUCCAGUGGCCAAUUAUCACCCUACCAUUUGGGGUGACCAGUUCAUAUCCUACACUCCUGAAGACGAGGUAAUUGAAUUAAAAUAUGUGUUAAAUCUUAUAUGGCUUAUAAAUGCCUAUAUAUUCGAAAGUUGCUUUUCUUAAUGUGUUGUUUAGUAAAAUUACUUGGUUGCCACAGGCAACACGUGCCUGCAAAGAGAAGCAGGUUGAAGAUCUGAAAGAGGAAAUUUGAAGGAAGCUAAUGAAUGCAGCUGGUAACACUUUCCAACAGCUGAAAUUUAUCGAUGCUGUGCAACGUCUUGGGGUGGCAUACCACUUUGAAAGAGAGAUAGAAGAAGUGUUACAACAUAUUUAUGAUAGCUAUCCUGAUGGUGAUGAUAUGGAAGGUGAUAUCUAUAAUGUUGCUCUUCAAUUUCGGUAACUAAGGCAAGCUGGGUUCAAUAUUUCAUGUGGUAAGAGCCCAAAGAAUGAUCAUGUGUGAGCUAAAAUCCAUCCUUCUCAUAAUUCCAAUCUUAUGUUUAAAUUAUGGUAUUUAUGUAGGCAUGUUCAAUGAGUUCAAGGAUGAAAAGGGUAACUUCAAGAAAGCUUUGGUCAGCGACGUAAGAGGCAUGCUGGGCUUGUAUGAGGCUGUGCAUCUCAGAGUUAAUGGAGAAGACAUACUGGAUGAAGCACUUGCUUUCACCACCACCCAUCUAAGGUCCAUGGUAGAACAUUUAGAAUAUCCUCUUGCGGAAGAAGUUGCUCAUGCACUAAAGCAGCCCAUUAGAAAAGGUUUAGAGAGGCUAGAGGCAAGGUGGUUUAUGUCUAUCUACUAGGAUGCACAACUCUACUAAAGCUGGCCAAGCUAGAUUUCAAUCUAGUGCAGUCCCUACACAAGGAGGAGCUAAGCAAUAUUGCUAGGUUUGCUUUCAAAUCACUAGCAGAUAUACCUAGUCACCUUCUCAUUUUACCAUGAGCUAAUUGUUUUAAUGAAUUUUAGGUGGUGGAAAGAAUUAGACUUUGCUACAAAGCUACCUUUUGCGCGAGAUAGAUUCGUGGAAGGCUACUUUUGGAUAUUUGGGGUGUACCAGGGUUCAAAGUAUUAGCCGAGUCCCAUACGACUCGACCGAGUCGUAUCUGCCUCGACACUUACCACGAUGAGUCCGAUACCAGGUACAAUCCUAUGCACUAACUCAACAUUAAAUCAGUAGGACUCAAUUGGCUUGGCUCAAAUUCCGAGUUAACUUGGUUGAAUCGGUUAAAUUACAAAAUUUUUUCUGAUUCAAAUCAGUGAUUUUUUUUCCCUUUCAAAUUAGAACAUAAAGAUCAUAAAAUUUUCCAAAAAAAUCAAAGGAAGAAGAAACAUUGAAAUUUAAUCGAGCCGUGACUUCUUUUUAAGUCUAGAAGAGGAGAGAUCAGGCAGAUGAGGGCUCACUUACCUCACCACAAUCGACGGAGCAUGAGAGUUUUGGGACCGAUGGAUCACUCCUCAGCGUCGAUUUCAGUGAACUAAGCAUUGGAUACCUUUUCCGGUGACGACGACCAUUCGGGGAGAGCUUUUAUCGCAAGUUUGCAAACUUGUAGUCAAAACAAUAUUUGGGAAAGUAAAUUAAAACUAGAAUGUUAUGAUUUAUAUGCACUAUGAGAUUUAAUGAGAAUAACUUGGAUGGCAUUUUAAUAUUUUUAAUUUAUUAUAUAAUCUAAAUUUUUUGUCUUAUAACAUUCCAAAUUAAAGUAGAAAAUCAAUAAUUAUUUAAAAAAUAUAUUUUUAAAAGAAUCAUAAUUAUAAAAACAACAUUUUAAUAAUAGGUUUAUAUUAGGGAAUCAAUAAUUAUUUUUGUAUGUUAUAAAGAUUACAUUUAUACUUGAAUUAUUUUUAAUUUUUUAUAUCAUAUAAAUUUUUUAUCUUAUAAUAUUGUAAAUUUUAAUUAUAUUAGGAAAUCAAUGAAUGAUUUUAUAACUAUUUAAAUGAUGUUAGUUAUGAGAUAAUUUUUUUUUAUAUUAUUUUUUACCUUAUUUACUUACUUGUACCUAUUUUUUUAAAAUAAUUUACAUAAUAUUUUUAAAAUUUUUAAAAUUUUCUAAUUAUCAUAUUUUGCGUAUCUUCCGAUACCAAACCGAUACACUGAGAUCGAUGUGCCUCAAGAUCGUCCGAGUCAAUGAUCGAUACUGCGACUUUGAAUCAUGAGGUGUACUUUGAGCCUCAAUAUGUCCGGGCUAGAUGAAUUCUAACCAAAACAAUUUCCAUGACAUCCAUUAUAGAUGAUAUAUAUGACACAUAUGGCACAUUUGAAAAACUCGAGCUCUUCACCGAGGCCAUUGAGAGGUUUGAUUGAUGCAAAUUACCAACCUUCAUCAUUUAUAUUGUAUGUGAUACUUAAAUCAAGCCUGGUUUUAUUUUCAGGUGGGAUAUUAACAGCAUAGAUCACCUUCCAGAAUACAUGAAACACUGCUAUGUGGCACUCUUAGAUGUGUACAAGAGAUGGAGAAAAAAGGAAACCAAUAUCGGGUUCAAAAUGCGAUAGAAGCAGUAGGACAUUCUGCAUUGACUUUGUUUUGUAUAGUAACAUAUCGUAAGGAUAUGGAUGUAACUUGAUUGAAUGUUUGACAGAUGAAAAACCUAGUUAGAGCUUAUUUUCAUGAGGCUAAUUGGUUCCAUGAAGGAAGCAUACCAACAAUGGAAGAGUAUAUGAGGAUAGCACUGGUAACCUCAGGUUACUACAUGCUUACAACCAUGUCUUUCAUUGGUAUGGGAGAAAUUGUAACAAAGGAGGCCUUUGAUUGGGUGAUCAGUGACCCUAAGAUUAUCACAGCAUCAGCUGUAAUUUGUAGGCUCAUGGAUGACAUCAGUUCACAUAAGGUAUUGUGAAUAUAGUAUUUCUUGUUAAGCUAUAAUUUGACCUUGACCUUAAAGCUCAAUCAAUUAAACAUAUUUACUGUACUCUUCUUCUAAACUAUAUAUGCAGUUUGAGCAAAAGAGAGGGCAUGUUGCCUCAGGCAUUGAAUGUUACAUGAAGCAAUAUGGUGCCUCUGAGGAAGAGGCAUACGAUGAGUUUCAGAAGCAAGUUGUGGAUGCAUGGAGGGAUAUUAACGAGGAGUUCCUACGACCUACAGUUGUUCCGAUGCCUCUCCUAAUGCGUGUGCUUAAUCUUUCUCGAGUGAUGGAUGUGAUCUACACGGGGGGAGAUGGGUACACUCAUGUUGGAAAAGUGAUGAAGAACAAUGUUGCAUCACUGCUCAUUCACCCUAUUGUAUGACCAAAUGGAUCAAGUUGAUCACCAUCUACAUAUUCUGCCUUACCUAGGGAGUAGGAUGAAUAAAAAUUAUUGUAAUAGUAUGGGAGAGACCUAUAAUGCUGUGACCCUAAGAUUAUCACAGCAUCAGCUGUAAUUUGUAGGCUCAUGGAUGACAUCAGUUCAUAUAAGGUAUUGUGAACAUAGUAUUUCUUGUUAAGCUAUAAUUUGACCUUGACCUUAAAGCUCAAUCAAUUAAACAUAUUUACUGCACUCAUUUGUGCGAUUCUUUUUCUUGGUAUCCAUGAUUAAUUAAUUAAUUGUCAUAAUUCUCUUAAUUCGUUUUGUAGAGAUCAUAUGUAUACGGACUUCAAAGGGUGCUACGGCUCACCAUUGUACAUUCCCAAGUAACCUGAUAAUCGGAUCUAGAUUCGAUUUUUGUAAACAUGUAUUUUUCAAAUAAGAAGUCACACAUGAUUUUCUUUUUAUUUUGUUUUUCCUUAAAAAAAAACUAAAAUAAAUAGCGACUAACUUUUCAAAAAUCAAUUUUUCACAAUGAAAAAGCGAGUCUCGCCAUUUUAAGUGGGGACACACAUGAAAAAUGCGGGUCCAUAAUGAGUUUAAUUAUUUCUAAAUUCAAAGGAUUAUAAAAAUUUAUUUAUAUAAAAAAAGGAUAUUCCAUUUUGAUGAUUCCAAUCUAUUUUAAGUACCAAAGAAAGUUUUGAUUUUUUUUCUUAUUUACAAAAAAAUGCUUCAAAGUUCUUAAUUUUCACAAAUUUUAUUUACCAACAUUCCAAUUUGAUUUUCAUACAGAAAGAAACUAUUUUUAUAAUUUUUAUUAAAAUAUGAUUUUUUUUUCAAUUUUUUUAAAAAAGUAUCUAAAUCUAAUCUUAUGUCCAUGAGAAUACUUUUACAAAUUCUUUAAGAAACGGAUUUUAAAAAUUUAUUUUUAAAAAAAAUUACAAUUUUAUUUAGAAAAUAAUAAAUAUUCGGAUCCAAUUUUAAUUACAUAAAAAAAUUAUUUUUUUAGUUUUUAUUGAAAAUAAGAUUUUUACAAUUUUAUUUACAUAAGUAUGAAAAUCCAAUUCCAUAUUAUUUACUAAAAUGCAUUUUUUUUUUUACUAUUUUUAAUAAGACAUGAUUUUUACAAUUUUUUUUUAAAGUUUACGAUUUUUAUUAAAAAAAAAAAAGUCUUUGCAAUUUUUUUUAACAAAUUUUUUAAUGUUUUAUUAAAACAAAAUGAUUUCUAGAUUUUAUUUUUUUUUAAAAUGAUUUUCAAAAGUUUAAAAAAAAAAAAAAACCUUUACAGUUUUAUUUAAAAAAAAAAAAACGAUUUUCCAACUGUAUUUACAAUUUAUUUAAAAACGGAUUUUACAGUUUAAAAAAAAAUACAUUUUAUUGUUUUAUUUCAAUCUUACUGUUGUUUUUAUUUUUUUGGAAAAAAAAAAAAAAAAAGAGAAGCUCAAAUUUAUUUUUCUCCUCUCUCUCUCUCUCCCUCCACACGCUCAUUAACUUUAAUGUCAAGGUAUCAGCCCAAUUGACUUGAUUUAUAUUAACUUAAAACUUUUGUUCUAAUAGGUACCUUCAUAUAACGGCAAAGCCUUUGAUUUAUAUAGGAAGUCAUGGAGGUGAACUGUGAACCUUAGUGAUGCGUACCCAAACCCUACCAUUUAUUUGUAAUAUAGUCAUCAUAAUAUUUAAAUUAAACAUUUAAAAUAUGUUUUUUGUUCUCUUAGAAAUACGAAAAGUGUAUCUUAUUCCCUUAAUAAUUCUCAACAUUCAACCAGCCGCCAAACAGUGAUUAAGACUUUUUCACGUGAAGAUAAAACUUAUGAUUGAUCUUAUUUUUAUAAAAACACUAAAAAACGAUUUUUUUUAUCUUUAACUUAAAAAUGGUUUUUAAAAAUAAUUUUUAGAAAACAUAAAUUAAACAGACUCUUAGGGUUUCAUUUGAGAAAUAAAUGAAGAAGAUUACAAAAAAAUUGAAAAUAAAUAAAGAAGAUGAUAUUUUAAUUUUUAUUUAAUAUCUUAAUUUUUAUUAUCUAAAAUUAUUUAAUUAUUCUAAUUAAUGAUAUUUUGAGUUUAAUUAUGAUUAAAAUAUAUAAAAGUCUUAAAUUGAGAUAAGUUGCUUAAAUGAUUGAUUGUGGAUUGAAAUUUUACUCACAAAAUAUGCAUGUGGCUUUCGCUUGAAAAGGCAUAUGUUGGGAAGCAGUUAUGCUUGGUUACGAGUUCUAUAAGCUUACGAUUUUAGAUUUGCAUGAUUAUCUUAAUUUGGAUUAGACAGCUACGGAGAAGGGGCCUUUAUUCAAACUGUUUGUCUUAUUCUCAACAAAGGAAGCAUUUUAUUUAAAACAGAACACUCUAAGAAAAACUAACAGCCAAAUUAAAACAAUUAGGCCAUGUUUGGUACGAAGCCAAAGCAAUUAGGUCAUGUUUAGCAUGAAGCCAAAUCACGACCAUGUUUGGUAUAUAGAAAUGAAGAGUAAGAAUAGAUAUGUUAUUUAUUUUCUCAUUCAUUUUCAUAUUUGGAUGAUUUAAGUAUAGUAAAAAUAAAAUAAAAAAUAAUUUCAAAGAAAUGAAACAAGUUAUUCUUAAAAACACUUUUUAAAAGUUAAAAAUCAAAAACUUUUUUAGAUAAGUCCGUUUUAAAAAUAAUUUUUUAUUUUGAUUUUGUAAAAAAGAAAUUAUAAAUUCAAUUUAUAUAAUAUAAAAUUAAUUUAAUUCAAGUCUUAUAAAAAAUAAAAAUAACUUUGUAAUUAUAAAUACAUUUUUAAAUUAAAUAUUUUUUAAUAAAAUAUGAAUAGGAUUAUCAUAAUAUAAUCAUAAAUUAUAUUUUUAAUAAAUAUUAUAAAAAAUAUGGAUAUUAACCUCUUAUAAAAGCAUAAUUGAUUUAUUUUGUUAAAAAUAAAUAAUAAUGAUUUAAAAUUAAUAAUUACUAAUACUAUUUUUUAAAAUUAUUAUACUUACUACUUUGUUUUAAAAAAUUAUUUCUCAAGAACAAUAAUCGAUAGUGGUAUUAAUUUUUAAAAACAAUUUUAUUUUUAAAUGAAAAGCCUAAACAGGUUUUUAUUAUUUAGCAAAAAAAAAAAAAAAAAACACUGUCAAACAUUUUUUUAAAAUGAAAAUAAAAAAAUUAUUUAAAAUGAUGUAUUGUGUAAGAGAUUUUUUUUAAAAUAAAAAUAAAAGAUUAAAGAUACUAUAAAUUAUGAUUAAAAUAAUGAAAAUUAAUAAAAUGAUAUUGGCUUUUUUUUUUAAAUACAUUCGAAAUAUUAAUCUAAAAAAAGAAGAUAAAUGAAUAAUAUAUUGAAAAAUAUAACUUUGUCUUUUUUCUUACAAUAAUUUUCAUAGCUUUAAAAAUAGUGAUCUUUAAUUUUCUUGCUAUUAUUUAUUAUUAGCUGAGUUGUAUAAAUUACAUUGUUAUAGUUUCCUUUAAAACCAAAAUAAAAAUCAAUCCAUGUGGUUCAAUGACAAUAUUGGCUGAAAAAAAAAAAUCACUUAAUUUUCAUCUACUAGAUCCUAGCCGCCACCUAAUAUUUAUGACUUGUUUGGAUAUUUUGAGUGAAUUUAACCAAAGAGACACUAGAAGGCCAAUAGUUUUCUUGCCAUCAGUCUCUUCCAUGCACUACCCUUUCAAAUCAUGGGCCCCAAAACCAAACCAAAUUCCACAUACUUUUCAACUACAUACAACCAAUGAAUGCCAAUGCUGCCCUAUAAAUAUGGAGCUUGCCAAGCUAUUUCUCUCAUACUUACUGUAACGCCGAAGUAUUUUUUUAAGGGUAAUUUAGGAAAUUACUAAUAAUAAUUCAAUUAGUUAAUUAAUUAAUUUAAUAAAGUGGAAGAUGGGUAAAAGUGUAAUUUUAUGAAUAAAUACCCUAGGUAUAAAUUAGAAAUUCUAUUUCUUCCUGUUCUUUUCUGAAUAGAAUUCCUGUUCGCAGAAUUUCAGAGAACGUAGAUUGAAGUUAGAUUUCAGGGUUGAAGAACAGAUCUCUAUAGGUAAGAUUCAGUUUAAUAUUUUAGAUUCAUUGAUUAAUUUCAAACACAUUAGAUAUCUUUUGGAAAACCCAAAUCUAGAUUAGGGUUAGUUUAUUUUAUUUUUUUUAAUUCGUUUUCAUAUCAAUAGUAAAAAAAUAAAAAAAAUAAAAAAAUAAAAAUAAAAAUUUAAGAUUUUGAUUUAUUGUUGGUAUUUAGGAGAUCUUAAGUUUUAUUAGAUGAAAAACAAAAAAAAGGUUCCUUGGAAGGUUUCGAUUUUAUAUUAGGGUUAAUUUUAUUAAAAAAAGAAAAAGGGCGUGCGCCAAAUGAAAGGAAGCCUUAUAUAUAUAUAUAAUGAAUCAUGAUGAUGGCAAUGGAAAAAAAAAAACUUGCUUUUUGGUUUGGUGUACCCGAGACAACUAGGUAAUGGUUGAGUGACUUUUGAAUUGGUUAAUUAAAAUAAUAAUAUUUAGUUUAAGAUUCAUAAUUAAGAUAAUAGUAAUAAUAGUCUUCUUUUUUUUGUAAUAAAUAGAAUGAGAGAUUUAGCAAAAUAUAUAUAUAUAUAUAUAUAUAUAUAUAUAGAAUUUUAUAAUGAAAUAAAAUUGUAAUUUAAUUAAAUUAGUAAUGUGUUAUUAGAAACAAAUUGAGAAUUUAUUAAUUUUAUUUAAAUAAGGAAUAGAUUAGUUAAAUUAUAGAUAAAUAGUAAUAAUUAUUUAUCUUAUGUUAUAUUAGGAGAAGAGUAGAUUUUUCCAGAAUUAUUUUUCUCCCAAGCUUUCAAGGUCUUUGCAUAAUUUGAGGUAAGGGAAGUUAAUGCAAUAUUUAUAAAAUUUAAAUUAUUUUAUAUGUUAUUUUGAAUUGUGGAAAAGAAAAUGAUAUUUUGUUACCAUGCAUGGAUCAAAUUGUUUUGCACUAAAUAUUAUGUUGGAAUAUUUUGUUUUAUUUAUGACACAAAAUAUGGAGAUAUUAUGUUGUGUAAAUUUGAAUACUUGAACAAAAACAUCACUCUGGUUUAUUUGACCCUUGUCAACGAGAUAUAAUAGUUGACUAUUCGGCCCUGUCAACAGGAUAUAAUAGUUGACCUUUACAUUUCAUGGUAAGAAUGUAAUUGAUUUGGACCCCAGCCUCUAGGGGUUUGGUUAGAGGUUACUAGUAGUAGUAGUGUUUGGUUCCGUCCACCAGGAACAACUUGAGGCUAGCCACCCAUUUGAAAAGUCCCACCUAACUGGGCAUUUGAUAUUUGAUAACCAGAGUAAUGAAAAUUGAAUGGAUUUGAUUGAAUCUUAUGUGAAAGUGUUUGAAUUUGAUAUGAAAAUGGUUGGUUGAAUUUUGAAUAUAUUGGUAUUUUUGAAACUCUGAUAUUUGAUGAGAAAAAAAAAUGAUAUCUCCUAUUUGAAAUGAAAAUAUUUUUCCAUGAACUGCAUUAAUAUUCCUUACUGGGCUGUGAGCUCAUUCCCAAUUGUUGAAAACUUUUCAGGUACUCUUAGUUCGGGUGAGGAGUGAUGGCUAGGAUGAGGAAUGGUCAUCAUUAGGAUUUGACUUAGGAUUUUAUGUUGGAUUUUGUUUAACUGUUAGUUAUGUUCAUUUGGACCCUUUGGUAUUUGGAAGUUAUUUGGAUAUUGAUCCUUCAAAUUUUAUGUUAGAUCAAAGUUGAGUUUUGGAGAUUUUGAAAUUUGUUCUAGUACUUGAAUUGUUUAAGUUUGCAAAUAUUUGGAUAAUGGAUUUUGGAUAGUGGAUGUUUUAGUUUUGAAAUUGAAUUUUGAGGAUUUUAGAUUUUGUUCCGCUACUCUGAAUAGGUAUUUGGUAAUUAGUAACUUCCGAUUACAAGAUAAUUGUUUGGGUCGGGUUACACUGUAAGCCUUCGGGUUUGAAGUGUGAAAUGACCGUCACGCUCUUGGAGUGGGUCUUGGGGCGUGACAGAGUGGUAUCAGAGCACUAGGUUUUGAUCUUGAUGGGAAUUUGAAUUGGUUUAGAUUGGGGAUAGAUGAGUGACGCAUUUGUUUAAGUUUUAGUUUCAUUUAGUAUAAAUUCCAAUUCUUUCUUUAUUUGUAAAUUUUCUAAUUGGUUCUUUAGUGACUAAAUUAGUUAUGCCUUAUUAUUUUAGGACAUCAUGCCACCAAGAAGAGCAACUUCUUCACAAAAUAGUCAGAUUAAUGAUGAUGUACCUCCAGUUGAGGGUUUGCCUCCCGUGAGUGCAAAAGGGAUCUAUAGGUAUCUUGGGACACUAGCUGGUUUAGUUGAACGCCAAGCUCGAGCUGUUGGGACUAAUGUUCAGGGACAGACUUCAUCUUCUAGGGGUAACUCUUUUGAUGACUUCAAGAAAUUGGGUCCUCCUUACUUUUCUGGUGCUACAGAUCCCACAGAGGCAGAGGCUUGGAUCCUUAAGGUGGAGAAAUUCUUUGGUGUCAUAGAUUGCUCUGAGGAGCAAAAAGCCUCUUAUGCAGCUUUUAUGUUAGAUAAAGAGGCAGAUCAUUGGUGGCGUAUGACUAGGAGACUUUUGGAGGAUCAGGGACCCAUAACAUGGAGACAAUUUAAGGAGGCUUUCUACAAGAAGUAUUUCCCUGACAGUGUUAGGCGGCAGAAGGUGGGAGAGUUUAUUCAUUUGGAACGGGGAGAUAUGACUGUGGCUCAAUAUGAGGCCAAAUUUACAGAGUUAUCAUGUUUUUCCCCACAGUUGAUUGCUACAGAGGAGGAAAAGGCAUUAAAGUUUCAGGAUGGAUUGAAGCCUUAUUUGAAGAACAAGAUAUCUAUUCUGAAGCUUGGUGUCUAUUCAGAGGUUGUUGACAGAGCCCUUAUAGCAGAGAAAGAUAAUGAGGAGCUUCAUCAGUAUAGGGAACAACAAAGGAAGUGAAAUAGGAGUGAUAGUGCUCAUGGUAAUCAAGCACAGCGAAGGUCUACAUCAGGAAGAAAUCAGAAUAAAGGGAAUGCAACGCAUUAUUUAGAUGGGGCUUGUCCUACUUGUGGUAAGAAGCAUGGGGGUAGGCCAUGCUAUAGAGAGACUGGAGCUUGCUUUGGUUGUGGGAAGCAAGGACAUUUGAUCAGAGAUUGUCUAGAGAAUAGGAAGUUCAUCAAUGGGAAGCCUAAAGAGGAAAAUAAGGAGGAUAAACAGAAACCCAAAGCCCAAGAACGGGUGUUUUCUUUGACUCAUCGAGAUGCUCAGGCCACUUCUGAUGUGGUAACAGGUACUCUCCGAAUCCACACCUUAUUUGCUAGAGUCUUGAUUGAUCCUGGAUCAACACACUCUUUUGUUUCAGUAUCUUUUGCCAGUUUGUUGGGUUUGCCUGUUGCUAGCAUGGACUUUGAUUUGAUUGUUACUACUCUUGUGGGAGAUUCUGUUGUGGUCAGUAGAAUGCUUAGAAAUUGUAUUGUGAUGAUUGGUUAUAGGGAAAUGCCAGUUGACUUAGUACUCCUUGAUCUUUAGGAUUUUGAUGUGAUUUUGGGGAUGGAUUGGUUAGCUUCCUACCAUGCCUCUGUUGACUAUUUUGAGAAAAUGGUGACGUUUAGUAUUCCUGGUCAGCCUAAGUUUAGCUUUGAAGGGAAGCAUGUGGACAGACCACUGCGUAUGAUCUCAGCCUUGCGAGCUAGUAGCUUGCUCAAGAAGGGUUGCCAAGGAUUUUUGGCUAGUGUGAUGAGUAAUGAAAGUGAUUUGAAGUUGGAAAACAUACCCAUAGUAAGGGAGUAUGUUGAUGUCUUUCCAGAGGAUUUGCCUGGCUUGCCACCAGAGAGAGAGGUGGAGUUUACCAUCGAUUUGGUACCAGGAACAGGUCCUAUGUCUAAGGCCCCAUACAAGAUAGCACCUGUGGAGCUUAAGGAGUUGAAAGUUCAGCUUCAAGAGUUAUUAGACAAGGGUUUUAUCAGGCCUAGUGUUUCACCUUGGGGAGCUCCUGUUCUAUUUGUAAAAAAGAAGGAUGGCUCAAGGAGACUUUGCAUUGACUAUAGGGAGUUGAAUAAGGUGACAGUGAAGAACAAGUAUCCCCUUCCUCGGAUUGAUGAUUUGUUUGAUCAGCUAUAAGGUGCUUGUGUGUUCUCUAAGAUAGAUCUUCAAUCGGGUUAUCACCAGUUGAGGGUUAGAGGGGAAGAUGUACCCAAGACUGCUUUUCGAACUAGGUAUGGGCACUAUGAGUUUCUUGUUAUGCCUUUUGGUUUGACUAAUGCACCUGCUACUUUUAUGGACUUGAUGAAUAGGGUAUUCAAACCCUAUUUAGAUCAGUUUGUGGUGGUUUUUGUAGAUGACAUCUUGGUAUACUCAAGAAGUAGAGAGGAGCAUGAGGGCCAUUUGAGUAUUGUAUUACAGACCCUCAGAGAUAAGCAGUUGUAUGCUAAACUGAAGAAGUGUGAGUUUUGGUUAGACCGAAUUNNNNNNNNNNNNNNNNNNNNNNNNNNNNNNNNNNNNNNNNNNNNNNNNNNNNNNNNNNNNNNNNNNNNNNNNNNNNNNNNNNNNNNNNNNNNNNNNNNNNAACGAAGAAGUUGCAGCCAUUACAAGCCAGUCACUCUAAAGUGUUGCGGAAUCAGCCUUUUGUUGCGAGAAUUUCGCAGCACUUUUGUACAGUAAGGUGUUUCUCCUUCUGACGAUGCACGAACCAUGCCGCGAGAAGGGAGCUGGAAACUUCAAGAUGGAAGCCAACUUUGCAGCCUAGUGAAGAUAGCUCGGUCUUGCAAGAUAAUUUCGCAGCCCUCUUGGGUGUCUGCGAAAUUUCGCAGGCCCCACUUUUCACCUGCGAAAUGGCUCCUGAAGCCUCCCGAAGCUUGCUACCGACAUUGGGAGAUAUUUUCCAUUAGAUUUUUGUUGUCUAAAUCCCAAAAUACUCCUUGUAAACCACCAAUUACAUGAUUCCUUAGUUUUUAGGUUAGUAAAAAGACCAAAUAUCUUUGUAAGAAUUAGUUUUAUAUUAGUUUGAUAUAAAUACCUCUCGGGAGCCUGUUCUCGGGGAGGAGUUCCUUCUGUAAACAUUUGGUAAGGAAGUAAAGGUCUUUUCUUUCUACUGCCUUACCUUCUCACUUUGUAUUUUCAUUAUAUUUCUAAGUUAUGAAUUCUCUGAGGAGUUUUCCCCAGAGAAUGAGUAACUAAACCUCCAAUUCCUUGGAGCUAAGGUUGCCGGGGAAGGUUCCAAGUGCAAAAAUGCAAAGCUCUGUGGUUUUAGCUAGUAAUGAAGAGGAAGUGAAAUCCUUUAGUGAUUUCAAUGUUUUUAGUUAACUUAAAACACCUUGGAGUCACCUGGGCCAACACUUGGUAAGGCAAGUGAUUUCCAACCGUGGAAAUGCACUAGUUUACCCCUUGCGAGCCUCUGGUAGGUGACUUCAAGGUAGGAUUUUCCGGAAUUACCAACACUUGGUAAGCUUUUGGACUCCUAGGAGACAUCCAUUAGUUAUCUCUUGCGAGUUUGUGAAGGGAAGUCCAAGGUUAAAGAUCACCUUGAAUGGUAAGUGCUCGUGAGAGGCAUGAACCAUUGCAAGGUGCAUCAGUGAGAGAAUUAAAGUGAAAUCUAAUUGAAGGAGUCUCUGUACAUCACCGGUUAGAGACUUGACUCUAAGUUGAAUCUCUAAUGCGAGGAAAUGAACCAUCUGACCAGAGCUAUGUCUUUUGCAUGAGGAACCACCCCAGUGAACCUAAAUCUCCNNNNNNNNNNNNNNNNNNNNNNNNNNNNNNNNNNNNNNNNNNNNNNNNNNNNNNNNNNNNNNNNNNNNNNNNNNNNNNNNNNNNNNNNNNNNNNNNNNNNAAAUCAAAGUUUGUGUUUUAUUUCUUAAACUAACCGUGAAAUGAAACAAAACCAAUUCACUUGGAAUUGGUAUCCUUGAUUGCUUGCAAAUCAUUCCUAGUGAACGAUCCUUAGAGCCACUAUACUAUAGUAGCUUUGUAUUUGCUACCCUAGUGUAUGGUGUUAUAGGUAUAAAUUUUGUUGAUCACUUCCUCAAUCAAGGAGCACCAGCUGAACACAAAUCAGCUGAGACACCAAUUGGGCAUGAGUCAGAGAUCUUGAGAUUUGGGACUAGACUUUGUGUCCCAAAUGAUGAAGACUUAAGAAGGGAGCUUUUAGAGGAAGCUCAUUGUUCCAAGUUUGCAAUCCACCCAAGAGGGACAAAGAUGUACAAGGAUUUGAGGCAAAACUAUUGGUGGUCAGGUAUGAAGCAUGAUAUUGCACAAUUUGUGGCUCAGUGUUUAGUGUGUCAACAGGUGAAGGCUGAGCAUCAGCGACCAGCAGGGUCUUUGCAGCCACUUGCUAUUCCUGAGUGGAAGUGGGAGCAUAUUACCAUGGAUUUUGUGAUAGGAUUGCCAAGAACCUUAGGGAGUAAUAAUGCUAUUUGAGUGGUUGUUGAUCGGUUGACAAAGUCUGCUCACUUUUUGCCUAUGAAAGUCAACUUUUCUUUAGAUCGUUUAGCUUUUCUUUAUGUGAAGGAGAUUGUGAGAAUGCAUGGAGUACUAGUUUCUAUAGUGUCUGAUAGAGAUCCUCGUUUCACUUCUAGAUUCUGGCAUAGUCUAUAAAAAGCUUUGGGCACUAAGUUGAGUUUUAGUACUGCUUUCCAUCCUCAAACUGAUGGUCAAUCAGAAAGGGUAAUUCAGGUUUUAGAAGACUUGUUGAGAGCUUGUAUUUUGGACUUGCAAGGUAAUUGGGAUGAUCAUUUACCUUUAGUAGAGUUUGCCUAUAACAAUAGUUUUCAAGCUAGCAUUGGGAUGUUACCUUUUGAGGCAUUGUAUGGUAGGAAAUGUCGAUCUCCUAUCUGUUGGAAUGAUGUUGGAGAAAGGAAACUUUUGGGGCCUGAACUUGUGCAGUUGAUUGUUGAAAAAGUUGCUUUGAUUAAAGAAAGAUUAAAAGCAGCUCAAAGUAGACAUAAGAGUUAUGCUAAUCAUCGUAGGCGAGAUUUGGAGUUUGAGGUGGGUGAUAUGUGUUCUUGAAAGUUUCACCUAUGAAGUCUGUGAUGAGAUUUGGGAGAAAAGAAAAACUUAGUCCUCGUUUUGUGGGUUCGUUUGAAAUAUUAGAAAGAGUAGGCACUUUGGCAUAUAAAGUAGCCUUGCCCCCAAGUCUAUCUAAGAUUCAUAAUGUUUUCCAUGUUUCAACCUUGAGGAAGUAUAUUUAUAAUCCAUCUCAUGUUGUGGAGUUGGAGCCUAUUCAAAUUUCGGAGGACUUGACCUAUGAAGAGGUACCCGUUCAAAUUGUGGAUGUGAUGGAUAAGGUACUGCGACAUGUUGUUGUCAAGUUGGUAAAGGUCCAGUGGAGCAAUCAUAGUAUCCGAGAGGCCACUUGGGAGUUAGAAGAAGAGAUGAGAGAAAAACAUCCUCAAUUAUUUCAAGACUCAAGUAUGUCAAGUUUAGAAGACUAAACUUUUGUUAAGAAGGGGAGGAUGUAACGCCCAAGUAUUUUUUUAAGGGUAAUUUAGGAAAUUACUAAUAAUAAUUCAAUUAGUUAAUUAAUUAAUUUAAUAAAGUGGAAGAGGGGUAAAAGUGUAAUUUACAAAUAAAUACCCUAGGUAUAAAUUAGAAAUUCUAUUUCUUCUUGUUCUUUUCUGAAUAGAGUUCCUGUUCGCAUGAAUUUCAGAGAACAUAGGUUGGAGUCAGAUUUCAAGGUUGAAGAACAGAUCUCUAUACGUAAGAUUUUAACCCCUAGUUUAAUAUUUUAGAUUCAUUGAUUAAUUUCAAACACAUUAGAUAUCUUUUGGAAAACCCAAAUCUAGAUUAGGGUUAGUUUUUAUUUUUUUUUUAUUUUUUUUUUUUAAUUCGUUCUAAUAUCAAUAGUAAAAAUAAUAAUAAUAAUAAUAAAAAUUUAAAAAAAAUUUAAGAUUUUGAUUUAUUGUUGGUAUUUGGGAGAUCUUAAGUUUUAUUAGAUGAAAAAAAAAAAAGGUUCCUUGGAAGGUUUCAAUUUUAUAUUAGGGUUAAUUUUAUUAAAAAAAGAAAAGGGGCGUGUGCCAAAUGGAAGGAAGCCUUAUAUAUAUAUAUAUAUAUAUAUAUAAUGAAUCAUGAUGAUGGCAAUGGAAAAAAAAAAAAAAACUUGCUUUUUGGUUUGGUGUACCCAAGACAACUAGGUAAUGGUUGAGUGGCUUUUGAAUUGGUUAAUUAAAAUAAUAAUAUUUAGUUUUAGAUUAAUAAUUAAGAUAAUAGUAAUAAUAGUCUUUUUUUUUUUUGUAAUAAAUAGAAUGAGAGAUUUAGCAAUAUAUAUAUAGAAUUUUAUAAUGAAAUAAAAUUGUAAUUUAAUUAAAUUAGUACUGUGUUAUUAGAAACAAAUUGAGAAUUUAUUAAUUUUAUUUAAAUAAGGAAUAGAUUAGUUAAAUUAUAGAUAAAUAGUAAUAAUUAUUUCUCUUAUGUUAUAUUAGGAGAAGAAUAGAUUUUUCCUGAAUUAUUUUUCUCCCAAGCUUUCAAGGUCUUUGCAUAAUUUGAGGUAAGGGAAGUUAAUGCAAUAUUUAUAAAAUUUAAAUUAUUUUAUAUGUUAUUUUGAAUUGUGGAAAAGAAAAUGAUAUUUUGUUACCAUGCAUGGAUCAAAUUGUUUUGCACUAAAUAUUAUGUUGGAAUAUUUUGUUUUAUUUAUGACACAAAAUAUGAAGAUAUUAUGUUGUGUAAAUUUGAAUACUUGAACAAAAACAUCACUCUGGUUUAUUUGACCCUUGUCAACGAGAUAUAAUAGUUGACUAUUCGGCCCUGUCAACGGGAUAUAAUAGUUGACCUUUACAUUUCAUGGUAAGAAUGUAAUUGAUUUGGACCCCAACCUCUAGGGGUUUGGUUAGAGGUUACUAGUAGUAAUAGUAUUUGGUUCCGUCCACCAAGAACAAUUUGAGGCUAGCCACCCAUUUGAAAAGUCCCACCUAACUGGGCAUUUGAUAUUUGAUAACUAGAGUAAUGAAAAUUGAAUGGAUUUGAUUGAAUCUUAUGUGAAAGUGUUUGAAUUUGAUAUGAAAAUGGUUGGUUGAAUUUUGAAUAUAUUGGUAUUUUUGAAACUCUGAUAUUUGAUGAGAAAAAAAAAAUGAUAUCUCCUAUUUGAAAUGAAAAUAUUUGAUCCAUGAACUGCAUUAAUAUUCCUUAUUGGGUUGUGAGCUCAUUCCCAAUUGUUGAAAAAUUUUCAGGUACUCUUAGUUCGGGUGAGGAAUGAUGGCUAAGCUGAGGAAUGGUCAUCAUUAGGAUUUGACUUAGGAUUUUAUGUUGGAUUUUGUUUAACUGUUUGUUAUGUUCAUUUGGACCCUUUGGUAUUUGGAAGUUAUUUGGAUAUUGAUCCUUCAAAUUUUAUGUUAGACCAAAGGUGAGAUUUGGAGAUUUUGAAAUUUGUUCUAGUACUUGAAUUGUUUAAGUUUGCAAAUAUUUGGACAAUGGAUUUUGGAUAGUGGAUGUUUUAGUUUUGAAAUUGAAUUUUGAGGAUUUUAGAUUUUGUUCCGCUACUCUGAACAGGUAUUUGGUAAUUGGUAACUUCCGAUUACAAGAUAAUUGUUUGGGUCAGGUUACACUGUAAGCCUUCGGGUUUGAAGUGUGAAAUGACCGUCAUGCCCUUGGAGUGGGUCUUGAGGCGUGACACUUACCGAUUCAUCAUUCAAGGUAUAGAACUGUUCUAUCAUUGAUCCAAGGAAUUAACAUGUCUACUCAAGUCUCAGCAUCUUCUCUAGCCCAGAUUCCCAAACCCAAAAAUCGUCCUGGCAAACUUUCACCCCAACAUUUGGGGUGACCAAUUUAUCACCUGCACUCCUGAAGACUAUGCAUCAAUUAUAAAUUUGACAGUUAUUUUUCUUAAUAUGUUGGAUGAUAAAAUUUGUUGGUCAAGGUUACACGUGCUUGCAAAGAGGAGCAGAUUGAGGAUCUGAAAAAGGAAGUGAAAAGGGAAUUAACGGUUGUUGUUGUUGCUAACCCUUCCCAAUUGCUGAACUUCAUUGAUGCAUACCACUUUGAGCAAGAGAUAGAAGAAGCAUUACAACAAAUUUGUAAUAGUUUUCAUGAUUGCAAUGAUAUGGAUGGUGAUCUCUACAAUAUUGCUCUUGGAUUUCGACUACUAAGGCAACAAGGGUACAGUAUUUCAUGUUGUAAGAGACUAAGAAAAAAUUGUUAUGUUAAACCUUCUUAUCAUUCAAAAUCUUAUGUUCAAGUGGUGAUGUUUAUGUAGGUAUAUUGAACAAGUUUACGGAUGAAUGAGGUAGAUUCAAGGAAGCUUUGAUCAACGAUGUAAGAGGCAUGCUAGGCUUGUAUGAAGCUGCACAUCUGAGGGUUCAUGGUGAGGACAUACUUGCAGAAGCACUUACUUUCACCACCACUCACCUCGAGGCCAUGGUAGAAAGUUUAGGAUAUCCUCUUGCAGAACAAGUUGCCCAUGCCCUGAACCGACCAUUAGAAAAGGUUUGGAGAGGUUAGAGGCAAGAUGGUAUUUAUCUGUCUACCAAGUGUUGGUUUAAGGGUAUGGAAACAAAGGACUAACUCAAAAGACACAAACAAAAAACAUAAUGAAUAGUAAGAAAAACUUAUUAGUUGAGGCGUGACAAACACUGUUCUUGAAAUAGAUCCACCCUCUUCGAAAACGAACUGAAUGCACUAAGGUGCCAGUGGUCUACCUCCAGGAUUCAAUAGCCAGAUCUUGCCUUGGGUGCACUCUAUAAGUGAGACAUGUACAACUUGGUUUUGAAAAAAUUCCUCCAAAAAGAUGUAUGAAAGACUCUCUGAAAAAUUGGUAUUCAAAGAGUAAAAGGUGACCUGCUUUUAUAGGUCACCAACACAGUCCUAAUGGGACUCUACUUGUAAUCAGAGGACUCAAAGUGGAAUGAGAUUCUACUUAUAAGUGAAACAGGACUCUAUUAGCACAAUCCCAAUGGGAUUCUUCCCAAAGGUAAAAGACUAAGUCAAAUGGAAUAAAAAUUAAAUAAAAAAAAUUGAAUUUUGUAAAAAUUAGUCAAAUUCGCUAAAACACUUUUUCACAUUUACACUCUUCCUACACCAAGAUGAAGCUUUCCAUGAUAAAACUUUACCAGAGCUAGCCAAAUUAGAUUUCAAUCUAGUGCAGUCACUGCACAAGGAAGAGCUAAGCAAUCUUGUAAGGUUGGUUUUUAAAUCACCCCACAUGUACUUGGCCAUUCUUAUCACUUUCUUGUAUACUGAUCAUAUUAAUGUCUUUUAGGUGGUGGAAAGAAUUAGACUUUGUUACAAAGUUAUCUUUUGCAUGAGACAGAUUGGUUGAAUGCUACUUUUGUAUACAUGGGGUAUAUUUUGAGCCUCAAUACUUACGAGCUAAACGAAUUCUAACCAAAGUAAUUGCUAUGACAUCCAUUCUAGAUGAUAUCUAUGAUGCAUAUGGCACACCUGGUGAACUCAAGCUCUUCACAGAAGCCAUUGAGAGGUUUGCUACUUGCACAUUACCAACCUUGAUUGUGUAUAAUAUAUGUAUUUAUAUAUACCUAAAUCAAGGGUCAUUAUUUUAUUUUCAGGUGGGAUAUUAACAGCAUAGAUCAACUUCCAGAAUACAUGAAACCCUGCUAUGUGGCACUCUUUGAUGUGUACAAAGAAAUCGAGGAAGAGAUGGAGAAAGAAGGAAACCAAUAUAGGGUGCACUAUGCCAAAGAAGUAGUAGGACAUCUUUAACUCUGGAUUCCCACCUUUUGCAUUGAUGAUAUUUUAUAUGGUCUCAUAUAUACAUAGAUAUAACUUGGGUGAAUGUCCAUUAGAUGAAGAAUCAAGUUCGAGGUUACAUGAAGAACACGUACCAACACUUGAAGAGUACAUGUGUGUUGCACUAGUAAGCUUUGGAUACUACAUGCUUGCAACCACAUCCUUGGUGGGAAUGGGAGAAAUAGUAACAAAGGAGGCCUUUGAUUGGGUGACCAGCGAUCCUAAGAUUAUGCCAUCUUCAAAUUUCAUUGCGAGGCUCAUGGAUGACAUCACAUCACAUAAGGUAUGCAGAAUAUGUUAUUCAAGUGGGGAGAAUAUAACACACCGGUUUUUUUUUUUCUCAACUUUUGCAUUAUACAUGCAGUUUGAGCAAAAGAGAAGGCAUGUGGCCUCAGCCAUUGAAUGUUACAUGAAGUAAUAUGGUGUCUCUGAGGAACAAGUAUACAGCGAGCUUCAAAAUCAAAUUGAGAAUGCAUGGUUGGAUGUCAACCAGGAAUGCCUCAAACCUACUACUAUUCCAAUGCCUCUCCUUGCUCCUAUUCUAAAUCUUACACGAGUCUCGGAUGUCAUUUACAAAGAGCAAGAUGCGUACACACAUGUUGGGAAAGUGAUGAAGAAUAACAUUGCGUACACACAUGUAGUUGAUUAUCGUCCCCUAUGUAUUGCCUUGUGGAAGAAGUAAUAUCUAAUAAAUCAUUAUAAUAAGGUGAGGGAACAAUACGUAAUAAAUCAUUGUAAUAUGGAAAGGGGGACACAUCAUAUGUAGCACCUAGUUUCUCUGGGUUCAUAGUGUUUUACUUUUGAAUAUUCCCUGAAUAUUUAAAUAAGAAUAUGUAUUACUUAAAUCACCUGAAUAUAUUAUUUAUUAUAUUAUAUUCUUUAAUACAUAUGUAUUAUUGUGAUUCAACUUGAGGAGUAUUGAUACUGAGUCUUAAAAUACAUAUGUAUGUAGAAUAUAUGUCUACAAAAAAUCCGGAUCUCCUUGUUAAUGUGUAAUGGUGUUUUGGAGUACUACAAUACUCACCAAAUAACUUCUUUACACUUUAUAAUGGACACUGACUGGUGAGUUUAUAGUUAAUUAAAGAUUUCACUCGAUAGCAAAUUAUUAUUAUUAUUAUUAUUAUUGUUAUUGUUGUUGCUAGCGUUAUUAUUAUUUAAUUCAUUAUUAUGAAAAUUAUUAUUAUUAUUACUAUUUAAUUAUUAUUAUUAUUAGCUAUUAAUUUUAGUUUUUUCUUUUUCAUCUUUUCUUUUUUGUUGUUUGUUAUAUACUUCAUAAAAUUAUAAGUUAUGGUCUUUUAUUAGGUUGAAAUUGGAAGUUCAAGUUCAUUAAAGUAUGACACAGUUAACUUAGGUUCACUAAUUUUGUAAAAAAUUUGAUGCAUUUAUAGGAUAAUUAAAUAAUUCAACAAACUUAUCAUUUUACUAAUUAAGGUUUUUUAUUUUAUUUUAUUUUUUAAAAAACUUUUUUACAUGUAAGAAUACAGAAAUUAUGGUUCAAUGUGAAACUUUGGAAUUGCAUGAAUAUGAAAGUGAAAUUUGUUGGUGUCGUUCCCAACUAGAGUUAGGUUCAUCCAACUUCACUGGAGUCAGGUGGACUGCUUCCUUUCUCCAACUCGUGAACUUAGCCGAUACUAAGUUAUGUGAUAACACCCAAUUUUUCCGUUCGUGCUUCUUGAGAAGUCCGUCCAGUUGUAUUGGAAUCAGACAGACUUCUUCCAUGCACAAAAGGAUGUCCAGACAGGUGAUUCGAGCACGUCCCUCCUAAACUUAAGUCAGUUAAGGAUAGUUCUAACUUAUUUUUGUGGCAGAAAAUGAGUUUAUGUGCAUGCCUACCUUGUUCAUGCUUUUUGAGGGGUUUAUAUAGAGUUGAUGAUACUGUCCCUAUAGUGCUGACUAUACACUCUAGUCUUUCUUGUAAUGAUGAUUGCCCUUAGGGCGGUUGAUUGGUGCCAUCUAUUGACGUGCCAAAAUCUCGGACCAGCAACCGAUUGUCCAUUUAGCUUGCCAAUGUCUGGGAUUGUGUGUAACAAUUAAUUGACAUUGACUUUUGGGUGUAAAUGGAGUCCUGUCCACUGCUUAGAUGUCAGGCGUCUAAUCCACUGCUCAAAUGUCCUGUGUCUGGGCCAACGCUCAGACAUCAAGCAUAGUUGAUCAUGCAUGCCAGAAAUCCUGAGGACUUGAUUAGACUGAUUUUUUCGUCUGAGAGUCCAACGAGCCUAGCCUAUCGAUUCCGUUCAACCUUGUGGAAGAAGAGAAACCUCUCACUUCUUGUGUCAGACAUAACUUAUCUUGGUCCAAACGAAUUGAUCCCAGACGGGUUAUAAGUUUGUUCUGGUCGGCCAAGGGGUCUUAAGCUUGAAAAUGACACGUGAAGGGAAACCCCCCACAAUGCCCUUUUAAUCUGUCUACUUCUAUUCAGAUGAAGAGGAGAUGUUUUUGGAGCGUCCAGUUAGUUUCCUAUCUGAACAGGAAUUCUGGGAUCGUUUCCAUAUUCCAGAGAAUAUCCCUAUUCUUCUAAUAGACGACGAGGCGUUAUCCUCCGUUGACCUGCCCAACAACAUGAUGUAUUUUACUAAGGAACAAUUCGUUGCAGGGCUCCGUCUACCUAUCCCCUCUCUCUUCAAGCAGUUUCUUCAUUUUAUGUAAAUCCCUUCAGCUUUUCUUCAUCCGAAUUUUGUCCGGGUAUUGAUGGGAUGUAGUGUUCUAGACAUGCUCUUUCAGUUGAAUCUCUCAUUGUUGGAAGUUUUGCUUGUUUACAUUGUCAAAAUGAGCUGGAAAGAAAGGUUUAGCUUUUCUUCCCAUAUUCCUUACUUGCAGCCAGUGACUGGUCUUUUAGAUUCAUGCAAAGGCUAGGUAAAGGGGCAUGUCCUAGUCUCUGGUCCUUGGAGUGGUUCGUCUGAGGAACCAGAUGGAGUCUUUUAUCCACAACAUUCAUUGGAGAUUCCGAGUAGGAUACGCUUCCAUCACUUUCUCUAUAUUUUGCAAUUAUUUCUUCCUCGCUGUCAAUUUAUUGUUGAUCUUUUUGUUUGUGUGAUAUAGGCAAGGAGAGGUGGGGACGCCUUGUAGAGUGGGUAGACAAGGCUUCUUUCACCUAUUUAACAAGUUGUUCGAAAUAGACGCGUUCAAAUGGGCCCCUAAAGUUCUUUUGUAAGAUAAUAAGUUGCUAACGCUAAUUGAUAAUCCAAAGUCGUUCAUCAUCCCCGUAUUUCCUCGUCUGGCUCCCCCGUCUUUGGUGCCUGGUGAACAUUUCGUGCUAAAGGAUUUGCCAUUCUAUGAGGUUGCUCGUCUGGCAUAUUAUAAGGCAUGUUAGGCCCGUUUAGAGGAGUGAGAGAAAAAACAUCAGGAAGGGACAUUGAGGCAAGCUCUAACUGCUAGUCUUCUAUCCUCCAGUUUUGUUGUCCAUCCUCUCACUAAAAAGAGGACGAAACCUACUGCUUCGCCUAUCUGGAAGGUAAGGACUCUGCCUCCUUCAUCUUUAUCUUCUCCAUCAACUUCAUCAUCUUCGUCAUCUCCAUCUUCUAGUGGCAAGCCAAAAUCAUGGGUUGUCCAGGUAGUGUCCCUUAUUAUUUGCGAGGAGGAAAAAGAAGAGGAUAUGGCUUCAAACUUGAGGGUCGGAUUUCGUGAGAGACAGCGCAAGUGCUUGUCCAAAUCCAUUGUUGUCAAUCCUACCCCCUCUAAGAAAGCUUGUUCAAAACCUACUUCAGCUCUUGCGCUCGUGUCGGUUCCUCUAACUACUGCUACAGUCUUCACCCUUAAGCUAGAUGAGAAACUUCCUUCUGUUGAUGAACAUGUUUAUCAUGAGACGAGGAUACCCUUCAUCAGCACGAACAACUUCAACAAAGAAUCGUUCGAAUACAUGACUUUUUUUUCUCUUUGUUCGAAGUCAACCUAUGUCCCCAAUCGGGAGGAGGUAUCUGAGCUUUUGAAGUGAAUCCCUGUCUUCACCGAAAGAGAGUCCCUGGUACAAAACAUAGGGUACUCUUUCCAGCUACUUAGCAAAUCCCAAUCGAGAUAGACAACGAUCCUAGUCGAUCUUUCAUGACCUGGCUUUUGUAUGACACUCCGAAUAUCGCCAUUUCUCGCAUUAUUCCCAUGCAAGACUAUAAGGCUUUUGAAAUGACAAAUAUGGUAAGUCACCUACCCUUUUCUUCUCAUUUUUCCUUAGCCUCUUGUUUCACAACGAUUUCUUUAUUGCAUCUUCAGGUGAUAGUCGAAGUUUGAAACCUCAUGCGGCAACACACUCCUUUUUUCUACCGAUUGGAAACAAUCGAGACCAUGAGGCCAUACUUUGCCCAUAAUAUGGAUGGGAAUGAGGAUCUUCUUGCCAGCUUGGAGACAAUAAAGAGUGAAGCUGCUGUUGCCCAAAAGCUUGUUAAAGAAGAAAUCGGUCUAUUGAGGAAGGCCGAGGAAGAGAAGGAGACAGUUCAAACUGAAGCUUGCCAACUAGUUGAAAAGAAGGAAACCAUGGUGGUUGACAAAAAAAAAGGCUGAAGAAGAGGCUGCCUAGCUGAGGCAGGAGCUACAGGAUCUCCGAGCAGGGUUUGCCUCUCAGAAAGAAGACUUGGAGGUUCACUACCAAAAGCAAGUGGAUGACAUGUUCUUGUACGACUAUCGUUGUUGUAUGAAGAAGCAUGGCAUCAUCCAUGAUGCUCUGAGUUUUCCUUUGGAUGACGAUGAUGAGUUUUUAGGCGACCCUGCCCAGGGAGGAGGAGAUGUUUUCGGAGACGAUCCUUAUGGCGAGUAGGCUUGAUCUCUUUGUUUGUAUUUAUUUAUUAUGGUUGGACGUGGCCUAGACUGCUAUAUCUAUAAAGACAAUGGAUGCUUUAUUUUUUCAAAUAUAUUUACUUUAUCCGUUUGUCUCUCAUACAUUGUUUUCAUAAGCAAACUUUAUUGAAAGUAAUACUUUAAAUUGGAUACAUUCUAAGAGCAGAGCAGGGGUACGUUGUCUAGUGUUUGAAAAUGGUAUACCCCUAAGUCUCUAGCCUUAGUUACAACAUAUGGCCCUUCCCAGUUAGCUUGAAGCUUUUCGGCUCCUAUUUCAGCUGUGUUCUCAAAUAUUCUUCUGAGGACUAAAGUUCCUAGCCAGAAAAACCAUGGUCGUGUUUUUUUGUUGUAAUGGGUGAUCGUCUUUUGAUGGUAAGAAACCAUUCAGAUAGUUAUGUCUCCUAGCAUUUCAUCUGCCCAAUCCAACUGUCUUAUGAGUUCUUCAUCAUUGUUCCUCUGAUCUUAUACAACUGUUUUAGUGGUAGGCAUGUCAAUUUCAGUUGGAAUAAUGACCUUCAUCCCAUAAGCAAGGGCAAAAGGAGUAGUUCCUAUUGGCCGUUUGGAUGUCGUUUUGUAAGCCCAUAAGAUUCCGAGCAGUUCAUCCACCCAUUUUCCUUUAGCUCCUUCCAGCAUUUUUUUAAUGCAUUCAGUAGGGUUUUGUUUGUCGCCUCAGCUUGCCCGUUACUCUACGGAUAGCAAAGUGUUGAAUACAAAUUCUUGAUGUUUAACUUCAAAUAGAAAGUUCGGAAGACGGUAUUGUAUGAUUGCUCGCAAAACUCCAAAUCGACAUACGAUGUUUUUCUAGACGAACUUGAAGACAUCCUUAUCUUUGAUGCUAGCAUAGUGUCACGGACUUAGUCGUUCACUAAGCUCGUGCGGCACUUAGACAAGCCAAGACGCUUGAUCUUGCUAAGUCAGCCUUGCUCCCAAUACUUAGCUCACCCGGCUAAGACACUCGCGACUCAAAAGCUUAAGAAGCUUGGUAGGCAACUCCUUAAAGAAUGGAAGCUUUCUAUUACUCAAAGAAGCCUUUACAAGUGCUUGGAUGCUCACUUGCUUGGUUAGGAAGUGAUUUUGGGUGGUGCCUUGGCCAAAUGAGGCCCUCACCUAUUUAUAGGCACCAAGGGAACUCUCUAGAACCUUGGAGGGUUCCCUUACAAAUCAAGAAUAUUCUAGAACAUCCUACCCUAUUCUAUGUACAACCCUAUGUACAAGAAUAUACAAGAGAUUCCUAGAAGUCUCUAGAAAGCCUUGGACUCCUCCCAUGCCUUCCACCAUAGUGUAGAGAUGUGUGGACAUCUCUAGGCAUUUCUAGAACCUUCCACACUCUUCCCACCAAUGACUUNNNNNNNNNNNNNNNNNNNNNNNNNNNNNNNNNNNNNNNNNNNNNNNNNNNNNNNNNNNNNNNNNNNNNNNNNNNNNNNNNNNNNNNNNNNNNNNNNNNNNNNNNNNNNNNNNNNNNNNNNNNNNNNNNNNNNNNNNNNNNNNNNNNNNNNNNNNNNNNNNNNNNNNNNNNNNNNNNNNNNNNNNNNNNNNNNNNNNNNNNNNNNNNNNNNNNNNNNNNNNNNNNNNNNNNNNNNNNNNNNNNNNNNNNNNNNNNNNNNNNNNNNNNNNNNNNNNNNNNNNNNNNNNNNNNNNNNNNNNNNNNNNNNNNNNNNNNNNNNNNNNNNNNNNNNNNNNNNNNNNNNNNNNNNNNNNNNNNNNNNNNNNNNNNNNNNNNNNNNNNNNNNNNNNNNNNNNNNNNNNNNNNNNNNNNNNNNNNNNNNNNNNNNNNNNNNNNNNNNNNNNNNNNNNNNNNNNNNNNNNNNNNNNNNNNNNNNNNNNNNNNNNNNNNNNNNNNNNNNNNNNNNNNNNNNNNNNNNNNNNNNNNNNNNNNNNNNNNNNNNNNNNNNNNNNNNNNNNNNNNNNNNNNNNNNNNNNNNNNNNNNNNNNNNNNNNNNNNNNNNNNNNNNNNNNNNNNNNNNNNNNNNNNNNNNNNNNNNNNNNNNNNNNNNNNNNNNNNNNNNNNNNNNNNNNNNNNNNNNNNNNNNNNNNNNNNNNNNNNNNNNNNNNNNNNNNNNNNNNNNNNNNNNNNNNNNNNNNNNNNNNNNNNNNNNNNNNNNNNNNNNNNNNNNNNNNNNNNNNNNNNNNNNNNNNNNNNNNNNNNNNNNNNNNNNNNNNNNNNNNNNNNNNNNNNNNNNNNNNNNNNNNNNNNNNNNNNNNNNNNNNNNNNNNNNNNNNNNNNNNNNNNNNNNNNNNNNNNNNNNNNNNNNNNNNNNNNNNNNNNNNNNNNNNNNNNNNNNNNNNNNNNNNNNNNNNNNNNNNNNNNNNNNNNNNNNNNNNNNNNNNNNNNNNNNNNNNNNNNNNNNNNNNNNNNNNNNNNNNNNNNNNNNNNNNNNNNNNNAGCCGCCUCAUCCGUCAAUGCGAUAGCCUCAAAGUAUCGCUCCAUAUGCCAUAAGAAGUUAUCCAACUCCUUGGCAUCCCGAUUGCCACUAAACCUAUGUGGCUUCGGCACCUCCACCCUAGAUGCCUCUUGUGUGGCCAUGACCCGUGCCGACACAGCAGCCUUGUAGAUGGCCAACUCCUGCCUAACUUCCUGGUCUCGGGACUCCAUUCGAGUGGCCAAGGCCUCUAUCCUUGACUCCAUGCUAGCAAGCAUGCUCAAGACCUUUCCUUGGAAGGACACAAACUCCUCGUGCGACACUGGUUGAACCUGUGAGAUUAGCACCCCCUCGCGAAGGUCUUGGAUCUGCUCCCUUAGAUCCUCUAAGCCCUUCUCCAUGCCUUGCUCGAUCAAGUCCAACCCUUCCCGAGUGUCCGCCAUGGCUAGCUCCACCUUCGCUAACCUUGCCUCCAUGUUGGCAACGGCAUCACGAGAUUUAUCCUUCCUGCCCCUGCCCCGUGCAGUAGGCUCGGUCUCUCUCCCACGGGUUUGCUCACUAGUCUCCUCCACGUUAGAGCCCGACAUGCUUCCUUUGCUAUGCCCACCUCGUAACCGCGCUCUGAUACCACUUGUCACGGACUUAGUCGUUCACUAAGCUCGUGCGGCACUUAGACAAGCCAAGACGCUUGAUCUUGCUAAGUCAGCCUUGCUCCCAAUACUUAGCUCACCCGGCUAAGACACUCGCGACUCAAAAGCUUAAGAAGCUUGGUAGGCAACUCCUUAAAGAAUGGAAGCUUUCUAUUACUCAAAGAAGCCUUUACAAGUGCUUGGAUGCUCACUUGCUUGGUUAGGAAGUGAUUUUGGGUGGUGCCUUGGCCAAAUGAGGCCCUCACCUAUUUAUAGGCACCAAGGGAACUCUCUAGAACCUUGGAGGGUUCCCUUACAAAUCAAGAAUAUUCUAGAACAUCCUACCCUAUUCUAUGUACAACCCUAUGUACAAGAAUAUACAAGAGAUUCCUAGAAGUCUCUAGAAAGCCUUGGACUCCUCCCAUGCCUUCCACCAUAGUGUAGAGAUGUGUGGACAUCUCUAGGCAUUUCUAGAACCUUCCACACUCUUCCCACCAAUGACUUAGUGUAGAUGGCUCCAGGAGUCUCCAGAAGCUUCCCUCCUUCUAUAUAAGCCCAUGGGGAGGGUCAUUUGAAGCAUCCUGUGACAAUAGGCUUCUGUUUCCACCCACUUGCUAAAAUAGUCAGUUGCAACGAGUAAAACUUUUUUUGAGCUAUUGCAACAAGUAAGGGACAAAUUAUGUCGAUCCCCCACUGCGCAAACAACCAAGGGCUUGUGACCAGACUGAGAGCUUCAGAAUGUACACGGGAAAUGGGAGCAUGUCUUUGACACCAGUCACAUCUCUUAAAAUAGUUUUCAGUGUUUUGUUUCAUGGUGGGCCAAUAGUACCCUUGCAUGUAAGCACGAUGUGCCAAGGUUCGUUCGCCUGUAUGAUUUCUAUAUACGCUUUCAUAGAGUUCGGCCAGGACAUACUUGGCUUCUGGCUUGCUCAAACACCUUAGGUAUGGUUCUCUAAAUGAUCAUCUAUAAAGCAGGUCAUUGAUUAAAGUGAAGCGAGAUGUUUGCACGCAGAGUCUGUGCAAUUGCUUCCAAUCUUCUAGUAAUUCUCUCGUCUAAAGGUAUUUUACAAUGUCAUGCAUCCAGCCAAGGUUUGCUUCAUUGGUACUGCACACUAGUUCGGGUGUGGCCUGAAGGUAGAUAGACAACAUCAUUGCCUCUUUUAUAAGGAGAGUGGCAACUAUUCCGGCCAAUGCAUCCGCCUUCAUGUUCUCCUUUCGGGGUACCAGUCUAACAAUCCACUCAUCUAGAUUUUUCAAGUGAUCUUCCACCAUGGCGAGGUAGCGAGCCAUGCGUUCGUCCAUUACUUCAUACUCUCGUUGAAUUUUCCCAACAAUUAGUUAAAAGUCGCUUCUGAUUUUCAAGUUUGUUGCAGCCAGUGUUAAGGCAAGAUCUAGCCUAACUAGGACAAAUUCAUAUCCUACUUUCGUACAAUCUCUCACAAAAUUCAUACACUCUCUCACAAAGUUCCUACCAUCUCUCACAAAGUUCGUACCCUCUCUCACAAAGUUCAUACCACAUCUCACAAAAUUCGUACACUUUCUCACAAAGUUCAUACUAUUUCUCACAAAGUUGGUACCUCUUCUCACAAAGUUCAUACCCUCUAUCACAAAGUUCAUACACUCUCUCACAAAGUUCGUACCAUGUCUCACAAAGUUCGUACAAUCUCUCACAAAGUUCAUACCUCAUCUCACAAAGUCCGUACCACAUCUCACAAUGUUCGUACCCCCUCUCAUAAAGUCCAUACCCCUUCUCACAAGUUCAUACCCCUUCUCACAAAGUUCGUACCCCCUCUUACAAAGUUCGUACCCCCUCUUACAAAGUUAGUACCACCUCUCAUAAAGUUCAUACCCCCCUCUUACAAAGUUUGUACCCCAUCUCACAAAGUUCUUACCACCUCUCAAAAAGUUCGUACCAUCUCUCACAAAGUACGUACCAUCUCUCACAAAGUAAGUACCAUUUCUCACAAAGUUCGUACACUCUCUCACAAAGUUCAUACCCUCUCUCACAAAGUUCGUACCAUCUCUCACAAAGUUUGUACCCCCUCUGAAAAAGUUCGUACCCUCUCUCACAAAGUUCGUACUAUUCCUCACAAAGUUCAUAUCAUCUCUCACAAAGUUCGUACCAUCUCUCACAAAGUUCGUACCCCCUCUAACAAAGUUUGUACCCCCUCUCACAGAAUUUGUACUCUCUCUCACAAAGGUCAUACCCUCUCUCACAAUGUUUGUACCCCUUCUCACAUUGUUUGUAUCAUCUAUCACAAUUUUCGUACCCCCUCUCACAUUGUUCGUACCCCUUCUCACAGUGUUUUCCUUCAAGAUAUAUAAAACUUCAUCUUCAAAUUUAAUCUACAAAUAAACAAAAUAAUAAUAUAAAAAUAUUAAUGACAAUUUAAUAAUAAAUGACUAAAUUGUCUCAAUUUGAUUAAUAAUAACUCAUAAAAAAAAAUUCAAAAAUCUAAAUGUUAUAAAGCAUUACAUAUUGUUCAUACCCUUUCUCACAAUGUUUGUACCCCCUCUCACAUUGUUCGUACCCCUUCUCACAUUGUUUUCCUUCUUCAAGAUAUAUAAAACUUCAUCUUCAAAUUUAAUCUAUAAAUAAACAAAAUAAUAAUGUAAAAAUAUUAAUGACAAUUUCAUAACAAAUGACUAAAUUGUUUCAAUUUGAUUAAUAAUAACUCAUAAAAAAAAUUCAAAAAUCUAAAUGUUGUAAAGCAUUACAUAUUUAAAUGUCAUUUAACAUGACAUUUCUACCUACAAAAUUUAUAUUUAAAUAAAAAAUAUCAAAUAUUACCUUUGACACUUGUAAUCACUUGAAAUCUUUCAUCUUUUUCAUAUAAUAGAAAUUUUAAAUUUUCUCCCUCAAAAAGUUUCAAACUUGAUCUUCAAAUUUGAUUUAUCAAAACACAUCUCACAUAUUUUAUAAUAUGGUAGUUGAAACUAUUUAAUUUUUAUAUUAAAUUAGUAUCCCUUUUUGUAAAUAUGAAUAAUGAGAGUAUAAGGAUAGUUGUUAGAAUUUUCUUUUUUUAGAUAGAAUUAGGUAACAUUAAAUAAUAAAUUAUAUUUGAUAUUUAAUAAUAAAUUAUAAAAAAAUUGUAAUAUUUAGAUAUGUAUGAAUUGCAUGUAAUUAUUUCUCACAAGCAAGCCAUCUUUAUCGGUUUAAUAAGUUUUUAAUUUUUUUUUUUAAGUGGGUAGGUACCCAAAAUAAAGAGUGGGUACCAAAGAACGAUAUAUAUUUUGUCUAUAUUCUGUAAGUGACUGAAUGAUAGAUGCCUGUUGGUGAAAGAGAUGCCUGUACGUCGGCUUAAGAGAUGUUCUUUAUAUCAAACAAUAUAUAUUUAUCUAUAUUCUGUAAGGGGCUGAAUGAUAAGAUGCCUGUUGGUCAAAGAGAUGCCUGUACGUUUGUCUCAAAGAUGCUUGUUUAUAUCUAAGAAACAAAAGAUUCACAUAAAAAAAAAAAAUGAUGCUUAGAUUAUAAUAUUGAUCCUUGUUCUAUUUGGUUUAAGAGAAUAGUUUGACAUACAUGCAUAAGGUAAUUAAUAAAUUCCUGGUCAAGUGUCACGUUCAAACAAAUUCCUGGUCAAGUGUCACGUUCAAACAAGAAGAUUAAUUAAUAAAAAAGGUCAUUUCAAGGAGUAAAAAAAUUAUGAAAAAUAUAUCAGUUUUAACCACUAAUAUUAAUUAUUAGCAAAAGUCACUUUGAACCAUAAAAAAAUAAAAAAUAAAAAAAAUUAAUAACAAAAUAUCACGUUGAACCACAAAUAUUAACUCACAGCAAAAGGUCACCCUACGCCAUACCUACUAACAGAAACAUGUUCAUUAGUUAACAUGUACACCAAACCACCAAGAGAGACAACACCUCAUAAAACAGUUUUUAAGACCAAAUUUUAAGAACAGUUUUUUAUGUUUUUAGAAACAUAAUUGUGUUUGGGAAUUGAAUUUUGAAAAAUACUUUUUAUUUUCAAAAACAAAAAAAAAACAUGUUUAGUUGAGUUAAUAAAAAAAGUUUUUAGAACAAGUAAAACAAAAAAAUAUAUUUGAAAGUUGCUUUUUUUUUUAAUUGAGAAUUUUCUUUAAUUAACUUGAUAUUGUAAUUAUAUACAUAAUUUUUAGAUUUACAUUUCAUUUAAAUUAAAAACUAUUAUAUUAUGAUAUUUAUUUGCAUGAGUUAUAAUUUUUUCAACAAAGGAUUACUUUACCUAAUUGAUGAAGGGUAAUAAAGGGACUCAUAAAUCUGCUCAUCUACAUCAUUUAUUUCAUCUAAUGAAAAGGUAUCAACAACCAUUGAUAUAAUCUACUAGCUAAAACAAAAAUGUAACAACAGCAACAAUUCAAGUAUUGGUACAUUUCAGAUCACUACAAAUUAAAAGACCUUUUGGGUACUUACAGGCGAAGAAUAAAGUGCAAACCAGCAGGAGAUAGACUCAAUAAACGAAUACAACUCAAUGGUGUAUUUAAUACUUAGAUCAGGCCUCCUUCCCCUGGAAGUUGUAAACAUGGAAUGAGCACCUGCAAAUCAAAGCAAGGGAACAGACAAAAACCAUUUUUUGUUACACUACAAGAACUAGACCAAGAGUAGAACCUGUAAAAUCAUAGUAAUCAAACACCAAAGGUCCAAAACCAGUGAUCCAUUUGCUAGAAAAGAGAAAUCAAAUUAAUGAAACACAUAUCACAAUCAUUUUAAAUAGAGCAGAGGUCAUUCAAAACCUAUGAAACUCUAGACGAUGUGUUAAUGAACCAGGAAAUAUUUUAAGAAAUCACACAAAGUGAUCUAUCUUAACCUAGUGUUAAUAUAAAAGAUUCAUAAUCCCAAGAUAGGGAAAAAAACAAAUACGCAGCCGAGAAUCAAACCAAUUAGGUAGAAGACAAAAAAAAAAAAAAACAUUUCAAAUUAAAUAUAUACUCCAAUCCGAAUCUCAAAACCAUAAAUUAUUUUCAUGGAGAAGACAAAGAAAGGAAGAAAAAGACAAUACCUAAAACACUGAGUCUCCUUCUCAUUGAAUCCCCUUGAUGCAAAAGAUGCAAAGGUUAUUCUUAGCUCUUCAUUAGGCAAAGAGAUCCAUAUGUUGCGACAUCUGCAAAAGCCUAACUGUUAUCUCUCUUGCCAAUAUCCAGAGGGUAGAAUAGGCCACCAGCCUAAAAUUCAAAGCUUCAUAACACCAUCAAAUAGCGUACAUACAAGCACAUGAACACAUAGAGAGAGACUUUUUACACGAACAGCACCUUCUCUGGCGGCUAAUACAAGAAUAUCAGCACGUGAGGGUAGGUUGCUUCCAGCUCUUCCUUGAUGGAUUCAAUUAUAUCAAAGCCUUUUAGAGUUUCAUUAGAAAGCGAAUCUUUCUCUGAAUGGAUUCCAAUAUUUUUCUUGCCGUCAGUCUCUUCCGUGCACAACCCUUUCAAAUCAUGGGCCCCAAAAACAAACCAAAUUCCACAUACUUUUCAACUAAAUACAACCAUGAAUGCCAGUGCUGCCCUAUAAAUAAUAUGGAGCUUGCCAAGCUAUUUCUCUCAUACCUACCAAUUCAUCAUUCAAGGUAUAGUACUGUUCUAUCAUUGUUCCAAGGAAUUAACAUGUCUACUCAAGUCUCAGCAUCUUCUCUAGCCCAGAUUCCCAAACCUAAAAAUCGUCCUGUGGCAAACUAUCACCCCAACAUUUGGGGUGACCAGUUUAUCUCCUACAUUCCUGAAGACAAGGUAAUUGAAUGAAAAUAUGCAUCAAGUUUAAUGGCUUACAUACUUAUUUGGCAGUUAUUUUUCUUAAUGUGUUGGAUGAAAAAAAAUUUUGGUCCAGGUUACACGUGCCUGCAAAGAGGAGCAGUUUGUGGAUCUGAAAAAGGAAGUGAAAAGGAAAUUAACGGCUGCUGCUGUUGCUAACCCUUCCCAAUUGCUGAACUUCAUUGAUGCAGUGCAACGUCUUGGGGUGGCAUACCACUUUGAGCAAGAGAUAGAAGAAGCAUUGCAACAUAUUUGUAACAGUUUUCAUGACUGCAAUGAUAUGGAUGGUGAUCUCUACAAUAUUGCUCUUGGAUUUCGACUACUAAGGCAACAAGGGUACAGUAUUUCAUGUGGUAAGAGACUAAGAAAAAAAUGUUAUGUUCAACCUUCUUAUCAUUUAAAUCUUAUGUUCAAGUGGUGAUGUUUGUGUAGGCAUAUUCAACAAGUUUAUGGAUGAACGAGGUAGAUUCAAGGAAGCUUUGAUCAGCGAUGUAAGAGGCAUGCUAUGCUUGUAUGAAGCUGCACAUCUGAGGGUUCAUGGAGAGGACAUAAUUGCAAAAGCACUUGCUUUCACCACCACUCACCUCAAGGCCAUGGUAGAAAGUUUAGGAUACCAUCUUGCAGAACAAGUUGCUCAUGCCCUGAACCGGCCCAUUAGAAAAGGUUUGGAGAGGCUAGAGGCAAGAUGGUAUAUAUCUGUCUACCAAGAUGAAGCUUUCCAUGAUAAAACUUUACUAGAGCUAGCAAAAUUAGAUUUCAAUCUAGUGCAGUCACUGCACAAGGAAGAGCUAAGCAAAUCUUGCAAGGUUGGUUUUUAGAUCACCCCACAUGUACUUGGCCAUUCUUAUCACUUUCCUGUAUGCUGAUCAUAUUAAUGUCUUUUAGGUGGUGGAAAGAAUUAGACUUUGCUACAAAGUUACCUUUUGCACGAGACAGAUUGGUUGAAUGCUACUUUUGGAUACUUGGGGUGUAUUUUGAGCCUCAAUACUUACGGGGUAGACGAAUUCUAACCAAAGUAAUUGCCAUGACAUCCAUUCUAGAUGAUAUCCAUGAUGCAUAUGGCACACCUGAAGAACUCAAGCUCUUCAAGGAAGCCAUUGAGAGGUUUGCUCCUUGCACAUUACCAACCUUGAUUGUGUAUAAUAGAUGUAUUCAUAUAUACCUAAAUCAAGGGUCGUUAUUUUAUUUUCAGGUGGGAUAUUAACAGCAUAGAUCAGCUUCCAGAAUACAUGAAACUCUGCUAUGCGUCACUCUUAGAUGUGUACAAAGAAAUCGAGGAAGAGAUGGAGAAAGAAGGAAACCAAUAUCGGGUUCACUAUGCCAAAGAAGUAGUAGGACAUCUUUAACUCUGGAUCCCCACCUUUUGUAUUGAUGAUAUUUUAUAUGGUCUCAUAUAUACAUAGAUAUAACUUGGAUGAAUGUUCUUUAGAUGAAGAAUCAAGUUCGAGCUUACUUUGCUGAGGCCAAAUGGUUACAUGAAGAACACGUACCAACAAUUGAAGACUACAUGCGUGUUGCACUAGUAAGCUCUGGAUACUGCAUGCUUGUAACCACGUCCUUGGUGGGAAUGGGAGAAAUAGCAACAAAGGAGGCCUUUGAUUGGAUGACCAGCGAUCCUAAGAUUAUGUCAUCUUCAAAUUUCAUUGCGAGGCUCAUGGAUGACAUCAAAUCACAUAAGGUAUGCAGAAUAUGUGAUUCAAAUGGGGAGACUAAAACACUAUGGUUUUUCCUCAACUUUUGUAUUAUACAUGCAGUUUGAGCAAAAGAGACGACAUGUGGCCUCAGCUGUUGAAUGUUACAUGAAGCAAUAUGGUGUCUCUGAGGAACAAGUAUACAGUGAAUUUCAAAAGCAAAUUGAGAAUGCAUGGCUGGAUAUUAACCAGGAAUGCCUCAAACCUACUGCUGUUUCAAUGCCUCUCCUUGCUCGUAUUCUCAAUCUUACACGAACCGCGGAUGUCUUUUACAAAGAGCAAGAUUCGUUCACACAUGUUGGGAAAGUGAUGAGGGAUAACAUUGCGUCUGUCUUCAUUAACGCUGUAAUAUAACCAAAUAGAGUAGUUGAUUACCGUCCCCUAUGUAUUGCCUUGUGGAAGCAGUAAUAUCUAAUAAAUCACUAUAAUAAGGUGAACGAGUGAUAUGUAAUAAAUCAUUGUAAUACGGUAAGGGGACACAUUAUAUGUAGCACCUAGUUUCUCUGGAUUCAUAGUGUUUUACUUUGGAAUAUUACCUGAAUAUUUAAAUAAGAAGAUGUAUUACUUAAAUCACCUAAUAUAUAUAUAUAUAUAAUAAACUUUAUUAUAUUAUAUUCUUUAAUACAUAUGUAUUAUUGUCAUUCAAUAUGAGGAGUAUUGAUACUGAGUCUUAAAAUACAUAUGUAUGUAGAAUAUAUGCCUACAACAAAUCUGGAUCUCCUUGUUAAUGUGUAAUGGUGUUUUGGAGUACUACAAUACUCACCAAAUAUUUUCUUUUCACUUUAUAAUGGACACUAACUUGUGAGUUUAAAGUUAAUUAAAUAUUUAACUCUAUAGAGAAUUAUUAUUGUUGUUGUUGUUGCUAGCGUUAUUAUUAUUUAUUAAUUCAUUAUUAUGAAAAUUAUUAUUAUUAUUAUUAUUACUAUUUAAUUAUUAUUAUUAUUAUUAUUAUUAUUAGCUAUUAAUUUUAGUUUUUUCCUUUACAUCUUUUCUUUCUUGUUAUUUAUUAUAUACUUCAUAAAAUUACAAGUUAUGAUCUUUUAUUAGGUUGAAAUUGGAAGUUCAAGUUCAUUUAAGUAUGGCACAGUUUACUUAGCGGUUCACUAAUUUUGUAAAAACUUCGAUGCAUUUAUAGGAUAAUUAAAUAAUUCAACUAACUUAUCAUUUUACUAAUUAAGGUUUUUUUUAACCCUUUUACGUGUAAGAAUAUAUAAAUUUCUAGUUCAAUGUCGAAACUUUGGAAUUGCAUGAAUAUGAAAGUGAAAUUGAUAACAUUUUUUUUUUCUGAAGAAUUGUGCUUUGAAGUGAGAUGGGCCUGAAAAUUGAUAUAACAUCCUCUUAUCAUCCACAUUUAAGUUCAAGAUUCAAAUAAAGUGUAAAAAUUGAGUUAAAAGAUAUUAUCAUUCAUUAAUCCUUAAAAUGCCCUUAACCCUUGCAUAAACACACAAUGAAUGUAAAUUUCAAUUUCUUUGUAUUUUUUUUCCCAGUCUAUUCCCUAUUACCUAUUACCCAUUACCCAUUUCUACCUUUUUGUUUUCUUUUUCAUUUUUUCUUUUCUUCCCAUCUAUAGUUCUAUUUUAUGCCCAAUGUUAAUCUCUCAUAAUUAUAUUCCCAUUUUCAUUCGAUCCAUUAUUAUAUCAUUAACAACCAUAUUAAUUGCUAUUAAUUUUAUAUUUACCUUACAAUUCAUCCAAAUAUUUUUCAUUUGUAUUUAUCUUUUAGUUGAACUUUCAUUUUUUAUUUUAAAUUUACAUUACCUUUUUAUUUAUAUUUUUCCCUUAUUUUUAAUUAUUUUCUAUAGUUUCCACAUUAACCAUAUUUUUUAAAAUUUUAAAAUUGACUAUCACUUCACUCUUAAUUUUUUUUAUAUAGCUUUUUAAGUUUUAAUGUUUUUAUUUUAAAUUUAAAAAAAAAUUAUUGAGAAAAUAACUAAUAUAUAAAGUUCUAAUAUUAUAUUAAUAAUUUUUCUUAUCUAAAUAAACUAAUGAAAAGUAUUUUUACUAACAACAAGAAAAUUGUGAACACAAUUUUUUAGUGAAACUUUAGAAAUUAAAUUUCAAAUAAAGUAUGUUAUAUCAAAUUUUAUCUAAAAUAUGUUGAAAGUGGUAUUUAAUUUUUUUUAUUGACUUUCAAACUUAUUAAAUUUUUUACUUGAAAGAUAAUAGAACAUGUUUAAAGAAAAUUAGUUUUUCAUUUUUUUAAAUAAAUGAGUAUAAAUAUUUUUAAAAAAUUUAAGAUAAUCUUAGUAAAAAAUUUGAUAAAUGUGAUUACAAUUUUAAAUUAGAUUUUUAAAUAUAGAUUCAUUUGGAUAAAAUUUCACAAAAAAAAAAUGGUGGAAAAAAAGGAACAUUGCUAAAACUACAAAAACAAAAUAUGCAAUUACAAAAUUUUGAUAAUGAAAUUUAAAAAUAAGAGUCGAAACAAUUCUUAGGUGAGAUAAUUUGAUUGGGGAGAUUAUGCAAUUCUUGAGUGAAAAGAAAAAAGCGGGAGAGUUUUUGAGAAUAACUUAAAAUCCUUGACAAAAAAUAGUAUUGUACACUCUUGUAUAAUUAGUAAAUUUGUCUUGUACAAUUAGUGUAAUCAAUAAUUCAGAUUCCAUAUAUUUCCUUGUGAAUAUAUGUUAAUAGGUUAAUUAACCAUGUUUGCAUUGGUUUGGUUUAAGAGAACAGGAAAAGUUGUUGUACAAUUUUGUUCCAUGAUUAUCAUUAAUAGGGUAUAUAUUCAAAUGAUCAUAUACAAGUUAGAUAAAGUGCAUGAGAUGAGUAUAUGAUUAAUCGAUGUGUAUGAGGAAUGUCAUCCAUCCUUGACUGGCAGAAUCACUUAAAUUCUUCACAAAUGACAACCUUGUGCACCUUUGUACAGUUAGCAUAUUUGUCUUGUAUACUUAAUGUAAAUAUAUUGUAUAGUGAACCAAAUUUCAUAUACCCUUUACUCAAUGUGUGUCCAUAGAUAGGUAGGUUAAACAUGUUUCCACUAGUUUAAUUCACAAAAUAGUGGAAGACGUAAAAACAAAAUUUUUCCUCAAACAUCAUUAGUGAGAUAAGUAUUCGAAUUGUCAUGUACAAGUUAAAUAAAGUGCAUGACUUGGGUGUGUGAUAGAAGAAUGUGUGAUAUGAGAGUGUGCAAUCCUUAAAUGGCAAGACAAAAAAAAAAUUGCAAGAACAAAAAGUGAGAAAAUCUUUAGGUAAUUAAUCAUGUUUUUUGAGUGACUCUAAUUAAUAAAUUAGCUCUAAGUGACUCUAAUUAAUUAAUAGCACAUUCCAGAAAGUCAAUUUAUAAUAUCUAGUACAAGCUUGCAUUUUUACCAAGACGCUUUUAUGUAGACUUAUGAAUUACAAAUACCCAAAAUACUCUCAAAGCAUUCCAUCAUGAAAUAGGAGCUCAAGUAGAGACCAUUGAGACCUAUAGGAAAACACUAACUCCUUCAAAAUCUAAUGUUGAAUUUGACUUUACACUCUACUAAAGAGAGUCAACUACACCCUAAUAUCUUAUGAAAUUACAAUGAGCGAAGAUCAAGUCUAUGACCUACUAUUCAUUGCAUGUAAACUCUUCAUAAAUCGAUGUCUGUAAUUUAACAAGAUAGUGUUAUUACCUAUCAAACUUAUCUCUUUAAUCCUUAAAUUAUAGAUCUCACUUCUUAUGUGAUCAACUGACAUACUUUGCCUUAGAGAAGUAUUAUCUUUCGAUGUGAAAAUUUAGUGGGUGUUAAUUGACUUUUUGGUAGUUCUUAAAGAAUAAUUUCCUCAAAUAACAAAAGAAGCACAUAAAAAAAAUGCAAUAAAAAAUAAUUGUGGUGGUCUCAAAGUGACUUGGCCAAAAGUUAAAUAAUUGGAGGAUGACAACACGGAACAAGGACUUUUCAAACAGUUAUAUACAAACUUAAUAUAAUAAGGGUUUUUUUAAUGAUUAUUUUGGGAAAAAAAUUUUAAAUAGGGGAGGAUAUAAUUAUAUAAAAAUAUGUGUAUGCAUAUCAAUACAUGUGUAUAUUUAUACGUAUUUUUACAUAUUAAUUUAAUAAAGUAAAAUAAAAAUCAAUUGGUAUGACAAACAAAAUUAAAGUAAUAACAAUCCUAUAAGAAAAUAAAUAAAUAAAUAAAUGAACAAAAGUAAGUUUGUGUCAAAAAAAUAUAGUAAAAAAAUAAAAAUCCUUGUGGAAAAACUAAUUGCUAAUAUUUUUUAUUUUAAAAACAUUUCUAAUAUUAACCUAUAUCGAAACUAUUUAAUUUUAUUACAUUUCAUGGAAAUAAACUUCCUGUAAUAAAAAUAUUUUCUUUUAGGUAUCUAUAGACGAGAAAAAAAUAUUUGAUAUAUGAUUAGAAAAAUGUUAGUGUCCGAAAAUCGAAAAAUGUCCUUGGAAGAUUGUAUUUAUUUCCCCUGAAUUUUCGGUUUAUCCGGUACGCUCCAUGCCAAACACUGCCCGUGUUUUACGCGGUUUGCAACCCAUACUCCAUGCUCCAUGUCGUAAACCAAUGAGAUUAAAGAUUAGUCUGACAGCUUCAUUGGAAAAAUUCAAAACUAAUGGAAAGAAUGAAUAAAAAAAUGAAAGAAAAUGAAUUGGUCCACAUGUGAAAAGGAGAGAGCUGGUCGUUGAAUGGGAAAUGGAGGAAAAUAGAAGAAAAAUGACAAAGGAAGGAGCCAAGAAAAGGAAGGAGGAAAAUAUAGUAUUUCUUGUUAAGCUAUAAUUUGACCUUGACCAUAAAGCUCAAUCAAACAUAUUUACUGCACUGUUCUUCUAAACCAUAUAUGCAGUUUGAGCAAAAGAGAGGACAUGUUGCCUCAGGCGUUGAAUGUUACAUGAAGCAAUACGGUGCCUCUGAGGAAGAGGUAUACGAUAAGUUUCAGAAGCAAGUUGAGGAUGCAUGCAAGGAUAUUAAUGAGGAGUUCCUACGACCUACGGCUGUUCCGAUGCCUCUCCUUAUGCGUGUGCUUAAUCUUUCUCGAGUGAUGUAUGUGAUCUACACGGGGGGAGAUGGGUACACUCAUGUUGGAAAAGUGAUGAAGAAUAAUGUUGCAUCACUGCUCAUUCACCCUAUCGCAUGACCAAAUGGAUCAAGUUGAUGAGCAUCUACAUAUUCUGCCAUACCUAAUGCAUCACUGCUCAUUUGAAUAUAUGUUUAAAACACAUGGAUCAAGUUUGAUACUUUUCUGUCAUUUAAAGUUCACGUGAGGGAGAAAAUUCUCCAUAGAAAAUCACUUGGCGGAGAAGAUUCAAACAACACGUGUAUUCACUAUGGAAGUUACCAGGAAAAGGGUUUAGAACAUACAAAGACAUAAAACACUAAAAAAUUCAUCCUAACGGGUAAAAUAUGAUUAUGAUUAUUAUUAUUAUUAUAAUAUUAGACAUGCUAAAAGUUUUAUUAUAUACCAUGUAAAAAAUAAAUGUUAUGAUAUUACAUUAAACUAUGCAGAGUUUAAAUUUUUGCCAAAAAAAAAAAAAAAAGAAAAAAAAAAUUGGAGAAUCAAAUUCAAUCAACUCAUCAUUUUCCAAGCAAGGAUUACGAUAUUGAAAAUUAUAGAUAGAUCGAUGAUUAUAUUUUUAAAAAACAUUGGAAUGAAAUAAUAAUACAUGUAUAGAAGUUUUUUAAAUAAUAUAUAUAUAUAUAUAUAUAUAUAUAUAUAUAUAUAUAUAUAUAAUAACAUUUGUGUGAUAUUGAAUAAUAAUCCAUAGAGCUUGAAAAUGCAUUUAAUUAUAAAAUAUAUAUGAUUGCAUGUAAUUUGAAAAUAAGUAUUUAUAAUUUCAUUUACGACUUUAUUUCUUCCUCAUUAUUUAAUUAAUAUAGACAAGGUAUAUAUAAAAAAAAGACUUUAGUGAAUGCAACUUCAAAUGACGAAUAAUGCACGGUAGCAGUAAGCGAAGACUCAUUAUUUUGACUUCAAGGCAUUAAUUCAUAUUUUAUCCAUUACACAACAAAAUAUAUAUAAAUAUCCUUAUAAAAAAUAUAUACAAUAUUUAUAGGUAACAACUUUCUUCUUAAGCAAAGCAGCCAAGUAAGACUACAAAAUCUAUACCAAACAAAAUAUCUACUAGGAAUAAAAUUGAUUGGCUCGAACUCAAACUACCUAUGGACAAAUUUGGAUAAUUAUUUCCAACAUUUAAAUUGAUUGGGCUUAGGUUAAAGUAUUCUUCAACUCUUAAGUCAAUUUUAGUUGGGCUCUUACCAAGGUUGUGACAUCUCGAAUCUAACCAAAAGUUGAUAUAAUAUUUAUAUAAUAAUUAUAAUUUAUAUUAUUAUGGACUCAUGCACAUUUUUCAUUUAUUAUGAAAAAUGAUUAUUUGAAAACCCUUUUUAGGUUUUUUAGAGUGAUCAUUUAUUUUAUUUAUUUUUCAAAAAGGAAAACAAAAUAAGAAAAAAAAAAAAAAAAAGACAAGUUCAUAAACCAAGAUUGAGUAAGAAGUCAAAUUACCUAUUGGAAAAAUACAAAGAUAAGUCAUACAAAACAACCCUCUAAGCUUAUAUACUUACAAUCUUUAUUAAGCAAAUGAAAUGAAUUAUGACAAUUAAAUAAUUGAUUAUGGAUACUCAAGAAAAGAAAAACACAAAUAUAAAACAAGUCAUGGUGUUUAUCAUGUUAAAAUAAUGUAAAAAAAAAAAACAAAUGAUAAAAGAAUUUGCAUAAAUUGAUUUAUGAAACUAAUUAAAAACAUGGGUUUAAUUAUUUCUAAAUUCAAAGGAUUAAAAAAGUUAUUCCAAUUUGAUGAUUUCAAUUGAUUUUAAGUACAAAAGAAAGUUUUGAUUUCAAAUUUUUUUUUGAAGAAAAAAAUGCUUCAAAUCAUAGAGAUCAUCAUUUAUAUCAGCAAUGCCAUGAUAGUUAUCAUAGGUGCUUUGUAAUGCUUGUUCUAUCUCGUUUUCAAAGUGGUAUGCCACCCCAAGCCGUUGAAUUGCAUCGAUAAACUUCAGCUGUUUCGAAGGGUUACUAGCUGCAGCAAUCAGCUCUCUUCUAACUUCCUCCUUUAGAUCUUCCAACUGCUGCUCUUUAUGGGCCAGAGUUAUCUGUAUCAAUAAAUUGCAAGAACAAAAAGUGUGAAAAUCUUUAGAUAUUGUUAUGUAAACUGCAUAUAUGAUCAGAAAAUUACCUCAUCAUCAGGAAUGUUGCUCACGAUGAAACUAUUGGCCCAAAUGCUAGGCUGAUAAUUUGCAGUCCGGCGAUUAGUCUCUGGAUUAGCAACUGGGGCUGGAGAAGACAUGUUACUGGUAGCGAGAAUUAAGGGCAUGUGUAACUCACUGGAGCACUCCAUAUAUGAAUAAGAUAGCUUGCAAUCUUCGGUAUUUAUAGGAUGGGAAAUCGUUCAUUACAAUUAUUGAAUAUCAAUCCCAGAUCCCCAGUAGCAUGGAUUCAAUUAAUUCAAGGUCAUCUAUCAUAUUUAAACCACGUUUAUUAAAAAUUAAAUAUUUAAAAUAUGUUUUUAUUUCUCUUAGAAAUACGAAAAUUGUAGCUUAUUCCCUUAAUAAUUCUCAGUAUCCAAUCAGCCACCAAACAGUGACUAAGACUUUCACGUGAAGAUCGUUGGGAAGGUUAAUUUAAAAAUAUUUUAAAAUACACGUAAGUUUUCAAAAAUCAAAUAAUUAUUUCUUGAAAUAAAAUUAUAUAAAAAAUAAUAAUUUAUCACUUUAAGUUAAUAAAAGCAUCUUACAAAUAAGUAUAUUAAAAAAAUAUAUAAUAUAAUAUGGGAUACAAAUCAUUGUGAAAAAUGUUCUAUGAUAAAUAAAAUUCCUUCUAAUCUUGUAAUUAAUAAUAAUUUUAUAUUAUAUAUUAUAUAAAUCAUUUCAUCUUCCUAUCUUUUUUAAUAAAUUGAAUAAAAUUUUUGUUGGUUGGCAUCAAUAAUAAAAUAAAAUAAAAAUUAGAACUUAAAAGUUAAAAAUAUAACAAAUAAAAUAUUGACUUUUAUUUCACUCAUAACAUGUCUGUUAAAAAUAUAGAUAUCAAGAAAGAAAAAUAUAAUAUGGGUCAAUAUUUUAUUUAAUUUUUUUUAUUUUAAUUGUAUUUAAUUUUUAAGUAUUUUGGUUUUAAUUGUAUUUUUAAUUUUUAAAAUUUCUUAUUUUAUAGUUGUUCAAUAUUCUUAAGAAUGUUUGUUUAUAAAGAGAAAAAAAAAAGUCAUAAAUUCGUCUCACAACACCAUGACUAAAAGGGAGAUUGGUUCUUUACAAUUAAACAUCUACACGUUUAUUUGUUUAUUGAUAUUAUUGAUGUAAGAGAUAAAAUGAUCAUUUUAGGAAAUAAUUAUUUAACUUAUGAGAAAUGUAUGUGUUUUAAAAUAUAUUUAAAUGGAUGAAAAUAAAACUAAUUUAUAAAAUUUUGAAUUUCUUUUUCAAAUUAGUGAGUCAUAACCUAGUUUUCCCUUAAUAUUUCAUUGUACAAUAAAAUUAAUAUCAUGGUAAUAAAAGAAUUUGGAUAUAACUAGGGAACUAAGUUCUUUUAUAUACAACACAAAAAUUAGUGUCUAGAUGAAAAGAAAAUUGCAAAUAAUUUGUUUUUCAAUCACACCUAUUGUAAGAAUCAUAUUAUUAAUUAUUUUGAUUCUUAAUUAACAAUAAUUAAGAAUAAUAUAAAUAUAUAUUUUUUUUAAUUAAAAUGUGAUUUGAGUUAGGAUAACUCUUAAAUUUUUGGCAAAUUUUCAAUGCCAAUAUUUCAUUUAUAUAAAACCACAUAAUAUUUCCUUGAUAUAAAAAUUAGGUCUAAAUGAUGCUUGAUAUGUCAAAUGUCCUUUCAAACAUUGAAAAAGUUAAAAAAAAAAAAAAAAAACAUUGAAAGUUAUGUGAUUCAAUUAAACCACAAAUUCCUUAGAGGAGAUGUAUAUAACCAGCCAAUCACUUUAUCAUAUGAAAAUCAUUCCUCCACCUUAUCAUAAUAAUUGAUUCUUCACCUAUCAAUAAUUUUAAAUUCCCCUAAUAUGGCAAUUUACAUCUCCUCUUUCUAUCAAUUUCUAGACCCAACCUUAUAUUAAUUUCUAAAAAUUUCAUCCCUUAAAUCGGAGUGGCAUGACAUUAUUUAGUAAAUUCCAAUAAAACUAUAAGAGUUCUAAACAAUCAAUGAAUCCAAAAUAAUCAUUUAAGUUUUAUUAAAUCAUUAUAUUUAUUUAUUAAACAUCUUUUAAGUCAAACUUAUUAUAUAAUAAGGCUUAAUUAUUUUAUAAUUUAUUUAUUUUAAUAGUUAAGAAAAUUGGAGGAUGCAUUGAAUUGAGCAAAACUAAAUCUCAAUCAUAAAUGAGCAAGCCUAUUUUAUAAAGAGACAAUAAAGUUUGGAAGGACCAUCUAUGGUCGAAUUCAUACACCAAAAUCUCUAGAAAAUCCGAGUGGGCACCAUCACCAUUGAAUAACGGCCCUACUUGGUAUGUGGGGUGAUGUUGUGGGUUUUGGAUGUUAAUAUGAAAAAAAGAGUCGAGUGUUUUGCAAAUGGCCGGCCGCCCUACUUGGUAUUACUGAGUGUGGAUAUGUUGGAGUUGUUUUGGGGCUUAAAGUUUUAGUUUGACUUGUUUAAAUUUCCUUUUUUUCAUGUACAUUGUAUUGACUCUUCUCAUCAUUGUUGUCGCAUUCCUCGGUCCUUAUUUUAAUAAUUUAUUAUAUUUUUUAUAUGAAAUGCAAAAUAUUUGAGUACUUUUUGAGUGGUUGCUUAUAAUAUGCAGUGAAAUUUGUUCCUACUAUUAUUUGUUAAAAGGGUAAAUAUUUUAGUGGUUGCUAUUUCUAAAGAAAUUAAGAUUUGGUUCACUUUUUCAAAAAUUAAUUUUUGCUUCCAAUAACAAAUAUAUAUAUAUAUAUGAAAAAAAUAUGAAAAUGAAAACAUGUCUAUGUGUUAAUUGUUCCAAAAAUAGAUUUUUGAAAAUAGGGUAUUUUUUAGGAAAAGUUUUAAUUGUUUUUAGUUGUUUUUUUUUUUUUUGUGAAUGUUUAAAAAAUAAUAUAUAAAUAAAAAAAUGAUUAAAAAUAAGGUAGUAUAUAUAAAAGUUUUUUUUAUUGUAGAGAAAUUUGAAAAACACGCUUUUAAUGUUAGAAAAUGAUUUUUAUACAAUAAAAAAACUAUUACAAAACAGAGUAGUCAAAUAAGCAAUUCUAUGACACUUUCCUUUCAUCUUUAGAUUUUGUCAUGGUAAUCAAAUUACCAAUUAUGAUUAGAAUUCCUUUUCUAUUAAUUAAGUCUAUAAAUUCAUUGUUUUAGCUAUGAGUUUAGUAAAUUUUUAACUAAAAAUUUGAAAAAAAUAAAAAUAAAAUUACUAUUCAUAUAUAUUUUCUUUUUUUGCUUUUUUUUUUUUUUUUUUUUGAGAAUUUUGUUAACUCAUCCCUCUUGGUGUUCCUCAAUUGGAAUCAACAAGAAGGGUUUUUUUUUUUAAUACUACUUUUUUGUCUUUUGAGAAUUUGGUUCAAUAAAGGGUUUGAUUUUAAAUUUUUUUUAGAUACGUAUACUAAUUAUUAAUUAGGAUAUUUGAUUGAGACAUGAAUGAUCUUGGCUGAUUUGUAAACUCUAUUUGAAAGUAGUAAAAGAUUUGUGUAAUCAUUAUUUCGUUAUAAAAUUAUCUAAAGAAAAAUUAUUAGUGCUUUAGUGCAUUAGUCUAGUUAAAUUAAAUUUGUAAUUUUUUAGGACGUCAUAUAUAUAUAUAUAUAUAUAUAUAUAUAUAUAUAUAUAUAUAUAUAUNNNNNNNNNNNNNNNNNNNNNNNNNNNNNNNNNNNNNNNNNNNNNNNNNNNNNNNNNNNNNNNNNNNNNNNNNNNNNNNNNNNNNNNNNNNNNNNNNNNNUAUAUAUAUAUAUAUAUUAAUGAUUUAUACUCCCUUUAAAAAUUCAAGGUUGCUGCAUAAUUAAUUUGAAAUUAAACAGAUAAGUAUAACUAAAUUGAUUUAGAAUAAUGAGCAAAAGGGAUAAGUAUUUAUAUGGAAAUUGAAAAUAAAAAUUUGAAAAUGAAUUUAAAUUUAGAAUUUAAAAUAGAAAAACUUUCAAAUAUCUUUUAGUUUAAAAAAUAUUUUUAAAGUUUAAAAAAAUCUUUCCUUCCUAACUCUUUUUUUUUUUUUUUUGGUAAAAUAUCAUUUGAGAGUUUUCAAAGAUCACCCCCUAAGCUUAAAGUCAUUAUUCUUUGUGUUUAAUAAAAAAAGGUUUCAAAACAUUUUAAAUUUGUUUGUUGAGUUUGAGAUAGAAGAUCACAUCCUCUCAAGGUGUCGAGGAGUCCAGUAAGGAGAAUGAUACGUUUGCAUCGUGGACAUGAAAUUAGGUACAAUCAUUAGAUAACUUUAUGUACUUAUCCUUCAAAUUUAGUGGAUUUUAAAUUUAUGGUAUUUGACCUUGUGGUUCUUAUAUCAAAGUCUUUGGGAGGCUUUGUGAGUGAUUUCUAUGUAAUUGCUUGUAUUUUUAAGUGAUUUUUUAUUUUUAUUUAUUCUUUAUAUCCUAAUAAAAGAAAAUAUAGAAACUAAAGAUUGGCAUACAUUGAGCUAAAUUCAAGAAGACUAUCUAUUUACUCCCUUUGAGGUGAAUAGAUAAAAAAGAAAGAAGAGAAAUGGGAGAUUUGUCUUUCUUUAAAUCCAAACAAGAUGAUAAGUCCCAGUCAAAGAAUCAUGUACUACAACAAUUGAUUACAAGUAUUCUCUUUGGGUGAGAACAGACCACACAAAGAAAUUGGGUGAAAAAAAUUGUCAUAUCCUUUAUUGAUGUCCAUGAGCGAUUUUUAACAUAUGUCGCUAAAACUAAAGGUCUUUAACACCAUAAUAAAAUAACUUCAAAUAAUAAAAAAAAUAACAAUAGUGAAAGCAAAAAAUCAAUGCAAUAGCUUUUGUUCUUCUACCACUACUUAUGACUUGUUCCAGCACAUGGUUGUUAAUCCCUUCUAAUUCCUUGGCCAGAAGAGAAUAGCAGCUUGACUAUGAAAUGAUCCCACAACCACUUGAAUGCGUACGUGUCUUCACGCAUGAUAUUUUGGAUUUCUUUUGAUGGCACAUUGCAAACGUUGUAGCCCAUUCAAAGUCUUGUCAUUACUCCCCCCUCCAAGUGGAUGCUUGUCCUCAGGGUCCUAAUUUGGAAACCUCUGCAGAAGCUCUUCGGUACUCUCCCACGUAGCAUCCUCCACAGCCAGCAUACACCACUUGACUAAACUUUCUUCACGAAACUUAGCCCCGUGUUUCACCCAGCGAGUGUCUAGUAUGGCUUUGGGCUCAAUCACAAGUGUACCAUCAUCUGAAAGUGGCAGAAGUUCUGAACUGUUCACGGAACCAUCUUGAUUACUACUCAAAAAGUGCUAUUUCAUAGCUUGUAAUUAACUCUUUUAAACACUUUUGAGUAGUAGUUAUUACCUUUUAACCCAAUUAACAUAUUAAGGACCUUUGCAAUAAAUUCUAAUCAAAUACUGUUAAGUUUUGGUGUUUUGAUAGCUUUUUGAUCACCAAAGCAAUCCAAGAUUGAGGAGAGUUCUUUGGAAUCCAUGGAAAAGCAAUGGAAAGCUCAGAAACAUGAAGAACCGAAGCUUUGAAGUCCUUUGCCAUAAGCAAAUCUGGAAUGCAAGGAGGGGAAGCAAAGAGAAAUCUGCCAUGAAGCAUUCUAGAUGACAGUCAUGUAAGCCACUUUUGGAGUACUUCCUGGAGUCCAAUUUAUGUAUGCUAUAUGUCGUUUCGAAGCUUAAGAAGUCAACAAUCCAAUGCUUUAAACAGUACGCGAUUCGGAGUUGAAAUGAAGGAGUUACAACCAUUGGAAGCUGAUCACUCCAAGCUAAAGGAAAAUUUUGCACGGCUGCAAAAUCCCCCUUUUGCUGCGAAAAUGUUGUCCUUUUGUUGCGAAAAUUUCGCAGCCAUUUUGCACAAUGCAACAGAAUUUCUCCUGAAGCUUCCUGAUAUUUGCGACAUACAUUUUGAGAUUUUUUGCUUUAGAUAUUUGAUGUCUAAAUCCCCAAACUCUCCUUGUAACCCACCUAUCAUAGGAUUCCUUAAUCUUUAAGUAAGAACAAAGGGUGAAUAACCUCUUAUAUAUAGUUUGUAAUUUUCUUUAUACAAUGAUCAAUCUCUCGAGAGCCUGUUCUCAGAGAUGAAUCAUCAUGUAAUUGGCGAAAGGAAGAAAUAUAUUUUACAGAGCACUUGCUCUGUUUUUCCUUCAUAUUUUUGUUUUCUCAUUAUUUUUCUUUCUAGCCAAUCAAACUUUGAGGAUGUUUUCUCAGAGGAUGAGAGGCUAGGCUCUUCGUCUCUUGGAGUGAAGAAAGCCGGGUAAGUUUCCUCAUGCAUAAAUUGGAAGUUUUGUUGUUUUAGUUUUUAAUGAAGAGAAAGUGUGACCCGUUAAUGGUUUUUAUCUUUUUAGUUAACUUAAAAUGCCUUUAAAUCACCUGGGCCAACACUUGGUAAGGCAAGUGAUCUCCGUCCAUUGAGAUGCACUAGUUUACCUAUUGCGAGCCUUUGGGAGGUGGUUUAAAGGUAGGAUUUUCUAGAAUAGCCAACACUUGGUAAGCUUUUGGACUCCAAGGAGACAUCCAUUAGUUAUCUCUUGCGAGCUUUUGACGGGUAAUCCAAGGUUAAGGAUCACCUUGAAUGGCAAAUGCUAGGUGAGAGGCACGAGCCAUUGCAAGAUGCAUCAGUGAGAGAGAUUUAGUGUUUGAACCCAUUAAUGGGAAGCAUCUGUACCACACCGGUUAGAGAAUUAACUAUAUGUUAAUUCUCUAAUGCGAGAAAAAGAAACAAGUGACCGGAACUCCCUUUUUGUACAAGGAACCUGAGCCUAGUGAUUUGAAACUCCAAGAAACACUUUUCUUUGUAAGUAAAAUCAGUUGCUAUUUUUGGUUAGUUUAAAACCAAACCUUUUUCAUUCAAACAUCUUUAUGUUUUAUUUUAAAGCUAACCUUGAAAUGAAAAGACACCAAUUCAUCUUUGAAUUAAUAUCAAUUGUGGAGUGAAAAACCAUCCCAGUGAAUGACCCUAGAGCCACUAUGCUAUGCUAGCUAAGGCUAUCCUAGUACAUGGUGUAAUAGGUUAUAAAUUUUGUUGAUUACUCCUGAGGACCAAAAUCAAGGGACACCAGCUGGACACGAAUCAAAUGGCACCACUGUCAGGGACCAUUGAGAGGACAUGAAUCAACUGAGACACCAAUUGGGAACGCAUCACAUCUCCAAGCUUCUUCCUUAGCAUCAAUACAUGAAAAACAAGGUGCAAGCGCACAUUGUCGGGUAGCUUCAGUUUUUAUGCGACAGCUCCCACUCUCUCCUCGAUUAGAUAUGAUCUACAGUAUUUGCUUGCAAGGUUCUGAUGAGCGCGUUGAAAACGAAUUGUUGGCGAUAAGGCUGUAGUUUGAGGAAAACAAGAUUGCCUUCUUGAAAUGUAGCAUCCCAUCAGUCACGAUAUGCUAUUUGCUUCAUUCGAUUCCUUGUAAUUGCCAAGUUUUCCUUGAGAUGUUUCAAUAAUGCAUCUUGAGUUGCAAGGCUAUGAUCAACUUCAUCAACGGGCGAAGACCCCAUCGAAUACAAUGGAAUAACAGGGGAAAGUCACCCAUAAAGAGCCUGGAAUGGGGUCAUGCCUAUAGAAGAGUGAUAAGCAAUAUUAUACCAUAACUCAGCCCAAGGAAGAAAUGUACUCCAUUGGCGUGGUUGUUGAUAGAUGAAGCAAUGCAGAUAUUGUUCCACACAGCGGUUGACAACUUCAGACUGGGCAUCUGUUUGAGGAUGGUAGGUAAAACUCAUCUUGAGUUAUGUACCCAACAUUGUAAAAAAUUCCUACCAGAACUUACUGAUGAAAAUGGGGUCCCUAUCACUAACAAUAGACCGCGACAUUCCAUGUAGUUUCACAAUGCCCUCAACAAAUUUUUUUGCCACCACAUUUGCUGUAAAUGGAUGAGAUAAGGGCAGAAAAUGUGUGUAUUUGCUGAGACGAUCAACAAUCACCAGAAUGGUCUUUUGAUCAUGGGAGAAUGGUGUUUUGAGCAAAACUAAAUCUCAACCAUAACGUAUCUAGUUUGAUUUAAUGUGAUUUAGUGUAAGAAAUUUGAUGUGAUUUGGUGGACCAUCAUGUUUAUGAUAGCUAAAAACUAGUAGGCAAUGAAAAUAAAAUAAUUCAUUCUUGCAGAGAGAAAGGGCAAGAGACAAUAAAAUAAUAAUUAUAGCACUAGACUUCUUCCUUACUAUCUAGUUUUCCCAUCUUCUUUUGUUUGUGAUUCCACUUGGGCUUACCAUUCUAUUUUAUAGAAAUAUGAGGAAAUUAUUCUUAUAAUUAACGUAGAAAAGUGAGGCAUGUUGAUGUUGGAUAAUUGGAAGUAACAUGUCUCCCUGAUGUCGUCGCCCAAUCAACUGAGAGUGAGGCUUCCUUCUCCUCUCCUGCAAAAGACACACCCUCCGAAGCUCUAGUUAGAUUGACAAUUAGAGAGAAUACCCCAUAUUGGGAACUCAAGAAGUGGAUUUUCUUUGCCCUCCCCCUCCCCCUCUUUCUUUUUGAGCCAUGUGAAGACUUUUAUUGUGUUUGGAGCCUUGUCACAUCUAUGCUGGGAAGGUGCUUUGACUUUCACAAUCAUGAUGGCUGCACAGAGGGUGGCAAAGCAAUCAUUAUCCUUUAGGCGGUUGAUAGGGGUCGUCGAUGGGGUGACCUGGCGUCUUGCUUGUCACCUCAUUCUACAAGCGGUGCAGUGCAGAGCGCAGCAGGUUGCCUGAAAGGACAUGGGGAUGUCCCAUCGAGCGUGCUUUUGGUGAGGAGAAGAAUGAUUGCCCGCGAAAACCGGUCAGGGAUCCUGUUUGGAACGCAUCAUGCAUUCUUGGAGAAGCACGAGGCAGCCAACCAUUGACUAUUGGGGCCGAAUUAGGUGUUCCUAGCUAAUGGCACAUGUCUAGACAAAGAUGAAGGGAUGCCAUGUGUCCAACAAAAGGGUGUCUUGCGAGGUCAAGGCAAUCUGCCACAUGUCCGCCCAAAUGAGGUCCUUACAAUGCCCCCUUUUAACCCAAUUGUUUUGUCCGGACAGAAGAGGCGAGUUAGUGGAGGGAGAUCCAAUGUCCACAGAGAAGGCUGCACACAACGUCAUUUUCUUUAGCAAUGAGCAGUUCAACGCGGGGCCCCGUUUCCUCUUCCAUCCAUUUUCAUGUAGUUCUUGCACUAUACCCAGAUCCCUCCAGCCGUUUCCAUCCUAAUAUCGUUUGGGUGUUAAUGGGGUGAAGCAUCCUGAACAUGCUCUUCUAUCUGGACCUCUUCCUAUCAUAGGUCAUCUUCGUCUACACCAUCAAAAAGGGCAAAAAUGACAUCUUUAGCAUGUUCGCCCAUAUCCCGUCUCUCUAGUUGGUGAUGAGUCUUCUUGAAUUGAACAAAUGAGGGGCCAAGAGACAUGUGCUGGUCCGGGGACCAUGGGUCAGCUUGAUAGAGCAUCCAGAAAGGGAUUUCCACCCUAACUGUUCAUUAAAGAUUCCGAGUAAGAAUGGUUCUAAGUGCCUCUCCCCUUACUAUUUUCUGUUGAGUUAAUGUCACUUGGUCGCUAAUAUUUUAUGUUUUGGCUGGUGUAAGUAAGGAUAAGAGGGGUCGUCUGGUUGAGUGGGUGGAGAAGGCUUCAUUCGUUCGAAAUCAUUGCCAGCGAAAGGAACUACCAGACGCUUCUUUCUGCCCGAAACCUACUUGCAGUUAUCCGGGAGCCCCAACCGUACGUCCUCCUCAUCAUUCCUAGGCGGUUGCCUAAGGUUGUGGUGCCCCGGGAACACUUUGUCUUGAAGAAUCUUUCAUUUUACGAAGAGACGUGUGAGGCAGAUGCCAAGGCUCGUUAGGAGCGUCUUGAGUAGGGGGAUGAGAAAAUGUAGGAGGGGAAAUUAAGGAGAGCGUCGGGUGAGAAGGGUCAGGCCUUGUUGUCUGUGGCCUAUCCUCCAACUAAAAAGAAGAAGAAGAACAAGAAGAAGAAGAAGAAAAGACCCAACGUAAAAGUGACCAAGGCUUCGACUCUAGUUCCUGAAUCUCCGUCUACCUCUACUCUUUCCUCUUCCAAUUCGGCGGACAGCUCCAUCCAAGCUUCCAAGGGUGACUCCGAUUCCUUGAGGCUCGAUCUAAGCGAUCCGGGGACUUGUCAUUCUGAGCCUGAGUCAGUGCCUAUAGCCCUUAGAGUUAUAGACGAACCAGAAGCAGAGGAAGACAUGUCAACUGAUUUGAGAGUCGGUUUUAAGGAGAGGCACCGUAAACGUCUGCAUGAGGCUAUCCAUAUGGUCCCUCCUCCAACCAAAAGGGCUUGCCCGGAAGGGGCUCGGGAGGAGCCUAGGAGACAGGUCCUUCCAAUGCCAAUGCCCCCGUUGGAUACCGUGGGGCCUAGCAGCACGCUUGUUGUUGAGAAAGAGGUCGACCCGACUCUAGGUGGGGUCUCUGGUGGUGUUGCUCUUGUUGAGGAGGUUUUGGACCAAAAAGACACUCCUGCGUCCGCUCCUCCUCCAAGCUGGGAUGAAAUGAUGGAGAUGCUAAAGCACAUGUCAUGCUUCACUGAUGCUGAGCCACCUUUCACCAAGAUGUCAGAUUUAUUUCCUUUUACCAAGCGGAUAUCGAUGAAUUUAGGCGGUGACCCUCCCAUCUUCGUCUCAACCCGACUUCCUUUUGGCACGCCCGAGUCUACCACCUCCCGUAUUCAACAACUGCGGGAUUGCAUGGUGCAAGAGACUGCAAAAGUGGUAACUUCUUCUAUGUUGCCCCCUUUCCGGAUAAUGCACACCUCCCUAAUGGCGCUAACCCUAUUUCUAUUAUUUCUUUUAGUUGGUGGUUGGCAUCCGCAACAUGGUGCGUCAACGCACACUACUUUCAAAUCUGAAUUUUUCUUACUUGCUCUAUUGUUGCCCAAAUUUCUUAAUCAUUUUUCAUUCUCUAGUUAUUCUACCCAAGAAUUUGAAUAGAACCUCCAAAUAAUCAACCAAAAUUUCAACUCUUGACAAGCAACCACACUUGGACACUCAUAGUUCCACUCUCCUUACAGUAUAAGAUUCUAAACUUAAGGAAUUUUGAUUUCUUGUUCAGUUUUACUGUCUACUUUGCAUGUUCUUGGUAAGAUAAUGGUAGCUCCACACAAGCAGAAUGACAUGAGUAAGGUACAUGGUGCUACAAGGAUGAGAUGGAGACCAAAAAAAUUCUGUCAUGAUUUGAAUUGUUGCCCAAAUGAGGUUUUCUCAUUGCCAGGGUAUAACUCUCAAAUUAAGCUUAUUUGUAAUGUAUGGGAAAAUUAUAUGCUAAUAAUGUCCAAAAGCUUAUGGCUAGUGAGGUUUGUGUCUAUAUGAAUGUGCUUUUGAGCAUUGAACCUUAAUUUACAAUCUAGAGAUUUAAUAUGGAAUCUUGUUUUUUCUACAAAUGUUGGAGAUAUUACAACAUUAGAACUGUUGAUUUUCUAUGAUGUGUUGAUUGAUUACUACUCAAAAAGUGCUAUUUGAUAGCCUUUAAUUAAUCCUUUUAAACACUUUUGAGUAGUAGUUUAGGCCUUUUAACUCAAUUGGCAUGUUAAGGAUCCUUUAAAGCAAUUUUGAUCACUUUGUGUAAGUUUUGGUGUUUUUGUUAGUAUUUUGAUCACCAAAGCAAGUCAAGAAUGAGGAGAGCUAUGAGGAAUCUUGGGCAAAGCUUAGAAUUCAAUUGCCAAGAGUGAAUCCGGAUUGCAAGGAGAAAAAGCAAAGAGAAUCUGCCAUGAAGCCUAUUCUUGAUGACAGUCGUAGCAGCCACUUUUGGAGCACUUUCUGAAGUCCUAAUGAUGCAUGCUAUAUACCAUUUCAAAGAUUAGGAAGUCAACAAUCCAAUGCUUCAAACGGUGCGCGAUUCGGAGUUGAAACAAAGAAGUUGCAGCCAUUACAAGUCAAUCACUCUAAAGUGUUGCGGAAUCAGCCAUUUGUUGCGAGAAUUUCGCAGCACUUUUGUACAGUAAGGUGUUUCUCCUUCUGACGAUGCACGAACCAUGCCGCGAGAAGGGAGCUGGAAACCUCAAGGUGGAAGCCAACUUUGCAGCCUGGUGAAGAUAGCUUGGUGUUGCGAAAAUAUUUCGCAGCCCUCUCAGGUGUCUGCGAAAUUUCGCAGACACCACUUUUCUCCUGCGAAAUGGCUCCUGAAGCCUCCCGAAGCUUGCUACCGACAUUGGGAGAUAUUUUCCAUUAGAUUUUUGUUGUCUAAAUCCCAAAAUACUCCUUGUAAACCACCAAUUACAUGAUUCCUUAGUUUUUAAGUUAGUAAAAAGACCAAAUAUCUUUGUAAUAAUUAGUUUUAUAUUGUUUUGAUAUAAAUACCUCUCGGGAGCCUGUUCUCAGAGAGGAGUUCCUUCUGUAAACGUUUGGUAAGCUAGUAAAGUCUAUUUUCUUUCUACUGCCUUACCUUCUCACUUUGUAUUUUCAUUUUAUUUCUAAGUUAUGAAUUCUCUGAGGAGUUUUCCCCAGAGAAUGAGUAACUAAACCUCCAAUUCCUUGGAGCUAAGGUUGCCGGGGAAGGUUCCAAGUGCAAGAAUGCAAAGCUUUGUGGUUUUAGCUAUUAAUGAAGAGGAAGUGAAAUCCUUUAGUGAUUUCUAUGUUUUUAGUUAACUUAAAACACCUUGGAGUCACCUGGGCCAACACUUGGUAAGGCAAGUGAUUUCCAACCAUGGAAAUGCACUAGUUUACCCCUUGCGAGCCUCUGGUAGGUGACUUCAAGGUAGGAUUUUCUGGAAUUACCAACACUUGGUAAGCUUUUGGACUCCUAGGAGACAUCCAUUAGUUAUCUCUUGCGAGUUUGUGAAGGGGAAUCCAAGGUUAAAGAUCACCUUGAAUGGGUAAGUGCUCGUGAGAGGCAUGAACCAUUGCAAGUUGCAUCAGUGAGAGAAUUAAAGUGAAAUCUAAUUGAAGGAGUCUCUGUACAUCACCGGUUAGAGAAUUGACUCUAAGUUGAAUCUCUAAUGCGAGGAAAUGAACCAUCUGACCGGAGCUAUGUCUUUUGCAUGAGGAACCACCCCAGUGAACCUAAAUCUCCAAGGAAUGCUUUUCUUCCUAAAUUAUUCCAAACUUCUGUUAAGUUAGUUAGUUUAAGUCUAAACCUUUAUCAAUCAAAGUUUGUGUUUUACUUCUUAAGCUAACCGUGAAAUGAAACAAGACCAAUUCACUUGGAAUUGGUAUCAUUGAUUGCUUGCAAAUCAUUCCCAGUGAACGAUCCUAGAGCCACUAUACUAUAGUAGCUUUGUAUUUGCUACCCUAGUGUAUGGUGUUAUAGGUAUAAAUUUUGUUGAUCACUUCCUCAAUCAAGGAGCGCCAGCUGAACACAAAUCAGCUGAGACACCAAUUGGGCAUGAGUCAAAUGGCGCCGUUGCCGGGGAAUGAGUGUCAAGUUCAUUGUGAUACCAUUGUUGAGCACUUGUGAUUUUCAUCACAAGUUGGUAAAGUUUCUUUCAGUUUACUAAUUUUCAUUCUUUCUUUGUUAAUUCAUAAUCUAAGUUUAUCUUUUUAAAUUUUAGUCUAGUUUAAUUUUGUUGUUGUAGCCCUGUUUUUCUUUGUGUCUUCUGUUUUUAUUUAAGUUGCAGCUGAAUACUAGUUGUGUAUGCCCAACUGGAUACGAGACAUUGGAGGUAGGCUUGUUAAGUGUGAUACACCUCAGAAAGGAGAAUUUGAAGUAAUCUUGAACAUCAUGGAGGCUGCACCUGAAGAUCAGCAUAGUCACCAAGGUCGUCAAGACAAUCUCAAUGAAUUCAGAUCAAUGAGGGACCGUAUGCAUCCACCUCGUAUGAGUGCACCAUCAUGUAUAGUGCCCCCUACAGAGCAGCUAGUGAUCAGACCAUAUCUUGUUCCACUUCUACCAACUUUCCAUGGGAUGGAAAGUGAGAAUCCGUAUGCACACAUCAAGGAAUUUGAAGAUGUUUGUAAUACAUUCCAAGAGGGAGGAGCUUCAAUUGAUUUGAUGAGGCUUAAGUUAUUUCCUUUCACUUUAAAGGAUAAGGCCAAAAUUUGGCUUAAUUCUUUAAGGCCAAGGAGUAUCCGCUCUUGGACUGAUUUACAAGCUGAGUUCCUUAAGAAAUUUUUUCCUACUCAUAGAACAAAUGGCUUGAAAAGGCAAAUUUCAAAUUUCUCAGCUAAAGAGAAUGAGAAAUUCUAUGAGUGUUGGGAAAGAUACAUGGAAGCUAUAAAUGCUUGUCCUCACCAUGGCUUUGAUACUUGGCUAUUGGUGAGCUAUUUUUAUGAUGGUAUGUCAUCCUCAAUGAAGUAACUCCUCGAGACAAUGUGUGGAGGAGAUUUCAUGAGCAAAAAUCCAAAGGAAGCUAUGGAUUUCUUGAGCUAUGUAGUUGAUGUUUCAAGGGGAUGGGAUGAACCAACCAAAGGAGAAGUAGGAAAGAUGAAGUCUCAGUUGAAUGCUUACAAUGCAAAGGCUGGGAUGUAUAAUUUAAAAGAAGAUGAUGACAUGAAAGCAAAGUUGGCAGCUAUGACAAGAAGAUUGGAGGAGCUGGAGCUGAAAAAAAUACAUGAAGUGCAAUCUGUUGCUGAAGCACCAGUGCAAGUGAAGCUGUGUCCCAAUUGUCAAUCAUUUGAACAUUUGGUGGAGGAGUGCCCUGCAAUUUCAGUUGAAAGGGAAAUGUAUAGAGAUCAAGCAAAUGUUGUUGGACAAUUUAGGCCCAAUAACAAUGCUCCUUAUGGAAAUACCUACAAUUCAAGUUGGAGGAAUCAUCCAAAUUUCUCAUGGAAGGCCAGAGCAACUCAAUACCAACAGCCGGAUCCACCAUCUCAACAAUCUUCAAGUAUUGAACAAAUAAUAGCCAAUCUCAGCAAGGUAGUGGGAGAUUUUGUGGGAAAGCAAGAAGCCACCAAUGCUCGAGUUGAUCAAAGAAUGGACAGAAUGGAGAGUGUGUUGAACAAAAGAAUGGAUGGAAUGCAAAAUGACAUGAAUCAAAAGUUUGAUAACAUCCAAUAUUCAAUUUCAAGGCUUACAAAUUUGAAUACACUGCAAGAAAAAGGAAGAUUUCCUUCUCAACCUAACCAAAAUCCCAAAGGUGUCCAUGAAGUGGAAAGCCAUGAGGGAGAAUCAUCACAGGUGAAAGAUGUGAAAGCUUUGAUCACUCUAAGGAGUGGUAAGAAAAUUGAGCAGCCAACACCCAAGCCACAUGUUGAAAAAGAAGAAGAGAUAAAGAAAGGGAAGGAAAUGGAAGAUAAAGAGAAUGAGAUCAGUGAAGAGAAGAAGGACUCUGAUUCAACAAUGAAAGCAAUUCCAGAGAAGGAGCUUCUGAAGGAAGAAAUGCUAAAGAAAUCAACUUUUCCACCUUUUCCUCAAGCAUUACAGGGGAAAAAGGGGGUUAGAAAUGCAGCUGAAAUCCUUGAAGUCUUGAGACAAGUGAAAGUUAAUAUUCCACUGUUGGAUAUGAUCAAACAAGUUCCAACGUAUGUAAAAUUCUUAAAGGACUUGUGUACUAUCAAAAGAGGGUUGACUGUAAACAAGAAAGCCUUCUUGACUGAGCAAGUAAGUGCAAUCUUACAAUGCAAGUCUCCUUUGAAGUACAAAGACCCUGGAAGUCCUACCAUUUCAGUCAUGAUUGGAGGAAAGGUAGUGGAGAAAGCCUUGCUAGAUUUAGGAGCAAGUGUGAAUUUGCUUCCAUACUCUGUCUACAAGCAACUAGGGCUUGGAGAGUUGAAGCCAACAACAAUCACCUUAUCUCUGGCAGAUAGAUCAGUGAAAAUUCCAAGAGGAGUAAUUGAGGAUGUAUUGGUUCAAGUAGAUAAUUUCUACUAUCCUGUAGAUUUUGUUGUUCUUGAUACUGAUCCAACUGUAAAGGAAGCUAAUUUAGUUCCUAUCAUCCUUGGAAGGCCAUUUCUUGCAACUUCAAAUGCAAUCAUCAACUGUAGAAAUGGGCUUAUGCAACUCACUUUUGGUAACAUGACACUGGAUCUAAAUAUUUUCUAUAUGUCUAAAAAGCAAAUCACUCCGGAAGAAGAAGAAGGUCCAGAAGAGCUAUGUAUAAUUGAUACUUUGGUGGAGGAGCACUGCAAUCAACAUAUGCAAGAAAAGUUGAAUGAAAGUCUUGAGGAUAUUGAGGAAGGUUUUUCUGAAUCUCCUAUUGGGCUUGCUACUCUACAAAGUUGGAAAAAGAUAGAAGGAAUUCUACCUUUGUUCAAUGAAGAAGAGGAGGCAUCUAUUGAAAAAGAAAUUCCAAAACUCAAUCUGAAGCCUUUACCUGUGGAGCUGAAAUAUACAUAUCUUGAAGCAAAUAAUCAAUGUCCUGUUGUGAUAUCCUCAUCUCUGACCAGUCAUCAAGAGAAUUGUUUAAUGGAAGUUCUUAGGAGGUGUAGGAAGGCAAUAGGAUGGCAAAUAUCUGAUUUGAAAGGCAUUAGUCCUUUAGUUUGUGCUCAUCAUAUAUAUAUGGAGGAGAAAGCAAAGCCAAUUCGUCAAUUUCAAAGAAGGUUGAAUCCUCAUCUACAAGAGGUGGUGCGAGCUAAGGUGCUGAAGCUACUUCAAGCAGGAAUCAUUUACCCUAUAUCUGAUAGCCCUUGGGUGAGUCCUACUCAAGUGGUACCAAAGAAGUCAGGGAUCACAGUGAUUCAAAAUGAAAAAGGGGAAGAAAUUACUACACGCCUCACUUCAGGUUGGAGGGUGUGUAUUGAUUAUAGAAAGCUGAAUGCUGUCACCAGGAAGGAUCAUUUUCCAUUGCCAUUUAUUGACCAAGUGCUGGAGAGAGUCUCUGGACAUCCAUUCUAUUGUUUCUUGGAUGGGUAUUCAGGGUAUUUUCAGAUUGAAAUUGAUUUGGCAGAUCAGGAAAAGACCACUUUUACAUGUCCAUUUGGAACAUUUGCUUAUAGAAGAAUGUCUUUUGGUUUAUGCAAUGCACCUGCUACAUUUCAAAGAUGUAUGUUGAGUAUUUUCAGUGAUAUGGUGGAGAGAAUUAUGGAGGUUUUCAUGGAUGACAUCACUGUAUAUGGAGGUACAUUUGAGGAAUGCUUGGUUAAUUUGGAAGCAGUUCUUCAUAGAUGCAUUGAAAAAGAUCUGGUGCUGAAUUGGGAAAAAUGCCAUUUUAUGGUACGUCAAGGAAUUGUCCUUGGCCAUAUCAUCUCUGAAAAAGGCAUUGAAGUUGAUAAAGCAAAGGUGGAGCUUAUUGCCAAAUUACCAUCUCCAACAACUGUGAAAGGAGUAAGGCAGUUCCUUGGCCAUGCAGGGUUCUAUAGGAGGUUUAUAAAAGGUUUUUCAAGUCUUUCAAAACCUCUUUGUGAACUGUUAGCUAAGGAUGCUAAGUUUAUAUGGGAUGAAAGGUGUCAGCAUAGCUUUGAUCAACUGAAGAAAUUUUUAACAACAACUCCAAUAGUGAGAGCCCCUAACUGGCAGUUACCUUUUGAACUGAUGUGUGAUGCCAGUGACUUUGCUAUAGGAGCUGUGCUUGGCCAAAGAGAAGAUGGGAAGCCCCAUGUGAUUUACUAUGCAAGUAAAACACUAAAUGAAGCUCAAAGGAACUACACAACUACAGAGAAAGAAUUGUUAGCUGUGGUAUUUGCUUUGGACAAAUUUCGAGCUUAUUUAGUGGGGUCUUUCAUCAUUGUCUUUACUGACCAUUCAACCUUGAAGUAUUUAUUGACAAAGCAAGAUGCAAAAGCAAGGUUGAUUAGAUGGAUUCUAUUGUUACAAGAGUUCGAUCUUCAAAUCAAAGAUAAGAAAGGAGUGGAGAAUGUAGUAGCUGACCACUUGUCAAGGUUAGUUAUAGCACAUAAUUCCCAUCCCUUACCUAUCAAUGAUGAUUUUCCUGAAGAAUCACUCAUAUUCCUAGUAAAAACUCCUUGGUAUGCUCAUAUUGCUAAUUAUUUAGUAACUGGUGAAAUUCCAAGUGAGUGGAAUGCACAGGACAAGAAGCACUUCUUUGCCAAAAUUCAUUCUUAUUAUUGGGAAGAGCCCUUUCUCUUUAAGUAUUGUGCAGAUCAGAUUAUAAGGAAGUGUGUCCCUGAAGAUGAGCAGCAAGGGAUUCUAUCUCAUUAUCAUGAGAAUGCAUGUGGAGGCCACUUUGCCUCUCAGAAAACAGCUAUGAAGGUAUUGCAGUCAGGGUUUACUUGGCCAUCUCUUUUCAAAGAUGCCCACAUCAUGUGUAGGAGUUGUGAUAGAUGCCAAAGGCUUGGAAAGCUAACAAAAAGAAAUCAAAUGCCUAUGAACCCCAUUCUAAUAGUUGAGUUAUUUGAUGUAUGGGGCAUUGACUUCAUGGGACCUUUCCCAAUGUCUUUUGGUAAUUCUUACAUUUUGGUAGGGGUAGAUUAUGUUUCUAAAUGGGUUGAGGCAAUCCCCUGUAAACAAAAUGAUCAUAGGGUGGUUCUCAAGUUUCUUAAAGAGAACAUAUUCUCAAGAUUUGGGGUGCCCAAGGCCAUAAUCAGUGAUGGAGGUGCUCAUUUUUGCAACAAACCUUUUGAAGCUCUGUUAUCCAAGUAUGGAGUGAAGCAUAAGGUGGCCACACCUUAUCAUCCUCAGACUUCCGGGCAAGUUGAGCUAGCUAACAGGGAAAUAAAGAACAUCUUGAUGAAAGUGGUGAAUUCCAACAGAAAAGAUUGGUCUAUUAGGCUUCAUGAUUCAUUGUGGGCAUAUAGAACAGCUUAUAAGACUAUUCUAGGGAUGUCUCCCUAUCGUCUUGUCUAUGGCAAAGCAUGCCAUCUCCCUGUGGAAGUUGAAUACAAAGCUUGGUGGGCAAUAAAGAAGCUGAAUAUGGACUUGAUCAAGGCCGGAGAAAAGAGAUUUCUAGACCUUAAUGAGAUGGAGGAAUUAAGAAAUAAUACUUAUAUCAAUUCCAAAGUUGCAAAACAGAGGAUGAAGAAGUGGCAUGAUCAACUCAUCUCCAACAAGGAAUUUCAGGAAGGGCAAAAAGUUUUGAUGUAUGACACAAGACUCCAUAUCUUUCCUGGGAAGCUCAAAUCAAGGUGGAUUGGUCCAUUUGUUAUUCACCGAGUAUAUUCCAAUGGAGUGGUGGACUUAUUGAAUUCCAAUGGCAAUGACAGCUUUAGAGUCAAUGGAUAUCGUCUUAAGCCGUUCAUGGAGUCAUUCAAAUCAGAAAAGGAGGCAAUCAACCUCCUUGAACCUCAAAAAGCCUAAGUGAAAAGGGUUUGUUGGACGUGGUUUUACCACAGUCCAAAAUUUUUGUAAAUUUUGUAAAUUUUCAAGUUGUUUUUAUGCUUUUGAUCUUAGUUAUUGAUCUUAAAUCAUGUUUUUAGGUGUGUUUUAAUCGUUUUAUAUGAUCCCAGGUGGAAGAAAUUUCAAGGGGAGUGAAAAGAAAAAAAUCGGGUCGAAAUUGGAGCUGAAACAGAGCAAAAACAGGGGAAAAACAAAGCUCUGCGAAAUUUCGCAGGGUGAAGGAAACCUCUGCGAACUGGGCAUUUUGUUGCCAAACCAUUCCGCAGCACUGUAGAAGUCUCUGCGAGUGUAUUUCGCAAUUGCGAAAGUGGUUUUGGCACACGAGUGCCACUUCGUAGUACAGUAGCACCCAUUUCGCAGCUGCGAAACUCAUUGCGAAAUGGAAAAGCGUGAUUUCGCACCAAAAGUCCCAUUCCGCAGGGCAUUUCGCAAUUGCGAAAGUGGUUUUGGCACACGAGUGCCACUUCGCAGCACAGUGACAUCAAUUUCGCAGUUGCGAAACUCACUGCGAAGUUGCUGCGAAAAUGGCAAGUUGCUGCGAAAUUGGCGUUUUGUUGCGAAACUUAAACUGACCCCUGAGCUUCCGUUUUUCCUAUUUAUACCGGUCAAAAGUUCUGCGAAAAGGGUUUCAAAAAUCAGAGCACCAUUCUCGCAGCCCCUUCGUCUUCUUCGCCAAGCCACGCCGUCCGUUUCUCCGGUCGUCUUCUCCGUUUAGCAGCGCCGGCCAAAGAUCGAUAUUCCAAAAUGGCACGAACGCGAGGGGCAAAGUCUUCAUCCCCUUCGAACCGCAAAAGGAGUCUGCGAAAGGAGCCAAGUUCAGGUUCUGUUCCAGAACCUGCUCCAAAGCCUUCGCCGUCGAGACCAAAUCCUCCUUCAGUGAAGCCGGCACCACCAAAGCCGCCGGCAAGGCGAUAUUUAACAAGGUCAGGCGGUCAGCCAUUGAAGAAGAAAACCAGGGUUGAGAGCUCUGAACCAAUUGAUUUGACUGAGCAAUCCCCUGAGAAAUCCCCAAAGCUAACACCGGUUCAAUCUCCGGUAUCUUCACCAAAUCCUUCACCGGUACAAAUUCCAGUGCCGUCACCGGUUCCCUCGCCAAUUCCCUCACCAGAAGCAACUCCAAUUCCAUCGCCGGUACCAUCUCCGGCACCCCAAGAAAAAGCUUAGGAGCCUCAAGCGCCAAUUCCAGAGCCCCAAAUUGCAGCUGAAGCACCUCUGGAAGAAGUGAUUAGGAGGCCAAUGCUGCCUCAGCCCCCAAUCAAAGGAAACUUGGAUUGUCGAACUCGGGCAUUCCAUUCUGAGCUUUGCUUCGAUUUAACAGCAUUCAGAGUGAGGCCAGAGCUUGCCCAAUCCUUCCAGCUACUAAGGAGAUAUCAUAUGGAGCAUCUGCUCGCUCCAAGGGAUUUUUUCUAUCCCCGGGUAGUCACGGACUUCUACUAGACCAUGACAACCAAAGAAGUAAGAAAUCCAACUCUGAUCCAUUUCACAAUUGAUGGAAGACAUGGAAUUUUGGGAGCAAGACAUAUUGCUGAAGCCCUGCAAAUUCCUUUUGAGCCAACCCAAUUCGACAAUUUUAAAGCUUGGGCAAAUCCUACUGAGUUAGAGAUGGUUCACAUCCUAACCAGAGGAGCUGCAAAUCGAUCGCAUUUGCUGAGGGGGGAGCUACCUCCAGUUAUGUUUUUGAUUGAUGCCUUUUUGAGGCAUAAUAUCUAUCCCCUGCAGCAUUGGACCCAAAGAAGGGGAAUUCUCCUAGAAGCCCUGUAUAAGAUGUCAGAAGGAUUCUUCUUUGGGCCUCAUCAUCUUAUCAUGGCAGCCCUUCUAUACUUUGAGGAGAAGGUUCACAAGAAGAAGGUUCACAAGAAGAAGCUUCAAAGAGCAGAUUGCAUUCCACUCCUCUUCCCACGGCUGCUAUGCCAAGUUUUGGAGCAUCUCGGAUACCCCUCUGAGCCUCAGCAGGAAAGAAAGAGAAUAUGCCGUGAGCCAUUUACCCUUGAUAAAUGGAAUAAUAUGACGGCCUACAAAGUUGAUCAGCCAGGGCAACCUCAGCCAGCUGCAAGGAGAGCCUCCCCAAGACGUAUACCUGAAGGUAUAACACUUGCUACUCCUGCCAUCCCUCGAGCUCCACCAACUACCCCAGCUGCAUCACAGCCAUCCACAUCAGCUGAGCCGAGGAUGGCCAUCCCUAUAUCCGAAUAUUGAGAGCUGUGCCGAGCAUUGGAGACUCUUACAGCUUCCCAGACCAAUCUUGCUCAGGAGUUGGCAGCCAUCAAAGCAUGCCAGGAGCAGAUGUUAGCCUCUCAGGCUCAACAAGCUGCCAUCCUAAGGCAGCUUCAAGUCCAUUUCGAUCUGCCACAAGCUGUAGAGCCCUCCACUGAGACUCCACCAGAGCCACACUCUCAGCCUUCAGAGUCUCAUCCUCCAGAGCCCGAAGCCCCAGUUGAUCCUCCUACUGAGGAGGCAGAUCCUUCUGCCUAGCACCAUCACCCCACUCAUCAGACAUUAUAUAUAUUUGCUAUUUAUGUUUUUAUGCUUGUUUUGUUUUAGUUGAAAUGAAAUCCCAGUAUUUUGGUACUAUAUAUGGGAUUCCUUGUGUUACUUGUCUUUAGCAUUGUAAUCAAAUGAACUCAAAGUAAUACAAGUUGAAUUUUUUUUUUCUUGUUAAAAGUUAGCAUUAAGUUCUCCUUAUUUCCUUUUCUCACAUAUUCUAUUUUUUUUGAAACAUGUGGUUUUCCCCAAUCAAUAUUCGAAUUUGAUAUCAGCAUGGAGGUACCACUUCCUCCCUUUUAUUACAGUCACUCAAAUCACAUUGAGGACAAUGCUCAGUUCGGUUGGGGGGUAUGAGGAAGGAAGUAUGCUAAAUCUUUUUGGUAUUGCAAUUAUAUUGGUUAAUUAGUUGUAGAUUUUACGUUUUACUAGUGUUACUCUAUUCUCCAUGAAUUUUGAGGAAAAUUUUCAAAUUAAACCAAGAGAAAUUGAACUGUUGUUUUUCACUUGACUUAGAGUAUGGAUUAUGCUUACUAAAGUGGUUCAAUUGUUGAAACUUCUACUGUAAUUGAAUUGAGUUCUUCCACUUUAAGCUAUCCACACAUUGUGCACAUUAGUUUCCGAUUAUAAGAUGAAAAGCUAUUACCCUCUUGACUUAGGAUAAUUUUGAGACUUGGUAUAUUUGACCUCAUUUGAUAAAAAUUGAAACACCCUGCAAAAGGCCAAUGAGCCUUUGAAAUAAAGAAAGUUGUUUGCUUGCCUUGAAACCCGAGCAAGGUCUGAGGGGCAUAUGGUGAAAGCCUUUAAAGCCUGGUGCCCUAAACCUUAAUUGGUUGGGAGUCACUGACCUCAAUGCUCGUUACAAGGGUGAAUAGGUAGAGUUAGCAUAUGGUAGAUGUUUGGGUAUUAGAAAUUCAUUCUUAAAAGUCCGGGGAAAAAUCCGAGGAGUUAGUGGUUGAAAGAUCCUUAAAACUUGGUGCCCUAAACCUUAAUUGGUUGGGAGUCAUCGAUGGACCCCCAUUACAUGGACAAGUCAGAAAGAGUACCCCAUAAAGCUACCUUGAAAAAAAAAAAAAAAAAAAAAAGAUGAAAGUGUGUUAUUUUCUUAUUGAUUUUGGUCAGUUUGCUAAAGUGUUGAAAAGAGAUAGGUUGGGGGUGAGAUUAGUUUAGCAUAUUAUUCUCGGAAUCUAAGGAACUAAUACACAUAGAUUUUUGUGGAAGAUUGAAAUUUAGUUCUUAGAAAGUGAAAUGAUUUUAAAACUUCGGUUUGCAUAAUGCACUCCCUUGAUUGACAGUGCUUAGCAUAGUUUGUUAUGACUCUUGUUGAGAUUUGGGUUUGUAUUUCUUUAAUGAUUCAUGUGAGAAUUAGAUCAUCAUGCCACUUAAGAAUUAUUUUCUUUUAGCAUGAUGUUGUAAAUUUUAGAUUAGUUGCUAUUUAUUUUCAUUUUUCUCUCCUAUAUUGCUAAGGGACUAGCAAUAUGUCGGUUGGGGGGAGUGAUUACUACUCAAAAAGUGCUAUUUGAUAGCCUUUAAUUAAUCCUUUUAAACACUUUUGAGUAGUAGUUUAGGCCUUUUAACUCAAUUGGCAUGUUAAGGAUCCUUUAAAGCAAUUUUGAUCACUUUGUGUAAGUUUUGGUGUUUUUGUUAGUAUUUUGAUCACCAAAGCAAGUCAAGAAUGAGGAGAGCUAUGAGGAAUCUUGGGCAAAGCUUAGAAUUCAAUUGCCAAGAGUGAAUCCGGAUUGCAAGGAGAAAAAGCAAAGAGAAUCUGCCAUGAAGCCUAUUCUUGAUGACAGUCGUAGCAGCCACUUUUGGAGCACUUUCUGAAGUCCUAAUGAUGCAUUCUAUAUACCAUUUCAAAGCUUAGGAAGUCAACAAUCCAACGCUUCAAACGGUGCGCGAUUCGGAGUUGAAACAAAGAAGUUGCAGCCAUUACAAGUCAAUCACUCUAAAGUGUUGCGGAAUCAGCCAUUUGUUGCGAGAAUUUCGCAGCACUUUUUUACAGUAAGGUGUUUCUCCUUCUGACGAUGCACGAACCAUGCCGCGAGAAGGGAGCUGGAAACCUCAAGGUGGAAGCCAACUUUGCAGCCUGGUGAAGAUAGCUUGGUGUUGCGAAAAUAUUUCGCAGCCCUCUCAGGUGUCUACGAAAUUUCGCAGACACCACUUUUCUCCUGCGAAAUGGCUCCUGAAGCCUCCCGAAGCUUGCUACCGACAUUGGGAGAUAUUUUCCAUUAGAUUUUUGUUGUCUAAAUCCCAAAAUACUCCUUGUAAACCACCAAUUACAUGAUUCCUUAGUUUUUAAGUUAGUAAAAAGACCAAAUAUCUUUGUAAUAAUUAGUUUUAUAUUGUUUUGAUAUAAAUACCUCUCGGGAGCCUGUUCUCAGAGAGGAGUUCCUUCUGUAAACGUUUGGUAAGCUAGUAAAGUCUAUUUUCUUUCUACUGCCUUACCUCCUCACUUUGUAUUUUCAUUUUAUUUCUAAGUUAUGAAUUCUCUGAGGAGUUUUCCCCAGAGAAUGAGUAACUAAACCUCCAAUUCCUUGGAGCUAAGGUUGCCGGGGAAGGUUCCAAGUGCAAGAAUGCAAAGCUCUGUGGUUUUAGCUAUUAAUGAAGAGGAAGUGAAAUCCUUUAGUGAUUUCUAUGUUUUUAGUUAACUUAAAACACCUUGGAGUCACCUGGGCCAACACUUGGUAAGGCAAGUGAUUUCCAACCAUGGAAAUGCACUAGUUUACCCCUUGCGAGCCUCUGGUAGGUGACUUCAAGGUAGGAUUUUCUGGAAUUACCAACACUUGGUAAGCUUUUGGACUCCUAGGAGACAUCCAUUAGUUAUCUCUUGCGAGUUUGUGAAGGGGAAUCCAAGGUUAAAGAUCACCUUGAAUGGGUAAGUGCUCGUGAGAGGCAUGAACCAUUGCAAGUUGCAUCAGUGAGAGAAUUAAAGUGAAAUCUAAUUGAAGGAGUCUCUGUACAUCACCGGUUAGAGAAUUGACUCUAAGUUGAAUCUCUAAUGCGAGGAAAUGAACCAUCUGACCGGAGCUAUGUCUUUUGCAUGAGGAACCACCCCAGUGAACCUAAAUCUCCAAGGAAUGCUUUUCUUCCUAAAUUAUUCCAAACUUCUGUUAAGUUAGUUAGUUUAAGUCUAAACCUUUACCAAUCAAAGUUUGUGUUUUACUUCUUAAGCUAACCGUGAAAUGAAACAAGACCAAUUCACUUGGAAUUGGUAUCAUUGAUUGCUUGCAAAUCAUUCCCAGUGAACGAUCCUAGAGCCACUAUACUAUAGUAGCUUUGUAUUUGCUACCCUAGUGUAUGGUGUUAUAGGUAUAAAUUUUGUUGAUCACUUCCUCAAUCAAGGAGCACCAGCUGAACACAAAUCAGCUGAGACACCAAUUGGGCAUGAGUCAUUGAUGUCUUUUGAUAAACUUAGAAUGAAUUGUGGACUUGGGAAGGAAGUAUUUCAUCAAUAAGCAUGUAAAAAACACCAUAAGCACAUGUCAAUAUGAAAAUGACUAAAUUGGGGCAUAAAUACCAAAAAAUGAAAACCUUGUACCUAUAGUAAAAUAAUGGAAGUUCAAACUUUGGAAAUCAUGUAUUUUUCCUUUUUAAACUGAUCCAUGCAAUGAAAACAUGAAAAAGAUUGUUGAGGUUGUGGCCAUUAACAAUAUAUCCCUAGAAGGAUAAUACAAAUCAUAAAGAGAAAAUUUGUAAAAAGGACACCGUUGGGCUAACCUAGAACUACAAGCUAGGACAAGAAUUGGUCACAACCAUGUACCUACAAAAUCUACUUAUAAUUUCUAGGGAACUUCGAAGUGCAUAUGCAUGUGUGUGUGUGUACAUGUUUGGAUGUAUAUAUAUGUUUACAAGAUAAAAACAAAUCCUUGUACUAGAUGUAGGCAAAGGUAUUCACUAGAUAUAAAAAUUUCCUUGUGUCACUUGUUGAGACAAGAGAAAUACCUAUUUGGAUGUGGUGAUUAGAUUUCAACAUAGCCUUCUGGAUGGUUUUUGAAUUAUGAGGCGGUGGUGUUUGUUGUACCCUUAAAUUUUACUCCGUAUAAAGUAAUUACUAAUUUAUAGAGGCAAAAAUUCCUUGUAUCAUGAAAGGAAUAGCAGUUUCUUGUUCAUACUAUUUUGUUUGGAAGUUGGGUUCCUAUAUUGUUCAAAAUGCUAUUUUGAUUGCUUGAUUGUUGCAACUCACAUUUCGUUUGUUGUUUGUAUUUUGUGUGCAGGGUAAUAUGAUACUAUCAGAUAUUGGACUUGCUGAGAAGCGAAUAAAUCAUGCUACUCUCAAUGGUAAUAAUAGUCUACCUAGUGUUUUGCAUCAGAAACACAAUUAAUAAUAUCAUGGCCUUGCCUCUAGUCCCAAUUGGUUUCUUUAGUUUUUGUCCAUGAAUGACACUUUAUUCAAAUAAGCAUUGGUGUGUUGUUACUGGUAUAAUAUUUUUUCUUAUUCAUAGAAAAGUAACUAUUUAAAUAUGUUGUUCUAUGUCCUCAUGGAUUUCUGUUGACAAAACAUCAAAUCUCAGAGUUUCUUGGCCUUACUUUUUGAGUGUCAAGUCAUUUUCUCAAUAUGUUGAUCUAAAAAAUCUCUUUUGUGUUCCAGGUUUGUUUUGUCGAUGCUAAUUGGGACUCACCAUCUGUAUGUAUCCAUUGUAUGAUUCUAUUAUUAUUAUUAUUAUUUUAUUUUUUUGCUGAAAAAAAGGUUUAUAAUAGAUAUCAUGUUCAAGAGAAGCAUUUUUGUUGACUUAUGAGUUUUGUAUUUCUCCAAAUUUUGGAAUAUUACCAUGAAGCUUUGGUGCCAAUCUUGAAAGGGUUAGCCCUUUUCUUUUUUUGUUUACCCAAUCUACACUUGCUAUCGGCGUUGAAAAGGAUCCAGAACAAAUUGCCAUUCAGUUAUGAAGUGGUUGGGAUAAAGCCAAGCUGUUAUUGCAGCAUGAAAUUGAAUGUAAUAUCAUAAUAUCUAGAUUCAAAUUCUCAGAAGAAAAAUGUUUCUGAUUCACUCCAUUUUUAUGGUGUUUUGAAGGAUUAAAUGGGGAACCUCACAAAUGAGCCUCACAAAAAUUUAAUAAUAAUAACCUAUAACUGCGGCUAACUCCAAAAGGCAACUAUAUGUCAUUUAGUGGGGUCAAAAACAAGAUGCAGCUAUAGGAACCAUUUGUUGACCUUUACUAUGGCUGCUACUAUUGCUCUGACUUUUGCUGCACUUUACAUGUGGUUGACCUAUAGUUGGGGCCAACUCUAAAAUGCAACUAUAUGCCAUUUAGUGGGGGUAAAAAACAAGAUGCACCUAUAAGAACCAUUUUCUGACCUUUACUAUGGCUGCUACUAUUGCUUUGACUUUUGUUGCACUGUACAUGUGGUUGACCUAUAGCUGGGGCCGACUCUAAAAUGCAACUAUAUGCCAUUUAGUGGGGCUAAAAAACAAGAUGCAGCUGUAGGAACCAUUUGCUACACUUUACUAUGGCUACUACUAUUGCUUUGACUUUUGUAGCACUUUACCUAUGGUUGACCUAUAGCUUGGGCCAACUCCAAAAUGCAACUAUGUGUCAUUUAGUGGGGGUAAAAAACAAGAUGCAGUUGUAGGAGAGUUUGCAGCCAAAGUAGUGUUUACUUAAAAAAAAAAAAAAAAAACCAAACUAAUACAUCUUUCAAACUAUUUGUCAAACUAGUCUUUUGAAUCCACAUCAACAAUCCACAUCAGCAGACUUUUACUCUAAAGACCCUUUUUUUCAUCUGAAAUCAUUCAACAAAGAAACCCUAACUAUUAUUUUCUCUUCUCUACGGCUCCCACCAACAGCUUUACUAGCAACGUCUUGUAGUGGCUAGGUAAGUUUUUGAAGCAUUUUAACAAAGUGGUUCAUGAGUUUUUUUUUCCCUCAUUUUCCUUAGCUUUCUUACUAACCAAACAGAGGAAAACAAAAAAUUAAAAACAACUUUUGAAAAUUUUAAGAAUCUCAAGUUGUUUUUUGUGGUUUCUACUUGUGAACGGAAGAAAAAAAAACACAAAAAAAUCAUGGAGAAGAAAAAAAGAAAGAUUAACAGAGAGAGAUAAGAGCACUAAAGGAAAUUGGUUUCUGCACUUUGGGGGUUUGGGUAGAUUUCGAAUUUGGGCGAUGGUGGGUUAGGGUUCAAAGUGGACUAAUCCAAUUGGAUGAUUUGAUGGAGUAGUUCGGGUUCAAAGUGGAUUGAUCCAAUUGGAUGAUUUGAUAGAGCAAUGAAAGAAGAAGAGAGGAGUGUGGAACGAGAGGGAGAGAUUGUGAGAAGAGAGACGAAUGAAAGAUUUGAAGAGGAAGAAGAAGUGCAGGUUAAUGUGCAAAAAUAAUAAAAAUUUUACCCAAAUGCAAAUUCUUUGAUUUUGCCUAGUUUUCUUAGCAACCAAACGCAGGGUCUCAAGAAAAUUAUGAGUUCUGAUGAUAGAGAGAGGACAAGAAGGGGGGUAGAUACCGAAGGGCUGCCGAAAAGGAUGGUCGUAUGUGGAGAGCGCAAAAACCCUACCUGUGUUUAGCUCCUAAUAGAGUAGAUGCCUUUCUCAAGCAAAAACUCUAUUUGGGAAUUGAGAAUCCCAAAGAAGGACAAUUUUAGAAUUUCACAAGUCGGGCUUCAGCUUCAACUUUGAGGGAUAUUUGAUAAUCAUUUUUCAAUUAAUCUUUAUAAUUUUAAAAUUUUGAAAAUUGUAUGCAUUUUUUAAUAUAAAAAUUAUUUGUUUAAUCAUUUUUUAUUUUCCUUUUUUAAUAAAAAAUUAAAAAUUAAUCAUAAUCCACUUAUUUAAAAAUUAUCGUUAAUCCUUAUUUAGUAUGAUAUUUACUUGUUUAUUAUUUAAAUAUUUUGUCUUCUUAGUUAUUAUAAUUAAUAUAUAUAUAUAUAUGACCAAAAUUUAAAAUAAAAUAAAAACUAAAAAAUAUAAUUUUAUUUCCCAUUCAAAUCCAUCACCCUUUAUUAUUAUAUUUUGUUGAAUUUUUUUUAUUUAUAUCUUUUUUCUAUAAAGAGAGUAGAGUUAUGAAGAAAACAUUUAAUUUAAUUUCUUUUUUUAUAAAAAAAAAACCAACUUCUAAACAUGUUUUUUUUUUGUUUUAAUCAUUAUAAAAAAAACAUUUUUUAUUAACUCAACAAAACAUGUUUUAAAAAUGACCUUAUUGGGUAUAUUUUAAUUUAUUUUUUCAAGUAUUUUAAAUUUAUUAAAUUGGUAAUAAGUCUUAAAAAUGGACUUUGGAAUUAAAUUGUAUGAAAAUGUUAAAUAUUUGCAAAAAAAAAAUCUAAAAAACCACUUAGUCCUCCCUUUUAAGCAAAUCAAAAUUAUAUUUUAAAAAUGUUAUUAUUAAUAUUACAUUUUAUAAAACUUUCAUUAAUGACAUGUAAAACCAUUACCAAAAUGUUAAGAACUUUAUAAAAUUGGACCAAAUAAUCUUCCAAAUAUAACCAAAUUACUUCUCAAAUCCAACAAAAUCAUUCCAAAUAUGACAAUGUUAACCAUAAUACCUCCCAAUUCUUACCUCUCAAUAGUAAUAGCACAGUUGCAUUGAAAAUCAAAUUCUUCAAUGCUUGCUCUAUCAUCAUAUGAUUUGUUUUGAAGCUUUUAAUAAUGAACCGUGAACCCAUUGGAUUGUACUAGAGAGGACCCGCAUGAUAAAGGUUUAAAUUUGGGCAACACCCUUAUAACAUUAUUAUUAAUAAGUUGUGAGCCAUAAUGGGGCCAAGUCAUUACUCUUUGUUGGGAAAAUCUUCCAAAGGCAGGCUUAGGCUUUUUGUGGUUCUUGCACAAAAAGCCUUCCUUGGAUUUUGAGCAUUGUUUCUUGUACCAAAAGUCAACUAGAUUUACCGAGAAACCAUCAUUACAAAUGCUUAAGUUUUUCAAAUUAUUUUUAAACUUGUUUUCAUAAUUUAUUAACUUUAUAAAAUUGGAAGUGAUUAUUAAAUUUAUUUUUCUUUCUUUUUCUCCUCUAAAAAAAUAUAUACUUUUUAUUAUAUAUAUUAAAAAAAUUUAUUAGGAUCAAGGAGAUCUGAGUGUGUCAUUUUUCAAUCAUCAUUUUUCUAAAGCUAAUAUUAUUGCACAUAUAACAAUCCCUUCCCCAAUACAGGGCUCCUAGAACUCGAAUCAUGACCAAACUCUAGGGCUCCUAGAACUUAAAUCAUUUAAUGGCAUGUGGAACAUUUAAUAGCACCUCUAGAAAUGCUAAGAACUUUAUAAAAUUGUAAAAAGACAUGUAGAACCUAGGCUGGAUCUCCAAACCAUGAAAAUUGCUUGUAAUUAUUGGUUAGCUUGUGGAAUAAAAAAUCUAUAAGAUGGAGAUAGACUCCUAAAGAUUAUAAGAUAUUUUAAGAACUCAAUAGUUAUAAAAAAGAAAAAAGAAAUAACACUAAAAACAAAUUUAAUAUAUAGAAAAUAUUAGUUUUUACUUAAAAUUUAACUUAUUAAAUUAUAAAUUGUAAAAAUUUAAUUAAAUUAAAAAAAUUAAAUUUAACCAGAUAUAAGCAAAAGUGCAUUAAUAUGUCUAUUCCGCUUUCUCUUUUUUAAUUAUUUUAAUGGAAAAUAUUAAAAUAUUUAUAGUCGUAACUAUUAAAUAUGUUGAAUAUGUACACAUUACAUCCAUUUUUGAAACUUAUAUAAAAUCAAAUUUUGAACAAAUUUAAAAUUUUUUUUCACUUAAUUUGGGUAGAUUAAACAACGACAUUUUAAUUGUUAAUGGAAAAAUAACAACCUUUUAUUCAAUUUUAACGGUAAUAAAUAAUAAGAAAAUAUUAUUAAUAAAAAACAUUGAAUUAUUUGGAUAUUGAGGUGUUAUUUGUUAUUUGAUUAUUGUUAAUAACAUACCCUAUUAUUGUUAUUUGUUAUUUCAUUACAAAUUGAUGUUAUUACUAAUGUUUUCUAUUGUGUAAUUUUGUGGUUAAAAAUGAGAUUGAUUUGAUUUUUUUGGCUUCUUCUAUAGGUAAACUAUGUCUAAUUUAUCGGUGGCAAUAGUUUGUUUUUGUAAUGGGAAAAUGGUGAGAACACAAACCGAUGUUGAUUAUGUUGGAGAUAGAGUUGUGGUUGAACCUAUUGAUGUGCCUCUUGGGACAACAUAUGAACAACUGUUGGAAAUGAUAUACUCGGUCACUGACAUCAAUAAAGAACAUUUUUGAUUAAUUCUUAGUUGUAAGUAUCCUAUGAAAAAAGGGAAUAAAUUCCAACCUUGCCUUGUAAAGAAUGAUAGUGGUGUAGCUCGAAUGUUAGAAAUGCAUAACAGAUUUGGGAUGGAUGAAGUUGAAUUAUUUGUUGAACAAGUACCUAUUGACUUACAAAUGAAUUCACCAAUUGGUAAUUGCAUACCUUUGUUACUUGGUGAAAAUGAUGGUACUAGUAAUGUUCAAAAUCUAUUUACUUUUGAGCAUAGAUUAGAAGAGGAUGAGGAAGACGAAGAAGGAAGACGAAGAAGGAAGAUAAUGUGAUGAUGACAAUGUAGGAGCCGAGGAUGUUCAUAAUGAUGAUAAUCAAGAUAGGGAAGGUAGCUCGCCUUUUUUAGCUGUUUGUGAGGCAAUUGAAAGAGAACAAAUGAGAUAUGUGGCUGUGGAUGGGGAAUGAUGUAACUUGUCAAAUAAUCCAGAUACAGAGGAUUUAGAUGAACCAAUUGAAUUAUCUUCAAUGCAAUAUCAUUUGGCACCAUCACCAUAGUUUGAAAAUGUUGAAAACAUUGGUCAUGUUGUGUCAAGUGAAUGGACCCCAUGGGGAAACACUCUUAUGGGACAUCCAAUUGGAGAGUUCAUACUUUAUAAAUAAUAAUGAUAUUGUUAAAAUGAAUACAACUUUGAAAAUCGUAGUAAUUACCUUCUUAUUGUGCACCAAGAAUCAUGUUCUUGAAGUGGUGAGAGUCUGCUUUAUUGGGUGCAACACUCUCAUAUAUGAACAACUUACUGAUCAAACAUCCCAUGGUUUCCUUGAUGGGACCACAUUUGAAAAGAUGUUUCACAUAUUUUUGUCUUGCUGCUGAAGAUUUGUGAAAUGAGGAUGCAUUAGGCGGUGAUGGAUUCAAAUAUUGAACACUUUGCAAUCUUUGCAUAUGCCUUGUUAGAUUAGUUGGAUGUGAAAACUUACCUAUUAUAAUUAUUAAAAUUAAAAAUAUAUGUUAAUUUAAUAUUAUUGAUAAAGUUGAUAAGAAACAGUAAUAAUUCAAAUUGAUAAGUCAGUCUUCCAUUUUGCAUAUACCUGUUUUUCUUUUAUCUUUUACAAAAUGUUCUUCUUGUUGUCGAUUUCAUUCAAUAGCUUUUGAUGCUUGAACUACCGCUUUAUAAGCAUGUUGCUCAUCAAGGUGCAUGUCAGCCAUACAUAUACACAUCAUCAUCAUCAUCAUCAUCAUCAUCAUCAAGGUUUUUGUAGACCCCCAUAUGGGGCUCAUUUUUUUCUCCCACAUUUCUACAGGUUACAUUCUUUUUCUUACCAGGUGUUACUACCCCAGCGAGGCACGUGUCGCUUCCUUGGUGGCCAUAGGGGAAUCAACCUUGCUUUUUGAAGCUGCAGUGGGAAUAUGACACGUAGGGGGAAUAUUCUAGAGGGUCUGUAGGCCGUUAUGGAGGAGCGGAUGAGAGAGAGGAUAUCCUGCAGAGGGUGGUGUGGCUUUUGGUGGUUUUCUGGAGAUAUAAGAGGGGCAAAUCAGGUAGAGCAAAAGGCAAGGAGGAGGAUUCGGUAGGGGGGGGGGUUGCUUUUUGGGGAGGUUGGCCGUGAUAUUUUCAGCAAGAGUUUUCUUUAUUGAGAGAGAGGGGAGGGGGAAGUUUGAGCAACUGAAAAAAAAAAACAGAGGAGGAGGAGGAAGCUGCCGAGGAGGGUGACUUGGAGACUGGAGAGUGAGAUUUCUUUUUGGAGGGUAUUCUGGCUUGAGGAGCAAGUGAGAGAGGAUAUUCAUUCUGGAGAUCGACAGAGAAGGGAGAAAAGGGAGAAACAGAGGAAAAGAGCGUCUGUAGGUGAGUUUGAGGUGAGUUUCUCGCUUACUUUGAUUCAAAUAUUUUCUCAUCUCUUUCCCAUUUUGGUUUGCUCUUCAUUGCUCAUCAAUUUGGGGUUGAACAAUAUGGAUUAUGUGCCGAAUCUUGUUGAUUACUGAAUCAUUUUUAUACUCUGUUGCUGUUGAUUUUACCGUUGUUCUUGUGAUUUGGUUUGGAGCUAGUGGAACUUUGUUUCUCAUAUAUUGUGUAAACCUGGCUCAAGGUUCUCCCUCAUCCCUCCUGUUUUGAGCCCAUGAUCAUCACUUGAUAUGGGAUCAUGUACAUUCAUGAACUGCAUGCUCACCUGUUUGUUCUACCCUUAGUUUUCACUCUAGUUCAUGCCUUAGUGUUUAUUCCUCUGAUUUUGCCGGGGUUGGGGUGUUAAAUAUCUCGUCUGGGACUGGCUAUCGUGAUUGGGGAUGUUUUUGAGACCUGAAAAGCUAUGUGGACCUCACUGAGACGUCCGGAGAAAAGAACUUGAGCUAAAUCAUCGUGAGAAUGUGGGUACUGUGAACGUUUUGGUUGAUGUCUCUACCUUGCUCACAAACGCACCCUAUCUGCUGAAUCUGGAACGUACUCACCAUACCCAUGACAGCAAGGCCCUUGAAGAUAUCGUGUUACACAAUGGACUAGACAAGGAUAGAUAGCCCUCGCUGCAUGGUUCAAAAGGUUCAAACCAAAAUUGCAUGCGGAAAAACCUGUUCCUCAUGCCGACAUCUGUUCUGAGUGUGGCUCACCAUUAUUUCAUGGCUCAUGGAGUGGGCUCCUUCUACUGGGCCUAUGGACUCAAAUAUACCAAGCUUGUAACCUGGUUGCAAUGGAGGUUUAUUGGUGUUAGUUUGAAAAAGAAGCUUCUUAGGGACUUGCCCUCAUUGCUCCCUUGUGUGAAAAUCUAUUUGUUACUAUGUCUGGGCGCUUGCGAUGAAUCCAAAGGUAGAUAAUGCCCGACAAUAUUUGAGGAUUUCUCUUAGCUGUGCGUCCUGGAAUGACAUGAUGGAGGCUUGUGAUGCUCGGGAUCUUGAUAUUCUGCAAAAAGAGUUCCCUAUUUUAAACAAUUAUAUUCAUUUUGGAGAUGCAGAGAUGGCGCAGAAAUUGUAUCGUAUUAUCCGAGCUUGCAUGGGUGGCUAGAGGCAACUAAGCAAUGCUGCGGCGACUGUUCUGUAUAAUCACUCUGGCGGCGAGACUCUGCACAAUGCAAGUCCUGCGAGCGACGCUGGGGAUGCAGUCAUGGCGUGAUGGCUCCAGUCCGCCGGAUUGCAGCAUCUGACCUUUCCAUUGGCUUCCACCAGAGUUGAUCAUCACCUCCUCCCCGAUCUUCUAAUGCAGGGUUAUGGAGCGCAAUCUGCUGUGGGAAGGCUUUACCUGGAGGUCCAAGGGCUUGGGCAGACAUUCUUUUCAUAACUUACUAGGUUACUUUUCUCAUUGCUGAGAUAUGCCUGUUAGCGGGUUCAGUGAGGAAUGCCUACCCUAUCAAGUACGAGACAAUUUUCAGUGAGGAUCCCCCGUCAUGUGAGACCUUGAGAAAGGGUGUGUUUGGCACUAGGGCCGCUUUCCCAUUCUUCACUGCCAUACCCUCUGAACCUUACUAUGUUUGCUAUUCGUAAGUUAGAGGAAGUUCUCUAGCUUAUGGUGAUUGAAAAACUGGUUUUUGAGAUGGGAACCUACAGCUGGGCUUAGUUAAGAUGAUCAUAAUUGUUUUAAUUCUGAGAAGCAACCUCUACAUACCCAUCAAGCCACCCCACUAAACCCUUUCCCUCUCUCUAAGCCUAUUCAUACCCAUUUCUUACUCCCUAUAGUUUGCCACCCUCACUUUUCCACCUUGUACAUCAUGAAGCUCAUUCAUCAAGCCUACCUAUUUAACCCCCCCUCUUGAUACCUAUUCCAGCACAUGCAUGGCUGUCCCAAAGCUCCUUCCAAAACCCUUGUUAAUAUCCUAGAUUUAUCCACCCACGUGCAUGGGAACCAUGCUAACCUGGUUAUUCUUCAUAUGCCCAUUUCUCAUUUUCCAUACAUGCCACUUUCACCUUCCAUGCUCAUACCCAUCAUCUAUCAUCCAUUCCUUACCCCUACACUCAGAAAUUAUGCAUCCAUAAUCAUCUUCAUACCCACCAUGCUCAUUCAUACCCAUCUUUCUCUCUCUACCUCUUCAUACCUCCGCAUGCCUAUCUCUUCGCAUCAUGCACACCAAACCCAUACCUGUGGCCAUCUUUCUAUGUUCAUUAACCCCAUAUUACAAGUGUUCUUGUUAUUGAUGACAAUCCGAUGUGGGCAAUUACUGGUAAAGCCUGAAGAAGAACAUGAUGGUCCAGUAAAUGAAGAGAAGGCCCAAAUUGGUUAAGACACCUAUAUUAAGUGAAUGAAGAACUGGGGCAACUUAGAUCCAAACGUCCUCAUUAUACCUUUUCUGAGGAUGAGAGUGGCGGAGAGUUCAGUAUGACACGCCUUCACCAGAAUCUGAGUCCGGGCCUUCAUAUUCCUGCAGAGAAGGUUUUUGACUUGUUAUCAUCUCGGCCGCGACCAAGAUGUCACCAUACUCCAUCACCAGAAUUAGGAAAUAAACUAUCAGUUUCCGGUGACCUUGAUCCUUACUUUUCCUUCUCGUUGGCCUCGUCAGCAGACGUCAGCAAAUGUUAGAAAUGAGGAGCCCUGAUGAAGAAAAUGGCCACAGCCGCAGCCCUAGUCCCAUUCCUAGGAACGAUGCAAGUCUUGCUGAUGAGUAUGGUAUCAAGUUCUUUGAAACUAGUGCAAAAACACUAUAUUGAAGACAAUAGGAAUGCCAAAUGGUGUCCCGCUCCAGGCUGUGAUUAUGCAGUUGAUUUUUUAUUGUUAAUAGUGGAAGUUGUGACGUUUCCUGCCAGUGCUCAUAUAACUUUUAAUGGAAUUGUACAGAGGGAGCUCACCUUCCUGUUGAUUGCAGCACUGUGGCCAAUUGGAUUCUGAAAGAAUAGUGCAAGUGAGUGUGAAAAGCCCUCUCUGUCUUAGUCAUCAAGUAAGCCUUCAAUCUGGCAGAAAGUGAAGAGGUGACUCCCAUUUCCUAGGAUCCCACUACAUGAUUUGCCAGAAAGUCUAACAGAUAGAUUUCAGCAGUGCCCAGGCCAGCAGCUUUCCUUGUCGAGCAGCCAGAGUGGUGAACUCAUUAGCAGCCGCAUCAAGGCCGCAUGGUAUUGGCGAUUCAUACGUGGCCUCCCUGUAAGGCAUGAAAGCGUUUGGUGCACUCUUUGGAUCGAUGCUUCUUAGAGAUUCUGUAGCUAUGCAAUCAUGCCAGGGUGAAAACUACAUGUUGUUUCCCCUAGUACCAGUGAGAUUGAUGCAAACAAGCAUGAUGGUGAUAUGGAAAGAUAAAAUAAUCUAGGAUAAUUCUCCUGAAGUUGGUGAGAAUUCUGCAGAGAGUUGUGAAAUCUCUGGACCUGAUUCUGAAGUUGUGGUGGAUAAAGAAACAGAACUGGUAACCAAGGCUCAAAAUCAGAGGUCAAAGUUCCAAGUGGCAAUAGAUGACAAGUAUUGGAAUGACAGCCUCAGCGCGGUCCAUUCUGAUGAGAGGAAUCUAAAACAGACACUGAAUGGUCAGAUGUUAAUGGCUCAGCCAGAGACGAUGCAUCCUGGAUCUCAUGGUUUUACCAUAUGUGGGGAUAUUAUUCCUUCUGUGAAUUUGACGAUGAUUGCAUGCAAGAUGAUUUUGAUGACCUCUAUGGUUUGAGCAAUCAAGUCGCCCAUUAUGAUCAUGCGUUUGACUUGAUUUUGGAUGUUGAAUUCUCGCAUGGUGAUUCUCCCACAGAGAAGCAAAACGAGAUAGUGGAAUCUGUAGCAAAGGCUUUAUGGUCUGUUUCAUUUCUGUUACUUAUUGACUUAGCAAAGACUGACUGCCAUGCUAAGCGAGCACGUAGACUCUGACUUUGGUCGAUAUCCAAGAAUUUGUUGCUGCGGACAAACCUGCUUUCUAGUGACUUUGAUGGGGCCUGUAAUGCCUAUCUAGAAGGGUGAUAAGUGCCUAGCCUUGAGGUGCUUAAACUGACAAAGGAGUGUCUCAUGGAGAAGCUUGCUGCUGGUGUCCCCCAAUUUGUCCCGUCUUUCAUUGGUCAUCUCAUACCCAACUUUGGUGGUUGUACUCCGGGCCCUCAUGCACAAUCCUAAAAAUUGUAUGGCCAUCCUCUUGUGCCUUUUUUUCAAAAUCCAUGUUUCUUCAUUCAUUUUCAUGUCUGUCUUUAAAGAAAUAGGUUUUCAAUUAACUUCAAACUCUUCCAUAUUUCAUCCUUAGAGUUUUUAGGUUUCACAAGUCCUAUUUUCAAUAAAAUUGGUUGCCAUUUUCUCUUCGGCAAGCCAUCUUCCCAUCUUCCAUGUUUUUUUUAAAAUGUUUUAAAAUAAGUGUGAAUUUAUUUUCGUAAUUCCAAGUGAUGGAAUUUACAAAAUUGAUUCACUCACAAAUAAAUCGGGCUUUGGUGGGGGCCCAACAUUAUUGGAUGUUUCCUUUGAAAAUCCAUUUGAUUGAAUUGUGACAUGUGAUGAUUUAUUGCUCGGUUUAGCGACAUGGGUGCCACAUUUUAUGCUCAUCAAUUGUGCAUUAACCCCAUUUUGUGAUAGCGCGUUGCUGUUUAUGGAUCAAGUACGCAUCUUUUCUCACUCUGGCUAUCAUCCAUAUAUGUUUUGGCUUUCAGUAUGUGAUCAUGACGGUAUUCAUUGAUUUCCUUAUCGAUUGCUACAUUAGCUUCAUUUUAUUAGUAGAGACCUGACUUUAAGGACUUAAAGGGGUGCUACGGUCUUUACCGUACCUUCUUGAUAAGUAAACUGACCCCUGAGCCCGAUCCAGUUCUUCACAAACCACCUUUUCCAAAUAAAGAGUCACACUUAGAGUUUUCUUUCUUAUUUUGUUUACCCUUUAAAAAUAAAACAAAAAUAAGUGGCAACUCCAAGUCAUUUUCUAAUAAAUAAAAUAAAAUAAAAUCAUUUUUUUGAAAUAAAGAAUCGAGCACCCCAUCGAGUGGAAGCGCAUUGAGCCGAAAUGCGGGGUCCACAGUUUUCCUCAUCCUCCUCAUCAAUUACAUGUCUAUGUCUUCCUCCCAUUGUGUCUUGCAAUUCAGCUCGAAUCUCUUCUAUAUUUGUGGCUUUCUUCACUUUUGCCUUAUUUUUUUUCCUUUAGAAGUCGACUUAUUUCUUGUUUCACUUCUGGAGGCACAUUAGGACACUUUUUUGUAUUUGAAUGAGGGUUUGUAUGCGACAGGUGAAAUUUAAAAUGAGUAAUCUUACCACUCUUUAUUUUCAACCUAUAGUAAUUGCAUAUUGUUCCAUUUUUGUUCCCUUCCAUAAGUGUACAAUAUUUCCAACUAGGAUCUCAACCCAUGAUACCGCUUCCACUUCCACUAACCAUUUUCUAAACAUGUAUUUUAAAUUCUCAUACGAAACUAAUAUAUGUGAUGUGAUAUCAAAAGGAUUUGCAUUAUAAUUAAAUUUCUAUAUGAGUUAAGUACUAAGUUAUUAAAGAUAAAUAUCUAAGUUAAUUUAAUAUUAAUAUUAUUAAUGAAAUUAAUAAGAAUCAUUACUAAUAAAAUUGAAAUUAAAAUUGAAUUAUGCAUAUAUAUUAUGUGAUAUGAAAUAGAUAAAUAUUACAAUUAAAUUUCCAUAUGAAUUAAAUUUAAAUUUAAAUUUAUUAAAAAAUAAAACCAAAUAUGCAUAUAUGUCAAAUCAAUUUCCAUAUGAAAUUUAAUGUUAAUGGGACAAAUUUUAAAAUUAGAUAAUAUCAAUUAAACUAUAUAUAACAAAUAAAAUUGAAUUAUGCAUAAUAAAAAUAAAUUUUAUGAAAGGUAAAACAUACCUUAAUUAGCCUUGACUUUGAGUUGAUCCCCUUCACCACCAAAUUUUCAAGAUUUAAUUUUAUUUAUAGAAAUAAAAAAAAAUAAAAAUUUGGAGCAAUAGAACAAGAUCAAAAAUUUAUGUAUGAAAUGGAAUGAAUUGUGGGUAUUUAUAGGAUUUUUUUUGGCCAAACUAGCCAUUGGAUGGUCAAAUAGCAGUUAUAAAUUAAUUUUAACCAUUGGAUCAAAAUUUGGCCAUUAGAUCUUCAUAUAACCGUUGGAAACAUUUCUUAGCCAUUGGAUCAAGUCAUGAUUGAUUUUCCACUAUUGGAUCACAAAUAUGAUUGUUGGAUGCCUUUAUAAAAAACACGGGUGAAAUCUAGGCCAUCGGAUUGUCAAAAAUUCAAAUAUGACUGUUGGAUGCAGUAGGAGGAAAUUUCAAAAAAUUGCCCAAAAAAUCGUUGAUUUAUCGUCGAUAUUUUGAAAAAAAUUGGUGAUUUUUUUACAGUCUUCCUCCAUUGCUCCGUGCAUCUCUCCAUGGUUGAUUUUUUCAUUUCCAAACCGACAUAUUGCUAAUAUUCGACGAUAUUACCAAAAUUUUGCCAAAAUUCCCACCAAUCAAUAAUCGGUACCCAAUAUCGUGUCGGGAACCACCAAUAUUUGAUAUAUUGACAUAUUUCAUCGAAAAAACCAAAAAUCCUUAAUAGAAAAUAAUGCCUUAUUAACACACUUUUAUUCAAAGUGUUUGUCCUUAUUCUCGACAAAGAAAGCAUUUUAUUCAAAGUAGAACACUCCUAAAACUAUGACAUCAAUACAUAUUAUCCCCUUUCCAUUUCUGACAAUAUGGAAGAAGCUGGCAUUAGCUUUCAUUUGUUCAUACUGGCAUAGGGUCAAUGAGCAAGGAUGCAAUAUUAUCUUUCAUCACUUUCCCAACAUGAGUGUAUUCAUUGUUUUCCUUAUAAAUGAUGUCUACCACUCGUGUAAGAUUGAGAACUUUGAUAAGGAUUGGGAUCGACAUGGAAGUAGGUAUGAGGAAAACUUGGUUAAUUUCCUUCCAUGCAUUCACAAUUUGCUUGUUAAACUCGUCAUAAGCCUGUUGCUUAAGACACUAUAUUGCUUGAUAUAGCAUUCAAUGGCUAAGGCAACAUGCCCUCUCUCUUGUUCAAACUGCACACAUAUAUAUAGUAAUGCAAAAGAUGAGGAAAAACCUACCAUAAAAUCAUCACGAAUGAACUUAUAUGCAAUAUAUUCUACACAUAUUCCUUAUGUGUCAUCAUAUCGUUCAUGGGCCUGGCAAUUAAACAUGAAGCUAUUGUAAAAGGGUCAUUGUAAACCCAAUCAAAGGCCUCUUUUGUUAUCAUUUAUCCUAUUCCAAUGAAAGAGAGGGUUGUGGCUAAGGGAAGAGCUGAGCCUACUCGUGCAACUUGCAUGUAUUCCUCUAUGGAACCAUUGUACUUUGUCAAAGAGCCAACCUGAAUUUUCAACCAACAAACAUUUGUCAAUGUUACAUACUUGUACAUAUGCUUUAAUUUUUAAUUUGAUAUGAUUCGCCUAUUUAACUCGAGCCCAACACAUUUUGUCAAAAUAAUCUUAAAAUAAUCUCUCUCUCUCCUUCUCUGUGAUUGUUAAAUUUAAUGAAUAAGUAUAUUAUUCUAUCAUAUUGGUAUAUGUACAAAAUUAGCUCUCUCUGUCUCUCCCUCCUCUCUCAUUGUUAAAUUUAAUGAAUAAGUAUAUUAUUCUGUCAUAUUGGUAAUAAACAUUACCACCGUAUAUGUACAAAAUUAGCUAAGCUAAAUAAGAUAAAAUAGCAAGACUAAGUAAGAUAAAUUGUAAUUACAAGGAGAGAUUGACAUUCUACCGGAGGUAAUCUUGGUUGACACCUAAGAUUACCUUUAAUACUGAUCACCAAUUGCCAUGAAUUCAUGCACCUGACUAUGUACAAUGUAUUCACUUGGGCUGUCUCCUAUCAUCCCAGAUCAAGUAUAGGAUACUGAACAAACAUUUAAAUACAUGAAACGAUGUUCACAACAUCAAUGGAAUUAAUGUUUUUUGCAGAAAAAUGUGUGGAUGCAUGCAUGUAUACAAGAAUACUUAGAAUUUGGCUGUGCUGUUUGUUGUCACCUCGCGUAUCCGGUGGUCCACGUUCCUGCUAGAUGGAUGGACACGCGAUUCUCAACACACAAAGGGUUCUUGAUUCAGCGGUCGUACCUGCAAAAGGCAUCCGGACAGGGUGUCUGGACGCACCCUCCGAUGGUUUUGUUAGCCAUGGUAAGAGAGGAAGAUAUAUGAGGCAGUUGGCUUUUUACUAGGUAUCAGGAGGUUACCCAGAGAGAGAGCCCCAAUUCUUCUUCGCGUGAAGACUUAUAUAUAUAGCUUUAAGGGUACUGUUCCUCUCAUUAAUGGUGAGGAGAUGUUUUAUGUUGUCAUGAUGACAUUAAGUAGCAGUAGAGACAUCAUCACCCUACGAGCGGCUGUCAAGAACCAUGGUAGGUGACGCGAUUGUCAGAGAUCGUGAUAGGUGAUCAUGUAGAAUGAUCGUGGGAAGUGACUUGCUAUCACUUCAUCUUGUCUUCUCACUCUGCAGGUGACAAGAUGUGGGCCAUGGCUGCUUGUUGUGAUUGCGUGUAAGACUCGCUUUACUUUAAUUGACCAUCCAGACGAUUUAUAUCCGGAUGGCUCAUGCUGAUUAUCCGGAUGUGUUGUGGAGACUAUCCGGAUGUCUACGCUCUGCCAGCGUCGUUUGCUCUUCCUUGGAUAGGAGAAGCUGAAACGUCGUUUGCCUUUCCUUGAGGCGGUCUGGAUAGGAUAACUGCACCAUGCAUAUCCUUAGGAGAAUCCGGAUGAUGAUGGUCCGGCUAAUAACACGUGCCACGCGUCAUCAUGAGCUGCGUGCCACGUGUUUCCCAAUGGGAGGGGUCCCUACAUUGCCCCCCUUUUUAACUUGCCUAUUUUGCCCAAAAAAUGGGCGGGUUAAAAAUAACUGGCUUUUGAAAAUUGAAGAGGUCCCUUCGUCUGACUGGGCCACGUGGCGAGUGGGGGUGCGGAAGCUAAAAAAGGCAUUUAUGACGAGCCACCGACCCUGUGUAUCCCUAGGCAAUAUGUCGUUUCAAUGAUAACAUGGUUGUCCUGCUAUAAAUAGGGCACUGUACCUCUUUUUGCAUUUUUUCCUACUGCAUUCUCUUGAGAGCCUUUCUUCUUCUUGCUUUUUUCUACGCCCUUUGCUUCUCUGAGAAAAAACUUCGAAAGCUCUUUUGUACCAGUGUUUUUGUAUUGCGACUUCGUUUGUUUGCUGCUGGUGAUUUUGUACCGAGUCAGUAACCGUUCUUCUUCUUCAGAGCUUUAUUUGGUACGUACCUCUUUGCUACUGUCAUUCCUUUGGUUGCGUUUGCUGGUUCUUUAAACUUGGUUUCUGGCUUGCUUGGGCAUUGUUUUGGACAAGUCGCUUGCAAUUGUUGUUGAAUGUUGGUACUUUGUUGGUGUUGGGGGGGUGUUUUUUAGGGGUUUUUCUGACUGCUUUGGGUUAGGGUUUGUGUAUUUUCUGACUGCUUGGUUUGAACCGUUGUAUUGCUUUUGUAUGUAGAUUUUGGUUUGGCUUUGUGGUAAGAAAUGGCUCCAAAAAAGACUGUUUCAUCUGCCCGGGUUAGCGAGGCUGGCGAAAAGGCGAUAGACAAAUUAGAUGUGAAGGAAUUCCGGGAGCGGUUCUGCAUCCCAAAUGGCGUAUCUAUAGACUUGGUGAACGAGGAGGCAGCUAUGCCUACUGAGAAAGGUGAAGAAAACGUUAUCCUCUUCACAAAGGAACAAUUCAACGCGGGGCUCCGGUUCCCUCUGCCGGCGUUGUUCAAGGAAUUCCUCCACUUCUCUCAGAUUCCAUCCAUCUUCAUUCAUCCCAACCUUGUCCGGGUGUUGAUGGGAUGCAGCAUCAUCAACAUGCUGUACAACCUCGACCUUACGCUACUGGAAGUGCUCUUUUUCUAUUCCCUGAAGAAGGCAAAAAAUGAUAUCUUCAGUGUGUCCACGCACCUGCCCUCCCUUCAAAUGGUGACAGAGAUGCCAGAUUCGAUAAAGGGAGGGGCGAAGGGGCUGGUGGCGGUCCGGGGUGGAUGGGCGGGGCUAUCGGAGCAUGCGUCGAGGCCCUUUUCUCCAAAUUAUACCUUAAAAAUUUCGGGUAUUCUUGUUUUGCGAUUCUUUGUCCGGAUUUUACUUUGCUGAUUUUUUGCUGAUUUUUCCGGACGGAAUUCUCACCUUUUGUUGCUGUUAAUGCAGGUCUGGAAUUGAGGGGCCACCUUGUGGAUUGGGUGGAAAAGGCGUCCUUCGCCUGUGUCUGCAAAUUAUUUGAGAUAAAUCCCAAGAAGAGGGCCUGCAAGACAUUGCUUUCCGCGCGGAAUUUGAUGGCGGUCGUCCGGGAGUCCCAGGAAUAUGUUAUCAAUAUUCUCCCCAGGAAACUGCCAAAGGAUGAGGUAGUGCCUGGGGAGCAUUAUACUGUGAAGGAGCUCCCCCUCUAUCAGGAAGCUAAAGAGGCUGAUGCUGAAAGACGGCGAAAGCUCCUGGAGGAUCGAGAUCAGAGAAAAAAUGAAGGCACUAUCCGGAAGGCUCCCGGACAGAAGCGGGGUCCGGACUCUCCUCCAAAGAAAACUCCAGCAAAAAGGAGGAAGCUGGUGAAGAAGAAUGGGAAGGAUGUGAAGGAACCCACUCCUCCCAAGGAGUUUCCUCCUCCGCAAAUUACCUAUGAGGGGGAAGUAAUGAUAGAGGAGCCAGUAAACGCUGCUCCGCACUCUAUCUCAAGCAGCCCCGGACGCAUCUCGGGGUUGAACCAUUCUGGCACUUCCUUAGCCGCGGUUGCGCGUCUGGCUAACGUGGCUGAGGAAGCUGCAUCUAUCAACCGUCCGGGCAACCUUAAUCCGGAUGCUGAUGCAGCUGAAACGACCCCGUUGGAGGAAGCGGUGGUAGAAAGCCAAAGUUAGCCUUCCGACGACCCGGAUCGCUUGGCCAUAAUCCCGGUGAAAGGGCCUCCUUCAAAGAAGCCGCGUUCGACGCGCAAUCUAUGGUCCGGACUCCUUGGGCGGCUUCAAGAGCGGCAGCAAGAGAUUGAAGUUAGCUGCGCUUCUGCCCAUGACGCUCAUCCGGAUGGAGGCGAGGUGGAGAUGGCAACUGAGACUUCAGCCGCCCCGGCAAUAAUUCCGGCUGAAGAUGCAUCCGGACAGAUGCGUCCGGACGAAGAUGUGGGGGUCCCGAAUCCGGGACAAGAGUCACCUUCUGUUUCCUCAUCUGAGGAGGAACCUGCUGACGAUGCAGCUCCUGCUAGCCUUUUCAGCUACGCGGAGUUGGAAGCUAAGCUAAAACAGGUUACACCCGGCUGGACUGCCAUCAAGCCCUCUACUAAGAUGUUUGAUAUGAUAGAAACGGUAUACCGUUGUCUUGUGCUUUUGCUUUUUGAUUCUUUGUUGCGCUGAUGUGUUUGUUGUAGUAUGAUUUAUGUCUUUGCUUUUCUUGUUUGCGUGUCAGCUGGUGAGGAGCCUCCGCGACAUGGCUCAACAACACGAUCUUUUUACUCACCUGCUGCAGACUGCAGACUAUAUGAAGACCUUCUCCUCUCGACGCCGAGAGAUUGAAAAUCAGCUGCGUCUGAGAAUGGAGGAGGCUGAGGCUAGUCUAUCCACCAUGCGAGAGGAAAAUGAAGCCCUCCGAGUGGAGUUGGCUGAGGCGAAGAGUCGAGAAGAAUCGACUGUGGGCCGCCUACAUGAGGCGGAAGGUGAGGCAGCCCGGCUGAGGGAUGAAGUGAGUCAACUCCGGACAGAAGUUUCGAAUGAAAAGAAACAAAAGGAAGACUUGCAGCUGCGCCUGGAUGUGCAAAAAGAAGACCUUGAACAGGAGUUUGCUGUGGAAAGAGAGGAACUUGCAGCGGAUUACCAGCAACAAGUGGAUGAUAUGUUUAUCUUUGGGUAUCGCUGCUGCAUGAAGAAGAACGACAUCAAGCGAGAUACCCCUUCAAUUCCUCCGGGUGAAGAAAAGAAGCUCCAUGAGAAGCCCGCUCCCUGAUAGUUUAUCUUUUUUUGCAAUUUUUCUGCUGUAAUUUUUCCUUCUGUAUUUUUGUGGUCCGGAGAUCUCUUUGUAAUUACACUUAUUCAUAUCAAUAAAAACAUACUUCUUUCUCAUUUGCACUUGUGUAUACUUUUUAUUGAUAGUACUGCUUUAAAUUGGACACAUUCCAUGGUCUGAGUAACGGACUGCCAUCUAGCUUUUGUAAAUGAUAGGCUCCAUUUUCGUUUGCCUUAGACACUAUGUAGGGUCCUUCCCAAUUGGCUUGGAACUUUCCUGCGCCUACUUCAGCAGUAUUUUCAAAAACUUUUCUAAGUACUAGCGUACCAUUUUUGAAGUUUCUGGGCCUGACUUUUCGAUUGUAAUGCGCUGAUGCCAUUUGUUGAUAAUCUGCCAUCCGGAUGGCCGCGCUUUCUCUGACUUCGUCUGCCCAGUCUAAAUUUCUUCCUAGUUCCGUGUUGGCAUCUUCUUGUUUUGUUGCAUCGGUCCGGAUAGUAGGAAGACCUAUUUCAAUGGGAAUGACUGCAUCCAUUCCAUAUGUGAGGGCGAAAGGAGUGUUUCCUGUUGGUCGUCCGGGUGUGGUUCGAUAGGCCCACAGGACGCCGGGUAGCUCCUCCACCCACUUCCCUUUGGCUUGCUCAAGCCUUUUCUUUAAGGCAUUGAUUAGAGUUUUGUUUGUGGCUUCCGCUUGCCCAUUGCUUUGAGGAUAACGCGGCGUGGAGUAUGAAUUCCGGAUAUUCAGUUCCGAACAGAAAUUCCUGAAUGCAAUGCUGUCAAAUUGUGGACCAUUGUCAGCUAUGAUGAUUUGGGGAAUUCCAAAGCGGCAAACAAUGUUCUUCCAUACGAAUUUGGUGACAUCUUUAUCUUUGAUGCUUGCAUAUGCUUCAGCUUCUACCCAUUUACUGAAGUAAUCAGUGGCGACAAGGAGGAAUUUCUUCUGGGCAGGUGCUGCUGGGAGGGGUCCCACUAUGUCCAUGCCCCACUGCGCGAAAGGCCAUGGGCCUGAGACCGAUUUCAAUGUUGCCGAUGGCAUAUGUGGAAUGGGAGCGUAUCUUUGACAUUUAUCACAUUUUUGGACAUAUGCUACCGCGUCUUUCUUCAUUGUGAGCCAAUAGUAUCCUUGUGAAUGAGCUGUAUGUGCCAGGGAUCGUCCUCCCGUAUGAUUUCCGCAUAUUCCUUCAUGUAAUUCAGCUAGCACAUAUUGGGCCUCUGAAUGCCCAAGACAGCGAAGAUAAGGCCCUGUGAAGGAUCGCUUGUACAGGUGCCCCCCAAUCAGGGUGAAACGGGCAGCUUGCACCCGGAUUUUGUGCGCUUGUUUAGGAUCUUCGGGUAAAGUGCCUGUCCGGAGAUAUUCUGCAAUAUCAUGCGUCCAUUCUUGAUCAUCCGCUUGGUUUGCCUCAAUGGUGUUGCAAGUGGAACUUUCUGCGACAGAGGGAUUGACUUGUACAUGGAUAGGCAAUAGAAUGGCUUCUCUGAUGGGGAGGGAAGCAGCUAUACCGGCCAAGGCGUCAGCGUGCCCGUUGUCAACUCGCUUAAUUUUUUCGAUUGUCCACUCGGUGAAUUGCUGUAAGGUGCUUCUUACAUUGGCCAAGUAUCGCGCCAUGCAUGCAUCCUUAGCCUCAUAUUCUUUCUGGACAUGCCUUACCACUAGUUGCGAGUCGUUGUAGAUCCGGAGUUUGGAGACGGAUAGAGCAAGGGCGAGGUCCAAUCCGGACAGGAUGGCCUCGUAUUCUGCUUCAUUGUUAGACGCGGAGAAUCCCAGCCAGAUGGCUUGCUCCAGAUGUUCCCCAGUUGGGGACUGUAGUAAGAGCCCAACUCCAGAGCCUGAUGAGCGUGAGGCUCCGUCAACUCGUAGAGUCCACCACUCCUGUUCACUUGAUUCGUGGUGCUGGUUGGGUCUUCGUGAAUAUUUGAGCACAAAGUCGGCCAUUACUUGGCCUUUUUUGGAUAAUCUGGGUUGGAAUUCGAUUCCAAAUUCGCUCAAUUCGAUGGCCCAUUGUAGCAUUCGCCCAGUUAAUUCUGGUUUGUGCAGAAUGCUACGAAGGGGUUGGUCGGUCAGUACAAUCACUGGGUGGGCUUGAAAAUAGGGGCGGAGCUUUUGAGCAGCACUUCGAAGAGCUAAGGCUGUUAGCUCCAUUUUUGAAUACCUGGUUUCUACAUCUGCCAAUGCCCUGCUGACAUAGUAGACAAGUUUCUGCUCCUUUGGUGAAGGACAGCGGAAUAGAACGGCGCUGAUUGCCCAUUCUGAGACAGCCAGAUACAUGUAUAACUUCUCCUUUGGGAUGGGGCUGCUUAGGAUGGGUGGCUGCAUAAGACAAUGCUUAAUUUUUUCGAAAGCACUUUGACAACUGUCUGUCCAUCCUUGUGCUCCAGCUUCUCGUAUUGCCAAGAAGAAGGGUCGCAAUUCUUCAGUGAAGCGGGCUAUAAAGCGCCCUAAUGCGACGAGCUUGCCUGUGAGUCAUUGUAGCUCCUUCUUGUUCCUGGGAGGGGGUGUUUCCAUGACUGCCUUGACUUGAUCCGGACUGACUUCUAUGCCUCUCUGGCUGACCAUAAAUCCUAGGAACUUGCCAGCACUUACUCCAAAGGCGCAUUUAGAAGGGUUUAGCUUCAUGUCAUACCUUUGCAAGAGGUGAAAAACUUCUUGUAAGUGAAGAUCAUGCUGCUCUCGGGUUUUGCUUUUAACCACAAUGUCAUCAAUAUACACUUCUACCGUGUGGCCUAUUAGAGGUUUGAAGAUUUUAGUCAUUAAUCUCUGAUAAGUGGCGCCAGCAUUUUUGAGUCCGAAUGGCAUGACUUUAUAGCAGUAGAGGCCAUGUGGUGUUAUGAAUGCUGUCUUUUCUUCGUCAUCUGGAGACAUGGGAACCUGGUGAUAUCCGAAGAAGGCAUCCAAGAAAAAGAGCAUCCCUUGCCCGGAAGUGGAAUCUACAAUUUGACCUAUUCGUGGUAAGGGAAAACUGUCUUUUGGACAUGCGUUAUUGAGAUUGGUGUAAUCAACACAGACUCACCAUUUGCCCUCUUUCUUUGGUACCACCACUACAUUUGCCAACCAAUCCGGAUAAGAUACUUCUCUGAUGAAUCCGGCUUCCAGCAAUUUGUCAAUUUCAUUUCGGAUAACUUUUUGUCUAUCCGGAUGAAAGCGUCUAAUCUUCUGUCGAACGGGUCUGGCUGCUGGAAAGACGUUAAGCUUGUGAGAGGCAAUAGAGGGAUGAACUCCCUUCAUAUCCGAAUGUGUCCAUGCGAAGAUGUCAUGGUUGCUUCGAAGGAUAUUUUGUAUGCUCUGAGUUUCUUCUUGUGUCAUGAGGGAACUGAUGUUCAUGAGGUGAUCAUUCUCUUCUGAGAUUUGGAUUGUUUGUAAGGGAUCUGCUGCCAGGGGAUCCUUGUCCGCCGGACCCAAUAAUUGCUAUUGGUCAUGCGUAUGGCUGGGUUCAGGGGGAGAUGCAUCCUCCUGGCUAGUUCCCGCUUCUCGUGCUAUUUGAUAGCACUGUCGAGCGGCCAACUGGCUGCCAUACAAGUCAGUUUGCCCUUCGUUGGUGAGGAAACUCACCAUUUGAUGAUAUGUGGAAGGGAUGGCUUUCAUGUAGUGAAGCCAUGUGCAUCCCAAGAUGACAUUGAAGGGUGAUAACUCUUGUACCACCGAGAAUUGCACGUUGAGAGUGACUGGGCCAGCUUGGACCGGCAGUAUAAUGUCUCCUAAGGAUGUGGUUGAUGACCCGUUGAAUCCGGAUAAGAUUCGUCCGGGGUUUUCGAGACCCGCGAGACUAUGUCCCAUAUGGCCAACGACUGAUGUUUGCACUAGAUCGGCUGAACUGCCUGGGUCGACCAAGAUACGUCUUACAUCGAAAUCUCCUAUUUCUAGGGAGAGGAUGAGGGCGUCGCGAUGUGGCUGUAGCGUCCGGGUGGGAUCUACUGGAGGGAAAAUGAUUGUCCCAUCUAUGGGGCGAGGGCCCUCUCCAGUGAGACCCGACCGGAUGGAAUUAAUGUGUUCGCGUAUUGACGCGGCUCGCAGCAAUUUCUGCCUUUUCCGCCUGGAAUCGUAUUCCUCGUCAGAUGGGCCCCCGUUGAUAUAGUUUAUGACAGCCUUGGGGGCGACUGGGGCCCUCGGGGCCCCAGAGUUAUGAUGUUGAGAUGCGUCCCUUCCUCUAAUAUCUGAGCGGAGGUACUGUUUUAAAUGUCCUGCUUUGAUGAGCCUUUCAACUAGAUACUGGAGGGACCGACAUGUCUCUGUUGUAUGACCAUGGUCUUUGUGGAAGGCGCAUUUCUUGUUGCGGUCUCUCAUGGAUGGGUUCGUUUCGAGGGGUCUAGGCCACCUGAAGUCGGACAACCCUUGGAUCAUUGGGAGAAGUUUUUCGUAUGACACGGAUAGGGGUGUGAUGGGCGGCCUAUCCAGACGACUCGGCCCGUCCUGCCUCCGGUCAACUGGUUUUGGCCGGUUCGGAGGUUUGGCAUGUCUGUCCGCGUCAUCUCUAGAAGUUUGUCCGGCAACCAAAACUUGCUGAGUGGCUGCACGUACGUCAUCUUCGAGCAUUGAAUAUUUGUUAGCACGUCUGAACAAAUCGUCCAUCGUUGUAGGAGGCUUUUUGGCCAGCGAUUCGAAAAAUGGAGUGCCUGGACAGAUGCUUCUCUUGAAGAUCUGUAGGACAGCAUCCAUGCUGCAAGCCUCUAUUUGAAGUACGGCUUGGCCAAAUCGUUUCACAAAUUCCCUCAAGGAUUCGUUGUCUCUCAUUUUUAUGUUCUGGAGGGUGCUGAUAUUCUGCUUGUGUCGAGCAGAGCACAAGUACUGUCCCACGAAAGCUUCAGAGAGGUCCCUGAAAUUGUCAACAGAGUUAGGAGGUAGGCGAUGAAACCAUGAGAGGGCCUGCCCUUGAAGGCUGGCGGGGAAUACUUUGCAUAGCAAUGCAUCGUUGCCAAUAUCGAGCGUCAUAAGCUGUCGAUAGUGCAUGAUGUGAUCGAAGGGAUCGUUGGUCCCAUCGUAUGUGGAAAACUUUGGUACGAAGAAUCCCCUUGGGGGCUCGUAAUAGGUGAUAUGAGAGCAAAAGGGCGUGGAGAGCAUGUCAUCCAGCCUUUUACUGAUGGAGCCAAUGGGUGGCUCGUUUGGGAGGUUUCUCCCAUCUGGUCGUUCCGCUAGGUGUGAGUGAACGUUCCGCAUCGCUGGGGUGACCAUGGGGUCACGAUGCGGAGGUACGUUCUGCACCAUGGGAGCGAUCAUAGGAUCGGGGCGUGGUGCCCGGGUUGUGGCUACUGGUGGCCUUGAUCUCCCAGGCUCUUGUGGGCCUAGUCUUGCGCUCAUAGAACUUGACAACUGUGAUUUUCUAUCACGUUGUCUUUUUACUGAAAAAUGAGUGGAAUCUGAGCUUUCCUCACGGGGAGCUCGAGGCAUAGGUGUACGUGGCUCAUGGGGCCUUGCGUUGUAUGCUCCUGGGACAGCUCCUGUUGACCCAGGAUAUAUUGAUUCUGGCUCUGGCCUUAAGUUUGCCACCUGGCCUCUUGAACGCUGACGACGACGAGGACCUGACGUUGAGGCUUGAAUGCGUAACACAUCGUUUUCUUCCCUUAACCUCUCCGUCUCCUAGAGGAGAGCUCUUAGUUGUUUUUCGCUCGCCAACUGUCUUUUUUCGAUGGCCUGACGCCAUUCGAGAUUAUCUUCCUCCCCUCUACCAGAUGAUCGACUUUGGGAAGGUGUGGCCAUCUUUGCUAGUGACUGAAUCAAAAUAAAAAGUAAAGUUUCCCACAGACGGCGCCAAUGUUGUCACCUCGCGUAUCCGGUGGUCCACGUUGCUGCUAGAUGGAUGGACACGCGAUUCUCAACACACAAAGGGUUCUUGAUUCAGCGGUCGUACCUGCAAAAGGCAUCCGGACAGGGUGUCCGGACGCACCCUCCGAUGGUUUUGUUAGCCAUGGUAAGAGAGGAAGAUAUAUGAGGCAGUUGGCUUUUUACUAGGUAUCAGGAGGUUACCCAGAGAGAGAGCCCCAGUUCUUCUUCGCGUGAAGACUUAUAUAUAUAGCUUUAAGGGUACUGUUCCUCUCAUUAAUGGUGAGGAGAUGUUUUAUGUUGUCAUGAUGACAUUAAGUAGCAGCAGAGACAUCAUCACCCUACGAGCGGCUGUCAGGAACCAUGGUAGGUGACGCGACUGUCAGAGAUCGUGAUAGGUGAUCAUGUAGAAUGAUCGUGGGAAGUGACUUGCUAUCACUUCAUCUUGUCUUCUCACUCUGCAGGUGACAAGAUGUGGGCCAUGGCUGCUUGUUGUGAUUGCGUGUAAGACUCACUUUACUUUAAUUGACCAUCCAGACGAUUUAUAUCCGGAUGGCUCAUGCUGAUUAUCCGGAUGUGUUGUGGAGACUAUCCGGAUGUCUACGCUCUGCCAGCGUCAUUUGCUCUUCCUUGGAUAGGAGAAGCUGAAACGUCGUUUGCCUUUCCUUGAGGCUGUCCGGAUAGGAUAACUGCACCAUGCAUAUCCUUAGGGGAAUCCGGAUGAUGAUGGUCCGGCUGAUAACACGUGCCACGCGUCAUCAUGAGUUGCGUGCCACGUGUUUCCCAAGGGGAGGGGUCCCUACACAGUUGUGACUCAGCAACCACCGCUGAUAGUGACUAAACCUUGCAUGGACUCGAGCCCACGUAGCAUUUAGGCAUAAAACACAAUAACACGUCCCGAUCAUGCGCCGCAAGGCUUCGUUUACUAAAGAAAAAAGGAUACUUUUUCUCCAUAUAUUGCCUAAUUGGGAUGCAAUUUUAUAAUAAGAAUGGAGGAGAAAAAGAGAACAAGCCCCAGACAAGUGACCCAACAAUGACUUCCCACUUCGGAAACACUGUUCCAUUGCCCAUGUUUUUUACGACACCAGAGUGAAAUGGUGGUGAGAGGUCAUGAUCAGUAAGUAUAAUAUUAUUUAUAAGUUGUUUAACACAUAGAAUGUUUUGUUGUAUAGCUAGUCAAAAUCCGCCUAUAAAGUAGCACAAAGCUAAAGUGCAGAGCACACAAAUUUCUUCUUCGAUUGGCAACCUUUUGAAAUGCGAUGCCAGUACUGCUAAUUCAUGCGUACCAAACUGUAUAUAAUAAUAAACUCCAUACUGGGGAAAUCAUUAAUGGAACUUGGAAUAUUAUUCUGGCCCUUGGGCUGUCCACAAGAUUAAAGAUGUGAGACAAGACUCACUAAGUUCUAAGGUUGUGCAGUGUCUUCACACUUGGGGGCAUUCAACUCGAAUGGAAUGUCAAAACCCAGUUCUUGUUUGGUACUAGUUUCAGCACAUGGAGUAGUGCCACUUGUGAGAUGCCAGCAUUCAACCAUUUGACCAUUGGGCCAGACCACCGUCCACAUACAACUGAGUUCCAAAAUGCAAGAAACGUGGCCCCCGCAUAUCACGUGUCUACCCGCCCCAUUGUGAAAUAACUUCUACAAAAACGGCCGGCUAGUUCAUUUACGUUACGUGGGCACGUGAUCUUACAAAUAAACGCCCCUCAUGCACGUUCCAUUCACUAACACAUUUUGGGUUGGCUGUUUCGGGCCAAAUGCCAAGUAAUUUCAAUGCUUGAAGUUGUAGUUCAGUUUUUGGUUGACAGAUACGUGUACCUUACUAUUGUAUACCCUAAAAAAUCCAUGAACAUUUUGAAUAAUGUUGAACAUGUAGUAGGCACAAAAAUAGACACAUUUCAAUAGAUUUGGGUUAGACAUACUCAUGUUUGUGUUAUAAUCAUGUUAAGUUAUAUAUAUAACAUGUUUAAUAACUAGGUCAUAUUUAGUCUAUAUGACUUCUCGACCCAUUAAAGCUAUUUAAUUUGUUCACUUCAUGAAUUUUCCAUUGCACCCAGCUAAUUUCUACAUGAAUUUUUAAAAUAAUGUAGUUUAGGUGGUUGAAAGAAUUAGACUUUGGGAAGGUUAAUUCUGGAUGGUUGGGAUGCACUUCGAGUCUCAUACAUACAUGGAUAUAACUUGGAUGAAUGUUCUUCAGUUGUAUAAGUCAAGCUUACCUAUAAAUAUUAUGUAUAUUUUUUAUAAUGAAUUAGGACGAUAUUAAGUUGGUUUACUAAACAUCCAUAUAAUGUUAAAUAUAAAUAUUGAAGGAUAUGAAAUCCACAUAUCAAUAUAUCAAACUUUUACCAAACCCACCUCAUGACAACCUUCUUAUGGUUCUCACACGGAUUUCUAUUGUUAUCAAACAAAAAGUCUAUAAUAAAAUAUUUUUUAUUAUAAUUCAUAGAUACUCUGACAAUUAAAUAAAAGGAUAAACUUAUUUGUGGAAUAUAAUUAAAAAGAAAAAAGAAAAAAAGAGACGGGUUAGAGUUUUAAAUUAUUAUUAUUUUAUAUACUUUAAAUAAAAUAGUAAUAAUAUAAUUAAAAACAAUGUCCUCUUUCAACUUUCAUACCUUCAACCUAUACGAGCUGUGAUAUUUUCAAGUUGGUAUUCUUUAACACAAGUCCAUUCCUAACUUAUUCAACUUUUACGACUUCAACGUAAACCUCGUGAUGGUACAAAUUAGACUAUUCUGCCCUACCUAAGUUAAAGUCCUAAAAAUUUCAUAAGAAUUAUGGACUCACCUUAUUAUGAAUCUAGACAUUAUUUAUUCUGAUUUAUCUAUUCUUUAAUAUAUAUAUAUAUAUAUAUAUAUAUUGGUUUUAAUAGGCAGAAAUGUCCUUAAUGACCUUGUACAUAGAGUACAUAUAUGAGUGAUAAUAAUACGUGUUUAAGAAUAUGUUUGACAAUAAUUUAAAAAAAUAUUUUUAAUAUUUUUAACAUUUAAAUUAUACAAAUUUUAAAGUGUUAAAAAGUUUGAAAACACUUACUAAAAUCAUUGUCAAUUAAUAUUAUUAUAAGCUAAUUAUUAUUAUUAUUAUUAUUAUUAUUAUUAUUAUUAUAUCAAACAUGUUAAAAUUUUAUUAUAUACCUUAUAAAAAUAAAAGUUAUGCUCUUAUAUUAGGUUGCAAUUUGAAGUUCAAGUUCAUUAAACUAUGCAGAGUUAAGCUUUAUGUUAAAAAUAAUAAAUAAAAAAUUAUAGAGAAUCAAUUCAAUCAAUUCAUUAUUUUCCAAGCAAGGAUUAAGAUAUUGAAGUAUUGAUGGUUAUAUUUUACAAAACAUUGAAACAAAAUAAUAAUACAUUAAUAAUAUAUAUAAUGAUAAUAAUUCAUAAAUCUUGAAAAUAAAUUUAAUAUUAAAAUAUCAUUCCAAGUAAUUCUGAAGUAUUCAAAGAUGUAAAUUAAAGAAAUAAUAAUAUAGGUAUAAUUAUUUUUUAUUUAAAAGUAUUAAUAAUUUCAUUUACAACUUUAUGUUGUCAAAAAUAGACGUAUCAAAAGAAUUAUCAUAAGAAAGCUUUAUAUUUUUAAUAAUAAAUUAAAUUAAGGUGGUGUUUAUUUUUUUAUAUUUAAAUCUGAAUGAAAAUUAAUUUAACUUAAUAGAAUUAAAUAUUAAAUUAUUUGUUUCUUAUCAUUUUAUUUUUGUUAAGUAUUAAAUAUUAAUAGGGUGAAAGCCUUGUUGAGCUUGUGCAAAAAAAUUAUUUUUAAUAUUCAAUAAAAAGUUAAAUAUUUUGGUUUUUGCUAUUCAUAAAAAAUUCUUAAGAAUUAAUUUUUUAUUUUUAUUCAAAAUAGUCGUGUUUGGUCAAACACUUUAAAAUGCAUUAGCAUAUUUGUACUCAAACGUUUUUAUGAAAAUAAUUUUACACUAAAUCUCCUAUUUGUAAGCAUGAUUAAAAUUAUUUGAUCCAUGAAACUGUUUUAAUGAUCCUUAUUGGGCUUCGAGUUCAUGCCCAUUUGUUGAUAAUUUUUCAAGUAUUCUUAGUCCGAGCGAGGAGUGAUGGCUAGGCUAGGGAAUUUUUUCUUUGUUAGGAUUUUGAUUUAAACUUUAUUAUGGACAUUGUUUAGAAGUUAAAAUUUUAUUCAUGUUUGAAUUAUUUGAUUUUGGAGUUAUUUGGAUAAUAACACUUUGGUUGAUGUGUUAAUUUUUUUUAUUUUUUUUUAAGUUGAGAAUUGGGGAUUAUAAAAUUUAUUUAUUUUACUACUCUGAAUAUGAAUUUGGUAAUUGAUAAUUUCUAAUUACAAGAUAAAUGUUUGUAUUGUUUCCACUUUAAGCCUUCGGGCUUAAGGUGUGAAAUGAUCGUCAUGCCCAUGGAGUAGGUUUUGGGGCAUGACAUAAUUAGUACAUUUUCAUUAUAUAGUUAGUAUAACACCCUUGUACAAUGAUGCAAAUUUCAUCCACAUGCAUACAUUAUGUGUCCAUAUAGGAUGUGUGAAUCAUAUUUCCAAUGAUUUUGUUUAGAAAAUGGUGUAAGACAUAAAAACAAAUUUUUUUCCCCAAACAUCAUUAUUGGGAUAAGUAUUUGAAUUAUCAUAUGUAAGUUAAAUAAAGUGCAUGAAAUGAAGGAAUUUGAAAUAGAAGAGUGUGAAGUUAUUGGAUGAUAGGAAAAAAAAAAUAGUUGUUCAAAAUUGACUAAAAUCCUCCACAAAUGGCAACCUUGUAUAGUUAGUGUUUUUACCUUAUACAAUUAGUGUAACACUUUUUUAUAAUGGUAUAAAUUUCAUACAUAUGUAUAAAUUAUGUCCACGCGAGUGUAUAAACUAUGUUUCUAAUGGUUUAACAUUUAAAAUGACUAAAACAAAUAAAAUAUUAUUUUAUUUUAUUUUCAAUGGAAAAUGUUAUUAAAAAUAAGACAAAGAAAUGAUUUAAAAACUAUUAUUUAACUUAAAUUUAUUUAUUUAAUUCGUUCCCAUUCCUUAUUUUCAUAUGCCAAACAUGUUCUUAUUCCAAUCUCAUUACAAUGACAUUAAUACAUAUUAUUCCCUUUCUAUUGCAGACAAUAUGGAAGAAGUUGGAAUUAACUUUCAUUUAUUUACUUAUACCGGCACAGAGUCGAUGAAUACGGAUGCAAUAUUAUCCUUCAUCACUUUCCCAACACGAGUGUAUUCAUCCUUUUCCUUCUAAUUGAUGUCUACCACUUGUGUAAGAUUGAGAACUCCGGUAAGGAUUGGGACCGACAUGGAAGUAGGUAUAAGAAACCCUUGGUUAAUAUCCUUCCAUGGAUUCGCAAUUUGCUUGUUAAACUCAUCAUCAUAAGCCUGUUGUUCUAAGACACUAUAUUACUUCACAUAGCAUUCAAUGGAUGAGGCAACAUGCCCUCUCUCUUCUUUAGAAUUCCUAGCAUACCUUUCCUAUCUUCCCAAGGCCGCACAUAUUUUUUUUUCUCACUUAAAUUUGGAGCACCUUCCUUUCUUCUCACAUAAGCAGUGCACUUUAUUUUUUUUUUUCUUCAAUUGGUGCAUUUUUAUUUAAUUCUCAAGGUGGCCUAUCUUUCUUCACUUAAUGACGUACUUUCUAAAACUUCAUUGCUUCCUAUCUUCUUUUCUUCUUGUUAAAGUGGUGCACCUUUGUUACUUGACACAUCUUUUUACCUUAGGGACUUGGUGCACCCUUGGCUUGUGGGACCAUGAUUAAAUAAAGACUUUUAAUUUUUAUUUGGGAUUUUUUUUCUUCGAUUUGAGAAGUACACAAAAAUUAAAAAGGAAAUUUAGGAUUAGAAUUAGGGUGUAGAUUUUUUUUUCUCCUAUUUAAGGUUUGCAUGAUUUAGAAGGAGCAUAAAGAUUUAAAAUUAGAUUUUCUUUUUGUCCAUUUAAGGUUUCAUUUGGGCACUGCAUAAAGAUUUUGAAAGAAAUGUUAGUAUUUAGAAUUUUUUCCAUUUAGGAUUUGAUUUGGAAAUUUAGGUUUUAAUUUGGGAAAUAGAUUAAGAAGAUUAAAAAAAGAAGAAGAUGAUAUUUUAAUUUUUAUUUAAUAUCUUAAUUUUAAUUAUCUAAAAUUAUUUAAUUAUUCUAAUUAAUGAUAUUUUGAGGUUAAUUGCGAUUAGUAUAUUAAUUAAAAUUAAUUAUAUAUAAAAAUCUUAAAUUAGGAUCAAUGGUAUUUUAGAAAUUUUUAUUAAAUUUAGUUGGUAAUAAUUUGUAGAUUAUUUUGUAGAAAGCUUAAUUAGAAUUAAUUAAAUCUUUAUAUUAAAAAAAAAACUUAAGAAUAAUUAGAUAAUGAGAUAAUAUAUACUAAGAUAAAUAAAAGAUACUUUAGGCAUUUUCUUCGAUUCUUUAACAAUGAUAUCAUUAAUCAACUAACAAUCAAUCCUUAAGGAUAGUCAAUGCUUGAUUGAUGGUCAAGUUAUGUAAUGGUUGAUCAAGGGAGUGUUGGUAUAAUUUCAGAAUCCUGAAGAAUUAAAAUGUAGUUAUCAGAUACCCUUCUUUAAUUGAGAUAAGUUGCUUCAAUGAGUGAUUGUCGAUUGAAAUUUUACUCCUAAAAUAUGUUUGUGGCUUUAGCUUGUCAAAGAAUAUGCUGGGAAUCAGUUAUGCUUGGGUUACGAGUUCCAUAAGCUUACGGCAUUAGAUUUUCAAGAUUGUCUUUCUUUGGAUGAGACCGUUAUAGAGAAGAGGGCCUUGCCAAUCCACUUUCAUUCAAACUGUUUGUCCUUAUUCUCAAUGAAUGAAGCAUUUUAUUUAAAGCAGAACACUCUAAAACUGUGAGAAACUAGCCGCCAAAGCAUUUAUUCCAAUCUUAUUACAAUGCCAUCAAUGCAUAUUAUUCCCUUAAUUUCCAUUGCUGACAUAUGGAAGAAGCUGGAAUUAACUUUCAUUUGCUCAUACUGGCACAGGGUCAAUGAGCAAGGAUGCAAUAUUAUCUUUCAUCACUUUCCCAACAUGAGUGUAUUCAUCAUUUUCCUUGUAAAUGAUGUCUACCACUCGUGUAAGAUUGAGAACUCCGGUAAGGAUUGGGACUGGCAUGGAAGUAGGUCUGAGGAACCCUUGGUUAAUAUCCUUCCAUGCAUUUGCAAUUUGCUUGUUAAACUCGUCAUAAGCCUGUUGCUUUGAGACACUAUAUUGCUUCACGUAGCAUUCAAUUGCUGAGGCAACAUGCCCCCUCUCUUGUUCAAACUGCAUACACAUAUAGUAACGCAAAAGAUGAGGAAAAAAACUACCAUACAAAUUGUCACAAAUGAACUUAUAUGUAAUAUAUUCUACAUGCAUACCUUAUGUGAAGUCAUGUCAUUCAUGAGUCUAGCAAUUAAACAUGAAGCUAUUGUAAAAAGGGUCAUUGUAAACCCAUUCGAAGGCCUCUUUUGUUAUGAUCUCGUCCAUGCCAAUGAAAAAGAUGACUGUGGUCAGGGGGAACGAUGAGCUUACUCUUGCAACUUGCAUGUAUUUGUCUAUGGUAGGUACAUUUCCUUCAUGGAACCAUUGUGCUUCAUCAAAGUAAGCGACAAUCUGAAUUUUCAUCUGACAAAACAUUCCUCCAUAUUACAUACUUCUACUUAUACUUUAAUUUUUAGUAUAAACUUGUGGGAAGGUAAAACUUAAUAUGAUACCUAAACAGAAAUUGAACCCAACACAUUUAAUUUUCUUGGGUUUGGGUUGAGUACAAGCAAGUUUAGGUUAAGUUCAUAUCAAUCUAGCUAUAUAACCCAUUUAAUAAAUAAAUUAUUUUUUUAUCAAUUUGAAUGAUACUAAUCUGAUUUAAAUUGACCUAAUUUAAUAAUUCUAGCUUAUUUAAUCAAUAUUCGAUUCCUAUAAAGCUUGAUUUUGGAUAUACUUUAAUUAAAAUUCAGUCACAAGCCUGUUAGGUUGGGAGAUUAAUAAUAUAAACCAUAUAAAAUCUAAUUCAAUUUUAUUAUUAAAUAACACGUAAUUAUUAAAUAGGUUAUACGUUACAUGUUUAAUAAUUAGGUGAUAUUUUUGAGAAUAUUUUUAACUCAAUUGUUAUCAGUAUUAUAUUUGAGUUGACCUAUUUAUUCGAUCUAUGAUAUGACACAAAAAUUUCAUAUAAACUAAAAGCCCUACAGAAAUUUCAUGAUAAAUCAAAUGAGAGUGAAGAGAGGGUUGUGAAUUGCACUUGGGAUUUCUGCUGAUGAGAGGGAUUUGAUAGAAAAACAGAGCGAAUCGCACCUUGGUAUUGUGCUGGCAGACAGACUCGUUGUAAGCGUGUUGGAGGUUGAAGAUGUAUUGGAGGAAAAAUCACUGGGAAAACAUGGAGAGAUGUUUUUAUAUAUUUAUUUAUUUUUGUUCUCUGAAUAGUAGGAAAAACAAGGGAAACAACUUUUUAUUGUUAUCCGAAAAUGGAGAUUUGAAGGAACCAAGAGAACACCCACUUCCCAAAUGUGUUUUUUGUAUUUUUUUGUUCUCAAAAACAAAAAACAGUUAUCAGAAACACCAACCAAGUAGGCCUUUAUUUUAUUUUAUAUAUGUUUUGAAUAGAUUAACAUUGGUGAAUAAAAUCAAUUGAAAAUAAGAGAUAAGAAAAAAUAAUCUUUUACAUAUUAAAAUUAAUAUAGAAAUUAGGGUGUAAUUAAAAGAAGUUAAUUUGAGAUUAGGUUAUGAUUAUAAAAAGUAGGAAAAAACACUAUUAAACUAAGAUUUUAUUAAUCUCAAUUGUGAUGAUUAUAAAAUAGGGUUUGGAAUUAAUUGUUUUAUUUUAAGUACAAGAUUUUGAGAGGGAUAAUCAAGAAGAUAUAUCAAGGUUGUAAGGAAUCCUAGAUUUCUCUGUUCUUAAAUCCUAAAUCAUAUAGGUGCAUGAAGAUCUACCCUAAGCUUCUCUAAAAACUAUUCUAACGGAAACAACAAUAAUAAAAACCAUUUAGAAUAAUAAACUAAAGAAGAUAGUAGUCAUACUUGGAUCUGGAUGUUCGAAGAUCAGUUUUCUAUCAUGAAGGGGAAGCCUAAAGAGUCUGAAUGUCAUGUCCACCUAAGAUCUUCCGCUGGAUGACUCAAACCACAAUUUUAGCACUCAAAAGUGUGGGCUUUGGAAGGGUGACUACCUUGACUCUCUCUAUCUCUUUAGAAGUGGAAGAUGAUUAUCAAAAGUCUUGGAAAUCCUAACCUUUAAAGGGGUAUUUUUAAGAUUCUCCUAUUGGGUUUAAGUGACUUCAGCUCAUCAAGGCUUAGAUCACUUAGUCUAAUAUAAAUUGAGUUUUAAUUGAUUAAUUAACUACAAAAGGUAAUCUAAUUAAUCAAUUAGUCAAUUCUAAAAACCUUGUUCACUAUCCCUUUUGCAAUCUUGCGUGAUUACCAAGACGCAUUUAAGCACAAUAGUGAACUUAGAGUCAAUCCAAUUCUCAUAAAAUCAUGUUAUCAUGGAAUAUGAGUUUAAAGCAGGGACUACUUGAACCCGGAGGAUUAUUGGCUUCCUUAGAAUCUAAUUUUAAAAUUGAUUUAACACUACGUUAAAGAGAAUCAAUUGCACUCCAAUACCUUAUGUAAAUAACAAUGAGACGAAACUCAGGUUCAUGACCUACUAUCUAUUACAUGUAGACUUCCCAUGAAUUGUUGUCCAUAAUCUGACAAGAUACUACUACCUAUCAAGAUUACAUCUCCAAUCAUUGAGUUACAAAUCUUACUUAGUAUGUGAUCAAUUAACAUAUUCUAGCUCCAAGAAGCAGAUGUUAAAUUCUCACAAAAGGAAAUGCUAUGACCAUAGUUUUCUAGAUCACAUGUUCUUUGGAUCACCUAAGGGGACACACUAUCUCAAUUCUAUAAGAUAUCAAGUAUCUCUAUUGAGAAUCCCUAUUGUCACUAGCCUCCAUCAACAAUGACUUAAUCAAUAGGAAUAUAUGACCACCAUAGGAUCUCACCCAUAGGUCAAAGCCUGUUGUUGACUUUAAAACAAACUCAAUAUUAUUUCAAAGUUGAGAGUCCAUACAGUAUAGUAACUUGGUAAAUCAUGAUAAUUGAUAAACUUACAUCAUAAUUCACUAUAGGUCUUGUCUCGCGUACAUAACAUAUACUAGUGCACUCACCAACUUCCUCACAAUGCAGAGCUUGUGAGAGCUCGAAAAAACUGAGAGCUCAAGAAUUCAAGAGUGUUCCAAAAAAUCCUCUCUCCUACUUUUGUAAUUUUCUCUUUAAAAAAUGUAGUCCUUUGUAUUCAUCACUUUGAGUCAUCCCUCUGCUGUCAACAAGCUUGUAUCAACAACUCUCUGUAAUCAAGGUAUAUUUUCAAUAAAAAAUAUUUUUCAGAUUCAAAUAUCUGUGUUUUUAUGAUUAAAUUUCUACAAUAAAUUAGAAAGAAUUAGAAAGUAAUUAUUUCUGUUUUUAUGCUUGGAGUUCUUUAGAAAAAAUUAAUUAUUGCGUGUAUGAAAUUUCUAGCCCAUUUAUCUAACUUUUUUUAUUUUAAUAUUUUUUUAUUUAAGAUAAAACUAUUAAUUUUUACUUUUAAAUUUUAAUUUAUUUAAUACUAUUUUAAACACAACUUUCUUUCUUUCUUUUUCUUUAAACAGGACUGAACAUCAUACUAAUUUGGUCAAAGAAAUUAAAUAAAGAGUCAAACGUUUACCAUGCAUCAGUAUCCCUCAUCCAAAUGCAUUGCUCAUUGUAGAAUCAGAUGCAUCUAAUUUAGGUUAUGGAGGCAUAUUAAAACAAGAAUAUAACAAUCAAGUGCAUAUAGUUAGAUAUCAUUUAGGGAUCUGGUUGGAUGCUCAAAUAAAUUAUUCAAUUGUCAAAAAAGAAGUUUUAUCUAUAGUUUUGUGUAUUUCAAAAUUUCAAAGUGAUUUGAUAAAUAAAAAAUUUGUUUUGAAAAUUGAUUGUAAAGUUGCAAAAGAUAUUUUAGAAAAAGAUGUUAAAAAUUUAGUUUCAAAACAAAUUUUUGCAAGAUGACAAGCUUUACUUUCAAAUUUUGAUUUUGAAAUUGAAUUUAUCAAAGGAGAGUUGAAUUCCCUUCAUGACUUCCUUACUCGGGAGUUUUUGCAGGGUAAGGAUUCUCCUCCAUCCUAAUAGGUGCUCCCUUUAGGCCUCAACUUCCUUCAUCAUCCAAGAAAACCAAAGCUUCUUAUGCAAUGAUUUCAAAAUUUUCAUAUAUUCAUCCUACUUUUCCAUUACAAACAUCAAAUUCCUUUCAAGUUCUAGGUCCAGAUUUUCCUCAUCUUCAACCUUCAAAAAGUUGUAUUCAAGCUUCUAAAUCAACCCCUAAAAUUUUUUCUAUUUAGAGUCAAUCCAGCCCUAACACUAUUUCAUUAUUACCUUUUCCUUUAUUUUUAUUUUUUUCAUAUAGUCAAUAUGUCAAAAAGCCCAAAACCUUAGAAAUUGCUUUUAUUGAGCCAGAGUUCAAUUAUGAGAAGAUUCCUAAAAUUCUUCCUUAUAUAUUUCCUCAAUGAGUCACCUUGAAUUCCAAUGAUCCUUUGAAAACUAGGCAAUUUUAUGAGUUCAUCCUGGUGGACACGGAUUUAGUUGAAAUUACUCAUAACACUGAUAAAAAUAAUCCUCAGAGGAUUGCUUUUUCCAAAUGUCAAAUUUUCAGAGUCAUGACCAUUGCUAAUUGGAAUCAAAAGCCCUUCACUUGCAAGGCGUUUAGUCAACAUUUCCAUCCCAUGAGCGACAAUUACAUAAAUUAUAUGGAUGCUUGGUACAAUAUGUUUUAUUUGCAAAGCUACCAACAUUCCUGAUUCAUCAAAUUCUCAAGAAAUUGUAAUACCAAAUUUCUUACUUGGUUUCAAAAAUGGUGGACUUUCUUUGGUCUACUAGACUCCAUAUUUCCUUCUGAAAUUCAAGAAAAAUUCAACUUCUACAAGAGCAAGACUUCAUCUCUAUCUAUCACUCAACCAAGACUCUUGAUGUUCUGUUUGAGAUUAAGAAUUCCAUGGAUUCUCUCAUGGAAUAUUAUCAAGAAGCAAGAACAACCUCAUCCUUUUCCAUUAUCUCUCUCUAGAGAAUUCAACAUCAAAUGGUGGGAAAAAUUCAAUCAUGAUUUUGUAUGUCAAUAGAAGACUUUGCAAAUAAUUUUAACAAGGUCAGGAUCAUCAAAUUCAAAAUAUUCAAUAUUGAAGAAGGUAUCAUGAAUGUCGGGCCCCCACCAAAGCCCUAAUUAAUUUCUCAUGAGUUGAUUCCAUAAAUUCCAUGACUUGGAAUUAUGGAGUUUGUUCAUGCUUGAGAAAAUUGAGAAAAAUCAAGAAAAUCGAUUGAAAAUCAAAUAAAAUAGUGAAAAUGCAUGCCGGAAGGAAAAUGACAGCAAGAGUAUGUUAGAAUAUGGAUUUUAUACCUAGAAAGGAUCUAAGAUGAAUUUUUCAAAGCUAGGAAUGUUUAGUUGAACAAUGGUUCAAAAAUUCAAUUUAAAACAAUAAGUUCCCAAUCAAAGAAGCAAAUAGAGGAGAAGGUGUGUAUAGCAAGGUUGCCAUGAAGUGAAGCCGAGAAAUUCUGGAUAGAAGGGACCAAUUCACUGCAAGAGUGUUCAACUGUCAAAUGCUUCAACUUAAAAGACAUCUUGAUUCGUAAGCUCAAUUGGAUUCCCCUCAACAAAAAGUCAAAUACUGGAUUGAAGGUUCAGAAUUUCCAAUUUUCUGCAUUGUUGUAUUUCCUGCAUUUUGAGUUAUUUCCCACCACCGAGACUUGGUUCAGCAGUAUUGUCGGAGUUUGCUUUUUGAUUGUGGGUGGAAAUGGAUCUGGCGAAUCGUGAGUAUCUGACGAGCCAAGCUAUCCGGGUGGAGUGUGAAUCGUUGGCCACAGAUGCUAUCCGGAUAAGCGUUAUCGAAGGAUCCGGACAUGUCUGCCCGGGAAAGUUGAAUCGUCCUCCUCUCUCAUUUGGCGGCGGGCGCUGGGUGUGAAAUAUCCGGAGAAUGUGGAACGUCGGCCGGAUAGAAUUGUGGCUGUGAGAUAUCUGAAGAAAAGUGGCGUCAGCCGGACAGAAUUGCGGCUGUGAGACAUCCGGAGAAAGUGGGAUGUCGGCCGGAUAGAAUUGCUGCUGUGAGACAUCCGGAUAAGGUAAACGUUGGCCGGAUAGAAUUGCUACCCGGAUGGAAUUAGCGAUGAUCCCGUUCGGGUGGAAUGAGCGAUGAUUCCGUCCGGGUGGAAUGAGCUGUGAUUCCCAUCCGGGUGGAAUGAGGGUGGAAUGAGCUGGGAUUCCCGUUCGGGUGGAAUGAGCUGUGAUUCCCAUCCGGGUGGAAUGAGGGUGGAAUGAACUGUGAUUCCCGUUCGGGUGGAAUGAGGGUGGAAUGAGCUGUGAUUCCCAUCCGGGUGGAAUGAGCUAUGCCACACGUCGAAAGGGGGGCGGUCUGCGCGGCCAAGAGAGAGGGAGCCACGUGGCAAUUUUUGGGGAGGAUCCCACAUGUUUAACCCCAAGAAAACCCGUUUUACACAGCCUUAUCAGGUUCCCACCUUUCUCAGAAUGCUCAUGGUCUCCAUAUCUGAGAAUACCAAGGUAAAGAAAGGGAAGAAACGUAGAUACAGAAACACAUAAAAAGACCAAGAAAGAAAAGAAAAGAAAACAGGGGAAAAGAAGAUAGUCGGUGGGUAUUUUGAAGCCAGAUUGGGAUAUAAAUGGGGGCAAGACCCAUAACAUCAAAUUCAAAGGUAAACCUAUAUUCAGAUUGCUUUCACAUGGAACCAAAGACAUUAAAAGGAAUAUUAAAAUAGCAUAAACAUGCAAGCAAACCAGUCUCAACUAAUCAAAUUGUGGCCCUUGCAUCCACACCAAACGACAAGAAUGAAUCUUCAGAAAACUAAGAAGUCAAGAAAGAUUGAAACUAAAUGGUGAUAUAGCAAAAAUCUGGAAACAUACUUGCACGUUCUUCCCUCCAAUUGCUUGGUUCCAGGCUGCUGCACCUUUUCCCGACGGAGAAAUCUGCUCCCCAAUCCUUUUUCUGUCCACCAAUCUUCUCCCUCUCUAUACGUGUUCCAAGUCCCUAUUUUCUAUGCCUCUCUUCCAGACGAUCCUCUCAUGCGUGCUUUUUCUCAUUCUUUUUCUUUUCUCACAUAUAUAUAUAUAUAUAUAUUAGCCUCUCAAACUCAAUUUGAUCAAGAGAAACCACUUUCCUUUCUUCUAUUUCCCUUCCUUUUUUCAAAAAUCAGAAUGUUCCUCUCUUCUCAUGCAGGAUCUUCUCUUUCCAUAUGUAUGCAGCCACAUUAAUUCCUUUUUCCUCACAAAAUAUUUCUCUUACCUUUUUGAGUGCACAUACCUUAGUGAGAGUUGAAUAGCAGCCCCUAUUCUCUUAUCAAACAAUAAAAAAAAUGAAAAUAGAGAGAAUAAAAAAUAAAAAGAGUUAGCAAUCUUGCAACCUAUCAAAGAUUAAAAUAAAAUAAAAAUAAAUAAAGUAAAACAAAAUAAUUGAAUAAAAUAGUCAAUCCUAUGCGGGCCAUGCAAGUUGAUUACUACUCAAAAAGUGCUAUUUCAUAGCUUGUAAUUAACUCUUUUAAACACUUUUGAGUAGUAGUUAUUGCCUUUUAACCCAAUUAACAUGUUAAGGACCCUUGCAAUCAAUUCUAAUCAAAUUGUGUAAGUUUUGGUGUUUUUGUUAGUAAUUUGAUCACCAAAACAAUCCAAGAUUGAGGAGAGUUAUUUAGAAACCAUGGCAAAGCUAUGAAGAGCUCAAAUUCAUGAAGAACCAAGCUUUGGAGCUCCAUAGCCCUUUGCCAAAGUCGUUCAAAGUAUGCAAGGAAAGAGCACUGGAGAGAGGAAAAACAGAGUGAAGAAAACAGAGGAAAGCCAGCUGCAGUCUUAUUUUGCAAUUUUGGAGCACUUUCUGAAGUCCAUUUUCUACAUUCUAUAUACCAUUUCAAAGCUCAGGAAGUCAAGAAUCCAAUGCUUCAAACGGUGCGCGAUUCGGAGUUGAAACGAAGAAGUUACAGCCACUGCAAGUCAAUCACUCUAAAGUGUUGCGGAAUCAGCCUUUUGUUGCGAGAAUUUCGCAGCCUUUUUGUACAGUGUUGUGGAUUUCCUCCUGAAGUUGCCCGAUAUAUGCCGCAAGCUGGAAGCUGAGAACUUCAAGGUGGAAGCCAACUUCGCAGCCCUGUGAGAAUAGCUUUUUGUUGCGAAGUAAUUUGGCAGCCCUUCAUAAGUGUCUGCGAAAUCUCGCAGACACCAUUUUCUCCUGCGAAAUGGUCCUUAGUGCUUCCCGAUAUUUGCCACCGACUCUUUUGGAUAUUUUUCUUCAGAUAUUUUUGUCUAAAUUUCCAUUUUCUCCUUGUAUUCAGCCACUCAUGUAAUUCCUUAGCUAGGAAGUAUCCAAGGAAGGGUAAAUUACCUUCCUAUAUAAACUCUCUUGUAAACACUCUCAGGAGACGCUCGGGGAAGUAUGUAAAAUAUAGAUAUAUCAUAUAUAGAAUCAAGGAACAGAGCACUUGCUCUGUUUUUCAUAUAUAUUCUUGUCUUCUCUUUCAUUUUCAUUUUCUAGCCAACCAAUCUCUGAGGAUUUUUCCUUAGAAGAUGAGAGGCUAGGCUCUUUGUCUCUUGGAGUGAGGAAAGCCGGGUAAGUUUCCACAUGCAUAAAUUGGAAGUUUUGUUGUUUUAGUUUUUAAUGAAGAGAAAGUGUAACCCGUUAGUGAUUUCUAUGUUUUUAGUUAACUUAAAAUGCCUUUAAAUCACCUGGGCCAACACUUGGUAAGGCAAGUGAUCUCCGUCCAUGGAGAUGCACUAGUUUACCCCUUGCGAGCCUUUGGGAGGUGACUUGAAGGUAGGAUUUUCUAGAAUAGCCAACACUUGGUAAGCUUUUGGACUCCAAGGAGACAUCCAUUAGUUAUCUUUUGUGAGCUUUUGAUGGGUAAUCCAAGGUUAAAGAUCACCUUGAAUGGCAAGUGCUAGGUGAGAGGUAUGAGUCAUUGCAAGGUGCAUCAGUGAGAGGGAUUUAGUGUUUGAACCCAUUAAUGGGAAGCAUCUGUACAACACCGGUUGGAGAAGGAACUAUAUGUUAAUUCUCUAAUGCGAGGAAAAGAAACAAGUGACCGGAACUCCCAUUUUGUAUGAGGAACGAGCCUAGUGAUCUGAACUCCAAGAAACACUUUUCUUUGUAAGUAAAAUCAGUUACUAUUUUUGGUUAGUUUAAAUCUAAACCUUUUUCAUUCAAACAUCUUUAUGUUUUCUUUUAAAGCUAACCUUGAAAUGAAAAGACACCAAUUCAGCUUUGAAUUAAUAUCAUUUGCAAAGUGAAAACCCAUCCCAGUGAACGAUCCUAGAGCCACUAUGCUAUAGUAGCUUUGUCUUUGCUACCCUAGUAUAUGGUGUAAUAGGUUAUAAAUUUUGUUGAUUACUCCCUCAAUCAAAGAGCACCAGCUGGACACGAAUCAGCUCAGACACCAAUUGAGCACGAAUCAAAUGGCGCCGUUGCCGGGGAUCGAACCCCGAAUCAAAUGGUGUCAUUGCCACUGCCGCUGCUAGGGACGAAUCACAAGUCAUACAAAAAGUGAGUCUAAAAGUGCUUACUGGGCCAAGUGUGUCUAAAUGGGCCUAGAGCGGUGCCUAAUGGGCUAAGUGUACCUAAAAGCUAUCCUAAAAAUGAACGAAAAAGGCUAAGUAUAAAUUAGGGCUACCAAGAGUCACAAUAAGUGGUCAGAUAAUCCCUCAACCAAAAUCUCCGAGGUGUCUCAGAAAAAGGUAAGUUGUACGAGUAGUAAUAGGCCACCAAGGAACUACUGUGGAGCGCUGAAAAUGAACUUAAAGACAUGUGCUAAAGGGACAAAAUUGAGGGUCUACAUCGAUAUUUUGAAAGAAUUGGUGAUUUUUUUUUUACAAUCUUCCUCCAUUGCUUCGCGCAUCUCUCCACAACGAUAUAUGGAAGAAGUUGGAAUUAGCUUUCGUUUUCUCAUACAAGCACAAGGUCAAUGAGUAAGGAUGCAAUAUUAUCUUUCAUCACUUUCCCAACAUGAGUGUAUUCAUCAUUUUCCUUAUAAAUGAUGUCUACCACUCGUGUAAGAUUGAGAACUCUGAUAAGGAUCAGGAUCGGCAUGGAAGUAGGUACGAGGAACCCUUGGUUAAUUUCAUUCCAUGCAUUCACAAUUUGCUUGUUAAACUCAUCAUAAGCCUGUUGCUUUGAGACACUAUAUUGCUUGACAUAGCAUUCAAUGGUUGAGGCAACAUGCCCUCUCUCUUGUUCAAACUGCACACAUAUAUAUAGUAAUGCAAAAGAUGAAGAAAAAACUACCAUACGAAUUAUCACGAAUGAACUUAUAUGUAAUAUAUUCUACACAUAUACCUUAUGUGUAGUCAUAUCGUUCAUGAGCCUGGCAAUUAAACAUGAUGCUGCCGUAAAAGGGUCUUUGUAAACCCAAUCAAAGGCCUCUUUUGUUAUCAUUUCUCCUAUUUCAAUGAAAGAGAGGGUUGUGGCUAAGGGAAGAGCUGAGCUUACUCGUGCAACUUGUAUGUAAUUCCUCUAUGGAACCAUUGUACUUUGUCAAAGAGCCAACCUGAAUUUUCAACCGACAAACAUUUGUCAAUGUUACAUACUUGUAGAUAUGCUUUAAUUUUUAAUUUUAUGUGAUUCGCCUAUGUAACUCGAGCCCAACACAUUUUGUCAAGAGAUUGGGUUGAGUAUAAGCCUGUUUGAGUUAAAUUUGUAUUGACCAAUGUAAUAUAUUGAAUAAAUAUGUUGUUUUUUUUUAUCAAUUUGCAUGAAUUUGACCUUAAUUGAAGUUUUUAAUAAUUAUGUUGAUUUGUCUUAUUAUCACUUUAAUCUAUUUAACCUAUAUUUGACUUAUUUCAAUUUUGAUUUUGAUAAAUAAGUUAAAUUGAGUUAAGCAUAUUAGGUUGAGAGAUUAACACUUGAUUAUUAGAUGAGUUAAACAAGUCAUAUGAUGUAUUGCAUGUUUAAUACUUAGGUUAUGCUUGGGCUUAUGUUUGAGUUGACCUAUUUAGUCGAAUGUCUGACCCACUACAGAACACCAUCAAAUAAAAAAGGCUCUUACCACUUCUUUUACAUAGUAGAAGCAAUAUGUUUUUCCUUCUUUAUCCAUCUCUUCCCCAAUUUCUUUGUAGACAUCUGAGAGUGCCUGAUAGGUCACUUCCAUGUAUUCUGGCAGUUGAUUGAUGCUUUUGAUAUCCCACCUGAAAAUAAAAGAACAUCCACCUGAGAAUUUUGAUAUCUCCUCGUUCAUUCCUUCCAUGAGCUCUUUGACUAAGGAAGGCUUGAUUACGGUGUGGUUCAAUUUUCUCUUCUUCCUUUGCAGUAGCAAUCAUUUGUUCAUGGUUUUGUAAGGAUGAUAUAAAUUGGUUUAAAGUUGGGUAUGGAAGCUUGGAAAGCAUAGUAGUUUUUCAAAUUAUAAUAUCUAGGUGUAAGGGCUUUAGUUAGUUGGAAGAGUUUAUCAAUUUCAAGAACAAACUAAUUUAUAACAAAUGUUAUCACAAAUAAACUUGAACUUGUGAAUGUAUUCGUCAUGUUUUAACAACAAACCUUUUCUUAAUUGAUAGUGACUAUCCUUUAGAGAACCCCUUCUUUCUCUUUUGUUUCAGGCCGAAGCUGUUCUUCAACUGAGUGCCUGUCCCAUCGUGUAGUGUGUCCUUUGACUGUCAUGCCGAGUACCUCCUUAAUCAUCUUUUGUAUGAGCCAAGACAUCAACAAGCCAUCAUUUUUUAUCCAACUUGUAUAUUUGGGACUGAUAGUUUACCUACCAUCUUCUUCUUCGAUUUGUUGAUUUGGCUUCUCUGCAUCUCCUACGUGGUGUUCUAUACCUAGACUCGUUAUUAGAGAUAGAAUCUGUGAUUUCCAAAGGAUGUAAUUAAAGUUUGACACCUUGAUACAAACAAGGCUUGGAUAUUGAUGGAAAGCUUGGAUUGAUAUUUUUGGCUUCAUAUCUUUCUGCUUUGAUACCAUGAAAAAAUUUGUAGAAAAAUGUAAUUGAAGAAUGAUUCACGAAUAAUAGAAAAACUCGAAAGGAUUCCUUGGUUGAUUUAUUUCAGUUAUGGUAAUAUAUACAAGUAUAUCAAAUAGCCCUUGGAGUUGGUCAACAUCAAUUGGUUGUCUAAGGAAGGCUGCUUAAGAAGGAAUUCUACAUAUUACAUUGAUCGAACAACUAGGGAAGAUUGGUCAAUAAAAAAGAAAAGAAUUCUAGCAAUGCUGACAAUGAUCUUGCUGGCGGUGAUUAAAAGAAACGAAAUUCAAGCAAUUCAACAGUGGUUUUCCAUGAAGUAAUCAGAGGGAAUAAUUUUGGCUUGUUGAAAAUAAUCAACGGAAGCAAUUUUGUCAAUAAUUUUGGCAGUGAUGGCAAUAUUCAACUUUCUACUUGUCAUAAACUUUCAAUGCCACUACAAAACACCAUCAAUGCACUUGAGAAUAGAACACUGCAAAAGCCAAUACAAUCCUAAACUUGUUCAGCAUUAUUAAGGGGUGUUUUGUAUUAAUACAUCCCAUUUGUAAUUACCUUACAACAAACUAAAAAAUCUUACAAUUUUAGAAAUAAUAUUUGCAUCGAUCGGUACCACAAUCUGACCUCAACUUUAUUCCAUUGCACCCAACUAAUUUCUACAUGAAUUUGUUAUGACAAGUAUAUGAUUGAUAAGAAUAGGUGUUUAAGAGAAUGUUUGACAGUGAUUUUAGAAAACAUUUUUAACCUUUCUAACACUUAAACUAUACAAAUUUUAAAGUGUUAAAAAGUUUAAAAACACUUUUUAAAAUCAUUAUCAAACGGAUUUUAAUAUUAUUAUAAGCUAAUUAUUAUUAUUAUUAUUAUUAUUAUUAUUAUUAUUAUUAUUAUAUCAAACAUGUUAAAAUUUUAUUAUAUACCUUAUAAAAAUAAAAGUUAUGAUCUUAUAUAAGGUUGCAAUUUGAAGUUCAAGUUCAUUAUACUAUGCAGACUUAAGUUUUAAGUUAAAAAUAAAAAAUUGUAGAGAAUCAAUUCAAUCAAUUCAUUAUUUUCCAAGCAAGGAUUAAGAUAUUGAAGUAUUGAGAUGGUUAUAUUUUAGAAACAAAAUAAUAAUGCAUUAAUAAUAUAUAUCUAUAUAUAUAUAUAUAAUGAUAUUUGAUAAUAAUUCAUAAAUCUUGAAAGUACAUUUAAUAUUAAAAUAUCAUUCCAAGUAAUUCGGAAGUAUUCAAAGAUGUAAAUUAAAGAAAUAAUAAUAUAGGUAGAAUUAUUUUUUAUUUAAAAGUAUUAAUAAUUUCAUUUACAACUUUAUGUUGUCUAUCAAAAGAAUUAUAAUAAGAAAGCUUUAUAUUUUUAAUAAUAAAUUAAAUUAAGGUGGUGUUUAUUUUUUUAUUUAAAUCUAAAUGAAAAUUAAUUUAACUUAAUAGAAUUAAAUAUUAAAUUAUUUGUUUUUUGUCAUUUUAUUUUUGUUAAGUAUUAAAUAUUAAUAGGGUGAAAGCCUUGUUGAGGUUGUGCAAAAAAAUUAUUUUUAAUAUUAAAAAAAAGUUAAAUAUUUUGGUUUUUGCUAUUCAUAAAUAAUUUUUUAUUUGUAUUCAAAAUAGUUGAUGGAGUUUGAGUUGGAUUCUAAUGAUUACUUGAAAUAAUAAAAUUAAUUUUUAUUAAAAAAAAUAAGAUAUAUAGAUAAUUAUUUUAAUUUAAAUGAAAAAUAUUUUAAAAAAAAGGAAAACAAAAUAAGAAAAAAAGAAGAGAAAAACCUUAUAUAACUCCUUAUUUGAAAAAAAAAGAAGAAAAAAGACAAGUUCAUAAACCAAGAUUGAGUUAAAAGUCAAAUUACCUAUUGAGAAAAUACGGCGAUAAGUCAUACAAAACAACUUUCUAAGCUUAUGUACCUAUAGUCUUUACUAAGCAAAUGAAAUGAAUUAUGACGAUUAAAUAAUUGAUUAUGGAUACUCAAGAAAAGAAAAACACAAUUAUAAAACAAGUCAUGGUGUUUGUUAUGUUACAAAAAUGUAAAAAACAAAUGAUAAGAGAAUUUGCAUAAGUUGAUUUAUGAAACUAAUUAAAAACAUGGGUUUAAUUAUUUCUAAAUUCAAAGGAUUAAAAAAGUUAUUCCAAUUUGAUGAUUUCAAUCGAUUUUAAGUACAAAAGAAAGUUUUGAUUUCAUUUUUUUUUAAGAAAAAAAUGCUUCAAAUUAUUCUAUUUAUAAAGAAAUGGUUUUUAUUUACUUUUUCUUUAAAAAAAUAUAAUUUACACAAAUUCUAUUUACCUUAACAUUCCUUUUUUAUUUUUAUGCAGAAGAGAAUACUUUUAUAAUUUUUGCUACAACAUGAUUUUUAUAAUUUUAUUUUAAAAGAAAGUGUCCAAAUCUAAUCUUAUGUGCAAGAGAAUCUUUUUACAAAUUAUUUAAGAAAAGGAUUUUUAAAAAUUUAUUUACAAUUUUAUUUAAAAAAUAUUUACAAAUUACUUUAAAAAAGAUUUGUACAAAUUUAUUACAAAAAAGAAAUAUAUUCAGAUCCAAUUUUAUUUACAGAAAAAAAAUGAUUUUUUUUUUUUAGUUUUUAUUCAAAAUAAGACUUUUACAAUUUUAUUUAAUUAGUAUGAAAGUCCAAUGUCAUUUUAUUAAUACUAGAAAAAAUUUAUUAUUAUUUUUUAUUAAGACAUGAUUUUUAAAAUGUCAUUUAUAAAAUAAAAUAAAAAGUUUACAAUUUUAUUUACAGAAAAAAAGUUUACAAUUUUAUUUUAAAAAAUAUUUUGCAAUUUUUUUUUAUAAAAAUAAAAAAUGGUUUCAAUGUUUUAUUUAAAACAAAUUGCUUUUUAGAUUUUAUUUUAAAAAAUGCUUUUCACAAGUUAAAAAAAAUUAUAGUUUUAUUUUUUUACAAAAAAUAAUGAAUUUCCAAUUGUAUUUAAAAUUUAUUUAAAAAUGGAUUUUAUAGUUUUAUUUAGAAAAACACUUUAUAAAAAAAAAAGAAGUUCAAAUCUCUCUCUCUCUCUCUCUCUCUCUCUCUCUCUCUCUCUCUCUCUCUCUCUCUCUCCAUACGCUCAUUAAUUUUGAUGUUAAGGUAUCAGCCCAAUUGACAUGAUUUAUAUUGACCUAGUCUUUUGGUCUAAUAGGUAACUUGAUGUAAUAUAGGAGGUCAUGAAGGUGAACUGUGAACCUUACUGAUAUUACGCAAACCCUACCAUUUAUUUAUAAUAUUGUCGUCAUAAUAUUGAAAUAUGGGAAAUUUUAAUAGACCAGACAGACAUCAAUAGACCAAAGCCACCAAGCAGGAAUUGAAGAAACCAGAAAGCGUUUGUUCCAAACAUAGUAUACUGUAGAACAUGAAACAGAAGCUAGAGUAUACUAUCUUUAUUUGUGUCACAUAUAUCUCCACUCUCAUAUUGGCACAGGGUCUAUGAGCAGCAUUGAAAUAUUAUUUUUCGUCACUUCUCCAGGAUGUGUGAAUAUAUCUUUGUGGCUCUUGUACAUCACAUCUCCUGAUCGAGCAAAAUUGAGAAGACGACUAAGGAGAAGCAUUGGAACUGCAGUAGGUCUGAGGCACUCUUCAUUUAUAUCCUUCCAUGCAUUCUCGAUUUGCUUGUGAAACUCAUCAUAUGCUUGCUGCUCCGACACACCAUGUUGCUUCAUGUAAUAUUCGAUGUUUGAUGCAAUAUGCUCUCUCUCUUGCUCAAACUGCAGAAAUAGUAAUAUAAGGUGUUAAAAAGAAAUUGAUAUAUAAUAGAUUUUCUUUAUCUUUAUGGGAUUGAUAUCCAAGUAUCAGUAGGAAGUGUUGUUUCAUUGUACCUUGUGGGAAGCCAUGUCAUCCAUGAGCCUAAUGAUUAUGUAGGUAGCUCUAACAAUCUUAGGGUUUUGUAGCAGCCAAUCAAAGACUUCCUUGGUUGCAGUCUCUCUCAUGCCAAUAAAAGACAGGAUUGUUAACACGGGGCCAGCAAUAGUUACCAUUGCGAUACCAUUUGGCUUGGACCAAUUUAGCUUAGACCAAGCUUUUAAUUUAGGAUAAAAAUUCAGCCAAGUAAAUAUAUCAUGCAAGUGUUAUAUAUAGCAUUUUAUUUACAGUACAAUAUAGGAUAUCAUAAACACAAUAGAGUUCAGCGAAUCCUACUGCAUCUUUUGUAUGGUGGACACAGUAUGAUCUUUCUGUGUUUUCCAUCUCCUCAAUUUCUUUGUAGACAUCUAGGACUGCCUGAUAGCAUGGCUUCAUGUAUUCAGGAAGCUGAUGUAUGCUGUUAAUAUCCCACCUGAAAAUCAAGUACCAAGUUUCCUUUUAAAGUACAAAUAUGAAAUCAAUUCAUUGGUUGUGGGUAAUUUGAAUCUAGCAUAUAUCAAACCUCCCGAUUGCCUCUGUAAAGAGCUCCAGUUCUUCAAAUGUUCCAUAUGCAUCAAUUAUAUCACCCAUAGUUGUUACCAGAGCAACUACUUUGGUCUAUAUUCUUCUAGCAUAUGAAUUCUGGGGCUUAGAACAUGUUGAUGUCCAAAAGUAUGUUUCCACCACUCUUAUCUCUGGAAAAAGGUAGCUUUGAAGAGAAAUCUAGGUCUUUCCACCACCUGAGAAAAUACAUUAAUCCACAUAAAAGGCCUGGUAAACUGUUAAUUUAAAUUUAAGUGCAAGAAUGAUCUGAGAACUAACCUCGAGAUAUUGCUCAGCUCUCUCUUAUGCAGUGACUGCAGUAGGUUGAAGUGUAACUUUGCAAGCUUCAGUCAAGCUUUACUAUGUGAAGCUUCAUCCUGGUAGAUAGACAUGAAAGGCCUUGCCUCUAGUCUCUCCAAACCUUUCCUAAUGGGCCGGUAUAGGGCAUGAGUUACUUGUGCUGCAAGAGAGUAUUCUAAAUGUUCUACCAUAGACUUGAGGUAAGUGGUGGUGAAAGCAAGUGCUUCAUCUAGUAUAUCUUCUUCCCACACCCUGAGAUGUGCAGCUUCAUACAAGCCUAGUAGGCCAUAUGCAUCAUUGAUCAAAGACUCCUUGAACCUUCCCUUUUCAUCUGUGUACCUGUUGAAUAUAUCUGUAAUCAUCACCAAAACAUAGAAUUUUAUAUGUGAGCUUUGCUAGAUGAUAUUCAAGCACCUUAUAAUACAUGAUAUUCAUGAGGCUUACCACAUGAAACAUUGAAGCCUUGUUGUCUUAGUAGUCGAAAUCGAAGUGCAACAUCAUAGAGAUCAUCAUUUAUGUCAUCAAUGCAAUGAUAGUUAUCAUAGGUAUUUUGUAAUGCUUCUUCUAUCUCCUUUUCAAAGUGGUAUGCCACCCCAAGCCGUUGAACUGCAUCAUAGAGAUCAUCAUUUAUGUCAGCUGUUUUGAAGGGUUACUAGCUGCAGCCAUCAGCUCUCUUCUAACUUCCCCUUUUAGAUCUUCCAACUGCUGCUCUUUAUGGGCCAGAGUUAUCUGUAUCAAUAAAUUGCAAGAACAAAAAGUGAGAAAAUCUUUAGGUCUUGUUAUGCAAACUACAUACAUGAUCAGAAAAUCACCUCAUCCUCAGGAGUGUGGCUCACGAUGAAGGUAUUGCCCCAAAUGCUAGGCUGAUAAUUUGCAGUUCGGCGAUUAGUCUCUGGAUUAGCAACUGGGGCUGGAGAAGACCCGUUGCUGGUAGCGAGAAUUAAGGCCAUGUGUAACUCACUCGAGCACUCAAUAUAUGAAUCAGAUGGCUUGCAAUCUUCGGUAUUUAUAGGACGGGAAAUGGUUCAUUACAAUUAUUGAAUAUCAAUCCCAGAUUCCCAGAAGCAUGGAUACUAUUAAUUCAAGGUCACCUAUCAUAUUUAAACCAAGAUUCUUAAAAAUUAAAUAUUUAAAAUAUGGUUUUUGUUCUCUUAGAAAUACGAAGUGUAUCUUAUUCCCUUAAUAAUUCUCAAUAUUCAACCAGCCGCCAAACAGUGAUUAAGACUUUCUCACGCGAAGAUCAAACUUAUGAUUGAUCUUUUAUUGUCCAAUAAUAUCCUAAUAAUAAAAUAAUUUUGAUAUGACUAGGAAACUAAGUUCUUUUAUAUAAAAACCAAAAAUUAUUUUGGUACGAAGCCAUGAGAAACUAGCAGCCAAAUUAAAGCAAUUAGGCCAUGUUUGGUAUGAAGCCAAAGCAAUUAGGCCAUGUUUGGCACGAAGCCAAAACAUGACUAUAUUUGGUACGCAAAAAUGAAGAGUGAGAAUAGAUAUUUUAUCCAUUUUCUUAUUCAUUUUCAUAUUUGAAUGAUUUAAGUGUAGUAAGAAUAAAAUCAAGAAUAAUUUCAUAAAAAAUAAAAUCCCAAUUAUAAGUGGGAUUAUGAUUUAAAAGUUAAAAAUCAAAAACUUAUUUUGGAUAAGUUGUUUUAAAAAUAAUUUUUUAUUUUGAUUUUGUAAAAAAGAAAUUAUAAAUUCAAUUUAUAUAAUAUAAAAUAAAUUUAAUUCAAGUCUUAUAAAAAAAUAAAAAUAAUUUUGUUAAUUAUAAAUAAAUUUUAAAAAUAAAUAAUUUUUAAUAAAACAUGAAUAGGAUUUUAGGGAAAAAAAAAGUUAUCAAUUUCACUUUCAUAUUCAUGCAAUUCCAAAGUUUCGACAUUGAACUAGAAAUUUCUCUAUUCUUACAUGUAAAAAGGCAAAAAAGAAAAACCCUUAAUUAGUAAAAUGAUAAGUUAGUUGAAUUAUUUAAUUAUCCUAUAAAUGCAUCUAAUUUUUUACACAAUUAGUGGACCUAAGUAAAUUGUGUCAUACUUAAACGAACUUGAACUUCCAAUUUCAACCUAAUAAAAGAUCAUAACUUAUAAUUUUAUGAAGUAUAUAAUAAACAAGAAAGAAAAGAUGAAAAGGAAAAAACUAAAAUUAAUAGCUAAUAAUAAUAAUUAAAUAGUAAUAAUAAUAAUAAUUUUCAUAAUAAUGAAUUAAAUAAUAAUAACGCUAGCAACAACAAUAACAUUAAUAAUUCUCUAUAGAGUUAAAUAUUUAAUUAACUUUAAACACACUAGUUAGUGUCCAUUAUAAAGUGAAAAGAAAAUAUUUGGUGAGUAUUGUAGUACUCCAAAACACCAUUACACAUUAACAAGGAGAUCCAGAUUUGUUGUAGGCAUAUAUUCUACAUAUGUAUUUUAAGACUCAGUAUCAAUACUCCUCAUAUUGAAUGACAAUAAUAAAUAUGUAUUAAAGAAUAUAAUAUAAUAAAGUUUAUUAUAUAUAUAUAUAUAUAUAGAUAUAUAUUAGGUGAUUUAAGUAAUACAUAUUCUUAUUUAAAUAUUCAGGUAAUAUUCCAAAGUAAAACACUAUGAACCCAGAGAAACUAGGUGCUUCAUAUAAUGUGUCCCCUUGCCGUAUUACAAUGAUUUAUUUCAUAUUUCUACUCCUUCACCUUAUUAUAGUGAUUUAUUAGAUAUUACUGCUUCCACAAGGCAAUACACGGGAUGGUAAUCAACUACUACAUUUGGUUAUAUUACAGCGUUGAUGAAGACAGACGCAAUGUUAUCCCUCAUCACUUUCCCAACAUGUGUGUACGAAUCUUGCUCUUUGUAAAUGACAUCCAUGGUUCGUGUAAGAUUGAGAAGACGAGCAAGGAGAGGCAUUGAAACAGCAGUAGGUUUGAGGCAUUCCUGGUUAAUAUCCAGCCAUGCAUUCUCAAUUUGCUUUCGAAAUUCACUGUAUACUUGUUCCUCAGAGACACCAUAUUGCUUCAUGUAACAUUCAACAGCUGAGGCCACAUGCCCUCUCUUUUGCUCAAACUGCAUGUAUAAUACAAAAGUUGAGAAAAAACCAGUGUGUUAUAUUCUCCCCAUUUGAAUCAUAUAUUCUUCAUACCUUAUGUGAUUUGAUGUCAUCCAUGAGCCUCGUAAUGAAAUUUGAAGAUGACAUAAUCUUAGGAUCGCUGGUCACCCAAUCAAAGGCCUCCUUUGUUGCUAUUUCUCCCAUUCCCACAAAGGACGUGGUUGCAAGCAGGCAGUAUCCAGAGCUUGCUAGUGCAACACGCAUGUACUCUUCAAAUGCUGGUACGUGUUCUUCAUGUAACCAUUUGGCCUCGGCAAAGUAAGCUCGAACUUGAUUCUUCAUCUAAAGAACAUUCAUCCAAGUUAUAUCUAUGUAUAUAUGAGACCAUAUAAAAUAUCAUCAAUGAAAAAGGUGGGGAUCCAGAGUAAAAGAUGUCCUACUACUUCUUUGGCAUAGUGAACCCGAUAUUGGUUUCCUUCUUUCUCCAUCUCUUCCUCGAUUUCUUUGUACACAUCUAAGAGUGCCACAUAGCAGAGUUUCAUGUAUUCUGGAAGCUGAUUUAUGCUGUUAAUAUCCCAUCUGAAAAUAAAAUAAUGACCCUUGAUUUACGUAUAUAUAAAUACAUCUAUUAUACACAAUCAAGGUUGGUAAUGUGCAAGGAGCAAACCUCUCAAUGGCUUCUAUGAAGAGCUUGAGUUCUUCAGGUGUGCCAUAUGCAUCAUGGAUAUCAUCUAGAAUGGAUGUCAUGGCAAUUACUUUGGUUAGAAUUCGUCUACCCCGUAAGUAUUGGGGCUCAAAAUACACCCCAUGCAUCCAAAAGUAGCCUUCAACCAAUCUGUCUCGUGCAAAAGGUAACUUUGUAGCAAAGUCUAAUUCUUUCCACCACCUAAAAGACAUUAAUAUGAUCAGCAUACAGGAAAGUGAUAAGAAUGGCCAAGUACAUGUGGGGUGAUCUAAACACCAACCUUGCAAGAUUGCUUAGCUCUUCCUUGUGCAGUGACUGCACUAGAUUGAAAUCUAAUUUUCCUAGCUCUAGUAAAGUUUUAUCAUGGAAAGCUUCAUCUUGGUAGACAGAUAUAUACCAUCUUGCCUCUAGCCUCUCCAAACCUUUUCUAAUGGGCCGGUUCAGGGCAUGAGCAACUUGUUCUGCAAGAUGAUAUCCUAAACUUUCUACCAUGGCCUUGAGAUGAGUGGUGGUGAAAGCAAGUGCUUUUGCAAGUAUGUCCUCUCCAUGAACCCUCAGAUGUGCAGCUUCAUACAAGCCUAGCAUGCCUCUUACAUCGCUGAUCAAAGCUUCCUUGAAUCUACCUCGUUCAUCCGUAAACUUGUUGAAUAUAUCUACACAAACAUCACCACUUGAAAAUAAGACUUAAAUGAUAAGCGAUGAACCUGUGUACCUGUGGAAUAUAUCUGUAAUCAUCACCAAAACAAUGUUAUAUGUGAGCUUUGCUAGAUGAUAUUCAAGCACCUUAUAAUUCAUGAGGCUUACCACAUGAAAUAUUGAAGCCUUGUUGUCUUAGUCGAAAUCGAAGUGCAACAUCAUAGAGAUCAUCAUUUAUGUCAUCAAUGCAAUGAUAGUUAUCAUAGGUAUUUUGUAAUGCUUCUUCUAUCUCCUUUUCAAAGUGGUAUGCCACCCCAAGCCGUUGAACUGCAUCGAUAAACUUCAGCUGUUCUAAAGGGUGACUAGCUGCAGCUAUCAGCUCUCUUAUAACUACCUCCUUUAGAUCUUCCAACUGCUGCUCUUUAUGGGCCAGAGUUAUCUGUAUCAAUAAAUUGCAAGAACAAAAAGUGAGAAAAUCUUUAGGUCUUGUUAUGCAAACUACAUACAUGAUCAGAAAAUUACCUCAUCCUCAGGUGUGUUGCUCACGAUGAAGCUAUUGCCCCAAAUGCUAGGCUGAUAAUUUGCAGUUCGGCGAUUAGUCCCUGGAUUAGCAACUGGGGCUGAAGAAGACCCAUUGCUGGUAGCGAGAAUUAAGACCAUGUGUAACUCACUCGAGCACUCAAUAUAUGAAUCAGAUAGCUUGCAAUGUUCGGUAUUUAUAGGAUGGGAAAUGGUUCAUUACAAUUAUUGAAUAUCAAUCCCAGAUUCCCAGUAGCAUGGAUACAAUUAAUUCAAGAUCACCUAUCAUAUUUAAACCACGUUUAUUAAAAAUUAAAUAUUUAAAAUAUGUUUUUUGUUCUCUUAGAAAUACGAAAAGUGUAUCUUAUUCCCUCAAUAAUUCUCAAUAUUCAACCAGCCACCAAACAGUGAUUAAGACUUUUUCACGUGAAGAUAAAACUUAUGAUUGAUAUUAUUUUUAUAAAAACACUAAAAAACUAUUUUUUGCUUUUUAACUUUUUGGCAAAUAAAUGAAGAAGAAUACAAAAAAAAAUUGAAAAAAAAGUAAAUAAAUAAAGAAGAUGAUAUUUUAAUUUUUAUUUAAUAUCUUAAUUUUUAUUAUCUAAAAUUAUUUAAUUAUUAUAAUUAAUGAUAUUUUGAGUUUAAUUAUGAUUAAAUAUAUAAUUAAAUUAACUAUAUAUAAAAGUCUUAAAUUGAGAUAAGUUGAUAAAUGAUUGAUUGUGGAUUGAAAUUUUACUCCUAAAAUAUGCAUGUGGCUUUCGGUUGUCAAGGCAUAUGUUGGGAAGCAGUUAUGCUUGGUUACGAGUUAUAUAAGCUUACGGCUUUAGAUUUGCAUGAUUAUCUUUCUUUGAAUGAGACAGUUACGAAGAAGGGGGCUUGCCAUUCCACUUUUAUUCAAACUGUUUGUCCUUAUUCUCAACAAAGGAAGCAUUUUAUUCAAAACAGAACACUCUAAAAGUUUGAAAAUCUAGCAGCCAAAUUAAAGCAAUUAGGCCAUGUUUGGUACGAAGCCAAAGUAAUUAGGCCAUGUUUGGCAUGAAGCCAAAUCACGACCAUGUUUGGUACAUAGAAAUGAAGAGUGGAAAUAGAUAUUUUAUUCAUUUUCUCAUUCAUUUUUAUAUUUGGAUGAUUUAAGUAUGAUAAGAAUAAAAUCAAAAAUAAUUUCAAAAGAAAUGAAAUCCUACUUAUAAGUGGGAUUAUAAUUCAUCUCUAGAAGGAGUUAUUUUACUUCAUUAUUACAAGUUAAAAUUAUAAAUAAAUUAUAAAAAUAAAUAUUUUUUAAUAAAAUAUGAAUAGGAAUAUCAUAAUAUAAUCAUAAAUUUUAUUUUUAAUAAAUAUUAUAAAAAUAUGGAUAUUAACAUCUUAUAAAAGCAUAAUUGAUUUAUUUUGUUAAAAAUAAAUAAUAAUAAUUUAAAAUUUAUAAUUACUUAUACUAUUUUUUUAAAUUAUUAUACUUACUACUUUGUUUUAAAAAAUUAUUUCGAGAACAAUAACUGGCAGUGGUAUUAAUUUUUAAAAACAAUUUUAUUUUUAAAAGAAAAGCCUAAAUAGGUUUUUAUUAUUUAGCAAAAAAAAAAAACCUCUCAAAUAUUUUCUUUUUUAAAUGAAAAUAAAAAAAUUAAUUUAAAUGAUGUAUUCUGUAAGAGUUUUUUUUUUUUUUUUUUGAAAUAAAAAUAAAAGAUUAAAGACACUAUAAAUUAUGAUUAAAAUAAUGAAAAUUAAUAAAAAGAUAUUGGCUUUUUUCUUAAAUACGAAAUAUUAAAAAAAAAAAGAUAAAUAAAUAAUAUAACUAUGUAUUUUUUUUUUUCUUACAAGAAUUUUCAUAGCUUUAAAAAUAGUAACCUUUUAAUUUUUUUGCUCUUAUUUAUUAUUAACCGAGUUGUAUAAAUUGCAUUAUAAUAGUUUCCUUUAAAACCAAAAUAAAAAUCAAAACAUGUGCUUCAUGACACUAUUGGAUGAAAAAGAAUCACUUAAUUUUCAUCUACUAGAUCCCAGCUGCCACCUAAUAUUAAUGACUUGUUUGGAUAUGUUGAGUUAAUUUAACCAAAGAGACUCUAGAAGGCUAAUAUUUUUCUUGCCAUCAGUCUCUUCCGUGCACAACCCUUUCAAAUCAUGGGCCCCAAAACUAAACCAAAUUCCACAUACUUUUCAACUAAAUACAACCAAUGAAUGCCAGUGCUGCCCUAUAAAUAAUAUGGAGCUUGCCAAGCUAUUUCUCUCAUACUUACCAAUUCAUCAUUCAAGGUAUAAUACUGUUCUAUCAUUGUUCCAAGGAAUUAACAUGUCUACUCAAGUCUCAGCAUCUUCUCUAAAAACAAAUGUUGUGUGCUACAUUUCUACACUGACUUUUAUGUUUUAUGAUAGCGCUUGAAGAGCAGUUCAGGUACGCACCCUAACUCUCCUUUAUUGCAAUUUGAUCGUGUUUGGCAUGCCACUUUUUAAAAUCAUCUAGCCUAUUUAGGUAUCUAUAAUUAGCUGAUUAAUUGCCACACUUCCCUUAACUUUGUCAGUAGAGACCUUUAUAGGGCUUAGAGGGGUGCUACCUUUUAAAGGUACCUUCCCAAUAGGUAACCUGAUCCUCGGAUUUAGACUCGGGUUUUUCAAAGAUACGCUUUUCUAAAAUUUAUGGAGUCAUUUCUUAGGGUUUUAUUUCUUGUUUUAUUUUCCCUUUAAAAUAAAAAUAAAAUAAGUGGUGACUCCAACUUUUUUUCCAAAAAUCAAUUUUUCACCAAUAAAAAGCAAGUCUCACCGAUCGAGUGGGGGCGCACAUGAAAAAUGCGGGUCCACAAUCGACAAUAAAUCGACGAUUUUUUGGGCAAUUUUUUGAAAUUUCUUCCUACUGCAUCCAACGGUCAGAUUUGAAUUUUUGACGAUUCGAUGGCCCAGAUUUCACCUGUGUUUUUUAUAAAGGCAUCCAAUAGUCAGAAAUUGGUUUUCAACAAGAGUUUUAAAUUGGAAAAAAGUGGAGUAAACCUGAUCCUUAGUGAGGAGCAAAUAGAACCAUACAAACCUAGAGUAAUCAUCCAUGAGCAACAGAAAAUACCGGGCACCUGUGGAAGAAGGAACAGGUGCUGGUCCCCACAAGUCUGCAUGGAUGAGUUCAAGAGGAGAGGAGGCCCGGGAAAUGGACAAAGAAAAAGGAACUUUGUGACUUUUGGCACAACAACAAGCAUUGUAAACAUCAACUGUUUUAUUUGAGUUAUGUGAAAUAUUACAUGUAUGAAAAAUUUUCUGAAGAAUUACAGCAGAAGGGUGGCCAAAUUGUUGAUGCCACAGCAUAGUAGUGGGUUGAGUUUUUGUGAGAAAUACUUGAUGUUUAAGACUGGCAGUAGGUGAACUGAUAGAUGAGGUAGGAAACUUGUAGAGUCCACGUUCAAGUUGGCCUUGGAGGAGAGUCACUUUGGUGUCCUUAUCCUUGACAAAAAAUGAAGAAGGAUGAAAUUCCAUAAUGGUAUUAUUGUCAGUACAAAAUUUUGACACACUGAUGAGAUUUGAAGUGAGUUGUGGAACAUAGAGCACAUUGUGUAAGACAAAGGGUUUGGCAGAAGUGUGGAGAAAGGAAUGACCAACUUGGGUUAUGGGUAGAGACUUACCAUUGUCAACCAUCACAGAGUCAGUACCAUUGUAGGGAGUACCAUUGUGGAUAUUAGCAGCCGUGUGGGAGAGAUGGUGGGUGGCGCUUGAAUCCAAAAACCAAGAGUCCAUUAAUGUUGGGGAAGGUGCUGCCAUCAUAGCUUGAGCAAGAGGAAUGGGACCAAUUUGAGAGGUUGAUGAGGCUGGUGCACGUGGCCCUUGAUAAUUCACAUCAAAUCUGUGAUAACAAGAGAGGACCAUGUGCCCAAACUUGCCACAUAACUGACACUGCGGUCGGUUAUUUGUCCGGGAUCGAUUAUUGUUGAAUCGGUUAGGGCGAUAUCCUUGAGGAUAUUGCUGCCGUGAAUCCAGAAGAGUGUCAGGUCGUAUGGUUGGCAUGAACGACUGAGGUGGUUUCCCUUGAGAGGGUUUUUUGGACUGUGACCUUCGUGGUCUAUUAUGAGUUGCAAAGUUGGCAAUGAGGAGGUCUUCUUCAGUAGGCGUGGUUUGAAGAGGCAGCCUCUGUUCAUGAGUCAAAAGGAUGCUAUGUACUGCAUGAAGCUGAAUGUCAUCAUCUCUAGUAGUGAGAGAAGCUAUGAUGGGGUUGUAUUCAGCCCCUAAUCCACUCAGUAAUUGAAGGAUUUGAUCCUUUUCUGGCACUGGUUCUCCAAUAGCUGCCAGACUAUCAGAGAUGUGUUUGAGUUUUUGGAUGUAUUCCAUCAUGGUGAGAGAGCCUUUUUUGUUUGUUUGAAAAGCAAGUCUCAACUGCAUUGUUCUUGCUUUGGUGGAAGCAGAAAAGCUUCGUUGGAGGGCUGUCCAUGCUUCAUGGGAUGUUUGUAGCCCAACAAUUUGACCCAUAACAUCUGGGGUGAGAGAGGAGUAGAUCCAACUCAGGAUCAUACGGUCAUAUCUCCUCCAAACCAGAAAAUCUGGGUUCACUUCACCGGUGGAUAUUGUUUUUGGAGGACAUGGUCUCAGACCUUCAAUAUGGUCCUCAAAUCCAUUGGCAUAUAUCACAUUUUCCAUUUGUGUAUGCCAAAGGAUAUGAUUAUCUCUAUCUAGUUUGAUAGGAAGAGGAUGAUUCAGCAUGCUCAUGUUCAGGGUAGGGAUUACCUGAGAAGAGACAAUCUCCAGCGUGGUCUGUGUUGAUGAAGCCAUCGGAGUAGGUACAGUAUGUUCUUGAAGUGAGUAAGCAAAGAUCAAAAGAAAGUUGCAGCAGAAAAUGUUGCUGGAGAUUUCUUAAUUGUCUUGCUGGGAGAGAAAUCAGAAAAAAAAAUUCAGGAGCCUAUGGCUCUGAUACCAUGAAAGUGCUCAGGCACGGAUUUAGCAAGAAUAAGGAGUUUAUUCUAUUCACAACAUGAUUGUACAGUAUAUCAAUAGCUAUAUAUAUAUAUAUAUAUUACAGCAUCUAACUAAUCUAACCAUCUAACUAAUCUAACCACUUUCUAACUCGGCAUAACAGCAUCUGUUAGAGAAGACUCAGCAUAACAGCAUCUGUUAGGGAGGAGAAGAAUUAGCUACUAACAUGGGUGUUUGUCUAUCAAUACUUGAAAAAGCACUUGCUUUCACCACCACUCAUCUCGAGGCCAUGGUAGAAAGUUUAGGAUAUCAUCUUGCAGAACAAGUUGCUCAUGCCCUGAACCAACCCAUUAGAAAAGGUUUGGAGAGGCUAGAGGCAAGAUGGUAUAUAUCUGUCUACCAAGAUGAAGCUUUCCAUGAUAAAACUUUACUGGAGCUAGCAAAAUUAGAUUUCAAUCUAGUGCAGCCACUGCACAAGGAAGAGCUAAGCAAUCUUGCAAGGUUGGUUUUUAGAUCAUAUUAAUGUCUUUUAGGUGGUGGAAAGAAUUAGACUUUGCUACAAAGUUACCUUUUGCAUGAGACAGAUUGGUUGAAUGCUACUUUUGGAUACUUGGGGUGUAUUGUGAGCCUCAAUACUUACGGGGUAGAUGAAUUCUAACCAAAGUAAUUGCCAUGACAUCCAUUCUAGAUGAUAUCCAUGAUGCAUAUGGAACACCUGAAGAACUCAAGCUCUUCAUAGAAGCCAUUGAGAGGUUUGCUCCUUGCACAUUACCAACCUUGAUUGUGUAUAAUAGAUGUAUUUAUAUAUACGUAAAUCAAGGGUCAUUAUUUUAUUUUCAAGUGGGAUAUUAACAACAUAGAUCAGCUUCCAGAAUACAUGAAACUCUGCUAUGCGGCACUCUUAGAUGUGUACAAAGAAAUCGAGGAAGAGAUGGAGAAAGAAGGAAACCAAUA